This 267345-nucleotide long non-coding RNA is filed under the name Setaria viridis. RNAcentral's name for it is "long non-coding RNA (SVIR_LNC009637)". The record is from RNAcentral. Lineage: Eukaryota; Viridiplantae; Streptophyta; Magnoliopsida; Poales; Poaceae.
CUCGGGGUCGGGAUCCGAGCCAGGAGAGGUCGGCAAUACGCCACCUAUCCUGGACCCGAACACCGAUCCCGAGGGAAACAACGCUGCCCCACCCGACCCGGCCGCGAAAGCCAAGCCCUCCGACCCCGCGGUUAUGGAAAUCGAGGCGGGCCCCGCAGCGGGGGCCGACCCCCCGACCGAUUGGAGAGCCCCGUACCUCGGGUACCUUAUCCACGACGCGCUCCCAACUGACAAGACCGAAGCCCGCAGGAUCAUGCGCCGUGCGAAAUCCUUCACCAUCAUCAACCAGGAGCUUUACAAGCGAAGCCACACGGGGAUCGUCCAGCGCUGCAUCCCGAUCGAGCAGGGAAAGGCGCUGAUCCAGGACAUCCACGCCGGGGCUUGCGGUCAUCACGCUGCGCCAAGGACGCUUGUGGGCAAUGCUUUCCGGCAAGGUUUCUACUGGCCAACCGCGGUCGCGGAUGCUACCCAGGUAGUCCGCACUUGCGAAGGAUGCCAAUUCUUUGCCCGCCAAACCCAUCUGCCCGCACAGGCGUUGCAAACCAUCCCCAUCACGUGGCCGUUCGCGGUCUGGGGGCUGGAUCUCGUCGGACCCUUCAAAAGGGCGCCCGGGGGCUUCACCCACCUACUCGUCACUGUCGACAAGUUUUCCAAAUGGAUCGAAGCAAGGCCUGUGGCGCAAAUCAAGUCCGAGCAGGCGGUACAAUUUUUCACCGACAUCAUCCACCGCUUCGGGAUCCCGAACUCCAACAUAACCGACAACGGUACGCAGUUCACCGGAAAGAGGUUCCUCCAGUUCUGCGACGACCACCACAUUCGAGUGGAUUGGGCGGCAGUUGCGCACCCCCGCACGAACGGGCAAGUCGAACGAGCCAACGGCAUGAUACUUCAGGGUCUCAAGCCACGGAUCUUCGACCGCCUUAAAAAGUUCGGCGGACAAUGGGUUGCGGAGCUCCCAGCAGUCCUCUGGAGCCUGAGGACGACCCCCAGCCGGGCGACAGGAUUCACCCCGUUCUUCAUGGUUUACGGGUCCGAGGCCAUCCUGCCCACCGACUUGGAGUAUGGGUCACCAAGGGUCAAAGCAUACGACGAACAGGGAAACCAGGCGUCGCUCGAGGACGCGCAAGACCAACUCGACGAAGCGCGAGAUGUAGCCCUCCUACACUCGGCUAAGUACCAGCAGGCCCUACGGCGUUACCACAGCCGCAAGAUACAAGGCCGCGCCUUCAACGUUGGAGAUCUAGUGCUCCGCCUCGUCCAAGACAGCAGGGGUCGGCACAAGUUGACUCCCCCAUGGGAGGGCCCGUUCAUCGUCGCACAGGUGCUACGGCCAGGCACCUACAAGCUGGCAACCCCCAACGGGCAAAUCUUCAGCAACGCCUGGAACAUAGAACAGCUAAGGCGCUUCUACCCAUAGCUCUUGUUUAUAAGUUAUACAUAGCUUUGCCCCCGUCUUCGUUUAAGCUCAGGGGUAUCCGACCCUGGCCUCGUUCCAAGGUCGCAUACCCCUCGGGGGCUACCAGUUUUGUUCUUCUGCGAAAAAAGAAACCCUAAGCCACUUUCGGCACAGGUCCUUUCGUUUAAGCUCAGGGGCAUCUGACCCUGGCCUUGCUCCAGGGUCGCACACCCCUCGGGGGCUACCAGUUUUGCUCUUCUGCGAGGAAAGAAGGCCUUUUCUUUUAAGCUUAGGGGUAUCCGACCCUGGUCCGGCUCCAGGAUCGCACACCCCUCGGGGGCUUUCAGGGGUCCCGACCCCAGCCGCUGGGCACCCCUAAAAAGAAAAACGUUUUUCCUUCUUUUUUCAAAAACCGGACACUCCCUUUCGAAAACCUUUGGACGCAAAAAGAUAAGGAUGUGUGAACGGUACUCAGCCAAGUUGCAAUCGGACUGCGAAAAAGCCUACGCCCCAGCGGCUAUGGUACCUUCGCUCAUCAAAAAACUUACUGACGCACCCGGCAACACAUCCUAACGCUUUCAAAAACCAAAGGAAUAACAAAGGGAAACGGUUUCCUUAGCGCAAAAUAAAAAGUCAUAAGAACAGGCCCGUAUGGCCAGCACAAUCAAGUUCAAGACGACUGACUUAAAUACAAACGUUUUUUGGGCACAAGCCCGGUACAGCUAAUUGACAGGAGGAUCGGCUGGAGCAGUAAUCCCGGGGUCGGCUGAAGCGGCGGCUUCGGGGUCAACAGGAGCAACGGCCUCAGGGUCGGCGACGGCGGCGGCUUCAGGGUCGGCGGCGGAUAGGGCCUCGGGGCCGGCAGAAGCGGCUUCAGGGUCGGCAGGGGGGACGGCUUCAUCCUCCAGAAGCUUCGCGAGGGCCUCCGCCGGCGCAGUCACCGCGGAGUCGAUCUCGUCCAGUUCGGCGUCAGUAUAGCCGGCGCAGUACCCCUCACUCAUCCCGACAAAGUUAAUGUCAGCAUAGUGGGAGCCGAAGACCCCGAAGGCGCUCCGCACACCAAGGUGAAGCGCGUCCACGGCAAUCUCACGGCGGCGACGGUGCACUUCAAGAACUCGGGCCGACAGCGAGCUCGACCCUUCUUCCGGAGCGACACCGAAGUCCUCGCAGACGACGCGGACCGCAUCCCGCAAGGCGCCAUGCUCGCCGCGCUCCUCGUCGAGCAAAACCCGCAACCUGGCGAGGUCCUCUGCAGGAGCCGAUCAAGAAACCUCACCAAGUUAAAGGAAACGAAACACCAACGACACGGAAAUACAAAAGGAGAAAGAGCCUCACCGUCGGCUUGGGCCUUCAGCUCGCGUUCCCGGUUGGCACUGAGGGACACGGCGGUCUGGAGCCCGUGCACCUGCAAACGGAAUUGGUCGCGUUCCGUGCGAAGGGCUCCAUUCUCCCCCCUCAGCCGCGCCAGUUCCUCGGCGUCUCGACGGGCUCGCUCAUUAGCCGCGGCCCUUAGCCCCUCGGCAUCGCGGCGCGCCUUGUCCAUGGCAGCCUGGAACUCCUCAAGGUCCAGACGGGCCUUCUCCGCGACGGCCUGGAGCUUGGCCUCGGCACGCCGCGCCCCCUCCAGCGCCACCUGCUCACGACCCUCCAGGUCGCGAACGGCCCCCUGGGCGGCACCGAGCUGCAGGGCCAGAUUCCUGGAGCGCUCCCUCUCGGUGUUGUAGUGCUCCCAGAGGUUCCGCUGCCGCCGGAGGAAGUCGGAUUUCUCCAGGCUGGCCUCCUGAAGAGCCUGCAAAGCAGCAUGACGGUAAGACAAAAAAGUAAAAACAAAGGAGCUCAUCACCGAGCGGCAGAAACAACAUACCUGGUUGCCAAGGACCACGGUGUUGGCCAAAGCUCCCAACACCGAGGUCAGCGCCGCCUGAGCCUGGGCGACGCCGCCAUGCACCGCCUACCACCGAUGCCACUCGGCGGCAUCAUCCAGCACGUAGAGGCGCCUCGGCGGGUCGUCGCGGGAUGUCCAACGGAGGACGGGCCCUCUCCAUGCCCCAGGGACGGGAGAAGCCGAGGGCGGAACAAGGGACGACUCUGACGUCGCCGUCGAUGACGACAUCACGAUGCCAGAAACCCCAGGACCUGCCGGCGGCUCCGGCGCCGGCGCACCCGUCGCCACCACGGCCGCCGACGGCACCUCUGUGGGCACCUCCGUCUCGGCCACCGGAAGCACCCCCGGGGGAGCAACCGGGACGGAGACCUCGGCCUCCGACACCGGUGCCUCCACCGCCGCCGCAGCCUCGGGGGCGAGUGCCCCCUCUGCCUCCGACCCCGCCAUGGCAGCAGGGGCAUCCGCCUCGCCCCCCGUCAUCUCCGCCUCCUCCGCCUCGUCGGCGUCGAGGUCGAUCACCUCCCCCGCCUGCGGGCCCGGGGGGAUCACGGCCCAGACGGGAGGAACGACCGGUGGAGCCACAGGCGGGGUGGAGUCCGCUCCCCCUCCUGCGGCCGACCCCGCCGCCGUCCCGGCAACCGGCUCCUCAGCGGCCACCUCCGCCGGGGAAUCCACGGCCACACCGGGAACCCCGCCAAUCGCCGCUGGCGGGGUCGCGGCCCGCGCCCCAGAGGAGGACGACGUCCGCAACAUCUUCUUGGGCGCCAGCCGCAGGGUGACGCCGCGGGGAGAAGUGCUGCACGUUGACGGUCAGGCGUCAAACAGAAACAUACGGAGAAGGAAAGGAAGGACGACGUGUGGGAGGAGUCAACUUACACCCUCGAAGCGCAGGGGCGGCGUGCGCGCUUCGACUCGGAGCCAGACGCCGACCCCGGGGCAUCUGGCAGUGGCCGCUUGUCGCCGCCCCGUUGCCCUCCGCCAGCAGGCACGGCGGCGGGGGCAGCCCCCACGGGUCCCCGAGGAGCCCCCCGAGCGGACUCCUGGGGGGCGCCCCGCGCCGGACCCAAAACUGCGGCAGGGGCGGACUCUGAAGGCCCCUGAGGGGCGCUCCGGCUCGACGCCGGGGCGACAUCCCUCGCCGGCGCCAAGGGAGCAUCCCGCGCCUGCUCCUGGGGAGUGCCCUGGGACGACCCUGAAGGGGCGCCCCGCGUCCCUCCCUGGGGGAGGCCCUGUGCCGGCCCCCGGGGGACACCCUGCGUCACCCCUGGGGAGCGAUCUGCACCGGCUCCUGACGCGCGCGCAGCGCCGACCCCUGAGGAGCGGUCCGCUCAGGCUCCUGGAGCGCGCGCGGCGCUGGCCCCUGAGGCACGGUCCCAGGACCGGGGGGAGCCGGAUCCCGCACGGACGCUCCCGCCGCCGCACCCCCUGCCGCCGUCUGCGGGGGUGUGUCACGAAUCACUAAAGCCCCCGAACGGGGGGCAAACAAUCCCACUUCCUCCUCCUCUUCUUCUUCUUCUUCUUCCUCUUCUUCGUCGUCGUCGUCGUCGUCGUCGUCAGACACGACCGCCCCUCUCCGCCGCCGUUGGUACUCCCUGGCGGCCCUCUUCCGCCGCUUCUCCGUCUCCUUGUCCUUGCGGCGUUUGUCCUUCUCCGCCUGGAGACGGUUGAGAGCCCUCCGUGCGGCACCCUCCGGCAUCGACGGGAGAGAGUCCUUAACCCGGGUCAGCGGGCCCUGUGAGGCGUAAAAGGAGGACCCACGUCAGAACGACAAGACAAUGCGACGGCAGGAAGGAGAGGUGGUGGCCCAAACGCCUUACCAGGUCCACGAAGCCCUGCUCCGGGCGCAUAGGUGGAUGCCCAGGGAUCGGGUAGUCGAUGUCCCUGUCCUCCAGCGCCUCCCGGAGCCGUUGCUGGAUCUCGGAGGCGGCGAGCGCACCUAUCGCCAUGACAGUGCCCUCGGGAGGCAUGUCGGGGGUCAUGACGCCAAGGGGCCGGACCCGGAGCAUCAGCGGCACCACCCGCCGGGCGUGGUAUGCGCCGAUGACCCCGGCGCCGGUGAGCCCCUCCCGCUUCAACUGCCUGAUGGCCUGCAGAAGGUCGGAGAUCUUCUUCUUCUCCUUCUCCACCGGCCCGUACGCCCACACGUCGGGCACCGCGUCGAUGGUGCGGCCGGUGAACGCCGGCAGGGGGGAGUUCGGGUAGUUCUUCACGUAGAACUACUGGUUGUGCCACCCCUUAUGGGACACAGAGGUCUUCACCGUCAUAUACUCCUUGGAGCGAGUAUGACGGAGGUGGAUGCCGGCGCACCCAAUCGGCACCGGAGGCGACCGUUGCUGGCUUCCGGCCUUCCCCGUCUUCUGGUAGAGGCUCACCGUGAAGAAGUACUUCCACAGCUCGAAGUGGGGCUCGAUCCCCAGGAAUCCCUCGCACAACGCGACGAACGCCGCAAUGUGCUGGAUCCCAUUGGGGUUGAGAUGCUGGAGCUCGAGCCCGUAGUAAUGGAGGAGCCCGCGGAAGAAACGGCUUGGAGGGGAAGCGAAUCCCCGCUCGUGGAAGUGGGCGAAGGAGACGACGUAGCCGGCGGGCGGCAACGGAACCUGCUCCGACCCCGGCAGCCUCCACUCGUCCGCCGCCGUCCUCUCGCAGAGGAGCCCCUUUCGCACCAAACCUUCGGCGCGACUGGCGGUGAAGUGGGAGACUCCCCAGGAAUCCAUCACCGAAGAAGGAAGGAGACCGACGAAGGCGAAGACGAAACGCGCGGCGAGUGGCAACAGAAACGAGGCGAACAAGGCGAGCGCAGGAGAGCUGGGAAGGCAAGAAGGCUUGAGCGCGAAAGGAGAGGAACCAGCGCGACGUGUUCCUACUUUUAUAGGAAGAGUACCGGGGAAGCCAAACCGACGCCCCGGCCGCCAUAAAUGCGGCGCCAGGUACGCCUCUGCCCCGCCCGUUUCCUUUCGAAAAUCGCGCGCACGAUCGGCCGCGAAAAAACAUCCUAUCUUCCUCGAUCCGCGGGACGGCGCUUCCAUAACUCCACUCCCCGGGCUUCGCGCCCACGACGCUCCCCACGAUCGGCCCUGGCACAUCAACCGCUCCGCUCCGGCCCAAGGCCCACAGGGAGGUAAGAAAGGGAUACGGGGCUGAAAACACCCCUACGGCCCAAUACGGUCCAGGGGUUCGAAAGCUGGCCCAACACGGGUUCGACAGUUGCCCCAGGACAUCCCCGAGCAAGGGGUGAGAAGGGACGGGCCCGCUAGCGGCCAACACCCAGGCGAGCAAAACGCCAAGGGCGCCCCAACCUCACGUUCGAGUCCCGCCCAGUAUAAAGUUCAUGGUUUUUCCACGGGGAAAGGCAACGAGCCCUCAGAUCCAAUCGAACGGAUCCGAGAACUAUAUGAACUGACUGGCGGGAAAUUGGAGUACGCCACCAGCUUGGCCCGAGCCGGACCCCCCCGAACGGGGACCGGGACUCCACUCGAACUUACCCGUUUGCAGCUCAAGCGAGCACCACGGUUCGUCCUACGCGGAUAACGUGGCCCGGCUCAACCCCUCCGUCCUAGCGAACGGGCGCUUGAGGGGCAACGAUCAAAAAGUCGACCUGGCCUCCCGAUCGGUUUCCUGCAGCGAGCAGGAGCUCGGGGGCUAGCCUCGCAAAAAACCGCCACGCGUGUGGUCACAAACUAAUAAGGUUCUCUCAAGCAUGGCGAAGAUGAAACAAGCGCGCCAUAAUGCAGGAACCGACGGCAAACAGCGAAAGGAGCCUCCGGAGGAGCACUCCUGCUCCACCACAGUCUCGGGGGCUACUGUUGGGGGGAAAUAUUAACGACCCCCUAAUACGCUUAAGGAAACAAACAUAAAGGCCCAGGCCCACCAAAGCAUGAUCAAAUCAUCGCCUCGCCCGACCCAGGCGUCAGGGUCGGGAGCGCCCAACCUCCCACCGCGAGGCCUCCGCCUCGCCCGACUGUAACCCCAGGGUCGGGAACGCCCGACCCUGUACCGCGCAAGUUCCGCCUCGCCCGACCCCGUGCGAAAGAGUCAGGCGCGUUGAGGGCCACGGGGUCAGAAUCCCCCUCGGAUGCGAUCCGCGUAAACAGGACAAAAUCCUGUGGGUCCCCCCGUCGGCCUCACCAUAAAUGCGCCACAGAGCUGGCAGAACGCAGGGCGACCGCGCCCCUCACGCAACCCGGCGCAAGUACCCGUGCACGACCGGCCUGUGCGAGCUACAGUGCCGGCGGCCGGUUUCUAUUCGUCGCAGGGUACUCAUGACCUGCGGCGACCGGAGCGAAGCAAGGAGCGGCCCCGUCCUCGGGCCCUGCACGCCCUCGGGCCCCGCACGAACGGCAGUACAGGCGUGAAGCUCCCCCUCUCUACAAUUGUAACUCCGGCCGGCCCCUUGCGAUAUAAAAGGAGGAAUCUAGAGCCGGGGGAGGGGGAUCGGCAGAUCAAGAGAUCAACACUCCUCCUAGAACACGAAAACUGAAGAGACCUGGGACCGGUCCCUCUCUCGCCCAUCUGUAACCCCCUACUACAGAAUCCCCGUGCGGGUAACACGAACAUCCUCGAUACUGGACGUAGGGCUUCCUUUGCCCGAACCAGUCUAAUCCGUGUCUCCCGUGCAACCAUCUGAGGCUCACGCGCAUAAAAGAAAUUUACUAGUCUAAGUCCUGAUCCGCUGAUCUUGACAACGACACUUCCUCUAACGUGCGGGCCCGCCGACGCUAGACUCUUCUUCCUCCUCCUGCCAAAAACCAGGCGCGACAGGGGGCGGUGCGGCUCGCCGGCCGGCACCCUACCGGCGACGGGGCUAGGCCGGGGAAGCAUCGCCAUGCCCUAGCGCACCCGUGCACGGCGGUAGCUUCCCGGGAGGUGGCCGGAGCAACUCUCCCCACAGCGGCGGCCGGCGGCGCCUACGGCCGGCCGUGACUAAGCACGACGACAGCGCGGCCUACCCCGACGACUACCUCUACGGCUUCCUAGCACCCCAAGGACUCAUCUACGACUACCCAUAAGGAAAGAGAACAGCGGCAAGAAGGUGCUCACCGUGAGCAGGAGGUGUGGCGGUGGCGGAUGGAAAUGACGGCGAGUACGGGUACUCCGGCAAAGAUGCUGGGCAACAAGUUGCUAGGGUUGCUGGUGGGGUGUGAGUGGAGGUGUGGACGGAGGGAAUCGACGAGAGCUGCGGUGUGGUGGGAGUAUUUUGCUCGACGGCGGCAGCUUGACAGAGAGGACGGCGGCGGUAAAAAGGACAGGUAGUAAAAGAGAGGCGGCGGGAGCGGUAGAUAUACGAAAGUUCACCGAGCGCAUGGACGACACCGUGGCCUACUCGUAGGCUUGCGUGGUAAGGAGGUGGCGUAGCUGCUGUGCUGGCGGUCGACCGAGAACGCCGACGGCGACACGUCGUUCUCGGCUCUGUCACCCCCCCUCCCGUUCUUUGUUUUCUGACGCCCGAAACUUCAGAGCUCAGCCACGGUCAAAAUCGCAUCCGACGGUCCACAAGUUACUUAAGCAAAGUUGUAGAUAAACUCGAGCUUUACAUUUCAUAUUUAAACUCUUGCCCGAGAUAAACAUUCAAUUGUUGGGAAUUUCGAAAUAUUUGCCCUCAGGUAACUGAACUUCAUUGAACUCCCGAUUCAGUUCGUCAGUCACUUGUUCAUGGUCAUUUACCCAUCUUUGUAAAUAAUUUCAGUGGUCUAACCAAAUCCCUUCCUUUUAGUCCAACUACUAACCAAUUACACUCUACAACCAUCAGGGAUUCCAUUUUGCUCAUAAUCACCUAUACUUCUUGGACCACAUUCUCCUGAAUUCAGCUCCAAACAUCGGCACUUAUCACUGUUUUCAGACUUAGGCAGAAAUUCAGUUCAACAGCUAAGGUGACCGUGGUAAAGUGCUGACUUUGAGCCUCCGUUUGAAAUGGGUCCCUCUACUAUUCUUGAUCAACAACACCUUAAGAUACUUGUCCAAAGUCUAUAAUUUAAUACUGUAUAGUUGUCUUGGUCCAUUUAUUUGGAAAAUUUGGCAGAAAUCAAAUUCCAAAAUGGGCUCUUAUGCUGUUUUCCUGAAAUCCUGUUGUCGGACGAUGAAUAGUACAUUUCGGUUUUAAUUUCUUUCUUUGAUUUUCUUGAGAUAUUUAGGACCAGAUUUUGUCCCCAAUCUUGAUCUCCAAGUUCUAAACACUCUUAUCCUUUCAUUCCAUCUUUUUGCCAAAUUUUUCUGAAUUUCGAAUUCAAAAUUCAAAUUUCGAUCAAAUUUGACUCAAACUUGAUUUUUAGCCAAUUUCUUCUCUUUUUCUUCAUGAUUUGCUUCUAUUUCUGCAGAAUUAUUUUUGAUGGCUAAAAUGGCAGGUGUUACAAAAACCUAGUCUUGUGUCGGACGGGCGAUGAUGGCGCUUUUGCAUCAUGUCCUUCUAGGAGGCGUCGUCUUUAGGAUACCUUCAUCGUGCUGCUUUCACCAUUACUGUGGGUGAUAUGGCUGGUGUUGGUAGUCUUAAAGUCUUGUUUGCAGGGGGUUCGUUGCUUGGUUUGUCUCUUGGGUAGUCUUUUGGCGAUGGUGGCGUGUUUUUUCUUCAUUGUCUUAUGGAGCUAAGGUGGUCGCUCUCUCUUUUCUAACAAUGUCAUCUCGGUGCACUAUCAUCUUCAAGCUUUGGUGGUGGCUCAUCACUCAGCAAGAUUGGACUUCGUGCUUGGUGCCCGGUGGUCUUCAGCUUCGUCAGGCUUGAGUUCCUUGUUUUGUGUGACGGGUUAUUUCUAAGCUUUGCGAUAUAGUGCUGUGUGUUUCUUCGAGUUUGUUACGGUCGUGGUGGAGUGUUGUUGUACCUGUUCAAACUUCUCUUCUUCUUAAUGAAAAACGUGCAUCAUCUUUAGUGCCUGGUAAGCUUGGGAGGGAACAAAAAUUUUCUGGCAAAUUUAUUGUCACCAGGAAGAAAUCCAACCCUACCCUACCUACCUAGAUCUAGUCUAAAAGCUCCUAGGAGUGCAUUGGUGGCAGACAUCCAAUCCAGCAAGCGAAACCAAAGGCCCAGGUCGGAGAAACCAAAAAUAUAAAAAUCAUCUUCCCUCCCUUCGCUAUUACUUGCCAAUCGCCGCUGUAACCAGCUACUACUAGAUCCAUCAGAGAAGAAACUUGUGCAGUGAUUGUGUUUUAGUCUAUGUUGGGUAAUUAUCUAUGUAACAAGUAGCAGUGGUAGGGAAUUAUCCUCCAACUCCAUAUUUAGAUCCAUAUUUUAUGGUUCUGGAGUUGCAAAAGAGAUACUCAAAAAAAUGAACUUGAGCUUCAAAAAAUAAUGGAGUUUGGGAUAUUUAGCUAGCUCCAUCCAACUCCACCACAAAGUUUGGAGUUGGAAGCAUGCUAAACAUGACCGUAAAAUGUGCAUAAAAUGGGCAUAUGCACGAGUUACGAUAGUUUAUCUGUGACAUGGUGAAUGAAAAAAAAAUAUGGACAGGCGCGCAGUGUGACCCAUCGCCCAAUAACUUUAUCAAAAGUUGUUGGAAUUAUCCAGCAAAACUUUUCAAGGAAAGUAUGUUAUAGGGGUGUUUGGGAGGAGGGGGCUAAAUUUUAACCCCGUCAUAUCGAAUGUUUGGAUACUAAUUACGAGUAUUAAACCUAGACUAAUUACAAAACUAAUUACACAACCCUAGGCUAAAUCGCGAGACGAAUCUAUUAAACCUAAUUAGUCCAUAAUUUGACAAUGUGGUGCUACAGUAACCAUUCACUAAUGAUGGAUUAAUUAGGCUUAAUAGAUUCGUCUCAUGAUUUAGCUUAGGGGUUCUGCAAUUAGUUUUAUAAUUAGCUUAUGUUUAGUCCUCCUAAUUAGUAUCCGAACAUCCGAAGUGACAGGGCUAAAGUUUAGGCCCUCCUCCCAAACACCCCCUAUAGCUCUAUAUUUCCCAAUUUCUGUUGCUGCAAAUCCCUUCUUCACUAAGGAAAACUUAUCCAUCAGCAUUUAAUAUAACCACUACCUGUCUGCAGCUCAAUUUAGGCAAAUCUUGCAGCUCGAGCUACUUUCAACGCAAGGAUCAAUCUCAAUACUUCAAACAGAUCAACAAUUCAGCAGUAGACAGUUGUAUCAUACCUAACAGCACAGCUUAAGCCAGUGUACACAUUCUUUACGCAGAACUGAACAAAAACGUCAUAACACAAGCCUUCAGGCAAAUGGCAGUGUCAUUACACUAUGGGAUCUUAAACACUGGAUCCAAAUAACCAAAUAAUAUACGACAAAUCUUGGAAGAUAAUCCUUAGCCCCCGCACUGGCAGCACGGUUCCAAUGCCUUGAAAUUUGUUGAUGAGGGCACAAUCCCCUCAAUGCAUCUGUUCACAGCCUCAAGAGCUCUCUGUGCCUCCAUCAGCCCUUCCUUCGACAUAUGCUCGCACUUGUCGGUCUUUGUAGUCCUCCUGCCACAACCCCAUGCAGUGUCCAGUGUCAUGCACACAAGUGCUGAUGCAUUGCGAACAAUGUGGCUUGUUAAUUCAAUCAGGCUCUUUGCAGAGCUAAAUCCAGUCAUCAUCACGUUCUUCAGAUUGUAAUGCAAGCAUUCUGGCAUCUGCCUCAAAUGCAAUUGAUCCUUGUCAAGAUCUUUAAGAACUGAAUCACUUCUCAGCACAUAACCGGUUUCUACCUGCAUUAGAUCAACAUCAAAACCACUGUUCAACAUAGACUUAAUAAAAGAAAAUCAAGAAUAUCUUUAACACGUGGAAUCAAUAAUACUCCCACAAACAUGAAAAAUCAAGCACAAUUUAUCCGGUCAAAGUCGCAUCAAAUAACUCGCAGCAUUGAGCGAAGGUUAAACUGCAAGUGUCUUGGUACAAUGGCUUUAAAAUCAAUCUUGACUGAACAGACAGAAAACAACACUGCCUGCGAGUUUGCGUUAAACAAGGCAGAAUUAGACAGGUAAGACCCAGCUGUCACUAUAGUCAUCAUGACAAAUGCACAGGGUCCCCAAAUAUACUUUUAAAGGUUUCACUGAGAUGGCACUGAGAAUGCAACUUACACGCAGCAUGAAAGUCUCCAAGGCAGGAGAGGCUUCCAGGAAAGAAACCAAACUGAAGUAAUCCUGGCGGUAGAGUUGUACAUCCACAAGAAAAAUGUCCAAGUACUUGAGAAGGAGGAACUUGCUAGACAUUAUUGGAGUCUUGACCUUCUGAAGAAAGAGACCAAAAGAAUGAAUCAAGCUAAAGGCAUGCAUGCAUAUCGUCACUGUAUAGAUCAUAAUUUCAAAUCAACUGAAUGGCAUAAACAUAGCACAUACCUCACAAAUCGAUUCCACAGUAAGUCUUUCAACUGCUGGCAUAAAGCAAGGAAUCUCGGCACGAGCAUGACAGAGUGUGUUUGGUUUACUACCUAUCAUCCGUAUGUGUUUGACUUCUGCUCCUAGAGAAAUUUGCAUUAGGUUAUCCCCACAGUCAAAAGUGGAGAGCUUUGGAGCCCUAAUCUCUAUUACUUGCAGCAUUUUACAUUGUGUCACAUGGAAAUGAUUAAGGUGAUGCAACACACAUGGUGCUUUAAAGCAAAUUAAAUCAUUGCACUUAUAAAUUGACAACCGUGCUAAAGCGAAACAAUUGGAAACAAACUGCCCGAGUUCCUCUCCGGUAAUGCGGACAAAGGACAGAUAAACGCUUGUCAAGCUUCUAUUGCAACCAAGACUUGCGGUAGGAUGAAAUGCGCAUGAAGUAAGGCGAAGAGAUUCCAGUGUUGCUCCUCCUAUCUCAUUAGAUAAAAGAAAAAUCGGGAAGUUAUAGUCUGCCCUCUUAUUAAAUACAGCCAUCUCCAAUGCAAGCUCUUCAAUCCCAGGUUUGACAGCAAUUCGAAGCCAUUUAUCAAAAUAUGAUGCAUCAAUAUUUGCACAAGGGUACAGUUGAAGUAUGAGCACCUUCAUCCCAAAGCCAGAAUGGUUUUCAAGAACAUGGUUAAUUUUAUUGACGAAAUGGCUUUCUAUUUUAUCUUGUCUAUAUUGUUCAUCUUCCAAAGCUCGUGUGUCCUCAUCCAAAUGCAUGCUGAGCUUAUCAUAACCUACGGUUUUGUUAUUGAAUAAAAGCCUGGGAUACCGUCUCCAGGAACGUAGAUAUCGACGAGAGACACAGGCAGCACGGGCAGCAUCUUCAAUAGGUAAGUAGGAAAAUAAGUUAUCAACAAUAUCCUGCAAAAACCAUUAUCAAGAGAGUUGGACAUGCAAGACUGCUACCAGAACUACAAUAUAGUGUAUUCGACCAUACCUCUGGAAGUCUGUCAAGCAUGAAAUGUCCCAUCACUUGCAAACAUUGCUCAUCUUGUGAGGUGUGACCUUGCAAACUAGCUGAUGAAGGCUCUGAUCCAGAGCCCAGAAUGAAGUAAGGUAACAAGUAAUAGCUGAAAUAGGAGGCAGCUAACUUUUUGCCACUUAGAAAAAAAAAACUCUUACCGAAAGAACUUUGUGUGCAUUAUUAUGGACAUAUUUAUUAUCCUGUCUAAAAAAGUUUAUUAAUAUACAUACACGAUAGCUUCAGAAUCCUCAAAAUAUUUUUUGACAGCUACAAUGUAGUAAUUGUUACAGGACUUAGCACAGAAGCAUCAAACAAAUUAUUCUAUGUAUAAUUACAAUCAGACACAAAAUCUUCAUUUAGUUACUCAUGUUUUUGCUCAAUUAUUCUGGCGCUUUUCCUUUAAGCAGAAAGGAAAAGGAGCCUUAGAUAGCCAUCCCAUCUUCUAGACAGACUCGAGAUCAGGAACCCUAGGCUGCCCGUGUAGGAUCGAGGUGCGGAGGAGUACCUGGCUGCAGCUCCCGCUUUCGACAUGUUCCGGUGUACAUCUCCGCGCUCUACCUUGUCGACGCCGACGCGAAGGAAACCGCUCCUCGGUUAAGGGGCUCCCGCGGCUCCUCCUCCUCGUUUCCCACCCGUGCCCUCUGGGUAGGGCCCACAGGCAGGCGGAGGCGGCGGGAGGCGGGGGCGGAGGCGGCGGGAGGCGGACGACGGCGGGAGGUGGGGGCCAGCCGCGGGAGGCGGGGGCGGGCCGGCGGCGGGAGACCGGGAGGCGGGCGGCGGGGGCCGGGGUUGAGCCGGCGGUGGGGGGCCGGAUAAUGAUGGAAGAGAAAAGAAAGAAGAAAAAUAAAUAGGAAGGAAGGAAAAUAAAAAAGAAAAGGAAAGGGUACUAGGGGUAUUCAUCUUAUCUGAGAGAUCGGAGGAGAGGCGGGGAGUCGAGGAACCCCUGUUGGAGUCGGGCAGGCCUUGGUUGGUGUUGAUACGGGCUUCUUUUUUUAUUUUUUGACGCCGUGUUGAUAUGUGUUUGGUUUGUUGGACACCGAAGAAAAUUGCCUUGCCGUCCGUCGGACGACGGGCCAGCAAUGCAAAGUGAAUCGGGCAGGCAGGGGACAUGUUGGUCCAGCAAAUGGUGGAUCAGCCCAGUAAGUAGUGGGAGAGCUAACCUUGUUUUUUUUAGCUUAGCUAUUUUUUUUUUGUUAGCACUGCAGUCAAAUUUCUUGAAGAGUGACUACACAUAUCGAUCCGUUAAUUUCUUGUUGUAUUUUAGCCAAUUUUAUGUCCAAUUGAAUUGUGCCACUUCGUGUACCUAAAAUAGAAAAGGUGGGCGAGGAAGGAAAAAACGAACCAAGAUCUCAGUAUACUCAGAUCUCAGUAUACUCCUCGUAAUUCUACCGGGCAGCAUUUUCUGGUCUUCCUCAGUACAGUACAUAUAAUUUUAAGGAAAUACAAAACCGAAUAAUGGCACAACAGACCCAAGACAAAAACUGACUAACUCGCUCCCAUAUGUGAACUACACACACCUCGAGCGAGCGACCAAGCUUUUUUUUUCUUUCUAAGGGCAGAUAAGAAAGAACAGGAACCAAUUGAAAUCUACAUAAUUUCAGGACUGUGCUCAACUACUGCCUAAGUCCAUCUUUAUUUUGCACAACAUGGUUGCACGUUCUCUAAGUAUCCAAUGAACUCAUCAUAAUUCAAGCUAGAGAAACAAGUGUGUGAUUUGCACUUUCAAGAAAAAUAAUCCGAUGAAUCAAUGGCGUGAUCACAAAGGGUCUUCGAAUAUGCAGCAUUAGCUAGUGUAGCACCAUAUCUGCAUAUAAUUACUUGGAUUUUUUCCAUCCUUUUCCACCAUAUUAGAGGAAUAGAGGCUCAGACCCUUUUGCAAGCUAGCAUCGCCAUUGUUGUUUCAUUGUUGCAACAAUAAGUCAUUUAUAUGUAUUUUGUUAUCCUCUAUUAUGCUGCUCAUCAAAAUGAUGUUAGACAUUGAUCUCUUAAUAUUACCAGCUAAGUGCAUCUUAUGAUAGGAGGUACUCCCCAUUCUUAAAAAUAUGACGUUUAUCACAAGCUAAUUGGUUUAAAAAUGUACUAAUUGGUUUGUCCUAAAUGGCUAAACAUCACAUAUUAAGGCUAGAGUACCAGUACAUAAGCCAUUUCUACAGUGCGCGUACUCUAUUUCUACUUGCGGUCAGUAGCGAAGUCCAAAUCAUGGGCUAGUAUCACACGGGAAAAAAAAUUGUACUGGUGGAGGGACUUCAUAUUUUUCCAUCUAAUUAAUUGAUGUCAUAUUAAAAAUUACUUCAAACGCUAGCAAUUACGAUUCUAUCCAUAUAUGCUCCGUUUGUUCACUUUAUUUCAUUGGCGUAGUGCUGCCAGCUCAAAUGUAGUCUAAUUCUCCAACUUAAUAUAUAAAGGGCCAAUUCCUUGCACAUCCUUACACUGUCAGCUCAUCUCCUGAUAAUUCCAUGUUAGAGCUACUUCCAACGCAAGGAUCAAUCUCAAUACAGGACUUCAAAUAGAUCAACAAUUCAGCAAUAGACAGUUGUAUUAUACCUAACAGCACAGCUUAAGCCAGUGUACACAUUUUUUAUACAGAACUGAACAAAAACGUCAUAACACAAGCCUUCAGGCAAAUGGUAGUGUCAUUACACUAUGGGAUCUUAAACACUGGAUCCAGAUAACAUAUUAAUAUACGACAAAUCUUGGAAGAUCGUCCUUAGCACCCACAUUGGCAGCACGGUUCCAAUGCCUUGAAAUUUGUUGAUGAGGGCACAAUCCCCUCAAUGCAUCUGUUCACAGCCUCAAGAGCUCUCUGUGCCUCCAUCAGCCCGUCCUUCGACAUAUGCUAGCACUUGUCCGUCUUUGUAGUCCUCCUGCCACAACCACAGGCUGUGUCCAGUGUCAUGCACACAAGUGCUGAUGCAUUGCGAACAAUGUGGCUUGUUAAUUCAAUCAGGCUCUUUGCAGAGCUAAAUCCAGUCAUCAUCACGUUCUUCAGAUUGUAAUGCAAGCAUUCUGGCAUCUGCCUCAAAUGCAAUUGAUCCUUGUCAAGAUUUUUAAGAACUGAAUCACUUCUCAGCAAAUUACUGGUUUCUACCUGCAUUAGAUCAACAUCAAAACCAUUAUUCACCAGACUUAAUAAAACAAAAUCAAGAAUAUCUUUACCACGUGGAAUCAAUAAUAUUCCCACAAGCAUGAAAAAUCAAGCACAAUUUAUCCGUCAAAGUCGCAUCAAAUAACUUGCUGCAUUAAGCGAAGGUUAAACUGCAAGUGUCUUGGUACAAUGGCUUUAAAAUCGAUCUUGACUGAACAGACAAAAAACAACACUGCCUGCUAGUUUGUGUUAAACAAGACAGAAUUAGACAAGUAAGACCCAGCUGUCACUAUAGUCAUCAUGACAAGUGCACAGGGUCCCCAAAUAUACUUUUAAAGGUUUCACUGAGAUGGCACUGAGAGUGCAACUUACACGCAGCAUGAAAGUCUCCAAGGCAGGAGAGGCUUCCAGGAAAGAAACCAAACUUAAGUAAUCCUGGCGGUAGAGUUGUACAUCCACAAGAGAAAUGUCCAAGUACUUGAGAAGGAGGAACUUGCUAGACAUUAUUGGAGUCUUGACCUUCCGAAGAAAGAGACCAAAAGAACUAAUCAAGCUAAAGGCAUGCAUGCAUAUAUCGUCACUGGCCUAUAGAUCAUAAUUUCAAAUCAACUGAAUGGCAUAAACAUAGCACAUACCUCACAAAUCGAUUCCACGAUAAGUCUUUCAACUGCUGGCAUAAAGCAAGGAAUCUCGACACGAGCAUGGCAGAGUGUGUUUAGUUUACUACCUAUCAUCCGUAUGUGUUUGACUUCUGCUCCUAGAGAAAUUUGCAUUAGGUUAUCCCCACAGUCAAAAGUGGGGAGCUUUGGAGCCCUAAUCUCUAUUGGUUGCAGCAUUUUACAUUGUGUCACAUGGAAAUGAUUAAGGUGAUGCAACACACAUGGUGCUUUGAAGCAAAUUAAAUGAUUGCACUUAUAAAUUGGCAACCGUGCUAAAGCGAUACAAUUGGAAACAAACUGCCCGAGUUCCUCUCCGGUAACGCGGACAAAGGACAGAUAAACGCUUGUCAAGCUUCUAUUGCAACCAAGACUUGCGGUAGGAUGAAAUGCACAUGAAGUAAGGCGAAGAGAUUCCAGUGUUGCUCCUCCUAUCUCAUUAGAUAAAAGAAAAAUCGGGAAGUUAUAGUCUGCCCUCUUAUUCAAUACAGCCAUCUCCAAUGCAAGCUCUUCAAUCCCAGGUUUGACAGCAAUUCGAAGCCAUUUAUCAAAAUAUGAUGCAUCAAUAUUGCACAAGGGUACAGUUGAAGUAUGAGCGCCUUCAUCCCAGAGCCAGAAUGGUUUUCAAGAACAUGGUUAAUUUUAUUGACGAAAUGGCUUUCUAUUUUAUCUUGUCUAUAUUGCUCAUCUUCCAAAGCUCGUGUGUCCUCAUCCAAAUGCAUGCUGAGCUUAUCGUAACCUACGGUUUUGUUAUUGAAUAAAAGCCUGGGAUACCGUAGCAAAAACUAUGUAAUUAGAAAAGUUAAAACGAAUAAUAAUUUGGGAUGGAGGGAGUAUGUAACACUAAUUGUUGAUAUCAAUUCAACAUUUUUUUUUGGUUUUGACCUAUCCUGUCCAAAACUCUGGACAAUUGUUUUGAGCAUCUAGAUAGCUUCAAGUAAAAUGUAUUAUCUUAAUAUAAGAUCUGUUUCCAUCCUAGUCGAUACAAAUAACUAAUGAAAUACAAGUUGUCAACUCAAAUUACAAAUUCGUGAAAGGGCCCCCACGGUGAUGGGUGGGCCGUGGGCGAGAUCCGCCAGCCCACAGGCCCACCACAGCCAGCCACCCACACGGGAUGAGUGAUCGGGGGCCCAUUUCCACGUGAACGUCCUGUGCGCCUUCGAUGCAUCGUUUACGUAUUCGGCCAUAGCUGGCGCUCGCGAGCCGCCACCGGUGGUCGGCCACGCGAAAGAGCGCGCCCCACGCCUCGUCGGCGACUAGCGGCGAUGUCGGCGGCCGCCACCUCGUGCGGCGCCCCCUCCCCCUCUUACGCCUCCGGCCCCGGCGGCGAGGACGGGGAGAUCACGUACGUGAGCUACGGCGGGGAGCAGCACCUGCCGCUGGUGAUGUCGCUGGUGGACGCGGAGCUCAGCGAGCCUUACUCCAUCUUCACCUACCGCUACUUCGUCUACCUCUGGCCGCAGCUCACCUUCCUCGUACGUGCGCAUCCCCUUCUCCGCUCCCCGCACCCGAAUUGCGCGGUGCUUGUCAGCUUGCGGCGGAUUUGACGAGGCUCUCUUGGUUCUUUGUUUUCUGGGGGCCGAUUGGGGAUGGGGGGAUUGCGCAGGCGUUCGAUGCCAAGGAGGGCAAGUGCGUGGGGACAGUGGUGUGCAAGAUGGGGGAGCACCGGGGCGCCUUCAGGGGCUACAUCGCCAUGCUCGUCGUCCUCAAGCCCUACAGAGGAAGGGGAAUAGGUGAUACAUUUCUUCGUCCUUUUACCUGCUGGCUGCUGCUUGCCUCUUGAACUAUUGCCAGUUCUGUUGUUAUAGACACGGAGUGAUCUUGCUUUCUGUCAUUCAAAAUGUGCAAGGCAGCACUUCUCUGCAGUGAAUACAGAUCAAUGACUAGGCCUUAAAAAUCUUCAAUUUUGUGUAGGGUCAAAACACACCAUCACAUACUUCAACUACUAUGCUGCAGAAACUUGUUUGUAUUGUUCAUUGUUCAAUUAUCUUAAACAUGUUAAUUCCUUUCUGCAAGAAAAGACUUAGCAAAUUCAUUAUGUCUCAGAGAGAAGUUUGAUUAUUUGUGCUGUGGUUUGUUUGCUUGGUUGCAGCAAGAAAAAGGCAUAUUUUCUUGUCUGUUAAAUCAUUUUUUUCUGACAAUUGACAUGCUACCUAUUAGGCUGAUACCUUACCUUUUUUGGAGUAAAUGACUUCAUUGGCUAAUUGUAUUUGAGAUUUACUUUAGUGGUUAGACAAGGAGGUAGUAAACUUUUUUUGAAUAGUUUUUUAUUGUUUUGUAGGUGUUGACAUGCUCUGCACAAGUUUUCUAUGUUCACUCUGUUUUAGUGUAGUCAGAUCAUGUAUGGUAGUUCAGUGUGGGAUAUCAUCUGGGCACUGUUCAUGUUGCUAAAAGAAUAGUUGGAGUUAAUUAGUAUUUAUGAUGUGACGUGUCAACAUAUUUCAUUUGGUGUGUGCUGCACUCAUCUUUUGUCAGAUCCUCCUAUCGAGAGUCUUUCGUUUGGCAGACAUUGAUGAUGAAUGCUUGAAAUUAUGUAGUCUUAAAUUUAGUGCUUAUUUGUUGAAAGUAGUUCAUAGUAUUGUCAUAAAGGUGUUACCUGGAUCAUAUCAGCACAGUAAUCUUUGCGCUUAGCUUGGUAACGGUAUUUGUCUAUCUGAAAGGCAGUCUUGUUGGUAUGAAUUAUGACAUUAACAGCAAGGAUGUUAACAAAUAUCCAUGCAUCAGGUGAAUCCUGUUUCACAUGAACAAUAGUAUCUAAAUGAUAGAUGCUUCUAUUCCAGUAUCUAAGACAACUAGAGUACCAAUGGUAGGACAUGGUAGCACUCCAGCUUCAUUUUCACUAGCCAUAUGAAAUAGGGCAGGUGCUUUGCUCUUCAAAAUGGCUGUUGCUUGCUUUUUCUUUCAGUUUAUGUGAACAUAAAGAGAGCAUAUGCAAUUUCAAGCCAAGUAACUGAAUCUCUAUUUCUUGUGAUACAGCAACUGAACUGGUUACUAGAUCUAUUCGGGUAAUGAUGGAAUCUGGCUGUGAGGAGGUAACCACUCUUUUCAUUGACUUUGAAACACGUAGAUGUGAAAGCUUAUGAUGUAUCCUAGUUUUUUAUAUCCACACCACAUUUAUUGGUGGCUGUAAGGUUGGUUUAUAACCUCAAUGGGAAAAUUGGAGAUAGGAUUCUCAGUCCGUAGAUUAACACCCAGUUUCCAUAGAAACAUCUUUCCCAGAACAUUCUUAAAAGCUGAAGUAUCUAACAUCCUAAUUGCAACCAGGUGACACUUGAAGCAGAAGUUACAAACAAGGGUGCCCUCGCUCUGUACGGCCGUCUGGGUUUUAUCCGAGCAAAGAGGCUGUACAGAUACUAUCUAAAUGGCGUGGAUGCUUUUCGCCUGAAACUAUUGUUUCCACACCCUGAUCCUGGCUUGCCUCCGAUGAUUGUCGGCAGCGAAAGGGAUGACCAGCAUAUAGAUUCGCCCUACUUGUGACAGUACCCUAUGAGUAGGUAGAAUGUGUUGGAGUCCUGGAACCCCAACCUUUUUUGCACUUCUGUUUCAAAGCUUUCACAGCUCACAUGUAACUGUAACAUUAUUUGUGCUUACAAAUAACUUUUUUGAGGUAUUCUAUGUAUUACUGCCCCUAUUUUAAGAAUGCUGCGAAAUUCGUAUUUUACAGUCUUUUGUGGAGCACUGCUGAUCUGCAAUUAUUUUGCUCAGUGAAUGCAUGUUGUGUCCCGAACCACUGUUUGAGUGUAAAUGUGAAUGCUUACGACCUUGUCUAGUUUUCUGUUAAAAUUCCUAUGAUUUUAAUUUGUGGAUCGCCACAAGCUAAGCCUUUCCAGGCCAUUCGUCUUGUUCACCAUUCUGUAAGUGUACAUACCAUGGUUCUUAAGCCCCCCUUCCAGUCGCCUAAUCGCUUCUCCAUAGUAAGAGGGGGUGGGUGGACGAAAAAGGGAAACGGGAAAAGGAAAGAAGAGAAACGGGGCUGCCAAGCCCACCAUGCAAAACAUCUUUCCAUUCCCAUAGUACAUUAGGCAGCCCAGGCCCAGGCGGCCGCCAGCCAUCGCCCAUCAGGCAUCAGCCUUUCCCCCACUUCCCUGCCCCUCAGUCCUCAGAUGGCACAUACAGACUAGCUCAAUUGUAAAAUGCAUGCCAAAUUAUGCAUUAGUCCAUGAGUCUGUGAAAAGCUGUUUUCGCUAAAAACUUGACAUAUUUAUUUACAUAAGCUGUACUGUUUUAACAGAAGCAGCUACCCAGUCAGAAGAACCUAUCCAGAGAACCCGGAAGAAUCGAGCUCAGCUGUACACCACCCUCCAUGUCAGUAAGUUGGAACAAGCGUAGCAGUGCUAUUUGCUUCGACAAUCAUGCUUUCAGAACUUGAAACAGCAAUCACUGGCACCCUGGUGCAGCUGUGACAUUGCAGGUAACUUGCUGCUGGGGCUGAUUCACCACAGGAUCCCAACCGCUGACGGCUUGUAAGUUUGUCAUGGCUGUUCCAGGUGCAGCAGUCAGAUUGCUUAGAGUGGGGGUCCAUAACACCUGACAUGGAAGAGUGCAAAAGUAUGUUUAGCGAUUUUCGCAUGUUGCAGCAAAUACAGGGAUGGCUUCCAAUAUGUAAAAUAUUUUUCUAUAUUGUCUCAGCAAAUAGUUUAUUGAACAUGUUCAGAUAUUAUUCAGCUGAAUAACAUGGCUUGGGCAUAAAUGUUGCCAGCAUUGGCCAUAUUUACGACUUGAUUUAAAAAAAGCUAUCACAGAACAGAAUUAACAAAGUAACAUGCAGGAAGUGCUAGGUUCAUUAAGAUAUCAAAUACGUACCUCUCGUAUGUGCUUUGUUGAUAAUGAGAAUUGGCAUUGCCAGGAUGAUAUGGAUCAUUCUGAUAAUAGGGGGCAGUAGAAUAGACAAGCUGAAACAUAAUGUGGCAUGGAGUAUUGGUUAUAAAGAGAACAUGGAGGGGGUGCUUGCGCAUACUGAUAGGUAGAAGGCAAUGGACCACAUGCUGCAUAUCCAGCAUAAAAACCAUACCCAGUUGUUGGUACAUGGCAAGUAUGUGUAGCGGAUCGAGUAGGACAUGGAGGUGCAUAGGCUUCAGGUGGCAUUAAAUGAGCAGCUGGAGGAGCAACAUAGGCAGUUGGAUGAUGUGCAUAAGCAGGUGGCUGUGCUGGAAGAGCUGGAGGCAGAAAAGCAGGGGCAGAGGGCCAGUUAUCAACAUCAUGUGAGGAUGACGAUUGUGGCAGCGAAGUAAUUGGCUGAAACAAUGCCCUCAGUUUCUCAACCUACAACAGAAGAUCAACAGUACAUGAAUUAGCUAUUUCGUUACAUGUAUUAUAAAUCCAUAAACAAAUACUGACAAACACAAGGGCAAAGCAAACGACAAGGUCAUAAUCUUUCACAUUCCACCUUGCUGUUAAACUGUUAUGGAUUAUCAAGAAUGAUAUGAAACCAAGAAAAACAUAAAAAUGUUAUCAUCAUGUCCGAAUCUUCCUUUCUUUUCUUUGUAGUAGACCAUUUCUUUAUUUCUCAGGUCAAUCAAAAAUAGAAGACAAGGUCAUAAGCUUUCACACUCCAUCUAGCUCCUAAACUGAUAUGAAAUGACAAGAAUGAUAACUCAUAUCAAGACCAAGAGAAAAGCAUAAAACAAAAGAUAAAAAUGUCCCCAUCAUGCCUAAUUUUCUUUUCUCUGCAUCUUUUCAUUUCGAGGGCAACCACAAUGUUUUUGGCAAACCAGUUCAUAGGAGCGGAGUCCGCAGCAGGCAGUCUUUAGUUCUGGAAAGCGCCACAAUGUUAGGAAAUAAGAUUUCCAUCAGACUAGAAAAAAUCCUCUACCCCGACUUCUGGUUGGCUGAUUUUAUUUGUUUACAGUGGUACUGUACAAGUAUAGUUUUAAAAUGGCAAAAUAGCCAUUUUGGUCCCUGAACUUUGCACCGAGGGUCAAGUUCGUCCCUCAACUUCUAGAAUGGCCAAUCUAGUCCCUCAAUUUUUGUUUUUGGAUCAAACAUGUCCUUGUGCUGAUACAGGGCUUCACAUUAGCAUGAAAUAAAUGCAAAAAGUCAUUUUUGCCCUUGGCUCCUCCUUCCCUCCUUAAUUUUCACUGUAAAUUAACAGUAUUAUCCAAAAUAAGUACAUAUGAGCAUAUAUAUGUUUACUGAGUAUACCGUACCACGAGUAUAUGAGCACAUAUCAACUUUAGAGUAUGAGUACAUACAAUAAGUUGUGUAUAUAUGAAAGAAUAUGAGUACAUACAUUUUGCAUAUCAACAUUUAAUUUGUAUGAGCACAUGAUUGAUUUUAUAGAGUUCGAGUACUUACAUUUUUUAGAAACUAUUUUUUAUGCUAGUUAAAAAAUACAUUGCUGCGUGUAUGUAUCAAGGGAGUAUGAGCAUAUACAUGUUUGACCUACAUGAGCCAAAGGGUAAAAUGGACUUUUCACAUUAGUCUCAUACUAAGAUAUAGCACCACAUCAGCACAAGGAUGAGUUUGACUCGAAAAUGGAAGUUGAGGGACUAAAUUGACCUAUUUGAAAGUUGAGGAACGAACUUGACCCUUGGUGUAAAGUUCAGGGAGCAAAAUGCCUAUUUUGCCUUUUAAAAUGCCUAUGGGUUCCCCAGUGCUAUGGGUAUCUUUUGUUAUCUCCUUCAUAUGGACUACUUGCAAAUUGGUGUCAGGAGGCUGAAUGGAAUAAUAUAAUGCCUAUGGACUACUUUAUGGUUAGAUGGUUCCCCGUCUGUCUGCUCCUUACAACUUUACUCCAAAUUCAUCAGGUAUUUCCAUUGUGAAAUGGAAAUGGGGCAAGCCUCAUAUCAAAAAAAAGUACACAUUGUGGUCAGGGAUGAACAAUGUAAUUUCAACAACCUAAAUGCAUCAAGAAAACCUUCUGUGUUCCAAUACCACUGAACACCCAAGCUACAUAGAAGGUUAAAAAAAGCUUCAGCUGCAGUAGUCAUGAGAAAUAAAGGGCAUAAAACAAAAUAAGCUUCAGGCCUUAUAAUUCAAACAAACAUACAUGAUAGCAAAAUGAGAUACCUCUCAAGUCUCAACCCCAAUUUGACUUAGGAUUUCCAUGUGAUGCAAGGGAAUUCGAAAGGAUAGGUUUACAUACAUGUUUUAUGGCAUUACUGUCCACUUUUUCUACUUACACCCACCUACCAGACACAAUGGAAAACUACGAAAAUAGACACAAUAAGAUACCAGACACCAGUUUCAAUUUAUCAAUUGGCAUCCUAAUUUUAUUCUAAUGGGGUAGCUGAAGCAGAGUUCUUCGGAACUCAUUCCAUUAGUUAACAUUAAAAUAAUGUUUGGCACAAUUCAUUUCUCCUGGUGAACAUAACAAUUAAGAACAGCACAUAUUAAUUCAAAUUUGCUCAUUCAAACUUACUUGUGUAGAGGUAAGCUCUGGGUUGAACUUUCCUUUGAAAUAGUUCUCCUUUAUAGCUCUUUUUAGGCUACUCUCAGGGAUGGGCAUGAAAUCACCAUCGAUCAUAAAUUUAACCUGCACGUAUAAAAAAUGUUACCUUUGUUCCAUUGAGAAUACUGUACACCUAAUAUAUGAGGUUAAUUGAUAGAUGUCAUUACACAGUAUUAGAUGGCAACUAAAAAGCAUAUAAGAUGUGCCAAGAAAAUGAAAAUGCAAGUAAAAAAAUGUAAGCAACUAAUUCGCAUCAAAAGGUUAUCUUAUAAUAGAGAGAGCUCUUUGACAUCUUCCUCAGGAUCCUUACAUUAAAAAUGUAAGCAAACAUUUGCUGCUGAAUGCAUGUCAUCAGUCACACUAAGUCCCAACAUGCACCACCCACAGAAUGAAAGCAUUAAAAGCAUUAUAGUUUUAAACCCAUUCUUAACCUUAGAUCUUUAGUCCCCGAAUCCAAUGGUUCUCCAAAAACCCAAGCAAAGUGCGACAGUCUGUGGGGAUCCAAAGUGCCUGGACUACAAAAUUUCCCAGCAAGGGCUUUAUGCUGUAUGCUGCUGUUAUCAUUUUUCGAAAACAUGCAGGAGAGCUGCAUAUCGUUAUAUUAAAGAAGAAAAGGGUGGGAAACCCUUAUGUUACAAAUGCACACCCCAAUGUUACAGAGAUUACAAGCGCAGCUCAGCUACAAAAAUAUAAACGGCCUCGUCCUAGUAGGCUAUAGUUAUCUCAUCACAGAAGCAACAAAGUGGGUCGUCAUCCCCAUUAAAUGUGGUUACCUGCCAUUCAAUAUAACCCAAUGCGUUUCCUGAAUAGUCAUUACACCUCAAACAAGUACCAUACAUCAUAUAUCCUACCACUUCUGAUAGCAUACCAAUAAUUGUUUGCCUAUUGUCUAUUUAUGUAUCAACCAUUGAUUUGCUAUUUUUACAUGCAAACAAUCAGUACAGUCCAAGUAUAUUAUUCCCUACAUAAUAAACAUCCACAAUGGCCAUACCCGGCCUGACUUUAGUAGAAUGAUCUGAUCCAGAAGGGUAAGGGUAACCUAUCAAAAACAUUAACGAGGUAAAACUUCAGCAUUUCAAAUUCUUUUCCUUAACAAAGUGUAGCGUUGAAACUGGACUAUCUCAAGCAAUCCUAUCCUCAAUAGGACAGAAGUGGCAGAUAACUAACAGCAAGCCAAAAAUAUUGCCUCCUCAUGCCAACAAAAACCACUGCAAAGGAUCAUAACUCAUCAGCGCAAUAUUAGAAAGACCACCCUCUGAUUUGUUCUCACCAAACACAAACAUUUAAGAACACUAAUUUCUCUUAUCAUGCACAUUAGCUCACCAGUUCCACACAUUCACAAUUCCCCAUUAUAGUGACUAGAGCCAUACCCACCCAUCAUUUCUUGAUUCUGGUCAACAGAAAGCUGAUAUCUUUGCAGCAAGGACAGCAAGGCUACCAACCUGAGCGGGGAAGCGGCCAUGGAAGGCGCCGGGGACAAGGUCAGCCCCACCAUCAGAGUCAGCGUGGUAGGGCCCACAGAGGUGCUUGGCGUUGAAGUCGUAGAGGAAGACCGCUGCCCCUCGCCGGAUCCGGGAGACAGCCUCCAGACUCCCCGGUGGCAGGCCCAGCACCCGGUGGCGGUAGCAUUCAGGCCUUGUUGCGCUGCUGCACAUGAAGAUGAACCCCGCCAGUGAUACAGUGAUGGUUGAGGAGGAAGCUCCAGUGUGGACAUCGUCCUUUGUUGCCACCACUAGGGAGUGCGGCCACUUGCGCGGUAGCAGGAAGGUAGAGGCGGGAGGUGAGGGCUGGCUUGCCAUGGAGGUAGCUGGAGCAGCAUGGGUAGUUGGAUGAUGUGCAUAAGCAGGUGGCUGUGCCGAGUGAGCUGAAGGAGGCAGAAAAGCAGGAACAGGGGGCCAGUUAUCAACAUCAUGUGGGGGUGAUGAUUCUGGAAGCAGAGUAAUUGGCUGAAACAAUGUGCUCAAUUUCUUAACCUACAACAGAAACCAAUAGCAUAUGAAGUAGCUACCUUGUUACUCCAAUUAUAAAUUCAGCUAAAAAGUAAAAAUUAAUAUGAUUGACAGACAAAGGCAAAAUAGAAGAUAAAGUCACAAUCUGGCUAGCAACUAAACUUUGAUGGAAAGGACAGGACUCAUAACUGAUACCAAAACCAGGAGAAAAGCAUAAAACAGAAGAUGAAAAUGUUCUCAUCAUGCCUCAUUUUUUCUUUUCUCUGCAUUUCUUCACUUCUCAGGAUGAACAGUGUCACUUCAUAACUGAAAGGCUAAAUACAUCAUGAAAACCUACUGUGUCCCAAUACUGCUGAACAUCCUAGCUCCAUUUCACAUCAAUAGUUAUGUAAAAUAAUGGGCAAUAAAAAGAUAGGCUUCAGGCCUCAAAAUUCAAACAUACAACAUAGCAAGAUGGAUGAAAUCCCUCUCAGACCAACUUGACUUUGCAUUUGCAUGUGAUGCAAGAGAAAUUCAGAAGGAAAGUAUUACAUACAAGUUUUAUGGUUUUUAGGGUAUUACUGACCCCCUUUGUCUGCCACAUCCUCCUCCCAGACAAUGGAAAACUACCACUUAAACUAGACAAAAUAAGGUACAAAUUACACAUAAGUUUCAUGUUUAUGAAUGGCCAUCCUUAAUUUAUUCCAAUGGGGUGGCUGAAGUACAUGGUUCUUCAGAACUCUUGUCCACAUGUUAUACAUUCAAAUAAUGUUCAGCAAUCGGCAUCAUUCAUUUCUCUCACAAACUUAACAACAGAACACAACGAUUGAAAUUUUCGCUUAUUCAAACUUACUUGUGUGGAGGUAAGCUAUGGGUUGAACAUCCCUUUGAAAAAGUUCUCCUUCAUAGCUUUUCUUAGGCUUUUCUCACGAAGCGGCAAGAAAUCACCAUGGAUCGUAAAUUUAACCUACAAAAAUAAAAGAUGGUGACCUUUGUUCCAUACUUCCAUUGAGAACACUGUACAGAUAAUCAGUGAGAUUAUUUUCUAUAUGCCAUUACAUGGUUUUAAUUGCAGCUAAAGGGCAUAUAACGUGCCAACUGCCAAGAGAAUGAAAAUGUGAGAAAACCCAACAACAGUUAUUAAUUGGCAUCAAAAGUUUAUUCUAUAUUCAGAGAGAGGUCAUUGACAUCCUCCUUAGGACCCCUAUAGUAAGAGAUGUAAGAAAAGUGAGCCACAAAGUGCAUGCCAUUGGUUCCUCCGAGUCACAACUCUCAACUCCCAACAUGCUCACCCCAGAAGAGAAGCACUGAAAGGCAUAACAAAUCCAUUCUUAACCUUAGAUCUUCAGUCCCAGACCCCAAUUGUUCUACACUACUUCAAGAGCAGACAGGCAGGCUGUGGGGAUCAAAGAGUGCUGGAAUGCAACAUGUCCCAGCAACGUGCUUUACGCUGUAGGCUGUUGUUAUCUCAGCACAGAAACAGCGAAGUGACUCAUCGCCCCCAUUAAAUGAAGCUACCUGCCAUCCAAUAUAACGCAAUGUGUUGGAAAUCUGCUCCUGAAUAGACAUUCUACAAACAUAAAAAGAGCAACAGACAUUAUAUAUCCUCCAGCUUGUGAUAGCAAACCAAUAGUUGUCCGCAUAUUGUAUCUUUAAUGAUAGUCUUAAAUAAUGAUUCUUUAUCUUCCAUGCAAACAAUCAGCAUAGGCCAAGUAUAUUAUUCCCUACAUAUGUUUAAUAAGUUUUGCCUACAAAGCAAAAUUUUGAAACUUGACUAUAUCUAAUAAACAUAUCCUUAAUAAGACAGAAGUGGAGAUAACUGACACAUGUCAAAAAUAUCACCUUUUUAAUGCCAUAAAAAAACCACUGCAAAAGGUCACUAAGAUUUGUGGUUUUCUCCUUCGAAUCAUCACAAUAAGUUAGAAGGUACAGGUGCAACAAUAUAUGAAGAGAUUCCAGGAAAUCUAGAACUGCGCAUAUGCUUAAAUAUUCCAAGUAACAGGUAAGCUUCUAUUCUGCUAAAGCCAUCUUAAUCUUCCUAAGAUGUUGUCUGGGAUUAAACAACUUACAACAUAAUAUCACGCAGAAAAGAAAAAAUCAACAACAACAAAAAAGAGAGGAACAAAUAACUGCAUGCUCAUAUCGAACUAGCUCAAUAGAACUGAUUCAGAAGGCAAGCGGGUAACGCGCUUGUCUGGUCCAUGACACGCGAGAAAACCACUCAUUUAGCUGGGGAAUGGUAUGUUACUAUUCAUCUCAGUUUGGUGAGUUUCAGAUUCUCCAAAACUGCACGGCAUUCUAUCACGAAGACAACAUAACAUAAAUCACUGAAGCUCCAAACUAACUGUCAACAUCAAACUGUAAAUUUUCAGUUUGAUAAUAGGAUUCAGCGAAAUAAACGAAUUUCGACAUCCCCUAAUUUUGACAUCAUACCCUAGACAAACAAAUUUUGGCAUCCUUCCUGAGUUCCUAUGAGCACAGUAGUCGAAAGAUCACCCUCCAAUUUGUUCACGCCAACCACAAAACAUCUCGAACAACACUUCGUAUCCCCCCCCCCCCCACCCCCCCACCCCACCACCACAAUUCGUAUGCACAGUUCCACGCAUUCCUAAAUCCCAAUUCCCCAUUUCUUGAUUCCGGUCACCAUAGAACUGAUAGCAUUGGAGCUAGGACAGGGAGGCUACCCACCUGCGCGGGGAAGCGGCCGUCGAAGGCGCCGGGGACGAGGUUGGUCCCGCCGUCGGAGUCGGCGCGGUAGGGCCCGUAGAGGAGCUUGACGUCGAAGUCGUAGAGGAAGACCGCCGCGCCGCGGGGAUCCGGGAGACGGCCCCCAGCUUCCCCCUGGGCAGGCCCAGCACCCGGUGGCGGUAGCAGUCGACCUUCGUCCCGCUGCUGCAAACCUCCGCCGCCGCCGCCGGAGGGGACGGGGAGGGGGGCGUGUCGGUCGCCAUGACCGGAUCCCCGACACGAAAAGUCAAGCGGUUGACUUAUGCUCGGCUGAUUGAGUAUUCCCAUUUCCCAGUAGAACAUCCGAUGGAACAAUUGGUAGUUUGGCCCAUGCUAAUCUUAACCCCUAGAGAAAUAGAGAGAUUGUGCUAUAUCUCAGUUUUCAAAUAUUUGAAUUUAUCAACAACUUAUAUCAUUUGAUGAAAUAUGUAAAGUGUGUAGUCAUGGGACGCGAGCGUUAAUUCGAAAGUCUUAUACCUUCAAAGUUAAUAUGGACAUUCUUUUAGAGGUUUUUUAUUAUUUUUGUGUGUUAACAAUCAAUUCAAAAUGCCUUCACUUUUUAGAAUAGGUCCGAGUCAAAUGAUAAUGAUUCAAAGUUUUUUUUUCCAUUAAUCUAAAGAACAUGACCGUGCGAGCAUAUAAGGGUGCGUUUGGUUGCGAGAACGAAGUGGGACGGGACAGGACGAUCCCACUUCGUCCCGCGUUUGGUUGGAGGACAGGUGGGACAGGGACAUCCCUACGAGGGAAUAUACCCUCCAAAUGCGGGAUGCCACCAUCCCACCAAAACGAGCGGACGGGGGCAUCCCACUUCGUCCCCGUCACGCGCCGUCCGUCCGCACCGGUGGAGGGGGCGAGUUUGGGCGAGGGGAGCCGCCGGCGAAGGGGCCGGAGCGGGCGAGCUCCGCCGCGGCCGGCGGGCGGGAGCUCCACCGUGGCCGGCCACGGGCGAGCGCGGCCAGCGGGCGCGGAGGGGCCGGCGCGGGCUCGCGCGGCCGGCUCGGGCGAGCACGGCCGGCGGGCGCGGGCGAGCGCGGCCGCGGCUGGCGUAGGCGAGCAGGGCCGGCGGGCGGGGGCGAGCGCGGCCGCGGCCGGCGGGCGCGGGCGAGCAGGGCCGGCGGGCGCGAGCUCCACCGCGGCCGGCCGGUGGAGGUAUAAGAUACCUGUUAGUAUGACAGGUGGGCCCCACGAACGGUGUUAACAGAAGAAGAAAACGGUGCUCGUCCCGUCUAUAGCGAUCUCUCCAACCAAACAAAAAAUUAGGACGGACCCAUCCCAUUCAACCAAACAAGAAAUGGGAUCAUCUGUAAUAAGUGCCAUUUGAAGUAUUAGAGUGACCAUGAAAAUUUAGAAAGAAAUCCAAAAGAAAAAGAAAGGAAAUUGGCAAAAAUUCCAAAUUCGGCCAAAUUUUGACAGAAAUUUGAAUUUCAAAUUUGAAAUUCAGAAAAAUUUGCCAAAAAUGUGGAAUACAAGUGUAAGGGUGUUUAGGACUAAAGGAUCAAAAAUUUGGAGCUAAGUUGGUGCCAAAGUUCUUCAGAAGAAUCAAAGAAAGAAAAGAAAAACUCAGUUUACUGUUCACCGUCCGAAAAUAGGAAUUCAGAGAAAACAGCCUCAGAGCCCGUUUUCAAAAUUCAUUUCUGGAGAGAAUUUUUCGACUAAGUGCACCAUGACAACUAUACCAUAUUAAAGUGUGAACUUUGGACUACAAUAAUCAUGUGUUGUUGGCCAGGAUCAGUAACAGGAAGGGAGUUAAAUUCUAGCCCAAAGUCAGCACAAAACCACAAAGUUCACUGAAACCCUGAAUUUUUACUAAGUCUGAAAAUCAGCAGUACAUCAACUUGGAGCUCGAAUUUAGAGCUAUUUAGAUCAAAAGAGAUACUUGCUCAUGAGCAAAAUGGAACAUUGGGACAUAGUAGAGCAGGUUUGAGUAGAAGUUGGAUUGGAAAAACAAAGUUUAGGUCACUGAUUUGAGUGCACAAAUGAGAUCGACGCCACUGUCGAUACUGACGAAACUGAAUGGCAGUUCAGUUAAAAGUUGAGGAGAAACCAAGAAACAAUUCCAAAUUCAAGCCAAUUCGAUGUUUAUCUCGAGCCGAAACCAAAAUAAAAGUUAAAGAGCUCAAGUUUAUCUGCCACUUUGAUUAAAGCAUCUGAGCACCGUUGGAUUGAGAAUUAGUCGCGGAGAAGCUCUGAAGAUCACGGGCGGUGACUGAGCAUCAAACGUGUCGCCGCCGCCGUCGUCGGUCGACCGCCAGGGCAACUAGCUAGGCCACCUCCUCACCACGCAAGCCUACGGGUAGGCCACGGUGUCGUCCAUACGAGGGGUUAAACGCUUGAAUGUUUACUGCUCCCGCGCCGCCGUUUCACCAUCUCCUUUUUACCGCCGCCCGCUCUCCUCUGCCUGAGCACCGCCGCCAAGCAAAAAUUCCACCGCCACAUCUCGCCUCCCGUCGAUUCCUCUCGCCCACUCCUCCACAGACACCCCAGCUACACCCCGAGCCAAUCGUUGUCCCACAUCCUUGCCGGGAUAGCCGUGCUCGCCGCCGCUUCUGUCCGCCGCCGUCGCGCCGCCCGCUCACGGUGAGAACCACCUUGCGCUGCUUUUCUUCCUUCUUGUGUAGUUGUAAUCGAGUCCUUAGGGUCCCAGGAUGGAGUAGAAGUAGUCGUUUGAGUCGGUUAAGCUGUUGUCACGAGUAACCACGGCCGGCCGAGGGAGUUGCCGCCUGUCGCCGUGGAGGGGAUGGCUCCGGCCAUCUCCUGGGGAGCUGUCACCGCGCACGGGGUCGUGUACGUCUAGGGUUGGGAUAGCAACCUAGUCCCGCCGUCGGGAGGGCGCCGGCCGGCGAGCUGCGCCGCCCCCUGUCUCGGUCACGCUUUUGGCGGGAGGAAGAAGAAGGAGCUGGGCACCCGGGCCCGCGAGUCAGAGAGAAGAGGGGGGGAGAAGGAGCAGGCCGAGGCGGUGCAGUCGGUGGCUGGGCCGCGACGCGUUGGAGGCCCAAGAGCGCGCGCGCGCGGUUCGGCUGGAAAGAAAAGAAAAGGGGCCGGCGUGGGUUUUGGGCUGGCAUCGCGAAGGCCCAGGGAGCCGCGCGCGAGCGACGUAGGCCGGCGUCGCGAAGAAAAAAGAAGAAAAAGGAAAGAGGCCGUGGGCCGGUGCUGGGCUGCCGAAGGAAAAAGAAAAGGAAUCGGCCCGUGGGGGCCCGUCAGGAGAAGAAGGAGGACCGGCGGGUAGAAAUAAAUAGGAAGGUGGGGUCCGCGCCGUGGGGUCCAGUGAUUCGUGAGAGAGGGUAGCGCGUGGGUGAGUAAGAAAAGUUUUUCCGGGGGAUUUUCGGAAAAAGUUAGAUUUCUUUAGCAAAAUAAUUCGUUUAAAUUCGUUUUAUACCAUUUUAAUCACAGAAAUUUGUAGGAGUGUCCAAAAUUAGUGAAACCAAUUUUGUUAGGCUUGUUUUAUUUUCCUUUAUGCAUUAAAAUUUUUACACCCUAGGAAAAUAAUAAAAAUUUGGGUAUUUAUUUAAUGCCUUCCUUUUAAGGUAAUUAAAUAAAUACUUAAUAUUUAUAAAAUGUAUAAAAACAUGAAUAAUACUUUAUCAAUCACAAAUAACUCUUAACCCAUAGGAAAUUAGAUUUUCAAGUUAGAAAUUAUUUACCACCUUUUCUAAAAAUUAAAGGAAAAGCUAUAGGAAGGGUUAAAUAAGAAAAAUAAAAGUAUAGGAUAAUCUUUUUAGAUUUUUGUGUGUUGGCUUGCAACUUCAUCAUGAUAAGUCGUAUAGUCCUUGUUGGCUUGCAACUUUAUCAUGAAGGAAAGUUGUAUAGUCUGUUAUUUAAAAAAUUUUGCAUUCUAACCCCUGCAUAUAUUGUGCCGUAGAUCCAGAAGCACCGGAAGAGGAUUACUGGGAAUUUUCAGAAGGACCCUUGGAGUCCGACGAAGUGUUUGAAUUUGUUCCCUGUGAAGCAAAUCAGUCGGCUUCCACUAAUCUUUUUAACGAUCAAGGCAAGCCCCGGUGCAUUUAUACCUAUCUAUUUUGGAGUCGUUAUUUCAUGUGACUAGUUAUAGGUUAUUUGUUUAUCGCAUGCACUAAGUCUAGGAGUUGAAUGAAACCUAUGCUUGUGUAUGAUCCUACCUUGAUUUAAGGACAUAUUUGCCACUUGUUCAAGCUUAGAAACUACCCAAGUCUAGAAAUGCUUACUUGCUUACAUGAAUGGUUUACCAACCUUAAGGAAAACUCUUAAGUCAUACAUGUUGCUUAUAAAGGAUAGUCUGGAAUAUGACAACGGACAGAAGCUAGAGAUGUAGUUCUGUCUGCUAGAUUAAUUUGGUUAAGGACCGAUUCGUGUCUUAACCAUUGAUCAAGUGAUAAGCAUCUGAUCACUUACUGGGUAUGGGACCAGUAAAGCCCAGUAGAUUAGUAAAUUCUAUGAUCAGGAAUGCUUCGUACCCGCAUUUGACGUGUUGGAGAUUGGCAGGGAUGUAGCCUGAAACUCACAUGGAGAUCAGGCCAGACAUGGGGUCCCAUGUGGGGGUGCAUCCCUGGGUCCGGGUAGUUGUAUUCCUAAUCAUUGACUUUGCUAAUUGAGAGGUUGUUAGUACGACCUGGACAGUCGUAUAAUGCUGGUGAUCAGGGUAUUCUCCUGCAGGAUGUAAAUUGAUCCGGAUCGCCGCAAUUCUCGGUUAUGAAUGCACUUGAUCACUGUUAAGCUUCGUAGUAUGAACUCAUGCGAUAUAAAAUCUCCUGUUGCCAAGUACUGUAUGAUUUAACAGCUAUGAUUGUUUUACUUCUGUUAUCAUCUAGAAUGGUUAGGUAAUGACUUAACUAAAAUAAAAGAUAAAACUAAGGCCUCACUCGUAGUAAGCUUUUUCGGCAAAAAUCGUGUCAACCAAACACACCCAAAGGCUGACAUGCAUUCCAAGAAAAACUAUUAUAUUGGUUAGUCGGGUAAGACUUGCUGAGUACCCUGUACUCAGGGUUUUCCCCUUGUGGUUAUCUUUCAGAAGCUCCACCGGAAGCUACCGAGGAGGAGACCCCGAAGACCUAGAGUAUUGACCUGAGUCUCACAAUACUCUAGAAAACCGUUUAUCGACGCAUCUUCUCCUGAACUGUUUAUGUUUAAUCUUAGAACUUGUCUAACACUGCAUCACUAAGUUUGCCUCAACUUAUGUCUUGUAAUAACUCGUACCUCUUAAUUAUGUAUGUAAAAAUAUAAUGUUUGUUGAUAUUAUCCCAUCGCAGAUAUUAUCCUGAUGUAUGGUUAUGAGACACGCCGUGGAUCCUUCGAGGAGUCCUAGGGACACUCGACGGACUACCGGACUUACGCUGUUUUAAGUGCGUUUCGGAUAAUUGCUGUUCCGACAGCGAUUAGGCGCACUUAAACCAGCUUAAGUUGGGCGGUUCUGCCACAUCAUCCCAUCCCGAAAAACUGUAACGGGACCGUCCCGUUCUACAUUGUCUCCCAACCAAACGCACCCUAAGUGCACAUGGCACAACAUUCACAUAUGCCUUACAAGUUAGGUGGUUAAACUUAUACGUGAUAGAUGCACAUGCCACUUUUAAACUAGUUUAGCUGCACUUACGAGCACUCAAUACAAAUGGCAUGGCAUGAACCCAUGCAUGGACUAUUGUGUUGGGUUGAGAAAACUUACCACAUAAUUUGCACCUGUCACAUUUGCCAUUCUAAUAUCCUGCGCAGGUUAGUAUAUUUAGGGUGUAUUUGGUUGGGCUGUGGCUUUUAGAAAAGCUGUUGUAAGCUGUGGGCUGUUGGAAAGCAGCUAUAGGAAAAGCAGAAGACCGUUUGGUUAGAGCAGCUGUGAAACUGUACGCAGUGUAAGAAAUACCUGUAAUGUCCUUAAAGGUCUGUGGGUGUGUUUAUAUGCAAAUUUCUCGUAAUAAAAUAAUGUAUUCACUAAUUUGCAUGUAAAUGACUAUUUUAGAAAGAAAAAAAAAUUUAUAUGUUCUUCAUCCAUUAAAGUGAUUGGUCCACGUAAAUAGAACAAUAUCCAUAAAAAAUUUUAUACAAUGAUGCCAUCUGUCCUCCUCUAGCACUAACCAAAGCGUCAGUUAUCCUAGUACGAAUGGUAUUCAUGGUAUUCUCAUUCUCCACAUCAUCACUCUCAUCUCCUUGUGUUUAUCUCGUGCUACUUGUAUAUUGUAUCAAGUACUCCUCAUCAUCGUCACAUCUCUUGAACUCCUUAUCACACAAAUUGCUGCCACGGAUAAAAUUAUGCAAUGCAAGACAAGCCAUAAUGAUAUGCUUCUGAGUACGAGGUGAGAAACUUGGCAUGCCCUUCAAAAUACGUCACUUCUGCUUUAAGACUCCAAAAAACCUUUCAAUGACAUUACGUAGAGAUGAAUGCAAGAAAUUGAACAUCUUGUACUUUCCUUGAGGAGGCCCUUAUACCGAAGUUCUGGUAUAUGGUACGUGCUUCCUUUGAAAGACGCAAGAUACCCAAUUCGAUUUUGGGUAACCCGAAUCUACAAGAUAAUACUUUCCUACAAAACUAAGUUAGUAAGGUACAUAAUAAUACAAGUAUUGCCAAUGCUAGAAUAAUACCAUGUAUACCUUUAGGAGGCACUGGAAUGAAGAAAAAUUUGCCAAUGCAUGAUUGAGGAUACCUGUGUCAUGUGCAAAACCCGAGCACCUGGCAACCGCAAAGGUGAACCUCAUGUCAAAGUCACAAAUAGCUAGAACAUUCUGAGAUGUAUAUCCAUGACGGCAUGUGUGGUUAACCACUUCGUCCACUGGCACUACCACCUUAACAUGUGAACCAUCUAUUGCUCCAAUUGCGCCUUUAAAGUAUGGCCAAAAAUGGUCCUGUCUCACCCUUUCAUGCUUCGUAGAAAAGGUAUGAUCUCUCAGCUUAAUGUUGUCCUUAGCUAACUUGCACAAACACUUCAACACUUCGUGAAACUUCAUGUGAACUGUCCAACAUGACCAUGUGAAACGAUUUUCAGCUUGUGAAAAAGAUUGUGGUCCUCCGACGAUCCACAAGAACACUGCCAAUGAUUCAAUAGAUGAAACAUUGUUGCUUGAGGUCAAUCCGUAGGUAGAGACUAGCAAGUCAUGAAGUUUCUCGAAAAUCUCGGUGCUCACCCGAAACAUCUUAUAAAAAUACCUCGGACGUGACAUACACCUCAUCACCCAUUGAAUUCCAGUUUCAGAUGUUUCCCUAUAUUGAGCUUUGUGCAAAUACCGCUCAGUAUACAAGUUGCCCAUUUCUCCAAUAGCACCAGCAUGCUGUACAGGUUCAGCUAGCAGUAGUAGUCCUUUUUAUCCUCCUUUGGCUACAUCUCCCAAUCCAUCAUCCAUCUACAUGAGACACUAGUAUAUUAACAAUUAAAUACAACAACUUUCUUGACAAUACUAAAUGAGCUCAACAUAACACGAUAAUAGAUAAAUAAUGUUUCACAUCUCUAAGCAAAUUAUGGUUUAACAUAGGGUAGCAAAUUAUGGUUUAACAUAAGGAAAAUGUUGUCACAUAUGAUAAGAAAAUAAUUUGAUGAACAUGAAAACAAAUUAGUGGCGCUUCAUCAUCUCCUUUUCCAGCUCCCUCUCAAUCAAAUCGAGUCUUCCUUUAGUUGUUUCUAGAGAGCUAAAGAGCUCCCUAAAUUUAGGCUUAACAAUUAGAGAGGUGGCUGUGUACAUUAGAGCAGUUCCUUCUUGCACCCCACAUUUUUUCACCAUCUUCAUAAUCUCUACAAUGGUAGGAACUAAGUUGGUUGGAGGAGCUAAUGAUGCUUCAACACUUGUGGAGAUCCUCUCUGUAGCAUUUUCUAUCUUCAAACAAGUGUUCUUAUACAAACAAAAGAAUGGGCUCUUCUCAUCCUUCUUUUCAACACCAAUGGAGAUACCCUUGCAUUUCCUUUUUCCUAGGUUCACUGUCAUAUCCUUCUAUGUAGGUUUUGGUACCUCAUUGUAUCCUCAUCACUUGCCUUAUCGGAGGAUAUAUCUCUAGGACAGGAUGCAGAAGACCCACUGAUAUAUGCCGUGCCAAACAAGAUAUGCAGGUCAUCAAGGAACUUGGGUCCUUAUUUUUGAAACUUCACAUGCUGGCAUUUGAUUCCUUUGUCACGAUUGUUGCAUCUCUAAAAUUAAAAUUUUUUUAGCAAGGCACAACAUAACAAAGAAUGGGAAGAAUAUAUUUACAAUGACAAUGUAGUUCUUAUGGCAAGGUGUUCGUCCCACCAUUCUUCUGAGCAAUCAACAACUUGUUUUGCCUCAUCCCAUCCAAGACCAGUGGCACAAUUCUUCAACUCCAUAAAUGUUGAAUACUCCUUUUUCAGAAGAUCUAACUUGUUCUUCAAUUAUUUUUUUUGUUCUCCUGUCACCAGAUUUUUCUGCAAAUUUGGAAACAACAUUCUUCCAACCGAUAGUAGUGAAAAUUCCCAUCGGCCUAUUCCUAGCUUCAAUCUCUUCUUUACAUGCAUCAAUCAAAUACCUUAAAAAAGCAUCACCCCAAUCUUCCUUGUCACCCAUUCUUCAACCAACCAAAAAUAAAUCAUAAGAACUACAACCAAAGUGCUAUAUAACGCAUUCCCAAGAAACCCCUCUAUGUAUGAUCUAAACAAUAACUCUAAUAAGCUAAAACAUAAAUCUCAAAAAUAUCAAGGUAGGAACUAAAUUUUUGGUAAGGGUACCUCUCGGAGAUCGAGGAUGUACGGUCGCAAGACAGUGAGAGUAGGUCUUGUCCAACUCCAACCAGGAGAAUCUACAAAGUAGCCACAAUGUAUUCAGAUUAGAAUUCACAUGAGGAUCCAGAAAGGGUUAGCAAACCUCACUGGAUGGCUGGCUGCCCCUGGUUCUAGCAAACCGCCAUUGUUUUUUUGGCAACACUAGAGUACUUGACUAUUAUCUAGGAGUAAACAUCGAGAUUGCACAGAUCAAGUAAUGAUGGCUUCUAUUGUAUCUGAACAAAAAAGAACAGUUCCCAGACAGCAAAUAGAGCACCUGAGAUUACAAGUUGUUCUUUUCAAACAUCAAUUCCAGAAAAAAUAUAUAAGCACUGUAAUCAUUCUGCAGAACGGCAGAUUUAUCUAUGAGUAAACAUCCAUCUAAUUUCUCGUAGUUUUGUGCCUGUAUGAUUCUAGUAUGAAAUGCACUGCAUGAAAUUGAAGGGGGAAAAGGGAAAUAGCAAAGGAAUAGGAUGAGGAACAAAUCAGAAAAUGGAGGAAUCAAACCUCUGGUGGUCGCCCAGGGGCGGCGGCCGGCAAGACGGCGACCUGGGGCGUUGAGCGGCGGGGUGAGAUGUCCGUAGGCUGGCGGGGUGCGACGGGCAGCGGUGUCUAGAGGCGGCGGGUGGCGGUCGUCCAGGGACGGCGGGCAGCGGGCGUCGGGGGGAGGCUGUCCAGGGGCGGCGGAUGGAGGGCUAGUGGCUGGAGGUGGCAUGCCACCGGGGGCAGCGGGCGGAGGUAGUCCUGUGGGAGACGGACGGUUCCGUGGGGAGGAGGCGAUGCGGGAGAGUAGAACGCGAUGAGAAAUAGAAACGAAGCGGUACGUUUCAUAACUGGUGGCAAGGUGGGUAAUUAUUUACCCCAAAAGUACUUUGAAAGCAGGGGGAGGUGCUUUUGGUUUUGUACUAGACCAAAAUCAGCUUUUAGGCAAAAGCACAUGUGGCUUUUUGGCCCUUUGGUUGGCUUUUGGCUUUUGCAAAAGCAAAAGCUGGUCCAAAAGCCCAACCAAAGGCACCCUUAGAUUUGGCUACAUAUUCGUAGUUUGUCUCGGUAUCACUUUUACCUUGUUGAAUGGGUAAUACAUAGAGACUUGGUGCAUCUCAUUACCUACGCAAAAAUUCAGAGUGAGAAAGUUGGUGGUCAUGUUCCCAUUAUGAUUUUAAUCAGAGUUCCAACCGUCCAUUUAGGUAUUAAAGAUCCUAUUACCGUCAAAUCCUCAAAUGUGCAUUGAAUCCUCGUUUGACCAAUAGGAAAAAUUGUAGCAUCACACUCGAACGUUUUGUGGAUGGCUUUUGUGGGGACCCCCUCGGACGUCCACAUUUAAGCAAUACAGUGCUGUGCUCUAGAUCAAUAUCUGGCACCAGCGUAUAUUGAAAUGAUUAUCAGAGUAACAAGAGGAGGAAAUAGGAGGAAUUAUGUCCGUGUUAUCUUCACCUUUAGGGAAUAAUCAAGCAACAAUCAAUGCGCAGCGGAAAGACGAAAGCUGACUCCCUAGGCAACUUGGCAAAACAAGCAAGAUUGAGUACUUUUGCCAGAAGUACUCAGCAAGUAUCUUAACGUAGAAAAGUUAAUGACAUGUAUGGUAAAUCAAGGGAAACUAGGUUUAUAUGCAGAAAAUUAUUUGUAUGCAAAGUGUAACACCAUUUGGGGUUUAAAAAGAGGUAGUUAUUAUUAUUAUAAUAAUGUUGUUUUGGCCCUAGAGGGGGAAACAAGCCUCCCCUAUAUGUUCCCAUAUUUUAAAGGCAGCGACCGUCAGGAUCCUGCUCUUCUCAAAAGCAUGGGCAUCUGCCCCCAAUUCUCUACUUCAUACAAAAGGGUGUGACUAAUCAAAGAGAGUUUUGACCAUGUGAGUUCAUGACCAAGAACCUCGGCUAUUUGAAUAGAUUAAUUAACUCUGCAGAGCCUCUACACUUUACCCAUACAAUCGGGUAGCCCAUACCAAGGUCUUUGGCAGUACUACCCUACGAGGCCCAUACCCACCAGCAACCAUCUUUGGACAACGUCCUCUAGCUCCAUCCACGGAUAACACUGGGGCCUACGCAUGGGCCAUUUCAUGUCCACUCAGGGACACUAACUCGAGAAAAUAGAUGCAUCAUAAUGUGGCAUACAAUGCCACCAGGCCCUAUGGACCUCAACCAAUGACCCGUGUUGGCCGGACCUAGGACUCUGCGAAGGUCCUGCUCUAGUCUAUCCGUUGCCCGCCGUGGCCCCUUGGGAUGAUUUACUAGAUUCUGUAGUGGGGUGUGAAUCAAGUCCUCACAUAAGUAGGCACUCUUGAAGGUUGUACCUUUUUAGCUCGUAUGGUUGCACAUAUACACUGGAAAGACUUUCUUAGUGAGCCAAUCCUUAAAUGACCGGGGUAACGCUGGAUAGGGGCUCCUUGUGAGGUUACCCAACUUACCUUGCGUCCUCCUUAGUUGGUUACUAGUCAAGUUUUAUAGUUCAUUUCCUUUGCCACAACUCAUACCUAAAGGAUUAAAUUGGCAAAUAGAAAAUAUAUGAGAUCUAUUAGGCCUUAGAUAUAAGGCCAUUCCUAGGGUUUUAAGCAAGGAUGAGGAGUAAGGGCUUGCUUAUAGGAAUAUGCUUAACCUUAUAUUUAGGGGGCUUAUGGAAUAUGCAAUAUCACAUUAUUAUCUUGGUUAAUUUUAGUAUUGCAAAAUAUAGCAUGAACAAGGGGUUGGUGUUAACACUUGCCUUGCUUGUCGAGCGGUGAAACCGAAUCCUUAUAUGGAUGACUAUCUCUGAGGUGGAGCGCGAACUUCUCAAGGAGAGAUUAAGUUACUAAUAAACAAAAGAAUAAACAUGCAAUCAAUCACCAAUCGAAAUACUUCAAAGCUCAUGGGAGAGAAUUUUAAGGAAAGAUUCUGGAGGGGGUUGGGUUAUCGAAUAAGACUAAUAUGGCUUUUCCUAAGUUUUCGGCGAUCUCCUAUAUUUCAAGUGAUGUCCCUUAUAUCUUAUGUGAGCUUCUAGGUGUAGGUUCCGGGGUUAGGAGAUAACUCGAUGGUGGUCUUUGUGUUAUAGGGUUUUAGUGAUUAUUUGGGAAUUUUAGUAUGAUUUCUAGUAUAAAGAGAAUAGGGUUAUUUAGGUGGCUCUUUAGUUUUGGGGGUUUGGAACAUGAGUUUGGGAAGGUGAACUCAUGAAUGUGUCUAGAAUAUAUUCUAGUAUUUUUAGGAAUUUAUUGAAUAUUUUUGGGGCUAAGAAAUGCAAAAGGGAGAAUUCGGGGUACACUUAUGGGGCUUUUCUAUUGGCUGAAAAUGGUUUUAUUUAGUUUUGGACCUUAAAGAUGUGUAAAAGGAGAUUGGGUGGUUCUAAUGUGUUUGGGAACCUAAAAUUUUUGGAAAUUUUGGUAGAAUUUUUGGAUAAUUGGAAGUGGGUGAAAUAACAUUUGAGGUACUCUCAAUCGUGUGUACCUAGCAUAUUCGUGUAGUUUGUGAGACCGACAGGUGGGGCCGGGUCAGCAGGUCAGCGAGGCUGUGACGGAGGCGGCUGUGCUAUGGACCUGGUUCGUGGUCCUGUGGACCGGGGUGAACGGAUGAGAGUGGUCCACUAGACUAGGUGUAUGGAAGGGUAGGGGGUGACGCGGUGCUUAUGGGGCAGUGUGCGUGGCGUGUGUGUGUGACACUAGUGCGUGGGGUCGGGGCUGACAUGGACACCACCUAGGUGCCACGUGGGAGCGCCACCCAACAUGGGCACUAGUGUGCGGCGAUGCAAGUAGAGGAGCUCGCCGGAGCUUUUGCCGCCGGUCGCUAUAGGGCGGGGCUCGGGACAUGGAGUGGCCCUACGGCCCAAGGUGUCAUGGCGGUGAGGAUAGGCUAGGUCUCAUCAUGGUUUAGAGGUUGGGGUGGUCGGGACGGCUCACCGGAGUGGUGGCGGUGGUGCGGCCAAGAAGGUAAAUUGGCCUGGGUGGUUAGGCUAGCCGGGAGGUGGCCGGAGCGGCACCGGUGGCUUGCUGGAAUCGAGCGGCGCUACGCUCUUGCGGGGAGGGGCGGCUGGAGAGGGGGCCGGAGCUUGAGCGGGAAUUUUGGCAGCAUAACAGGGUUACCUGCGGUGCCACUAUGGGCAGCGCGACGGCUGGAGCAAGGCGACGGCAUGCGGCGGCUGUGGGGUUGAGCGGCGAUAGCAGGUCAGCGCGGAGCGGCCAGCAAAGCGGCGUUGUGGCGCGGGAAAGAAGGCUAAAGACGUCGCGGCGACCUCGACUUCGACCCGUUCCAGCUCUAGAGGAUAGAGUGUAGCGGCGGGUGGAGGCGGCGAGCUUGGGUUCCUACUCCGGCAAGGGAAGGGAGGCGACUCGUGGUGGUGUGAGGUGGGAAGGUGCCCCGGUGCGGCUCGGGCCAUCGGAUAAGCUCGCCGGCCAUUAAUGGCAUGCGAGUGAGCAGUGCGCCGGUAGGGCCUCUAGCGUGGGUGUGCAGGGGAGCAAGGGAGGCGUUCCGGGCGUGGUUGAGGAGCCAGGGUGACAUGUCAUGAUGAGGCGGCUCCAGAGCGCUGCUCGGAGCAGUGAAUAGCGGACGGGGUGAGGAGAUCAGGGCGACGGUCGUCGCGGCCACGCCGUGACGUCGCGCAUGCAGGCGCGAGCGGCCAAGGUUGUGAGGAAGGGAAGGAGGAUUCUGACAGAGGGAGUGGGCGAGGCGUGGCCGUGGCAGUACGACGCGCUCAUCACGGUACAGGGAGGUGGCCAGGGGAGGCCGAUCCGGUGGGGUCGGGUUCACCGGCGAGGGGGGAUGGAUGGACGAGUGCGUUAGGGGGAGGGAGGAUGACGACAUUGGCGUUGCGGGCUGGCUGGGCCGGCUGGGCCGAGCGGCCUACUAGGCCAUGCGGGAGGGUGGAGGUGAUGGUGGGAGGAGCGUGCCUGGUUUGGUCGGGCUGGGAGAAAGAAAGGGAGUUGGUGGCCCAUUUAGGAAUAGGAGGGUUUAGUUAUUUAUUUUGAAAGGUUUUAGAUUUAGUUUGAAUUCAAAUUUGAGGAUUGUUUUAAGAGCUUUGAAUCACAACUAAGACUCUAGAGCACACAAUGCUUAAAUGUGGGCAUAUGUUGAAAUAAAUUCUAAUUAUUAGGGGAAAAGAAGAAAAUUUUAACAAGUCCUCAUUUGUUAAUGUUUUAAAUUUUUGGGAUGUUAUAGCUUUUAAGAAAAAUCCACGUGUAGUGAUCAUAUAUCUUAAACGGCUCUUGCAUAGAAAACUCGUGUAUGCUCGGAUUUUGACCCUACAUUUUAGUUUAGAGUAAAUUGCACACACUAUACAACUACUUGUAUGGUUGUAUAACUUUUGUCCAAGAAGUAGACAAAUUGUAUAUCGCUUUCGUUACCUCCAAAUGAUGUACAUAUUUGAAAAAUUUGUGUAUCUAUUAUUUGUACAUUUUGGUACUUGUUGGACUAAAGUGAUACAACAUAUGGUGCGUGCAUUUUACUCAUUAGUUUAGGUGGUCGGGACUAAAACACAAGGUAGUGUCCCGUUGAUAUUGAUAUUUUUUCGCUGUAGUCUAACUUGAGCCAAGGCAAGCAAGGUCCAUUUCAUAAUGCGCUCCACUACAAAUUAAAAUCUCCUAGAAUUUACCUUACCCUGACAAAUGAAGCAUUUUUUUUCCUUUUUCUUUCUUCAUUUCCUUUUAAGAAUGAAUCAAUUCUCCGUUUCUUCGUGUAAGUUAAAUGCAAGAAACGUGAAUUUCUUGAGUUUGUAAAUCAUGUGAAGCAACACAGCGACGGACUAGAGACGUAUGGGCUGCUGCCACGCAUACAUAGAUUUCCACGGAUGCAUGAGAGCUAGCUCAAUUUUGGGCUAAAUUAGUUUGCUAAGAGCAACUCCAAGAGUAUAUAAAAAAUUCUUCCCCAAAAUAAGAUAUUGGGAGCUGUGCUAAAAAAUUCCUCCCUAAAAAAUGUACCAGCCUACAGCAGAAUGCUAAAAAGCUAGCCUCCUAAUAUUUCAAAUCAGUCCACGUCAUCGUAUUGGACCCAUUUUAGAAUUCGUUUUUUCCCUUUAAAAAGGAUCACGCCGCCGGCUGGAAACCUCCUGUCGCCGCUGUUGAUUUCCUCACGCCAUCGAGUAAAUUUGGUCCUCUCGCACCAUCGCAACAUCAUCCAGACCCUAUAGCUUGCUGCUAGCUAUUCUUUUGUUGUUUACUAAGUUUAAAGGACGGUGUUCAGAGGAUAUAUCAGAUUCAGUAGCACUGUCAAUAACCUUCCAAAGACACAUAACAAUGUCACAAAGAGCGCCAACGCUGUCAGUUGUCCUCUUUGACUGCAGGAUAGCUCCAUUAUCUUCUUGUUCUGAGUUAAGGAAAGCUAGCAGGUUCUUGUACUCGAGAAGAUUAUCCUACAAAACAGCAAGAUUUGACAAGGAAUUAUUUGUGCAGUAGUACAGAAGCAAAGUAACAGUUUGGAGUUGACGAAAGGUACCUUCUACAAAUUUGUGCCACCGCCCGGUCCAUUGAGGCUAUGCAAUUGGCCAUCAGAUGAGCCAAGGAUAAGAUUUCAAUCAUAAUUCAUAGGUGCCAACUGAUGACGUAUUGAUUCAGUUAAUUCAAUUUGUAGAUGUCAGAAGCCAAGCUCUAAUUGCCAAUUAGCAAUUAUAAACUUUCCACAAUCCAACCUCAAUUAGGAAAAACAAGUUUGCGAGUCUAACCGAGAGCCUUUAACAGACCUGAGCUGCUAUUGAAGUAGGCGACGAGGAGAAUGACACCCUGCAGACCUGAACAGCUAAACCGUCAGCGUCAAAGGAGAGGGGAAUACCAGGACGACGAGGGCAAUGGUGAGCACAGGUGGCGCGCGCGACUUGGGGUGGAGCAGGCCAUCGACGGACGGCAGGCCCUCGUCUGCCACCUGCCGGCUCAGGUUCAGAGACCUCCUAGACAUCCUCUUGCCCUCCCUCCCGAAUCCGGCCAGCCAUAGAAGCGCGUCAGCCGCAGAUCGGAAUCCCCUAUGGCGCAAGGAGGCGGAGGUACCUCUGUCAAUGGCACCGGUCACCGGGAGAGGAGAUCUGCGUCCCGGCCUGCCACCGCAUAGCGCUCACCGGUCGCCGGGAGAGGAGAGCCGGCGCCGGGAGAGGAGGCCGUGCCGCCUGUCGCCGGGAGAGAGCUGCCGCCGGGAGAGAGCGCGCCAAAAAAAAUAGCACGGGAAGGGGGCGCGGGAACGGAGUUCGGGAGGAUUGGGGGAACACCGCGCGUCGCUAAAAUAUGCGGGGUGGUGGGGUGUUUUUUCGCGUCGCUAAUCUUUUGGGGUAGUUUUGGGUGGACUGUUGGAGUUCAUUUUUUCUCUUUUUUUCCCAAAAGAAGAUAUUAGGAAUAAAAUUAGCAGCCUCUUGAGUUGCUCUAAGUUCCUAUCUCCUCUCUUUAUAACGAAACCAGCACCAUGCGCUCAGGCAUAUUAUUAGGCCAAGUUAUCCUGAUUUUUACUACCGUCGGAUCCCGGGCAAAGUUUCAUCCGUCCGUCAUUCUGGAGCUUCUAGCGAUAUGUUCACGACUCUUCGCGAGGGCUCUCCGUUUCCGGUGGCUCGUCCCGCGCCCUAGGCGCUCUUCACCAACCCUCUCGCCUCCUAUACGUCGCCGGCGCUGAUCAAGGGCCCGCCCUGCCACCGCCUUGCGAUCUCUCUCCGGCGUCAACGCUGCGUCCCUGGAGCAGCAAGCCAGCAGUUGACAUCUCUUCCGACAUCCUUUGCACCAAUUGCCGCAUAAGCAGUUGGCCCGAAAUUCCUGCACCUCAACAUCCAAUUCGAGCCCACCAGACAUCCCCGAUCCUCUCGCAUCUUCCAUACCCUCUGCUCUCCCUUUUUCAAUCUAACAAAAUAGUAGCACCAAAUCCAUCACCUGAUCUCUGUUCAUCAUCAUCCAUCGCAAACUCCACUGCGACCGGUCCAUGCCAGCCACUCCCUUCCUCUCUGUGCCACCAAAUCCAAGCCAUGAGCUCACAGGUGAUGCUGGAGUCUGUUUCUUUGCGUAUGCCUUUGAUGCUUAGUGCUUUGAACAUGUUUGUGCACUUCAGAGUUAUGGCAACUUCACCCGCGUGUAGUCAUCCAGCAAGGCAUUCAGUAUUCCAGAGUUAUGGCAACUUCACCCGCGUGUAGUCAUCCAGCAAGGCAUUCAGUAUUAUGCCAAUUUCAGUGUAGUACUUCUAACAAAAGUCAUGUGACCAAUGAACUGUUAUAAAUUUACAUACAUUAUCUAUGUGAUGAGUACAUGCACCUAAGAACUCAAGAUCGAUGCUUCCCCAUUUGUUCUGUACCUACGCAAAUCAAGUAUAACAUAGGAUGGCCAGGUGCAAAGAUUGAGACAUCAGUACUUUGUUUGAAAAGAGAUCGAGGUAUUGGAAUGUGAGGUAUACUUUUACCUCAUCAGACAAUGGUCCACCUUUUUACCGGGCUGACAAAGUCCCAAACAUGUAAUAUUUUACACCUCAGUAUUAUUUUUUCUAAUCAUUCUAAAAUUUCUCUAUUCAUAUAACGUACUUUACCUUUUGAAAUCGUCCGGUUAUAAUAACAACUAAGGUUCAUAAUGGAAAACAAUGAUGUAGUGGUCUUAAGUAAUGAUUAAUGAAUUAUACUGUUCUUUCUAAGUUUAUUUAAACUAUACUCUUAAGCACAUAAGACUUAGAAUCUGGAUUAACUUUGCUUUUAAGAAGAUAAUUCUAAAACCUAUCAAUAUGUUCUGCUUGAGAACUUUCAGAGAACAAAGGAGGGAUCUCAAAAGCUGACCGCUAUCAUUCUUACCGAGCUGCUGGUACUUAACUACCAACAGACACUAUAAAGGUAUGAAAUUGAAUAUAUAUAUAUAUAUAUCUUGUUAUCGAUAUAUAUGAGAAAGAGCUUUUGCAAAUGUAAUGAUAUGCGAAUGUAAAAUUUGCCAUGUUAAAUGGGAUUAUGAUGCCAAAUUUUAAAUAUUGUGUCAGAACUUCCCUUUGAACCUUAGAUUUCAGUACACAAUAUUAUCUGUAUGUUCCAAAUAAGACUUAUAGAGUUGCCCAAAUUCUUUACAAAAAUUCUAUUGCAUGUUCGGCUUCUAAAUCAAACUCUCCCAUCCUUCAGUGUUCAGACAUGCAUGCACCCCAGAAUCUCCUAUGCUAUGAUAGUACAAUAUAACUUUAGACUAUACCAAAAAAAAUAAGCUACAUAGAUCACUGUUCAGGAAUCUCUAACCUCACAGUGCAUCAGAGCUGUGAAUCUACGAACAAAUCAGCCUUAUUUCGUUAAAGCUCCUCCUAGAGCUAUUUAAAUUGCCAGUGCCAACAUGGACACCGAGCGUUGCGGUAGCUGGAGGAAGAUCAAUUCGAGAACAUUACAUAUAAAGGUUUUUACCUACUUAUCAUCAUACUAAAAAGGUUUUUACCUACUUAUCAUCAUACUAAAAAGGGAGGGUAAAUAUUUGUACGAUGUUACGUAUACAUACCACAUAAACUGAAUAUAUACCGGGCCAACCCACUCUACAGCGUGGCAAAGCCGUGCCGGUAUUUCUAGUACCUUUCGUAUUAUACUACAUUUCACGGCCCAUUACAACCAAUUACUAAAGGGCCUGUCAUCUAGGCACAAAUUUAAUGGACAAAUCUAUGGAAUUUCCACAAUUGGAUCCUAAAUCAACGGUUGAGAUCAAUUUAUACUUCAUAUAUAGAAGAAACCAAACCUAAUUCCCUUCCCGGUCCUAUUCCCCGCUGCAACCCCUCACUUUCAUCCCCACUCGCACGGCGUCUCCCCACUCCCUUGUCAGCAUCGUCCUUGGCGACGGCGCGACUCAGGUCAGAUCUCCCGCCGCCCUCCUUCCACCGUUCACCUCCAUCCUCACCUCUCCACCCACAUACCCCUUCCUCGUCACUGUCCUCACGCCACCCCAUACAACUGCUUUUGCACGCGAUUUGUCCAAAGUACGGUGGUCUUGUCACAUAUCUUCCCGACCGCCAUCCUCCACCAUCGCGGCCGGGCGAGCCAUCUCGUCGAGAAGCCCACCGCCUACCUUCACCGCUGACCUCGGCCACCAAAUCAACCUCCCAUAUUCAAAACCCCACGACACUAAUCGCUAAUCAGAAUUCCAACCCUAAGGUAGCUAGAGAAGAAGAGAAGAAGGUGCAGCUGAAGAAGCUGACGUGCUCGCCGGAGAAGAGGGACGCAACUCUCCAAGGCAAGAUCCAAUGGUACGAAAAUUCGAUUUAUUUUGUUUCAGCAAAAAAAAUUCGAUUUAUUUCUACCACUAAUCUAUCUGACACAUAUCUAGCAAAACUCAUUGGUAAUUUUCAUUUUUCUUGACAGAAUACGCUUCGGUCAGCCGUCCGUGUUCAGGGCUUCCGACGAGCAAAGUAGUUCCUCCGGAGUCCGAGUCUCGCCUCUCGAGUCCGAACCCGACCAAGAGCCUCGCAAAAGCCGCGACCCUUCCGUCUUUGCCAUACAAAACUGCCCGUGCCUCUCGAUCGACCUACCUCUGCAUCGACCCAUCACCUCUCUCUCUCUCGGAGUCUCGGAGGCCAUGGAGGAGGAGCACGUGGAUCCGCAAGAUGGCGGCAAGACGACGGUGUCAGUGGAGGAGGAGGAUCCCGAGAUGGCCGGGCCGCCGUUGGGCCGCGUGUUCGACCCCGUCCCCGUCCCGUUCGACGAUCGCCACGUCGUCUUUGGCCUGCCGGCGUUUUUCGACCCGCCGGAGGAGGACUCGGUUAUUAUUCCAGCAGGCGACGAAGAGGAGGAGCUCGCUGACGUCGUGCACGACGAGGAGGACAUGGAGGGUUACGACAUGGAUGACGGCGGCGGCAGCAGCGACAGUGAAAUGGAAGGGAACGACGACGAGCCGGUGAGGUUCUGGGACGGCGAAGCGGCCGGGAGCAACAACGAUUUGGUGACCCGGGAGCUGACCUUCCUCGGCCAGCCGGCGCUGUUCGCCUCCUACCAGGGCACGGCCGGCUUCAUGCGCGUCGCCGCCUUAGAGGCGGCGCCGCCGGCUCCAGGCGAGGAAGCCGGCGGCGGGGUGAUCGCCGUGCACUACCGCUACUACCGCUUCUCGAGGCCCCGUGGCAGGGGGCACGGCGUCGAUGCGCCCAACUACGGAACGGACCUGCACCACGUCCGGUACGUCGUCCCGUUCGCCGCCGACCCAGCGAGCUCGCUGCGCCUCGUCGGCGCGUCGCUGGCCGCCGACGUCUACCCCUACCGCUCCAACGCGCAGCUCCAGGCGCUGUGGUCGGGCAUGGUCGCGGCGGCGCCGGUGCGCGUCCCGCCGCUGGCCAACGAGCUCGUGAUCACCGUCGACGUGGGCGUGCUCCGGAGCGAGGACCGCACGCCAGAGCACAUGGAGUGCAUGCGCUCGGUGCUCGAGGAGAAAGCGCGCGAGGUCGACGCCUCGCCGCCGACGGACUACGGCCAGGAGCAGCUCCUGCCGGCGCCGGUGCGCUGCGACGACGGCGAGCCGGGCGGGGCCGUCGCUCGGCCGGCGAAGCGGGGGAGGUUCGGCGACGUCGCGGGGGAGGAGGUGUGCGCCAUCUGUCAGGAGGUCCUCGAGGAGCGCGGCCUUGCGGCGUGGCCCCGGUGCGCGCACGUCUUCCAUGGCAAGUGCUUGGAGCAGCUCCUCGCCACGGUGCGGCAUCGCUGCCCUAUGUGCAGGAGGACACUGUCAAUCAAAGGCAUGUUUGAUUGAUUGAUUCCUUUGGCGAAUGGCGAUGGAUGAUUUUUGAAGAAGAUCAAGAUGGGGGCGCUGAAGCUAAACAUCAUAUCAGCACUGUGAUCUGAUCCCCCUGGCCUUCUCAGGAUGUAUUUGCGGCCAAGACCUGCAUUCUUCAAUUGGUGCAGUCGCUGUUGUUUUCAUCUGCUUUGGCUUAAUGGCUUAGUCCUUUUCGUAGUCGUAGUUGUUAUCUUGUACUCUUGUCUGUGUAAUGCUAUGAUUUGCCGCAAAUGUGAUUCAGCUAAUGUUACUCUUGCAAACUGCUAUCUGGGUGUGUCAUUGACUAUGGACGCACACCAAUACAAAUAGGGAUGUCUUCUUGAGACACAUGUGGCUAUGUAAUCAAGUUAAAAUAGGGCAUGUGAAAAAAUGUAUCUCCAUUUUAGGUAUAGAAUAUGUGGACGAUGUCCCUUUUAUGUUGUGACAUUAAAACUUGCGAUCUCCUGUGACGAACUGAUUAUUAAAUUGAUACAGGAUGUAUUCUUAAAGUUGAUUUGUUUCAUAGAAGAAUUUGGAAAUUUGAGUUUUGGUUCAUCUCAAUUCUCAAGAUAUAUAUGACAGGGUGUGCCCUUGAGAGCAUGAUUUUGUCAAGAUUGGCUGCUUGUUCAUCUGUGAACUGAUACAACUACUGGAGAAGUUGUGGUUAGGAGGGAGCAUAGGAGGUUCCAUGUCCUUCGCCCUUUUUGCUGGUGAGUUCUCCCACCAUGUGAACAUCCGCAGGAAUAGAAUGCCUUCAUAAUUCACUCACUCUCAUUCCUGACUUAUUAACUAAAUUGUGCUGACUGUUUCCUCUGUUUUGUGCUGUAUGGUUCAAAAUAUUGCAUUUUACUGUUCUGUGAAUCGUGAUUUGUUUGUUAUGCACUUCAGUGGUGCUGUUGCUGUUGUGCUACUUUAUCCCAAAUUUUACCGAUGUUUCUUGAACCGGUCAGCUUGAUCCAACUUGAAGUAGAGGUCGGAUUGCGACCUCGUGGAGUUUUUUCAUGUCCGGGACAGAGCGGAGAUCGCCGCGCUGCCGAUUUUGCCGACUUUCUCGACGAUGUCGUCCAGAACCUCGGAACGGGUCGCACGACCAGGAAGUUGGCCUUCUAUCGUGGCUGGCGAAGGUCCGAGUUGUCAGGACCGUUAGCGAUGCAGAUCCAGUAGCCAAAACGAACAUUAUGCUUUCCUUGAAUGAUAAUCUAUCAACGGAUACCCAAGUAGUAGAUUGGCUGGUGAGGUUUCACGAGAUCAGUAACUCGAUGGUGAACAUGAGGCAAAAUUUAGAGAGGUUCAGGCAACCUAGAGAGCGUAAUACCCUACGCCAUGUAUUGCCUUGUGUUGGGUCAUGUUUCGGAGGAUCCCUACCUCGCUAUAUACACACGGCGGGCAGGGUUGUGAGCCUGUUUGUACAUGUUUUGUGUCAGUUAUGAUAAGAAGAGGCAUGGUGUUAUUACCAUCUAGAUUGCUCUAUUGUCCGACUAGUUCUCCUUUCCGUUGCUACGCUAACUUUACAUCGUAGUAGCCUCCUCCUAGAGUAAUUGGGCCAGCCCAUCCCCUUUUCCAGGAUGGUCUAGCCCUCUUAGGGACACCAUGCAUCCUGAUCCGUUGAUAUAUUAGGUGUCUAGCCCUCUUAGGGACACCAUGCAUCCUGAUCCGUUGAUAUAUUAGGUGUCUCACCGAUCAGCAACUGUGAUCCAUUACAUUAUUGCAUAUGGUUGUAUGCCCAACCAUAACAUCAUAUUAAAUUCACUAGAUGGGUUUGGACGCAUUCGUGUUUUAAAGAUACUAGCAAUAUACCCGUGCGUUGCAACGGUAAACAUGGCACAAACUUAGUUGAUAAUUUGAUUUAUAAUAACCCAUAUCAAUUAUUCUAAAGAUUUUUAGACUUCAAAUUUGUGCAUAAGUUAGGCUCAUUCACGUGACGGCACCACGCUUUGAAUGGAGUCGCAAAGAUGCACAACCAGAAAAACACACAUCAAAUCACACAUACAGCAAAUAUGCUCUCCCCUUUAUCUAGUGGUGAGGAACAGGGUGGUAACGGACCUCUACCCCACGGCCCCCGCCGCCACCGAUGGGGCCACACCAUCCACCGGCUGCAGCGUGGCCGGAGGCAGCUCGCCCCCAUGGUUGUUGCGGCAGCCUGCCGGUGGCCAUGGCACCAAACAAGUGCUGCUUAGUGAUCACUCUGCUGAAGAUAAAAUAGUAAAUCAGUUACACAGAUGCUCAUUAUCAUUCCAAUAAAUCACUCUACAUUAAAGGUAGCAUAUCAAACUAAAGGAAUAGUAUUGAUAUAUACAUAAAAAUUCAAACAGCUAGAGAGAAUGGUAUUGAUACAUAAAUAUUCUAAGAGCUACUAAAGGAAUUGGCAACUGAUCAAUUUGUGUUUGAGUUGCACAUGAUCAAAACCCAUUAGCGUGCAACAUCCGGCAAAACAAGAGGCCUAAAAGUCCUUGGGCGCAUGCAAAAGAGUUCUGAGGUGCAUGCGAGCUGUACUGCUCUAUGCCUCUAUCAACUAUCAACCCAGCUCACUACACUGACACAAUGAUGACCCAUAGCGAGGAGCUGAGGACAGGGUGUGCUGUGUGCAUCGACGGCAGCACGUCUCCUUGAAGUGCUCCACUACUACUCUUGAAGUGCUCCACUCUACUACUGCGCACAAUGGAGUAGAGUUAAUAAACUUGUGAUCCACAAAUAUUGCAUCAUGCACAAUUAAUGUUAGAUGCAUUUUCAAAAUACUAUUUUCACACUUGCUCUCAACGAAGAAAAGAACAUAUUUGGGAUUUCAGCAAACAAAAAGGAAAUUUAAAUCAACUGCUUUGCCAUUUCACAAAUGAUAAGCUAUGACUUAUUGUAUGAAUUCAUCCUUUUGUCUUAACCUUUAUCUUAAUAAAACACCAAGUAAAUAUGGAUAAAUUAAUAAUUGUCACCAUAAUUUAGUAUUUAUCAAGGCAUUGAAACCUCACUUUCCAGGUGAAAUAGACCCUCAUCAGUCAUCACCAAUCUUGCGUGGGUCUAAGUCUAAGCACUCGUUGAUCAAUUCUGAAAGGAACAAGGGCAUCAGAAAAAAAAGUAUUUCCCCAUUAUGCAUCAAUUGAUACACAAUGAAAUAUAAAUUCUGUUGUACUUGAAAGGUACAAGCAUCUCUCACAAGAUAUUAGGUAGAAGCAUAUUUCCGACAAGAUAUUAAAGUUAAAUGCUCUUUGUAGGUGUAUUUAUGACAAGAUAUUGAUAGCCUACGAUUUUAAUUAUGAAUACAGUCAAGAAAAACGAUGAACCACUUUCCUAAACAGAUAAUUGAGUUUGCCAAAAGUUUUGUAAUCUGCAUCGUGUUUACGUUCUAAGUUCUCACAGCUGUCGUUGCAUGUGCCACACCAACUUCAAUUCAGCAAGACCAAUAAAGGCCAGUCCUACAAUAGAAUAAUUUUUUAGUCUGUUAGUGAUGUUUUAGUAUCCAAGUGGUUGAUUUGAAGUGGUUCAUGCAACAAUCUAAAUGAGUAUUACUGUAGAGUUCAUAGCUAGAUGUGUACACAUAGGGAAACAGGACUAAAUAAAUUCAUAAAAAAGUAAAACUUGGUCAAAAACAUGCUGCCUCCAAUCAACUAUUUUCUUUUGAAAUUAAGAAUAGAAUGAUAUUGUGUUCACCGCACCAGCAACAAGAGAAAUAAAAUUUUUUGUUCCUUUCAUGCUGUAUAUACUAUAUAGUAGCUGAAAAGUAUUAUCAGGUUAUCUUUGUCUGACACUUGGAAACAUUCAUGUUGUGUAUUAAAACAAGAACUCUUAAUCGGAUCCUAAAUCAUUCUCUUAUCAUAACAUAUGUUAUGACAAUUGUAGAUAAUUAGUGGUAAUGGGCACUAUUUCCACGGGCAAAGAGAUUAAAUAUAAGAUUUUUUUUGCAGAAGUGACAAUUGAUAGCACAGUAGGUCCAGAAGACACAAAACCUGAUAUAACCUCUAAAGAAACUGCAGUGACUCCAUAGCCCUCCAGAUUGAGAUGAGCUAACUUGUGUAGACCUGAAUUGAAUGAGCCAACAAUAAAACACAUGGAGUAACUUGAAAUGAAACCUCAUUUUACUGAAACUAAAAGCAAUGAGUUAGUAAAACAAGUAAAUAGACCUAAGAAAGCAUGUGACUUUAAUACUGAAACCCACCGAAAGCAAUGAAACCCACCAAAAGCAUAGUGCAAACCUGAUUGAAAUGCUGCCGUCGCUGUUCAUCUGAGAGAAGAAACAGAGGCUUGCUGCUGCUGCGUGCCUGCACUUCACCAAAACAAUACAUGUGCCCAAGAGCAAAAAACUGCAGGCGCUGAUGCUCCUCCUGUCACUGCACCAUAUUACCUAUUGAACAUAGAAAUAGAGCUCUAGCAAAACCAAGCCGAGCUGCAGCUAUUACCAAGUGAAAGAAACAACACUAAAAGCCGGGGCAAUGCUGAUGGCCUACGUUCAGAAGUGAAGCUUCAAGAGCUUUCGAGCAAAGGCAUAGAGCAGAGCUGCCAGAUCAAGCUCCAAGAGCAGAAGCCAGAAAUCUAAACAGCGGAAAAUGAGAAAUUCGAUGAGGGAGCUUUUGCUGACAGAAAAUAUGUGGCACCGGAACUGAGGUCCAGCGCCUCCAUCUACGUGAGCUUCGCGAAGGAUGGCAGCAGGUCGCCGUCGAGACCGUUGUUGAAGAGCACCAGAAAUCUGAGGUUGGACAAAUCGCCAAUGCAGUCAGGAAGCGCGGCAUUGAGGUUGUUGUUCACCGCGCGGAACGCCCACAUCGCCGAGCAGUUGCAGAGGCGGCCGGGGAUGCCGCCGUGGAGCGUGUUGUUGCCGAGGUCCAGUAGCUGCAGGCUCCUCAGGUCGCCGAGCUCCGGCGGGAUGCCGCUGGUGAAGUUGUUGUCGUACAGUACGAGCUGCUCGAGCUCGCCGAGGCGGCCGAGCUGCGGCGGCACGGUGCCGCCGAAGCGGUUCGAUGUCAGGUCGAGGACCUGCAGCGUCGAGAUGUUGCCGAGGAACGGCGUGAGCAUGCCCCGGAGCUCGGUCUCCAGGAGCUGGAUGGACGUGAUGUGGCCGGCGCCGUCGCAAGCCACGCCGGUCCAGUUGCAGAGCGUCGCGAAGGCGCCACCGGCACCGCCUGCCCGCACCAGUAUAUGUUCCGAUUCCGUCUCGAUGCAGCUUCUGUUUCUCGAUUCCGUCUCCAAGCGCGCGGCGGGCCGAAUCGGCGGGUGAGGCAACCGGGAGCGAACUGCGGCCGCCGCGGAGCGGGGAUCAGGAAAUACUGCCGAGAUCGAGCGAGAACACGAACUGGAGGGACCCCAUGGGCCUCCACCCUGCGCUGCCGCAAGCCCCCGCCCCUGCCGCCGUCCCCUUCGCCGGCCCUCCCGACGCCGCCGCCACCGCUCCACGCCUCCAUCGUCGAGGUCGCCGAGGAGGACCACACAGCCGACCUCCCCGAGGAGCUCCCUCGUCUGGCGCCAGAUUCGUCGCCGCCUCCAGCGCCUCCUUCACCGAGGUGAGGAGGAGAGAGGACCUCCCUUCACACUCUCCCUCCUCCCAUUCUUCACGGCUGCGGCCGAGCCUAGGACACCGGCCGCCGCACCACCGACGCUGCCGGCCGCCCGCGCCCAGUCUCCCUCCGCCUCUCUGUUGUGAAGAAAGGAGAAGUGUUUUUCCCGUUAACCCCCUCCCUUCCCUUCUUUUUCCACCCGAGCUCCCCUCUUUUCAACAUUUGGACUGCGGGUUGAUUACUAAAAAUUCAAGGGACUUUUUUGCAAAAUAACCACGACGGACGAAAAUUGCUGGCAGAGACGUUCCUUGCUUCAAUAAUAGGUAUAGAUAUAGAUAUUUGAUGCUGCUAGUUUGGGUGUUGCAAAAUUCUAUCCGGUAGUUUCGUUGAGUAUGAAUAUACAACCAAUACUCUAGAUUUGUUGAAGAUGUAUUACAACCUAUAUUUUUCAGUAUGGCUAAAAUUCUCAUGGUAUGCUGCUAAUUGAAUUUCAAAAUACUGUAGGUUGCAGGUACACCCAACUGAGAGAAGACAUGACAAAAUUGACUUAAAUAAGCAAUCACAGUAUUUUAUUUAUGAGCAGCCAUCUUAAAUAAUGUCCGGUUGGCACUGCUUACAGGGCUCAAGAACCUUGAGGCAAACAUUUGAUGGUACAUUUCCAAUAACACCGGUGGAAAAUCCACCUUUAGUCCUAGUUAGAUAGGGUUAUAGAUUUUGAAAAUCCAACCGGAAUUACGUACUCGAGAAAAAAGGGAUUAUCUUUAAUCCCGAGUCAUUCACCCGGAACUAAAGUUGGGACUAAAGACCCCCUUACCAACCGGGACUAAAGGGGUGGUCACAUAGGUGCAAGCACGCACCCCUUUAAUCCGGUUGGUUUUACACAAUUCUUAGUAUAUUAUACACAUCAAACUAGUAUUUAUAUAAGUACUAUAUAUAUAAUAAUUUUUCCACUUCAUUCUUAGGAUCCUCCCGUGGUGGUGUUGAUCGGUUCAGCUAUUGAAUGUCCAUCAUAAUAAAAUUCUCCAACGGGAUUUAUCACCUCGUCCACCAGAAAUCCUAUGAGAGCUUUUUGGAUUGCCAAAAGUCUAUCCUUCUCCAAGAGUUCUUCUCUAAUAUGCAUCCUCUGUAAUUUGGAAAUAUUUGAAUGUUACACCAACAAUUAAAUAUAAGAAGCUAGAAAAUAAUUAAUUAUUAAUAUCUUUAUUAUGCGUACAUGUAUAUUUUCCAAUGAUAUCACUUUGUCUCGCAUAAAACAGUUCAUGUGCUCACAGAUGUAGUAUCCACAUAAAUUAUUGCCUUGUUCCUGUCUCAAGCACUUUAGCGGAGAAAACAAGUUAUGAAAUAUUCAUGUUAUAGAAUGUAGAAAAUGUGCAAACUUCAUACGUACUGGGAACGUUGUAGUGAAUGUAAGUUUUUCUUUGAAUUCACCACGGUGAGUUUUACGGAAUUUCUUCCAUGCGCUGCCAAUUAAAAUAAUGAAUGAUGCGGUGUUAGGUGAAUAUUUAGGAAACAAACUUUUGCAUAUAGAUAAAGGUCCUGAAUUAUUACAAGUUUAGCAUGUCUUGAAUGUUUUUGCACUCCGCCGGUGGUUCCCUCAAUGAAUCGAACACAAUAACAUUGCUUUUAUCAAUCAAAAUUAUGAGGAGAAUCCAGUGGAAACUCUGUACAUAAAUGUUCAUAUUAGAACUAACUAAUACUAAUUAGGUAAGGAAAAGGAAAAUAAAAAUAAAUGGUACCCACACUUGCAUGGCAGUUGUAUGUAUUGCUUCUAAUUUUGUUGCUCCAAGAAAUUGUAUGUUGUGUCCGGCGGACGGCGGCGCGGAUGGCGGCCAGGGUGCAUGCAGACAGCGGUUGGGGCAUGGCCGGGUCGCGGACGGUGGGACUGUGGCCCAGGGGGGCGAGCAAAGACGGCGAGCGGCGGAUCCACAGAAAUGAUGGAGACGAGGCAGGGGAGAAGGGGGCGGAUGCUUUAAACCCCCUAGUCCCGGGUUGACUUUGCAACCGGGACUAAAGGGCCUUUAGUCUUGGUUGCAAAUUCAACCCGGGACUAAUGGGUGCUUUUCACGCGGGAGAUGAAAAAGCACCCUUUACUCCCGGUUGGAAACUGCAACCAGGACAAAAAGGCCCUCCUUUUUCGUUUCCCGCUGCUUUUCCAGUUUUAAUUUAUAUAUGUUUUAAAUUGUUUUGCACCGGUUUUGUUACAGAAAAAUAAAGACUUUACAUAUUUUGAACAUGCAAAAAUAUAUUAAAUUAGCAAGUAUAUUUAAAAUAAGUUUGAAUCAGUCAUUAAUUCUAUACUAGUUGAUUAAGUUUCUAAAAUAAUUAUUUGAAUGCAUCACUAUCAUCAACAAACUCUUCAAUUAAAUAAUUUCAACGCACAAAAAAUGCAAUUGAUGUAUGUGGUUAAGUUAACAUUGUUUAUAUUGAUCAAAUAAAUGUUCACCAUAAAGCAUUAUAAUAUAAUUCAAAGAUUCUGAUGGCCAUAGAGCAUUACAUAAAGGUGCACCAUAUUUAGUGCAUUACAAUAUAACAUCAAAGGUUCCUUGGUCAUGAUCACGACAAAGGUAUAGAGCCUCUUAUUUGCCUAGCAUGAUGCUUGGGUCAACUUCGACAACAAAUGGAGGCGUACCAUCAAACUGAUCAUAAUCAUCUGACUAGUCUAUUUUUUCCUUGACUCCCACAAUUUUUCUUCUACUUAGAAGAACUAUGUGACACUUUGGCUGCUAUGUUUUUCUUUAUCCUCUGAAUUUUUUUAGGUUUACUAGACAUGUCUUUCACAUAGAAAACCUGAUGCACAUCAUUGGCAAGGAGGAAUGGUUCAUCACUGUAUCCAAUCUUGGUCAGGUGCACUAUUGUCAUUCUAUACUGAUCUUUCGUUAUGCCACCUCUAGUUAACUUCACCCAUUGGCAAAGAAACAGAGGGAUGUUCAGCGGUCCGUAUUCAAGUUCCCAUAUCUCCUCUAUGAAACCAUAAUACGAGUAAUUGCUCCUGUUGUUGUUUCUGGCAUCUAUGCGGACACCACUAUUUUGGUUGGUGUUUUUUUGGUCUUAGGCUCUCGUGUAAAAUGUAUAACCAUUUAUCUCGUAACCUUGGAAUUUCACGAUUGUGCUAGAAGGUCACCUAGCUAACCAAGCAAGUUGUUCAUGAAUUGUGGAGUUACCUAUAAGAUGUUGACCCAACCAAGAGGGAAAAGUAUCCAUGUGAUGACGUAUAAUCUAAGUAUCGGAUUUCGUCGGGUAUUGGAAAAAUAGAAUCUGCUUGUGUUCCUCGAUAUACGGAGCCACAAAGGAUGCUUGUUGCAGAAUCGUGAAAUGUGCUUUAUGGAACAAAUUAGUAUCAUUGUUCAAUAACAUCCUCUAUUCCAUAUCCCUUGGCAAUGCUUCCUUCUAGAUGGGCAUGAUUAAGAACAUAAUUUUUUAGACUGACAUGAACCUCUCAAAAGGUCACAUAUUGUGCAGGAAUACUGGACCGAGGAUAGUAAUCUCUUUGACUAGGUGAAUCAGGAGGUGCGUCAUAAUAUUGAAGAAAGAUGGUGGAAAUACCAACUCAAAGCUGACAAAACAUUGUACCACAUCGUUCUAUAGCUUUAGUAGCUUGGUUGUAUUGAUUGUCUUCUGCAAAAUCGCAUUGAGAAACGUGCAUAGCUUUACGAGCACCAAUUGUACAUACUAUGAUAGAAUACCCCUUAGUGCAACCGGAAGUAACUGGGUCAUCAACAUGUGGCAGUCAUGGGCCUUGAGAUUUGUGAACUUCUUUUUUCUUUCAUAUUUAUUAUUUCCUUUAUAUUCAAGGAGUACCCAGGUGGAACCUUGAUACUAUUCAUGCAUUCAAACAUGCUAUCCUUCUCUUACUUACUGAGAGUAUAACUGGUAGGACGUAGGCAAUGCUAUCCUUUAUCUUUCUUUUUCGGAUGUAGGUCAUCUCAUUGCUUCAUACAUUUCAGAUCCUGUCAUGCUUCCAAUGUAUCUUUUGAUUUCCCAUAAUAACCCAUGAAGCCCAGCACGUUCACGCACAGAUUUUUCAUUAGCUGCAUCACGUCUAUUGCAUUGCGAAUCUCUAGGAUCCCAAUAAGCUAACUCCCAAAAUAUAGACUUCUUCUUCCACAUGGGUGCACAUCCAUUAUUGUUGUUCGGAAUAGGUUUGCUACCAAGACCCUUUCCAAAGCCUACCCUUACAUCCUUUAUCAUCUCAAAUACACGUUUUCCAUUACAGUGUGCAGGUUUUUUAUGAUGGUCUGGCGCCCCUUUGAAAUGCAUCCCUUUCUUUCUUAACGGGUUGUUAGCAUGAAGAAAUCGACGAUAACCCAUAUACACGACCUACCUACAGUGUUUCAAAUACAUGCUAUCUAUGUCAUCUAAACAGUGGGUGUAUGCCCGAUAGCUCUUAUUUAUCUGUCCUGAAAGGUUACUUAGCGUAGGCUAAUCAUUGAUGGUUACAAACAACAAUGCUCAUUAGUCCAAGCUCCCUUGUUUAUCCUCAUCCCACACACACACCUUUUUCCUUCCAGAGCAGUAAAAGUUCAUCAACCAACAGUUUUAGGUAGAUGUCAAUGUCAUUGCCGGGUUAUUUUGGACCUUGAAUAAGCACCGGUAUCAUAAUGAACUUCCGCUUCAUACACAACUAAGGAGGAAGGUUGAACGUACAUAGGGUCACAGGCCAAGUACUAUGACCACUACUCAACUCACCGAAUGAAUUGAAUCCAUCAGUACUUAAAACAAACCUUAUGUUUCUUGCGCCACUUUCAAAGUCCAUGAAUGCUUUAUCAAUUGAUCUCCACUGGGUCCCAUCCGUGGGGUGUCUCUGCAUCUCAUCUUGCUUACGUUCUUCUUUGUGCCAUCGUAUCAACAUAGCAUUAACCUUGUUUCUAAACAAACGUUUCAAAUGUGUUAUUAUAGGGGAAUAACACAUCACCUUCGCGGAAACUCUCUUCUUGGAGGUUGCCUCUCGACAUCACCAGUAUCAUCUCGCCUGAUCUUAUACCGUAGCGCUCCGCACACAGCACAAGCAUCCAAUUUCUCGUAUUCAUCACCACGAUAGAGGAUAUGAUCAUUAGAGCAUGCGUGUAUUUUCUAAACCUCCAAUCCCAGAGGGCAAACAACCUGUUUAGCUUCAUAUGUUGUGGACGGAAAUUCAUUAUUCUUAGGAAGAAUGUUCUUUACAAUUUUCAAUAUCCCCUGAAAUACCAUAUCGGACACACUAUUUUUUUGCCUUCUAUUAUAGCAUUUCCACCGUGGUACCCAUUUUUUAUGCCUCUGCUUGCAAUCUAGGUACAACAAUUUUUUGUGAUCAUCUAUCAUGCGCUGCAACUUUUCCGAUUUCUUCUCAGUUUUGCAGUCUCUCUGUGCAUCCCGUAGCACCUGACCAAGAUCAUCAAUAGGGCCAUCUUCUACAAACUCUUCUUCAUCAACCUCAUCCAUUGUAGUAUUUGCAAAAGCUUGGCCUGCAGCCCAGUUUAGAAUAUUGUUAGCAUCCUCCUCUUCUUCGCCAUCUUCCAUUCUAACCCCUUUUUCGCCGCGAUUGGUUCAAACCAAAUAGUUAGGUAUGAAACCGUAUCUAAAUAAGUAGCUGUGAACAGUCCUUCAGGAAGAGUAGUCUUUCUUGUUAGUAUAUUAGAAGCAUGGACAACAUAUGAAUUCCUUCUCUGGUUUGCUGGCUUUAGCCACUUCAAGAAAAUAAUGCAAGCCAUCAACAAACUCCUUGGUCUGUCUAUUCACGUUAUACAUCCAUUGCCGAUCCAUCUGCAUCAUGUUACGUGAUAAAUGGAUAUAGGUCUUCAUAUUAGAUAAAAAACUUGAUCAAUAUUGAUAAUUUACACCAAUCAACAUUCAUAAAUUUAAAAAUAAUUCACAUGAAAAUUACACCAAUCAACAUUCAUAGCAUUCACUAGGUCGACAAAAAGAAAAAUGCUAGAAUUCUAGAACAGGACAAUAAAGAUACAUAUACACUAAAGAUUAUAGACACUCCAUAAUAGACUUCAUGUAGUCAAUUAUCCUCGAAUAAUGGUACAACAUAGCAGAAUGUUCACCCUCCAAGCUAUCUCUGCACAUGACUCAAUCUUCUAUGCAGUCUAUGGAGAGUCAUCUCCGCUCCUUCAGUACCAGAAAAUAAUGGUACAAUAGAGGAUCUUUGAAUCCACAUACUCAGGCUGUACAAAGGAAUCUUUAAAUAAUUGUCCAAAUGUUUUUUUGAGUAAGUGCCACAUUCUCAUAAUAGAAGUAUGGUGGCACACAAUAGCCCAUCCAGGCAAAAGAUCUACUCACUGAGCAUGGCCCUUUUUGGCAAGCUUAAAACAACCAAAAGUUGAUGGGUCAAGGUCGUGAACAGAUCUCUGCCUGAACAUGUUAUUGGGCCACCGUAUUUCUAUUAUGAGAAUGUGACUUUAAGAGUGCCUUUGGUUGGGCUUUCCAACCUGCUUUUGCUGUUGCAAAAGCCAAAAGCCAACCAAAGGGCCUAAAAGCUCUACGUGCUUUUGCCCAAAAGCUACUUUUGCUCUAGUACAAAAUCAAAAGCACCUCCCCCUGCUUUCAACUGCUUUUGGAGUAAAAAAUUACCCACCUGCCACUGAUUAUGAAGGUAAAGAUUCAUUUUUUGCCCCGAUCUUUUCUCCCGUCGCCGCACCCCGCCGCCUGUCGCCACCGGACGCCGUCCGCCGGCCCGCCAUCUGCCGCCCCCGGUCGCCGGUCUGCUUCCCGCCGACCCGGCGCCCCCGGCCGCCCGCCACACCCCCGCCCUCGGACGGCCGCCGCCCAACGACCCCGACCACCGCCGCCUGACGCCCGUCGCCCCAGGUCGCCGGCUGCUGGCCAGCCAUCCGCCAUCCGCCGGCCCGCCGUCCGCUACCCUCGGUCGCCGGCCCGCCUCCCAGCGCCCCCGGCCGCCUGCCACAUCCCGCCCCCUGGACGGCCGCCGGCCCGGCGCCCCCGGCCGCCCGCCACACCCUGCCCCCCGGACGGCCGCUGCCCGACGACCCCGGCCGCCGCCCGUCGCCCCCGGUUGCCGGCCGCCGGCCAGCCGUCCGCCGCUCCCUGCUCAUCCAUGUUGAAGGAUGGCAUCCUUAUAUAGAACUUUUGAUGGAUAUAAUUCUAUUUAUGUGGACCAAUCACUUUAAUGGAUGAAAAAUAUAUAAAAUUUAUUUUGUUACGAGUAAUUUGCAUAUAAACACACUCAUGGACCUUUAGGAGCAUUACAGAUAUUUCUUACACAGCCUACAGUUUCACAGCUCCUCGAACCAAACGGUCUUCUGCUUUUCCCACAGCUACUUUCUCACAGCUGAUUUUCCACAGCCAACAGCUCACAACAGCUUUUCCAAAAGCCACAGCCCAACCAAACACACCCUAAAAGGUGUUUGGAAAACUAUUUCAAGAUCAUUUUAUGAUAUUCAACCCGAGUUCAUGGAUUCGAAGUUCUUCCAUUCUACCAUUAUUUUUGGAUUCUUGACUCCGUGAAGUCCACUUUGGAGCGUCUGUAGUCUUUAUUAGUGUAUCUUUGUUGUCCUGUUCCACAAUUGUAGCAUUAAGUUGAUCGGUGUAAUUUUUAUGUCACUCUAAUUUAACAUGCAAACUUUCCAAAAAAUUGUAGCAAUGACCGAAUUCUAUUUCUUACACCUACAAUAUAUUUAUAAACUAAUCAUACAAACUAAAAUAAUGGUACAAUACAGCAGAAUGUUCACCAUCCAAGCCAUCUCUGCAUAUGACUCAAUCUUCUACGAGAGCCACCUCUGCUCCUCCAGUACCAUAGAAUGGAGAGCCACCUCUUCUCCUCCAAUACCAUAGAAUAGUGUAAGCACAUUCAUGCCAUGUGCAGACACUGUUCUCUGGGAUUGGAGGAGCCGAGGUAGUACAUCCAUUGCCGGUCCAUCUGGAUCGUAUUACGUGAAAAAUGAACAUAGGACUUCGUAUUAGAUAAAGAACUUGAUCAAUAUUAGGUAGGGAAAAAAUAGAUAGAGAAAAAAUAGAGUAAAUGUAUUUAUAACCAAACGUAGGACGACAGGGUCCGACCCAUUCCGAGCUCUUCCGACCCAGUAACCAAACACAUCGUGUGUCAAACAAAAAAUUUUCUCUGUGAAUUUAGCGCUUAAUAAAGUUUAUGCUCGAGCUAGGCUUCCUCAUCUCGAGCAUCCGUUCCGUUAUUCACCGACAUUUUUUCGCAACAGGACCAAUCGCCCAAUCCGCACAUCAUGCAGACGUAGUCGGGGAGGCCGGAGCAGAGUUCGAAUUGAUACUAUUUGGGGAUGAAUGGGUCGGAUCGGAUAUGGCCCAUAUGAAUAUUCCUACCGUCUGGCGCUCUCUUAAGCCCGGUACAUCCAUCCAAGUUCUGAAGUUCUCUCUUUGUGAAUCGUUAUCCCUCAAAAAGCUGCAAACUUUGAGGCUAGGCGGCGAUAGGGUGGGAGGCCAGGAGCGGCAGGCUAGUAGCGGGGCGCAGGACCGCUGGCAAAAGCUGGGUGAAUGAAGAUGCAUUUCAUGAUAAAUAUAAUAAUAUUUACUUGAUAUCAUAAAUAUUGAUACCUUUUAUUCCGAAAUUCUAUUUUUUUAAGCAAUUUGCCUACUCUCUCUGUAGUGUUGUCACACAAGAUAAGCACGCCGCCCGCCUGCUGGCCGGGCGAAUCGAAGUUAUCUUCCGGAAUUCAGUGAAUAGAAUAGGCCUCCAUACUUGCCCAACAUGCACGUUAGAGAAGUGCCUCUACUUAUUUAUUUUUAUUUUAUUUUCUAAAGGAGUGGAGCUCGUAUUAUACACCUUGACCCCACCUUUUUUUAAUCCUUCUAGACAUUUGUUGUUAGAUAAGAUAAGUCCCAUGUUUCUUGGAUUAUUUACAAGCGGUGUUCAAGCUCUUAUUUUUGCUUCUAGGCAAACCUCCUGGCCGUCUUUGCACCCCCACCUCCUUUAUCACCUGUCUGGUCCGAUCGUUUAGCGGCUCUUUCUAAGAGACGAACUUAAAAUAAAUUAUUGUAAUUUUUUACCAAGUGUUGUGAUUGGCUUUGGCUGCAUUUGCUUCAACUCAAUUGGCUAGGUUGCCUCCGAGGAGCCGUUGAUUGCCGUUACCGAGGAUAUCCUCUUGCUAUCUAUGGUUGAGAAAUAGAACCAUCUGAUUUGAUUCGUUCCCAAUAGUCACGAGAUGAUCAUCUAUUUUAUAAAAACAAGAAAAGAGCAAGGAAUUGAGCAAACUUAAGAUGGUUUGAUUUAGGUAAAAAUUAGAAUGAGUUGUUUUUUUUUGAAAAAAAAGGAAGGGAGUACACCUCCCAGUAGAAGUGGAAGAUACCUUCUAGCCACAAACUGUUUUGAAUGUCAACCUGCGUAACACAAGUACACAACCACGCAGUGCUCAUAUUCGAUCGCACACGACAAACGUCGUCAGGCAAACGGAGUCCGAGUGUUUCAUGAAAAAAAAAAGAACCCGGAGUCCGCGGUCGAAGAGGGAGACUCGGAACUGAAAACACAAGCGAUCUACACGGAUGGAUCGGAAGCAUCAGCCCGUAAUAAAUAUGACUGCCGGCUGCCGCUCUCUGUCAUUGAUCCAAGCUCUCAAUUCGUUGUCCCUCAGCGAACCGCAGACUUCGAGGCGAGGCGACGGCGGGGUGCAGAAGCUAGCCGGGAGGCCAGAGGAGGGGCGGGCGGCGCGCAUGGCCAGGCAGGCCAUCAAGAUGACGGUGUCGGCGGGGGAGCCCGCGGUCGCAGCGCCACCACCCGUGCCUGUCGCUGCUGGCGGCGACGUUCUUGCUAGCGGCGGCGGCGUUGCGAUCGGUCCGCCGCCAUCAGAACACGAAAGGGAAGAGGAAGACACGGUUGUCGGCGCGGAUGACGGUCUCACAGACGUGGACUUCAGCGACGAAGAGGACGACGACCACGAUGACACCGACGACGAGGACGUCGACAGCGACAGCGAGUUCGAAGACGAGGAAGGCGAAGCGGCGGCCCCGGGAGUCGUCUUGCUGGCGACUUCAGUGUUCCUUGGGCGGCUGACGCCGUCGGCCUCCGUCCAGAACACGACUGGCUUCAUGCGUCUCGCCGCCGCGGAGGCCGCGCCGGGCGAGAACGGCGGCGGCGGCGGCGAGAUCCUCGUGCACUACCGCUACACCCGCUUCUCGAGGGCGCAGAGCGGGGGCGACGGCGUCGACAUGCACUUCCUGGGCCCGAAGCUGGCCCGCGUGCGCUUCCACCUCCCCUCCCACCACCCCGCCGCCACCGGCCCGGUGAGCACGCUGUUGUCGCUGCGUCUCGCCGGCGCCACUCUGGCGGCCCCACUCUACCCGGCCCGCUUCAGCGCGCAGCUCCGGGGCCUGUGGACCGGCCUGAUCGCCAAGGCGCGCGUCCCGCCGGAGGCCGCGCGCCUGGUGGUCGCCGUCGACGUGGGCAUCCUCCGGCCCGGGGACCGCACGCCGGAGCGCAUGAGGAGCAUGCGCGCGGCGCUGGAGUCCGUGGCGCGGGAGCGCGACGGCGCGCAUCCCGCGGUCUUCGACGUCGGGACGGAGCUCCGCCUGCCGGCUCCACUGGUGUCGGAGGACGACGUGCGGCCGGCGAAGCGGAGGAAGGUCACUGGAGAACACUGCCCGAUCUGCUGCGAGGUGCUGGAGAAGGGCCUGGCGGCGUGGCCACGGUGCUCGCACAUCUUCCAUGGCAGGUGCUUGGAGGAGCACCUUUUCAGGGGGUCUCAGGAAUGCCCGAUGUGCAGGAGUAGACUGCAAGUCGAUGGCCAGAACAGAUGAGUGAACACUAUGUAGGAUCAGGCACGUCGCGCUGCAAAUUGUGAAUAAGUUGCAGUUGUUUGUCCUUGCAAUGUAACAAUUUUUGUAAGAAGUUAUGGAUGCAUGUUUGUUUAGGGGAAAGGCUAUAUGACACCUGAGCAUUUUCCAUCUCCUCCACGCUCGAAUUUUUCUCUCACACAACUUUCCCCUUCUUCAAAUCCGGCAAGCAUUUUAGGGUUUGGGGUUUUAGGGUGUACCUGUGUCCGGCAGACCUAGAGGAAGCUCCGGGCGCUAGGAUAACGGGCGGUGGUCGCGGCCAAGAUGGCAGCGAGGCAGGGUGGUGGGGGCACCGCCCGCCGGGGCGGUGGUGGAUCUUUGGUUGGGUUGUGGAGUUGGCGGGGGCGUCGAGCUUCAAUCUGUUAGUGUCAGCAGCAGUGGACGGCAACGGCGGAGGCACCGUUGGAGCCGGGGGGAGGGGGGGGGGGAGGGGGGAGGGGCUGCAGCGGCGAGCGAGCUCUCGCGAUUUCUUGAGCGGCGGUGGCAGUCGUGACUCACGACAAGAUAAGGAGCCAGGAGUAGUGCGUGGGAAGGAGACGAGGACAGAGAAAGUCCAUCACAGUCGUUCUUUUUUGAUCUGAUGGCCACAAAAUUCGAGUGCUGGAAGGCCCCUUCAAUACUCGAGUAUUACAAGCCUUUUUUAAAGGCCAAAGCAUAUGGACGAGAACAGAGCAAUCUGAUCAUACUCAUUUUAAGUGCCUAUCUGGCACGGCUCAUCCAACAGCUUCUCCAAUGGAUUUUGAUGAAGCCGUCCCAAACGCCAACCUCAAAAUGGCUCACGAACAAAAGCUGGGCAGAAGCCCCAGGAAACUCGAUCUCUGCGUUCCUCUUCAUGCGAGAAGCUAAAAAUAGUGGCUUAUACCGGCUCAUUUCCCACCCAAAAUGCUAAAAGACGCAUGUGUCUCUGCUAUUUCUUGCAAAUUACCUGACCUGCCACUUGUCCAAGGCGAGCUCGGUAGGCGUGUGGAGGUGGUGGUCGGGUGCUCGGGGUGGCCCGGCAGAGCUCCAUGAGCGCGUGCAUAGUGGUGACAGUCAGGACGGAGGUUGGCGAUAGGGGUGGAGGCAUAGAGCUGGGCAGGCGCGUGGAGGCAGCGAGCGAGGUGGAGCUCGGCGGGCAAGCGGAGAUGGUGGCCUAGGCGAAGGUCAAUGGGUCGGUGUGUGGAGCUAGAGGCGGGCCCGGGUGGGGCGCGACGGUGCAUGAGGAGUAGGGCACCGAUGUGAGGCACUGCCGCGCUGGAGUUGGAUGAUGGAGAGAAUAGUGGGCGGCGGAGAAAGAGAAGACGGAUAGGGAGGAAAGGAAAUAAAGAAAUGAAGAAAGAGUAAGGUAGGAGAAGCCGUUUUACCGAACAUUUUUCCAACAAGACAAGUUGUUGACGCUAAAAAUCGGCCGAUGACCUUUAGCGUUGGACACACGACCUGGGAGAAUCUGCUUAGCUCUUGUUCGUGUAAUCGCCUUGGUGCGGUUCGCGCGGCGUGCCAGUCAAUCUGACAUGUUGAUUGACAACGAAAGAAAUGUAUUAAAUCCUAGGGGUUUCGAUCGGCUAAAAUUCUGAUCUGUCUCGAAAAGCAUAUCAGCGAAUCGGCCGAUUUGCUAUGAAGAUGACCGGCUAUAGAACAGCCGACAAUCACACAACGAUUGUAAAGAAUCUACCAAAGCAUACUAGACAACGCUACAAAGCAACACUUGAAACAGAUCUAAUCGACUGUAUAAUGAUAAAUAAAAAUAAUAGUAAUAAAGCUGACAGUUCAAAUCUCAAGCUGGAUAACUGGUGAUAAAACUAGAACGAUAGGUAAAACCUAUAAUUCUAGUAAAUAUCGAUAACUGGUGAAUAAAUCUAAACGAAAUGAUAGCGAUGCACCUGAAGUUAAAGCUUAGAUAUUACUCGAUAAACGGAACUUACAGAAUCGGUCGGAGAUCGUAUCGAUGCAGCCCUGCCAACCCGUACGAACUCGUGAAGGAAAAAGAAGUAUUGGUGAAGUCGCCGACUUGAAAGUAAAGUAUGAUGAAAAAGUAGAUUGUUUGUAUUGAUUGAUGUGUUUUUUACAAAUCUCUAAAGAUGGCUAUUUAUAGCGUGUUACAACUGAUUUCCUAACCGACCAGGAUCUAUCUCUAAUUUUAAACGAAAACGAAUAUCUACAAACACAACUUGUAUCGGAGUUGGUUAUCAUACUCCUACGAGCCAAUCUUUCUUUAUCUUCCCUUUCUAGCCCACCUUAAGUCCAUAUUGGCCCAAUCGCUCCAGCCUUCCAAUCGGCCAACCCCCACCAAUCCCAUUCGCCAAUCGCUCGAAACACUGUAGCGCCAAUCAGCCGAUUCCCAAUCGUAACCUUUUAAUCCGCCGCAUCGGCCAAUCCUUUCCUCUCUUGACGCCGAUCCAAAACGUGUCAAAAUCUGGCGUCAACACAUGUCCUCCAGUUUCGGAGUAAAACAUGACUUUUACUUCAAAAUUCUUUUUUAACCUCUCCUCCGAAAUAAACACGGCAAAAAUCUCCUUUUGUUUCGCAGUCUUCUACCUCAUGAUUUUAAUCUUUUCGAAUUGGGUGCCUGAGACAACCGCUCCUCCGAAAUUCGUGUAGACGGCGUGGUAAAAAUCCUGCCUUCACCCCUUCUCUCGGACCGUCUUUAAAUACUGGCAUUCCCUGCCGCUUCUUCUCCACGAGCUCAGUAACUUUCUCUCCGGCGAAUCACUUUCCAUCUUCUCCCAGCGCCCUUUUGGCUUCCAAUCGCAUUCUCUGGUGAUUCCUCUUUUGUUUACAUCUCGCUCCAUUAUCCCUCAAUGGCGGCACCAUCAACAACUCCACCAGCAACGGAGGUUCCGCCGGCAGCUCCAUCAACGACGGCAGUUCCAUCGGUGACCCCAUCAACAACGAUGAGUUUCAUUCCAGAGGUAAACACCCGAAGCCUUUCUUCUUUACUUUUCACCGCCCAUGCACCCUUUAGAUCUAUUCUUAGUUUUUCCUUUUUAUCUUUUUUAGGCGGUCAUAUAGCAAAUCACAAUCCACCUUUCCGACGCACCUGGCCUUAUCUGCCUAGGCCCUAUGGGGAACCCAGACCCAACUGAUCUGAUCAAUUUAGAAACCCAUAGGAUCCCCUUCAAGCAAUCACCCAUGGAUUUGAGCCAGUGGUCAGACACUUUUAGAUCUUAGCCGAAUGAAACCCUCGGUUGGAAAGAGUGGUAUCAAAGAAUGACCAACUCCAAGAGAGUUCAAUGGGAUGAACUGAAAAUCGGCCAGUGCAUCAACCUAUCUUUGUCCCAGAUGGAGAAGAAUGAACCUUUGGUAAUAGCAGCUUCUUACUUCUAGUUUGACGCACUCAAUGCGUUUCUUUUUGGGCACGAACCCAUGACCCCAACUCUGGCUGAUGUUCUGUUGCUGACCGGCCUUGAUAUUUCCUCCCCCGAUACACCCUUUAAUUAUCUGAUCAAACUGACCCAUCAGCUGGAAACGAAAGGAAUCGGUGGGUGGAAGGGGUAUAUUAAUAAAAACCUGAGGAUCAGGACGAUUUUAGAGAGAGAAUAUGCAACCUUCUUGAUGAUGUGGGUGGAGAAGCACCUUUUCUGUGGUAGAGCAGUCGGCCCUUCCUCCAACACACAAGCUCUGGCCGAAGCCCUGUCAAGAGGAGCCGCCAUCCCUCUCGGGAAGCAUUUACUAGGAUCGGCCUACCACAUGAUGCACCAGAUUGGUGUCAAGCUGUCAAAGGGAGAGCCGAUUGGUAAUCCUGGUGGUCCCUGGUGGUUUAUCACCCUCUGGCUCAACUUGUACAUGAGCAAGGUCUUCCAGCAGCAGAUAGAGACCAAGACAUUCCCCAAUAUCGAGUCAGAGGAAAACCCCACAGUACGACGACGGUGCACCUCUUUCGGCGAAGCGGCAUCGGCUUUUCCUGGUUGCCAGUUCACCGGCACCCAGACAGCCAAGUAUUUCAGGAAACUACCAGCUGGUACCCGUACCAGAGAACAAAGCCGCUUUUUGAGCUUCCCUUCUGCUAUGACUCAACGUCCAACUCUUUUGACAAUGAUCUUAUGGACGCUUUGAUCAAACCAGGGAUCUUACCAGCGAACUUCUUCUCUAGGAAAGAUUCCCCUUCUUAUGAGUUCUAUAAUCCAUCAGUUGCAGCACGGCAGUUUGGCCUCGAUCAGUUGCCGAUUCGGAUUUAUUUGCCGGCCGCGUAAAAUUUCGAGAUGCGCUUACUAAGGGACUUGACUAUAAUCGGCUGCGCGACUUAGUGCCCAAUUCCAGCACCAUUGAUCUGAACAAUUGGUUAGUAGCUCCUUUUGCUGUUCAACAAUUCAAAUUAUGGUGCACAGAAUGGAAGCAGCAUCUCUUUUGUGUAUCCCCUGCAACAUAUUGCAAUGAUCUGGAUCUUGACAACAUCGACACAAACGCAGCGGUACUGCUAUUUCCUUAGUCGAUUUCGACGUCAUUUCCUUUUAUGCUACAAAUUUGCCGCUAACUCUUAUUUCCUUUUACAGUCCGAAAGUCGACUCCCUCCAAUGCGCAGCUGGAAUGGUAUGCCGAUAGAUAAUCGCUACCCAUACACACCAUUCCCACUCAUCAGCUAUCAUGCCCCAACCAUCGAAGACAUCACCACUAGCUGAUCGAAACAAACGCCGAAGAAAUCCUCUUUAAAGAAGACGAGCCGCCAAGUGCGUGCCUGUAUAGAAUCGGUCAAUCAGUCGGCGACGGCAUCGGCUGAAUCCUUAGCUGCGCCGACCCUGCCGAUUAUCGAGGAAGUCGAUUCCCAGGCUCCUACAGAAGCUGGAGCGGUUGCUACAUCAUUGUUGGUAGAAGCUGUUCAGGUAACUUCGUAUACUCCGCAUUCUUCUAAAUAGCCUGCCAAUAUUAAUUUCUUCCUUCUGUUAGGCCGCGCAAAUCGCUCCAGUACAGUCCCCGCAGCGAUCAGCCAUGGUCCAGGCAGAGACCAGGACGCCAGCAAUUCCUCCCACCAAGGUAGAGAGUCUUUCAACUCAAAUUUUUAAUACUUAACCAAAAGCUAACCGAUUUUGACGCAGGUUACCCUGGGCACAUCGAUUGUACCUUUCCAACAACUAUCGGCCGGGCGACUCACAGAGGUAUGGCAGUCAUUAUAUAUCAUCAGACUUAAUCAUUUGCAUCAUACUUAUAAAAAUCCGCUUCCUGUACCUUUCCAGGAGGCUGGCCCGAGCAGAGAACCAAUAAUCAUCGAAUCUUCUUCCUCUAAUGAACCAAUCGCGCCAGUUCCCGAGAUGAGGGUAGCACUCCCAUCAGCGCAAGUAGAAGAAAUCCGCCUUAAAGAGGUAACAAACUUGUUACCCAAAUUGGCCGAUUUCUCUUACCGUUGGCUAAUUUGUAUUUUUAUUUUUUAUUCUUUUGCAGGAGCAGGACACUCCCAACAACAGUCUUUUUUCCUUUGCGGUUGCACUUUCUGAUGAUGAAGAGGUUGCCUCACGCCAAAUUACACUGAGCUCGAUCUCUAAUGACAUCCGUGCCAAACUUGAGAGCAUACGGACCCUCCUCCAAGACGACAUCGGCCGAGUAGUGGAAGACGCCUCGCCGAUUCGGCAAAUUCUCAGCGAAAUUAGAGGCCGAGUUCCAGAAGAGGCGGAAGAGGCUCUGGCACCCGCCGCAUACAUCGAAUCGAUGUGGAUUCUAGUGUUCAGGGCCUUGCACCACAUGGCCGAUCGUGCCAAACUAGCGAAAGCCCGCGAGGAGGAAAACUCCUACAAACAUCGAGCUCAAGAGGUACAUCAACGAAUCAACUUCCUCGAAAGCUCUCACCCAGAUAUCGUUGGUGCCAUAGACCGCCUCAAACGGCGAAGGGCAGAGCUAGCCAAGGAGAUGGAGCAGGUGACUAAGGCCAUAGCUGCUGAAGAGAAAAGACUCCAAGACCUCCCAUCCGUCAUCGCCGAGCUGAAGCAGGAGAGGCAGAACCUGGCCCACGAAGAAAUAAAAAUCCGUCGUCAUAUGCCAGAAGUCCCUGGAUCGGCUGAUGACGACCAGAGGACCUUAGACUCGGUCGAUCAAGUUAGGCAGCGAGCGAUCGCAGCUGUUAAUGCCCUCCUUGGGUGAACUGUAAAAGCACUGAAUGCUCUGUAAAAACAUUUAAUGCCCUCCUGCCAUUGACGUGCGGAUUCGAACUUGGACUGUCCUCUAUGGCAGCUUCUUCAUUCAAUGACCUUUUACUCCGAUGGGACGCGUCUUACCAACCCUUCAUCUUUUCUUUCUAUAAGUAUGGGACUUUCGUAUUGCUUUCCAAAGGCAUUCACACCUCACCCAUCCUUUUGACUCCCACACUCUUAGACUAAAUGCUGAGAUGUCUUCUCCUUCUUCUUCCUUCUCCGUCGACCAAGUACGAAAUCCCCCUUUGUUCCCUUGCCUGUCGUUUAAAUCAAUCUAACGAUGGGUAGUUUUUGUUUUGCUAUUUUUCAGCCGAGACGCCUUAGUCCUGGCCUAGAACGAGCCAUCGAGGUUAUGCACUCAGACGAACCGCUGACGCAAACGGACAAAGAUCUGAUCAGGGCUCAUCACGAAGAACUCAAGGAUCAUAUCCCUGCUCAUGUCCAGAAGAUCAUGGACCAUAUGGACGCCAACUGCUCUGGACGACCGAUGAGUGAAAGGAGUCAUCCGCUUCCUCGUCAGAUCACCCUCGAGGAUACCAUGGUAGGGACAUCUCGGCAGCCUGUCGACAGAAGCCACCAACCUCCUCAUCAAAUUGAGGUUGAAGCCGCCAUGGAGGAUCUGAAGGAAAAGAGCAUCCGCCUCUUAAUAGAACUAGGCCGGAUCGAGAGGGAGAUUAAGAAAAAACGUGGUCAAUGAAUGUAUUGGUACUUUUUAAUCUAAGGGCGACUCGUACUAUGUCGGCCAUGUAUCCUAUUAUUGUACCGAAUGAUAAAUCGGCCAUACUGGUCAAAGAUCCCAUCCUUGAGGCGAUGUCUUUUUGCAUCGGCUAUUUGAACACGAGUCAAUAGGAAUAGGCCAUAACAUCUUGCCACUCCAUAUCGUCUGUUACGCAUCUACCCAAAUGCUAGGGUAAUACCUCUUUAGAUAUCUCCCAUUUAAAGCCCUUGUGAAUUCCUCUCCUUCGAUAGUUUCUAGUAUGUAUGCAUUUCCCGGAGCGCAUCGGCCAAUUUUAUAUAGCCCUUCCCAAGUGGGUGACCAUUUACCGAAUUUGGGAUCCUUAGACCCUAUCAGCAGCACCAACUUCCAUACCAAAUCUCCUUGAGAGAACUGUUUGACCUUGACCUUCUUGUCGUACCACAUGUCCACCCUUUUCUUGUUUUCUUCAAUGCUGAUCAGGGCCCUUAAUUGCUGACCUGCUAAAUCGUUGAGCUCCCCCUUCAUAAGGAGGGAAUAGUCAUCGACCGUCAACUGAUCUUGAAGCGAUGUGCGCCUUGACCUUGUCCUUAAUUUCCAAGGCAAUACUGCCUCGUGACCAUAUACCAACUAAUAAGGAGAUAUCUUAGUGGCCCCAUGGCAGGCCAUCUUGUAAGCCCAUAAAGACUCAGUUAAAGACAUGUGCCUCUUCUUAGGUUGUUCUUCUAUCUUCCUCUUGAUCAACUUGAUUAUCCCCUUAUUGGACGAUUCGUCCUGACCGUUGGCUUGAGCAUAAUACGGAGAAGAAUUUAACAAUUUAAUUCCCAUAUCGGCGGUGAACUCUUCGAACUCUCCUGAAGUGAACAUCAUCCCUUGAUCAGUUGUGAUGGUUUGAGGGAUACCGAACUGAUAAACAAUAUGGUCUCUCAUGAAAUCGAUCAUAGCGGCCGAUGUCAUGGCCUUUAACGGAACUGCCUCCACCCACUUAGUAAAAUAGUCAGUGGCUACUAAUAUAAAUUUGUGCCCCUUGCUUGAUGGAGGAUAAAUCUAUCCGAUGAGGUUUAUUCCCCAACCUCUAAAUGGCUAUGGCUUGAUUAUUGGAUUCAUAGCUGAGGCUGGUGCACGUUGCACGUUUCCAAACUCCUGACAAUCUUGACAACCUUUAUAAUAUUUAAAGCAAUCUUCGAGUAUCGUCUGCCAAUAAUACUUAUUGUUUCUAAUCAUCCACUUGAUUUUGUGAGCCGAUUGGUGAGCUCCGCACACGCCCUCGUGAAUUUCUCCCAUCAGGACCUUUGCUUCUUCCAUUCCUAGGCAUUUGAGCAGAACUCCAUCAAUCGUCCGGUAAAACAAAUCAUCUCCGAGCAAUACAUAUUUCGUGGCCUGAAAAUGCACUCUCCGAUCCACUUUCUUGGACGGAUCUUUCAAGUAAUCGGCGAUCUCUUUUCGCCAAUCGUCAGCUGCAAGUUCCAAAGUCAUGGCACCUUGAUUCAGCCGAUAUCCAGACGCGUGUUGGGCAAGCCUAUUAGCCUCUUCAUUGUAAUUUCUGGGAAUAUGCUCAAUAACCGCGGACUUGAAUUCUUUCAAAAGUUGGAGGCAAUCUUCGUAAUAAAUCCUCAAGACAUCAUCUUUGCAUUCAGAUCUCCUCGUUAAUUGAUCCACAAUGAGCAUGGAAUCCCUAAAAAUUUCCACCGCAUCAGCUUUGAUCUCUCUCAACAAUUGAAUACCUUUUAGGACGGCUCGAUAUUCCGCCUGAUUAUUGGUCGUGGAUGCCUCUAUCGGCAGAGAGAAAUCAUAACUUGCCCCCCGAGGCGAUAUGAGGACGAUGCCGAUUCCUGAUCUGGCCCCACACGAAGAACCAUCAAAGUACAGAGUCCAUGGGACUGGUUCAAUGAUAGUGAUUUCCGGUCCGCAAUGCUGAGCCACGAAAUCGGCCAUGACUUGGCCCUUGACGGCUUAUGCCGAUUCGUACCUUAGGUCAAACUCUGACAGAGCUAGGAUCCACUUUCCAAUUCAUCCUUUCAAAAUUGGUAAUGAUAUCAUGUACUUUACUACGUCAUCCUUGCAUACGACUAUGCACUCUGCCGAUAACAGGUAGUGUCUGAGCUUGGUACAUGAGAAAUACAGACACAGGCACAACCGCUAUACUGGGGAAUAUCUUGUUUCGGCAUCCAGAAGUCUUCUGCUAACAUAAUAUAUUACCCGCUCCUUUACUUCGAACUCCUGUACUAGCGCUGAUUCGAUCGCCCGUUCAUCGGCCGAUAGGUAUAGUCUGAAUGGCUUGUCAGCUUGCGGCGGAACUAACACAGGUGGCGAAAUCAGAUAUUGCUUGAUGUCUUCCAAUGCUUUUCGCUGUUAUUCUCCCCAUACGAAUUCCUGGUCGGGUUUCAACUUCAAUAACGGCGUGAAGGCUUGGAUACGCUCGGAUAAGUUGGAUAUGAAUCUUCUGAUAAAGUUGACCUUGCCGAUUAGGGACUGCAACUCAAUUUUAUUCUGCAGGGCCACAACCUUAUUUAUGGCCGCUAUGAUCUUCCGGUUGACUUCUAUCCCGCGCUCAUGAACCAUGAAUCCUAGAAAUUGACCGGCCGAUACACCGAAUGCACACUUGUUCGGGUUCAUUUUCAACCCAUGCUUCCUCGUUCACGCCAACACUUCUUGCAGAUCGGCCAGAUGCUCGAUGUAGAUUUCCACUAGGAUGCCAAUGAGCUUGUGGAAGAUGUAAUUCAUAGCCCAUUGAUAUGUAGCCCCAGCUUUUUUAGGCCGAAAGUCAUCAUCACCCACUCGAAUAAACCGAGGUGGCCCGGACACCUGAAGGCCAUUUUCGAAAUAUCCUCUUCAGCCAUUAAUAUUUGAUUGUACCCGGCAUUACUGUCCAUAAAAAUGAUGACUUUAUGGCCUACGGCGGCAUCUAUCAAAACAUCAGCUGUCGGCAUCAGAUAUCCAUCCAUUUGCGUAGCCUGAUUAAGGUUUCUGAAAUCAAUGCACAUGCGCAGUUUUCCAUUUUUCUUGUAUACGGGCACAAUAUUAGAAAUCCACUCGGCGUAACAGCACUACUCAAUAAAUCUCGCUUCAAUCAAUCUUGUAAUCUCGGCCUUUAUGUCAGGUAGAAUUUUAGGGUUGCAUCGUCGUGCAGGCUGCUGAUACGGCCGAUAUCCUUGUUUUAUAGGCAACCGAUGUUCAACAAUGGACCGGUCUAGACAAGGCAUCUCAUGGUACUCCCAAGCAAAACAAUCUUUAAAUUCUUUCAAUGAACUUGGUUUGCUGCCAUCGCCUAAGUCCACCAUCUCCAAUGAAUCAGCCGACGUAAACCCAUGCCCAAGCUUCCCGUCUUCUCGGACGAACUAAUCCAUCUAAUCUAAAUCUUCAGAGCCGACUGCUCGGAUCGGCUGUAGGCCAAAAUCGGACACUUUUAGGAAAUCGGUGUCCCAAGUUCUACCGGAUAUGCACUUGACGUGUUCGCAGCUCCACUGUUGCACGUCGGCCGCAGCAACACUAUAGGCGGAAUCAGCGGUGACGAUCUUGAUGUUGUCGCCGACCCACUGUACGAGGCAUUGGUGCAUUGUAGACGGGACGCAGCAAUUUGCGUGUAUCCAAUCGCUACCGAGCAACAUGUGUUAGGACCCUUUGCCAUUAAUAAUAAAGAAAGUAGUGGGUAGGGUCUUACUGCCAAUGGUGAUGUCGACGCAGAGUGCUCCGUGGGCGGGGGACAUAUUGCCUUGAGCAUCAUGUUCGUCUUGGUCAGAUCUUCAUUACUUUUGCCCAACUUCCGAAACAUGGCAUAUGGCAUGAUGUUGACUGCAGCGCCUCCAUCUACUAGUAGCCUGGUGACAGGUCAUCUGUUGACAUGUCCUUUGAGGAAUAGGGCUUUGAGGUGUUGCCGUUUUUCGUCCUCGAGUUUCUCAAAAGUGGUUGUCAUUGGCUCCAAAACCAACUGUGCCAUCUGCUCCUCCAUCCUUGUCGUGUUGUCUCGAUCGAUGGUGUGGCGGAUCCACCUUGGAUUAGCCUAAUUAAGUCACGGUUAAGUCACCUAACAUGCGACACUCGACCUUAAUCGUGCUAACUCGAGAUGCCAUCGGAUUUCCUCCAAUUUAACCACUUUGAUAGGACCGAGUUUAGCAAAACCCACACGAAGGUGAGUGGUUCCAGAUAAUACAAUAGGUCCAACAGUAGAUUACAAGUUGUUACACACUUGGUAAAAAUCAGAGUUUGACAAGUUCUGAAGAAAAACAAUAGAAGGUAAAAUAAGCGGAAGCUAAACGUAGGGGUCGGACGUCCUUGGUGAGGCUAGCCAAGACGUCACUAAUCCCUUUCCUUGCUGUCCGAGGAGGGAUCCCACUUGACCGUCCAACCCGGAGGGAGUUGGGGCGGCCAAGUGCCAACAGGAGAAGACUCCGGAGCUGUGGCUUCACCUGAAAAAGAAAAGCCACAACAAGGCUGAGCUACUAAGCUCAACAAGACUUAACCGACCAGGAGUAGACUACUUCUCCACUUCUAGACAUGCAAGGCUCUUUGGCUGAGGGGUUUGUUUGCCAAAAGCACUAAGUAGAUCCUUAUUUUCAAAGUUUUAGCUCAGAUUCUAGGUUCAUUGACAGGUCUAAGUUGGCAACUUACUCUAAGCAAACAUAGAUCCAACCAAAGGAUAUAUAAAAACAUCAUCAAGACCAUGUCAUCAUCAGAUUCCUUUCUUACUCAGGGUAGAAUAGCGAUCAAGUAGUCUCAAAAUGUGAGAGGCAGACGAAUCGAUUCGAGUUCUUUAACCAUGCAUGGUGAACCUAACCUCACGACAUCCGCGCACCACCGAGGUCACUUCCUGUGUCGGCCUUCCCCAUCAAUUCCCUAACCUGUGUCGGGCCUAUUUCCUUUGGUGCAAGGUUCCACAGACUCGGCCUCUGCCAUUCUGUGACCACACUUGCCACCACGUGCGGCCGCAGGGGAAACUCCGUUCGAAGGACAAUGGGGCGACCGCUCACGUCUAGGUUCAAUCCAGUACUAGGCUUCCUUAUCCCAUAAUGAGUAUGAGGUUAGUACUUUCAAACACUUGAUCACGAACACCACCACUGUCGGGCCUUAACAGAUUUCAUAGACAGACGAGGCGAUCAGCCGACCACCAAAAGUUAACCAGAACCCUGCCCCAUCCAUCGUCCUUAUAGUGGUGACAGAAGGAGAACAAUCAACUCCUACAACUCGCGAGUGACAGGAAAUCACUCGACUUUUACCGCUUCCUAUUUAAGCAUAGCAACUACCCGGUCCAACAACUAGUGUUCAGAUCAAGGGACUAUGCCAUGCAUCUACGGUUUCAAACAACUCCUAUACGUAAAUGCACAAACAUGAUGAAGAAGGCAUGCGCAAGUUUGGGAAACUGGGAUUCAUGCUCCGAGGCUUGCCUUCAAGCGAGAAGGAAGGGAACUGAUCUUCUGCUGGGGCGGCUUCGGCUUCUGGAAAGUGGGAGCUCGGCUACAACUCCGUCUUCUGGCGCCGGGUACAGCUCGUAGAUGCAACUCUACACGAAUGCAAAUGCAGUGGGUUAGCACUUAGACGGUUAUUUCAACAGCAACACUUACAAGUUAAAGCGCGGACACUGGUAGCAAAGCUACAGAAAAGAUGGGAAAGUGUACUUGAGUUGGUGGAGAGUAAGAUAAAAGGGUCGGAUGGGAAGAAACUUAUGAUCUGACUCUUAGACUAGAGGAAUAGUUGUGCUGGGGGUCCUCAGACUUAAUGCAGAGAAGUCCCCGAUUUUUACACCUAUACCCUCGAGUCAAGGAAAAGGAUACAGCCGAGACCUCGGGCGAGGCGGAGAAGGGUCAGCGAAACAGACAGGGUCGGGCGAGACGGAGAAAGGGGUCGGACGAACAGACAGGGUCGGGCGAGGCGGAAAAGGGGUCGGACGAACAGACAGGGUCGGGCGAGGCGGAAAAGGGGUCGGACGAACAGAUAGGGUCGGACGAGGUGGAAAAGGGGUCGGACGAACACACAGGGUCGGGCGAGGCGGAAAAGGGGUCGGUAACUUACCUUUGAUUUAAGGGUGAAGCUCGGGGUCGGGAAGAAGCAGACUUGGGCGGAAGGAUGGAAGCACUAAGGCUUGGGCAGCGGCGAUGUCCGGCGGUGCUCCGACGGCGGCGGUGCUUCUUGUGGACAACAAGCAAGCUCUUGCGCAGCGCGGAGGAGCAAGCAGCUGGGUGGAUUGGGAAGGGUGGGUGUUGAGCGGAGAGGAGAGUUCCUUAGGAACUUGGGUGGCAGCGCUUGAGCACGAAAUAGAGGAACAACAGUAAGGCAGUGAUGGCGAAGGGAACUCCGGUGGGACUCUGGCAUUCCCUUUUAUAGCUGCGCGGGAAGAGAGAGAGCUGGAGCAGCACAAAGACCGGGAAGAAGUGAUGGAGUGCGCUACCAUGGCGGCGAUUGAGCAACGGAGCGGCGGAGCAGGACUUCGGGGGUGACACCUUUGGCCAUUGGGCACCAGAGACAGGGCAGCGCAGGCGCGGUUUUGCCGGUGGUUGAGAUUUAGCGGAGGUGGGCAUCGUCGUGCGGCGGAUUUGAUGGGUGUGACAGGGGAAACGGCGCUAGAAGCGAGGGCGCACAGGUGAGAAGACAGGCGGGCUGCGGCUGUGCGGGCGAGCGUGAAGCAGCGGUCUAUUGGGGCGCAGCUCUGACAAGGCGGGAAAGGAACUGUCGCGGCCGGGGUCGGGAUUGGCAAUGGAGGAAUCAUCGCGUAGCGCAGUCCGGGGCGGCGCGACUGUGGAGGGGCGGCGGAAAAGCCGGGCCUUGCAGCCGGGGGUCCGGCGAGGUGAUGAUGGGCGCGAGCCGCGAGGCGCUGCAGAAAGGGUUGCAGAGGGGCUUCCGCUGUGAUUGGGGAAGAGGGCGCGGGAAUCCAUCCGGUCGCGGCCGGCGACAGGGCGGAGCGGCGGGGGUCGGAGAUGUUGAGCGACGCGGCGGAGAAGCUCUGAAGUGGUCAUGCCACUCUAGUGCGUCUGCACCAGGAGAUCGGGGAAAAGAUUUUGCGGGUCCACCGGUUAGUCUCGGUUGGUCCUCUUCUCAGAUUGAAGGGAGACACUGUGGAGAGACUUCGAAAGAUUCGGCAGUAUGGGUUGGGGGUCGGCAUGGGUCGGAGCUGGGAAAUGGCGGAGAGGGGUCGGGUUCUCAGGGGUCGGGACCGGGGCUGGAGGUUGAGCACUCAACUCGGGGAAGCUGAGAUAGGCGAUCAGGGACUCGGAUUUGAUUAACUCGAAAGAUUUAGGGUCGGGCGUCACAGACGGGAGCCAUGAACUCCGUCGGCAAGAUAAACACCAUGCUGACAUCAGCUGCCGAUUCCUGAUUGUCGUCUUCUUCAUUGUUGUUUCUUUUGGGGUGCCAGACUUGAGACCUGUCAUCCUUCUUAUCCACCACCUUCCUCUGCUCUUCUUCUUGUUGUUCCCAUUGGCGCAGACGUUGGAUCCUUCAUUUUUGGGAUUUGGUCAAUCCAUUAGGGCACCACCUGGAGUUCACCGGUUUGGCCGGCGGUUUGGCGCGCUCCCAGUCUGGUUCUCACCCUAGGGGGUUUUCAUCUAACACCUUAGCGUCGGCCAUCUCUUCUAGCCGAUCGUGUGCGCUGACUCUGCCCCCCCAGUCGCUUGCGCUGGUAAAUCCUACCCCCCGGCCUAUCAUACUGUUCAGGUCUACCCCUUGCCUGAUCAUACUGGUCAACUCUGCCCCCCAGCCGAUCAUGCACUGAAAGGCGCCGAUCCUCUUGUUCGCACCAAUUUCUACUGAUCGGCUCUGAUCCUCUGUCUCUAGAGCAUGACCUCUUGAACGGGCGGUUGUCGCGAUAUAGACCACUGCAUUCAGGGCAAUUAUUGGCUUAUGGUAACCUGAGGUUAUUUUCCCAGCAGUGAAUGAAGAACGAGCAUCGCCAAUGAUCUUUGUGUCAACACAUCAUCUCUUCGCGGUGUCUCAAACUUUCUUGCUAUCGUUGAUAUUUGUGGAGCAAGAAUUGGGAGGUGAUAGGUCUAUGUGUUCUCUUUGAUCCUUCGCCCUCGUCCUCGACCCAUCUUUUCCCUUUGACAUCUUCAACCGUGGCCUAAUUUCUGGGGUCCACGACGCCGCUUCUCUUAGCCGAUUCCGACGUUAGCACCUUGGUUUGAAGCGCGUUUCUUCCCGUAUCAACCAUGUUAGUAGGGAAAGGAUGCUGGUCAAUCUUCAUCGGCUUUACUAGCUUCGCCGGGACUUCGAAUUUGAGUCUGCCUUUCUCAAUGGCCGACUGUAUCUGCUGACAGAAGAUUUUGCAUUCAUUUGUGUCGUGAGACGUGGCAUUGUGCCACUUGAAAUAUUUCAUCUUUUUGAGCUGCUUGGCCGAUGGAAUGGUGUGGUAAGGUGAGAGCUUGAUCUGCCCCUCUUGGAGAAGUAAAUCGAAGAUCUUGUCGGCCUUUGACAUGUCAAAACCGAAAGCUUCUGGUUCUUUCUUCCCGAACGGGCAUGAUAUCAGCUUUUUCCCUUUUACCCAUUCUGCUAGGCCAAUUUUCGCUUCCUCUUCAGACUCAGAUCCUUCCAACUAUGCCACCUUCUUCUGAAAAUUCCUCCGCUGGUCGAAAGGGCGUACUUCUUGACCGGCCAAUCGGUGGACGAUUUGACUUAAGCUGUCAAACUCCUGGGAGGCGUACUUCUCUUUGAUGUGUGGCAGGAGACCUUGGAAGGCGAUAUCGGCCAGCUGAGCGUCGGUCAGAACUAGGGUGUAGCAUUUAUUUCUGACUUCUCUGAACCUCUGCUUAUAAUUGGUCAUUGGUUUGUCGCUCCUUUGCAUGAGGUUGGUCAAAUAUGAAAGCUUCAUCUCGUGGACACCCAUGUAGAAGUACUUGUGGAAUUGCUUCUCCAGAUCGGCCUAGGUGACGAUGGAAUCGGGUGGCAGCGUAGUGAACCACUAGAAGGCCGACCCAGAUAGGGAUGACGAGAAUAAACGUACACGCAGAGCGUCUUGUGUGGCUGCUUCCCCGCACUAGAUGUUGAAUCUAUUUACAUGCUCCACAGUUGAGGUGUCAUCCAGCCCUGAAAACUUGGUGAAGUCAGGAACUUUGUACCGAUGGGGAAACGGCAGCAAGUCGUAAGUGGGUGGGUAUGGCGUUUUGUACGUAUAGGUCCGUACCUUUGGCUUCAACCCGAAUUGAUCUUGAAUCACCUCUGCUAUCCUUGCUGUCCAAUCCACUUGCUGCUGAUGAACGACUGGUUGAGGGAUCGGCACAUGUUGAUGGAUCGGCGGUGGGACGGCCAGAUGAUGGAUCAAAGCAUGCGGCGGAUUUUGCGGCAGCGUGGCCGGCUGAGCAGUUGACAGUUGGUGGCAUAGCGAAUCUGCCAUCCCAUCGUACAGCAUCAUCAAUGCCGCACUUCUGAGUGUUUCUGCAGUGUCUGCCCCCCUACCGAUUUCUGAUGAGACCGGUUGGUAUUGUGGGACAGUCGGCCGGAUAGCCGAUUGGAAUGAUGCUUGUAUCGGAGAGCUUUCGUAACCAGUUGAUUGGUCCAAACCAGCCGCCGUCGUUGGUGCCCCCCCACGGUACUGAGUUUGAGGGCAGUGAUUGCAUGGGGGAAACCUGGGUAGGUUGAGGCGGCGCUUGCGACUGAAAGCAUGGCGCGCCGUUGUAUCCUGGAGGCAUUGAAGUGUUGUAUCCUCCAUGUUGCGUUGGUAUCGGCUGAGGAGCCGAGUGAGAUGUGCCUGGUAAGCUUCUGACUGGAGCUAUAAUGGGUGGGGUGUACGCUGGCCCCUGAUACCCCUGAGCUACUCCGUUGAUCAGGGAACUGAUGACGGCAUUGUAUACCGUGUUGGUCAUCACUGAAGAUUGGUCGAUGAAAGCCUGGUAGAUGGACUGCUGAAUCAUAUCGGACAUCUUGCCCGAGUCCUCAGCGACGGUGAUUUGGCGGGGAGUUGGAAGAGGAGCUUUCUUGACGGUUUCCCCGCUUCUGGUACGACUGAAAGAUUGCAAGCAUGUCUUCCUGUAUUCUUCUAGGUGUCUUGCCAAUUCUUCUUUCUGGUCAUCCUUGAGAUCUGCUUCCGUAACCUCGAUGAUGUUGUCUUCAGAGAUUUCGGUGGCUUUUGACAUGUUGGAUGUCAUGUUGGUCCCACCGAGCGUGCCAAAAGUGUGUUGACGCUAAAAAUUGGCCGAUGACCUUCAACGUCGGACACACGACCCGGGAGAAUCUGCUUAGCUCCUAUUCGGGUAAUCGCCCUGGUGCGGUUCGCGCGGCGUGCUAGUCAAUCUGACCUGUUGAUUGACAAAGAAAGAAACGUAUUAAAUCCCAGGGGUUUCGAUCGGCUAAAGUUCCGAUCUGUCUCAAAAAACGUAUCAGCGAAUCGACCAAUUUGCUAUAAGAUGACCGGCUAUAGAACAGCCGACAAUCACGCAACGAUUGUAAAGAAUCUACCAAAGCAGACUAGAUAAUGCUACGAAGCAACACUUGAAACAAAUCUAAUCGAUUGUAUAAUGAUAAAUAAAAAUAAUAGUAAUAAAGCCGACAGUUCAAAUCUCAAGCUGGAUAACUAGUGAUAAAACUAGAACGAUAGGUAAAACCUAUAAUUCUAGUAAAUAUCGAUAACUGGUGAAUAAAUCUAAACGAAAUGACAACGAUGCGCCCAAAGUUAAAGCUUAGAUAUUACUCAAUAAACGGAACUUACAGAAUCGGCCGGAGAUCGUAUCGAUGCAGCCCUGCCAACCCGUACGAACUCGUGAAGGAAAAAGAAGUAUUGGCGAAGUCGCCGACUUGAAAGUAAAGUAUCAUGAAAAAGUAGAUUGUUUGUAUUGAUUGGUGUGUUUUUUUACAAAUCUCUAAAGAUGGCUAUUUAUAGCAUGUUACAACUGAUUUCCUAACCGACUAAGAUGUAUCUCUAAUUUUAAAUGAAAAUGAAUAUCUACAAACACAACUCGUAUCGGAGUUGGUUAUCAUACUCCUACGGGCCAAUCUUUCUCUAUAUUCCUUUUUUGGCCCACCUUAAGCCCAUAUUGGUCCAAUCGCUCCAGCCUUCCAAUCGGCCGACCCCCACCAAUCCCAUUCGCCAAUCGCUCGAAACACUGUAGCGCCAAUCGGCCGAUUCCCAACUGUAGCACCAAUCGGCCGAUUUCCAAUCGUAACCUUUUAAUCCGCCGCAUCGGUCAAUCCUUUCCUCUCUUGACGCCGAUCCAAAACGUGUCAAAAUCUGGCGUCAACACAAGUCAAAGUAAAAAAAAAAAACUACUUCAACAGAGCCGAAGCCAUUUUUCGAGGAGGCUGCCAAAGGGGCCCUAAGUCGGUUCUAGGCUGGCGUGUCUCUGUUCUCUACUCUGACAUAAUGAGUAAUGCUGAUUCCAUAUAAAAUGGACCAGAGGAUUCGUCUGCUGAAAUAGCUAGAGCACGCAUCUGCUCAACCGUCUGCCUUUUGAUCACAUGUACUCCCUUCGCGACACUACAAGAUGCGCUCCUGGAGAUGAUGCUAUCCCAGACAUGUACUCGAUUGCCUAACAUUGGGCCACAAAAAGUUAACACACUCCCAACUAAUUGCUCCAGGAACAAAAAUUACCAUCACCCUUCCAUCAAACCCCAAACUAAGGGGGUGUUUGGAUGUGAGAUAACUUUAGGAGGGUCACAUCGGAUAUUCGGAUGCUAAUUAGGAGAACUAAACAUGAGUUAAUUGCAGAACUCCUAUACUAAUUCGCGAGACGAAUCUAUUAAGCCUAAUUAAUCCAUCAUUAGCAAAUGGUUACUGUAGCACCACAUUGUCAAAUCAUGGACUAAUUAGACUUAAUAGAUUCGUCUCGCAAAUUAGACUCCAUCUGUGCAAUUAGUUUUAUAAUUAGACUAUAUUUAAUACUCCUAAUUAGUAUCAAACAUCUGAUGUGACAGGUACUAAAGUUUAGGGGGUGUAUCCAAACACCCCCAAAUUUAAUCAUCAGUAGACAUCUCUAACAACCAGUGCAGUCAAUUCUAAACAUGUUAUAUAUUUGUUUUCCUUCAGCACAUAUAAUGUCAAUUAUACGUGUGUCCAGUUAUAUAAGACUAGACAGACAUUCCAUAGUUGACGAGAAGCCACCUCCAACGAACAAAUCAUCAAUAGAAGAUGCUGCUGCUGCGGAGGUAGUUCAAACCAACGAACCACCUCAGCAGACACUGCACAUUAAAGACGUUUUAAACUUUCCAGCACUCAAAACACACGUUUCAUCGAGGAAAUUGCACUCAAAACACACGUUUCAUCGAGGAAAUUGCACUCAAAGCACACAUUUCUUCGAGGAAAUUGCAGACUGAGUAGGAGUAUUAUUAGACAGCAGCCAUCAAGUAGAUACGAACCAAACAUGGAAGAAAACUAACACAACAGACAAAUAUUUCCUAUACAUGUUAAGUCUGAUUUCUACACGAGACCACUAAGGGGGAUCCCUAGAAUUAAAACCCAUUCCUUGAAUCAGAUUCUAGCAAUUAGCAAUAGGAAAUGAAUUAGCUAGAAUACAAGCAAACUGCCAACAAGAUGCAGGAAAAAAUCGCAGCACGCCGCACCUCUAAAUCAAAAAAAAAUGAAAAUUCUCUUUUGGAACGUGAGAGGAAUAGGAGGAAGUAGCACAAGGAAACAACUUAGAGAGUUGAGGCAUGAAAAUAGAGUAGAUGUAAUUUGUUUGCAGGAAACAAUAAAAGCAGAUUUUUCGGUCUGGGAACUCGCAGUUUUGAGUGAGGGUAGUAAGUUUGCUUGGAACUGGACGGGGCAGCACAAGGGCAUUCGGGAGGAACUAUGAUUGGGAUAAAACUGGGAGAUAUAGAAGCUAUUGAGAUGGAUAGAGGAGAUUUUUUUUUUCUAGUAUAAAGAUUCAAAAUAGGAAAGAUAAACUACAACGUUUUAUGGCCCAGUACAGUUGGAAAGGAAGGCUGGCUUUCUGCAGGAACUCAAUCAGGCCAUUUAUCCGCCCGGGGGGGGGGGGGGGGGGGGGGGGCAUGGCGGGGGAUUGCAACAUGAUCAGGUUUGCUUGGGAGAAAUCUUCUGACAACCUAUAUCAAGGAUGGAUGGACACGUUCAAUAAGUUUAUGAUCGAUGGGAUCAGGUUUGCUUGGGAGAAAUCUUCUGACAACCUAUAUCAAGGAUGGAUGGACACGUUCAAUAAGUUUAUGAUGGGUAAUGGUAUCAAAGAAAUGCUGAGGAAAGGGAGUAAGUUCACAUUCACAUGGACCAAUAAACAAAUUAAUCCUGUGAUGAGUGUUCUUGAUAGAGUUUUUGUCAGCCCAGAUUGGGAUUCACAUCACCAGCUAGCUACUUGUGAAACAUUAACUAGAGUGGGAUUUGAUCAUAGCCCAAUUAUAGUCAAUACGGAAGAUGUAAGAGUUCAGCAACAAUACACCUUCAGAUUUGAGAUGGCAUGGCUGACUCAAGAUGGAUUCAGACAGAGUAUAUGUUAUGGUCGGCAUACCAUAUAGGAGGCCCCGGCAGCAGCCCUAGGAACCCCAGGGAAGUAGGCCAGUUAGUUAGAGUCUUCUUCAGAUAAGAUAGACACUACUAGAAAUCCUUUCAUCUAUGACGAUUUGUGAAUGACAAUUCUGAUUUUGGUCACUAAAUAAGGUUAAGUAAUGAUGAUUUUACCUAUAUCGUCAUGGAUGUUGGGUGUGGGUGUCAACCCUAUCGUACAACUGUGACGAAUCGGAAAUAAUUGUCAUGUAAAUAUACUGAGGUUUGUCAUAGAAGUGAAACUAUACAGUUUCACCAUUCGGGCCCACCUGUCAGAUAAUUCUUUUCAACACAGGUGGCUUACCAUCGGAAUACUAGUUUGGACAUGUUAAGAGUUGCGAACAUUAUUGUCUUAUUGGAAUUUUUGAUCAUUCAUAUGACCCUUUCACCGUGCCUGUGUGCUGCCACCUAGAUCCAAUCUUGAGUUCGUGCAGGGGCUGGGAGCUGCGGUGGACCGCUCUGGCGCGCGGGCAGCUGCAGCGGACCACUCCGGCGGGUAGCUGCUCCGGCUACAACUCGGUGCUUCUGCGGGCAGCUGCUGCGGCUUCGCUACUCCGGCGGGGAGCUGCUGCGGCGCGCCCCUACUGCAGCAUAGGUGCUUCGGCGGGCAGCUGCUGCGGCUACGCUACUCCGGCGGGCAGCUAUUGCGGUAUGCUUCGGCGGACAUCUGCUGCUGCCGGCUCCGGCUGCCAGCUCCGUCAGCUGCGGGUGCUUGCACUGCAGCUACUUAGAGGUAUUGUCCUCUCCCAUUGCCUGCAAUGCAUAGCUUUUCAUAGCUGUGUAGACAUGACUAAUUAGAGGUAAUUGUUGUUGUAUUCGGUAGAUGGACAGAACAUGGAUUCAUGCUACUCGGUUCAGCGAUGCCUUCACCAAUGGUGUUGAUCAGUUUAUGUCUUUUGUUCGAGAUAGAUUCCAUGAGGACGAUGCUAUACUUUGCCCAUGUUGCAAUUGUCUGAAUCAGUCUUCAUGGAGUCAGAAUGAUGUGCAUGAUCAUAUCUAGCUCUUUGGGAUGUCAGCUACAUAUACUCGGUGGGUACACCAUGGAGAAGGUGUUGAUGUUGAGAUUGUGGAAUAUGUAGAGGAUGCAAAUGAACCUGAUCAUCUAGGUGAUGUGUUGGAUAUGGAUGAGCCCAACAAUGAAGAUGAGGGUACGACAGAGAUGCUUGCAGACCUAUAUACAGCUACAGAAGAAGAUGGACAACAACCUAUGUUUGUAAAAGUUCUUGAAGAUGCAAAACAUGCUCUUUGCCCGGGUUCUAUUCAGUCUAGGUUCUGUUUUCUAGUCAGAUUGCUACAUAUCAAGUCAUUCUAUAGGAUCAGCAACACAGCAUUCAGUGCAAUAUUGAGGCCCCAUUUGGUUCCGCUGACUUAUUUUUAGCAUUCGUCACAUCGAAUGUUUAGAUACUAAUUAGGAGUAUUAAACGUAGACUAUUUACAAAACCCAUUACAUAAGUGGAGGCUAAACGGCGAGACGAAUCUAUUAAGCCUAAUUAGUCCAUGGUUUGACAAUGUGUUGCUACACUAAACAUUUGCUAAUGAUGGAUUAAUUAGGCUUAAUAGAUUUGUCUCGCCGUUUAGCCUCCACUUAUGUAAUGGGUUUUGUAAAUAGUCUACGUUUAAUACUCCUAAUUAGUAUCUAAACAUUCGAUGUGACACGUGCUUAAAAAUAAGCAAAGGGAACCAAAUGCCCCCUGAAGUUAUUGUCAGGGUCAUUCCCUAAUUGUGAUCUUCCAGAUUCAUAUGACAAAGCAAAGAAGUAUCUCAAGGAAUUGGGCCUUGGAUAUGAGUUAAUCCAUGUUUGUGACAAUAAUUGUGUAUUGUUUCGGAAGGAUCUAUCCAAUCUGGACAAGUGCCCAAAAUGUAAGGAAUCUAGGUGGGUGGAUGCAGACGGUGCCAAAUAGCUUCCUAAAAAGGUUUUGAGAUAUUUUCCUCUUAUACCCAGGCUGAAGAAGAUGUUUGCAAACAAAGCAACAUCUGAGGAGACCCGAUGGCACAAGGAUAAGAGGGUUCCUAUGGACAAUGAAAUGAGCCAUCCAGCCGAUGGCGACACCUGAAAAGACUUUGAUAAUGUGUAUCCAAGCUUCGCUGAAGAUGCAAGAAACCUAAGGAUUGGUUUAGCUACAGAUGGGUUCAAUCCAUUCGGGGCAUGAACACAACUUAUAGCAUGUGGCCUGUAGUUGUAAAGGUAUACAAUCUACCUCCAUGGUCAUGUACUGAUGCAUCCAACACUAUCAUGGCAUUGCUCAUUCCAGGACCAAAGUCUCCAGGCAAGGACUUUGACAUAUUCUUAGAACCUCUUAUUGAGGAUUUGUUAAAACUCUAGGAGGGUGUCAGAACUUAUGAUGCAUUCACUAGUUCAAAGUUUGACCUUCGCGCUGCAGUACUAUGGUGCAUCCAUGAUUAUCUAGCUUUGGGUAUAUUGUCAGGGCGAAUUACUAAAGGUUACUAUGCAUGUAUUUAUUGCAACAAAGAUCCAUUGUCAAGGAGUCUUAGGUAAAAGAUAUGUUACAUUGGACACCGUCGCUACCUUCCAAAAACUCACAAGUGGCUAAGAAGCUUGGCCUUUGAUGGACACCGUGAAAACCGGGUUGAGCCAUGAAAGUUGAGUAUGGAGGAGACAUUGGAGUGUCUGGAGAGGGUAAAAGAUGUGAGCCCUGGUAAGGCUAAAGGUAGCAAGAAAAGGAAGCAUGGACAGAAGGACGAUGAGCCAAAAUUGUUUCGCCGCAAGUCUGCUCUGUGGAAACUACCUUAUUGGAAACACUUGAAGCUACCACAUAAUCUUGAUGUGAUGCAUAUAGAGAAGAAUAUAUGUGAUGCCCUUCUAGGCAUAAUACUUUGUCUUGAGGGCAAGAAUAAGGAUACAGUUAAUUGGAGACUUGAUUUGCAGGAUAUGGGCAUACGACUUGAAUUACAUUUAGAACAAGAUGAUGGCAAUUCAGUUUCUAUGCCAGCAGCAUGGUAUGCCUUGAAGAAAGAAGAAAGGGUUGCAUUUUGUGGAUUUCUGAAAAGUAUUCGGUUUCCAUAUGGAUACGCUUCCAACCUGACAAGAUGCAUUAGUGCAUAUGGUUCCGAGGUGCAGGGCCUCAAAACCCAUGAUUGCCACAUCCUGCUUCAAAGAAUUUUACCUAUCGGUCUCCGGGGACUAGUGCACAAGGACAUAUAUGAAGCAGUUGCAGAGUUGGGUAAAUUUUUCAGGGAGAUUUGCUGUAGGAAGCUAAAGGUUGAUGUAAUCAAACAUCUGAAAGCAGAAAUUCCUGUGGUCCUAUGCAAGCUGGAGAAAAUAUUUCCUCCUGCAUUUUUUGAUGUGAUGGUCCACUUGGCUGUCCAUCUACCUGAUGAAGCACUCCUAAGAGGUCCUGUGCAAUAUGGAUGGAUGUACCCGAUCGAACGUCAAAUGGGCACUUUCAAGGGGUAUGUGAGGAAUAGGGCCAGACCUGAAGGAUCCAUAGAUGAGGCGUACAUAGCUAAUGAGGCCCUGACCUUUUGUUCAAGGUACAUGGAAGAUGUUGUCACUAGAUUCAAUCGGGAUGAUGACAAAGGGGUGAGAGCAUCACAUGAUGACCUCUCUAUUUUUCAGCAUGGUGUUAAACUCUUGGGAGCGAACAGGUAGACAUAUCUUGAGGACAAAGAAUUUGACAAGCUUUGUUGGUAUGUGCUAAACAACUGUGAUGAGACAGAGCCAUAUUUGGGGUGAGUAUUUUUUGUAUAACAUGCAUGACCAAUACUAGCAUUGUUUUUUGUUCAACAUGCCUGACCAAUACAUAUUUUGUACUGUGUGUGCAGCAUGUUUAGAGAAGAGUUACAGAAAGAAGGUGCCCAUGAUGUUGAGAAAAGGUUGGAAAAUAAAUUUCCUGCUUGGUUUAGGAGUCAUGUAAGUUGUUCCAGAUGUAUUUUUAAAUUUUCAUAUAUUUCAAAUUUUCACUAUUUUGCUAUUUUAGAUCAAGAUGAUGUGGAAGAAUAAUCGUGAAGAGGUUAGUGAAGGGCUAUAUGCAUUAUCAUGUUGUCCUGACCUUAGAGUGAAAUUAUGGGCAUCAUGCAGUGUCAGUGGUGUUCGGUACAACACCAUCAACCGUGAGAGACAAAGGCAUACACAAAAUAGUGGUGUGCUGGUGGAUGGAUCACAUAAUGGGGUGUUCACUAAAUUUUAUGGUCAGCUCACAGAGAUAAUUGAGUUGAACUACAACUCCAAUUUGGAAUUCCAUCGAACGGUGGUACUUUUUCGGUGUGAAUGGUUCAGUCAAGAUGGCAAAGCUAGAGCCAUUAGAGAUGAUGGCCAUUUUAGAACCAUCAAUAUUGACAGGUUUUGGUACAAGUCAGAUCCAUUUAUAUUAGCAACUCAAUCAAGAAAGGUCUUCUACGUGGAGGACAAUCUGCUUGGUCAAAAUUGGCGUGUUGUGCAAAAAUUUGAACAUAGGAGCAUGUACGAUGUCAAUGAAACAGAAUUGACCAAUGUGCACCAAGAUGAGACUGGUUCUGAUAAUGAACUUGGGGAACCAAUGUAACACCUCGUGUUAAUGACAGCCUAAAGAUGUCAAUGAGAAGUUAAUGACGACUUUUGGAGCAAAAAGAGGGUAAUUGACUCAAAGUCAAAUUCAAGCCGAAUUUGACCAAAAUUGCAAUUUGAAAUUUUAAAUUCGGAAAAAUUUAGCAAAAAUAUGAAGUUGAGGCUGAGGAUGUUUAGAACUCAAAGGAAUGAAGUUUGAGACUAAAUCAAGUCUUAAACUCCUCAAGAAUGCAGCUGAAAAAGGAAAUCAAUCAAGUUACUAUUCCCCGUCCGAAAAUAUGUAAUUCAGAAAAACAUAACAAGUACCGGACUUUGGAAUUGAUUUCUGCCUGAUUUUCCAAGUAAGUGGGCAAAGGUGUCUGAUUAGUAAUGAAGUAUGACCUUUAGACAAGCCUAGUAGGAUGUUGUUGACCAUAGAAAGUUGAGGGAUCAAAUUUAAAAUAGGACUCAAAGUCAGCACUCUAGCAGUUUUCAGCCUAGUUACUGAAACUGAAUUUUUCCUAAGUCUGAAACAGCAGUGAUUGACUAUGUUUGGAGCAAAUUUCAGAGAAAUGUAGUGCAAAAGGUAUAUGAGUUCAUGUGCAAAAUGGAAUCCUUGUUAGUUGUACAGCAUGAAUGGUUGAUGGUUGAACUACAUGGAAUAAGAUUAAGCUACUCAAAUCGAGUCAAAAGAAGGGUAAAUGACCCUGAACAGUGAACUGUCGAACUGAAUCAAGGGAUUCAGAGCAAUUCAGUUCUGCCCGAGAUGGAGACUCAAAAAUUUCGGCUCUAGGAUGUUUAUCUCGGGUAAAGGUUAAUAUAUCAAUUGAAGUACUCGAGUUUAUCUACAAGUUUGCUUAAAGGACUCUCGGACCGUAAGAUUCAAAAUCAACCGUUUUGAAGGUCUGAAUUUUUGGAGUAAAAGAAGGGGAGGGGAAAACAACAGAGGCAGAGACAUGUCGCCGCCGGUGCUUUCGCCCGUCAUCCAGCGUGAUGCAUAGGGCCACCUCCUCACCCACGCAAGCCUACAGCUAGGCCACGGUGGCACUCAUGCAAGCAGUGAAAAAUUUGUAUAAUUAUUGCGCCCGCCGUCGCUCCUAUCCGUUUACCGUGUUGCUUAUUUACCGCCGCAAGCAGAGCACAGCCAAGCCCCUGCCGUCGGUCGAUUUCCACCAUUUCACCGCCUCCCACUACAAUUCCUUCCACCCAAAUCCCCACCAACACCUCGCCAACAACUGUGCCUACUCGUUUUCCAACUUCCCCGCCGGCGAGCUCUUAGCCGCCGCUGUUUCCGUCCGCCGCCGCCAAACUUCCUGCACACGGUGAGCUCCUCCUUGCCGCCUCUCUCUCAUCGUGUGAUAGGUCCUAGGUAGGUCUGUAGGUCACUAGGGAACCUUAGGAGGAGUCAAACGUCGUGUUGGUGGUGUUGCCGUGCUGGUCCACAGCCGGCCGCAAGUCAAGCCGCCCGCCGCCAUGGAGAGGCUAGCUCCGGCCGUCUCCCAAGGGGCCGCUGCCGCCCACGGGUGCGCCGUGGCCUAGGGAUGCCUCUCCGGCCUGACCCCAUCGCCGGCGGGGUGCCGGCCAUCGAGCCGCGCCGCCCCCUGUUGCGCCCUGCUUUUGGCGCGGGGAAGAAGAAGACCUCGUGCUUGGGGCCCAUGCGCUAGGGAGAAAGGAGGGGAAGAGAAGGUCGGCCGGCGGGUAGAAUAGGAAGGGGGGAGUAGAGUCGGUUCACUAGGGCCCAGCACGAGAGAGAGGGUAGAGAGGAUUAGAGUGAAAAAAGUUGGGCCGGGGGUAUUUGGAUAAUCUUAGGUUUUUCCUUUUAUAGAUAAAUAGUGUAAAUUUGGUUUUCACCAUUUAAAUCACAGGAAAUUAUAGAAGUGUCCAAAAUUAGUGAAACCAAUUUUGUUAGGAUUUUUUUAUUUUCCUUUAUGCAUUAAAAUUCUUACACCUUAGGAAAAAAUAAUAAAAUUUAGGUAUUUAUUUGAUGCCUUUUCAUUAAGAUAUUUAAAUAAAUACUUAACCUUUAUUAAGUGCAUAAAAUAUUGAAUAAUAUUUUCAUAUUCACAAAUUCUUAUUAACCCAUAGGAAUUAAGUUUUUAGAUUAGAAAAUAAUUAUAAUGCCUUCUAAAAAUAAAAGAAAAGGCCUAAGGUAGGAUUAGUAAAGAAAAUAAAAAUGGAUGGUUAAUCUUUAUGGGUAGUUAGUGUUGGCUUGCAACUUUAUCAUGAUAAGUUGUAUAGUCACUUGUUGGCUUGCAACUUUAUCAUGAAGGAAAGUUGUAUAGUCUUGAAUUCAAAAAUUUGCAUCACUAACCUCUGCAUUUACUAAAUCGUAGACAACGGAGCUCCAGAAGGGGAAUUCUUGGAAUUAUCUGAAGGACCUUCAGAGUUUGAGGAGAUUGUUGAAUUGAUCCCCUGUGAAGCCGGUCCAUCGGGCAACGCUAACAUUUUUACAGAUCAAGGCAAGCCCCGGUGCAUCUAUACCUAUCUACUUUGAAGUUAUUAUUUCACGUGUCCAAUUAUUGGUUAUUUUUCAUAUGAAUGCAUUAAGUCUAGGAGUUGGUUGAAACCUAUUCUUGUCCAUGAUCCUACCUUGUUUAGAGGACAUCUUUGCCACUUGUUCACUAAUUAGUAAUGAACUUAUGCUUAGCAAUGCUUAGAUACUUCAAGCAACUUGAUUGCUUAGCUCUAAGGUAAAUUGUUGGGUCAUACAUAUUAGUUAAGGAAGGUUAGCUUGGAAAUUUGAAAAGCCGACAGAAGCUAGAGAUAUUAGUUCUAUCUGCAAGGUUAAAUUGGUUAAGGCCUGGUCGUUGUCUUAACCUUUGAUCAAGUGAAUAUCACCUGGUUGCUUACUGGGUAUGGGAUCAGUAAAGCCCGGUAGGUUAGUUAACUCUCUGAUCGGGAAUAUGUCGUACCCGUGCUUGACGUGCUGGAGAAUGGCAGGGGCGUAGCCUGAAACUCACAUGAAGAUCGGGCUAGACGUGGGGUCCCAUGUGGGGGUGCGUCCCUGGGUUCAGGUAGUCUUAUUCCCAAUCUUUAGGUACGCUAAUCGAAGGGUCGUUAUGUACAACCUGGACAGUUGUACAUAGCUAGUGGUCAGGGUGCUCUUCUGCAGGAUGUAAAUUGAUCCGGAUCGCCGUAAUUGUCGAUUAUGAAUGAACUUGAUCACCAUUAAGCAUCGUAGUGUAAUCUAGUGAAUGUAAUGUUUUUCUUCCGAAAUUAAUAUGUUGUAUGACUUAAUUCCUACUGAUUGCAAAAGUAUUUCUUUUCCAUCAUCUAGACUGGACAGGUAACAACUCAAUCUGAAAUAAAGAUAAAGUUAAGGUUUCACUUAUAGUAAGCUCUUUUAGCAAAAUGUGAGUCAGCUAGUAAACUAAACAACUAUCAUUCAGUUUUGGAAAGACUAUUAUAUUGGUUAGUCGGGUUAGUCUUGCUGAGUACCCCGUACUCAGGGGAAUCCUUCAUUGCUAUUUCAGAGCCACAGCAGGAGUCCGCCGAGGAGGAAGCCCCAAAGAGCUAGGGUAUUUUUACGAGUCUCACAAUACCCUAGAAAUAAAACUCAGAUGUUUAUCUUUCACCUGGACUGGUUUAUGUUUUAAAACUCUUAGAACUGCUCUGACCUGCAUUAUUAAGUUUGUUUCAAACUAUGGUCUGUAAUAAUUCGCAUCUCGGUAUGUGUGUUAAAAUGUAAUAUUUGUUGAUACCUUCCCAUCGUGGAAGCGAUUCUAAUGUAUGGCUAUGGGACACAUCGUGGAUAUUUCGAGGAGUCCUAGGGACACUCGACGGACUACCAGACUUAUACUAUUUUAAGUGCGUUUCGGAUAAUUGUUGUUCCGACAGCGAUUAGGCGCACUUAAACCAGUUUAAGUUGGGCGGUUCUGCCACAGCUGGUAUCAAAGCCAUAGGUUGGGAUAAUCAACAGAUAUUACUGUUUAAAAAUUGAAACUCUAUUUUAAAUAAAGAAAAUGUGUCUUAGGUGGCAAUAGCAUUAAUUGGUUGAUUGUUUUGCAGAUGCUAACUGUUUGUUGCGUGUCGCUAGUAUUCGAUAGCAUAUUAUUAGGGAGAGAUUACGAUGCCACCAAUUUUCCUACGAGUGUGUAUAUGAGUCUGAAAGUACGUAGGAAUCAUUGCAUCAUAUUGCAUAGCAUGUUUUAAAAAAUUUUGGGUUUGGUGAGUGCCGUUAGACCUAACCCUACUUCUUUUAUCAGAUGUUCCAAGAGGGGUAUACUGAUCAAGAUGGGUGGACCUGGAAGCACUAUCUGGACAAACCUGGAUUUACACAAGUGUUGUGGAAGACACUUCAGGAGUUGGGAUUUCAUAAUCCUCCUGAAUAUUACUGGAGGAAGGAGGACACAUGCCAUAAGCAGUAUUGCACUGUGUACGUCCAUAUUCCCGAUGAAGAUACAAAUCCUAACUAGCAUUUGGAGGAAGUCAUGGAGCAGGGCAUUGAAUUCAAGGACACUAUUGAGAGGGCAGCCAUGACUGCCCUCACAGAGUUAUGUGAAAAGCAUAAGGUGGAAAUAGGGUCGAGUUCUGCUCGAUUCUAUCCCAUAAAACAUCAAGAUGAUGGUAUUUGGAGAAGAAGGAUUAAGGCAUUAAAGAAUUCAUCCCGUGUGGAGCACGAUGUCCUGGUUGCAACCGCCUCGGAUUAUAUGACGGCUAUGUAUAAUCUUCAUCAAUCAUGUAUAAGGGAGUAUUAUAAUCAAAGGAAGAAGAAUGAAGACGCCAAGAUGGAGGUAUGUGGUGCCAAACAUGACAAAGAAUUGUGUAAGAAGGCGGCACUAGACCGGGAACAUGAUAUGGAAAGGAUCAUGAGGGAGCAGUCUAAAAGAAUAGAUGAGUACGAAGAGAAGCUAAGAACAAUGCAGGAGUAUAUGGACGCUAGCAGGAACACGUCGGAGAGAGCACGAGAGGCAGCUGAAUCAAAUGUUAAUAGACUUGAGGCAGAAAGGUUUCAGCAGCUAGAUGAGAUAUUAUCCCUCCGUCUGGCAUUAGAGGAGAUGCAGGCUCAGGUACCUGCUCAAAAUAUGGUAAAUGUUCCACCGCCUCCACCCCCAGAAGAGCCACAACCACCAGCCCUGGAUGAGGGAGAUCAGUUUGUGGAUGUUGUAGGUGUCGAGGCUGACGUAGCUCCACUUGCAGCUCCCAAAAUUGACCUUUAUGCCCAUGAGAAUCUGGAAGGAUUUGAUGUUGAAAUGGAGGAUAAUCUAGGAGAAGCUCCAAUGGAAAAUCAUCAAUUUGCUUGGGCUAAUGCAAAUGCUGACGGAUUUGACCCACAAGGUCAUGGUCCUAUAGAACAAUGGGAAGAAGCCGAGCAUGAGGGCGAGGGAGAAGAAGAAGAAGAGGAACCGGAAGAGUUUGAAGGGAAUUAUGGUGUCAGUACAUCCUCAUCAUAUUCUUCAUAUACGUCAAGUGACCCAGGACCAGAAUCGGGAAGUGAGAACUCGGUCAAUCAACCCCCAUCUGUUGCUCCUCCAGGACAGACCCUAAUGACAGUGGAUCAGGACAUACUACAGGCUGCUAUGGCAAGGCUGGGGAUAAAUGUUGCGGAACUGGGCAUUUAUUCAUAUGGUGGCUGAAGGGUGACCAUGAUAAGAGGAUGUUGCUUAAGUUCAUGUAAUAUAAAUAAUGAUGUACUUAAGUAUGGUUUGUAUGUGACUACAAUAGUUGUGUUGAUAGAUGUGAAAAGCAAGCAUAUUUAUGAAGCUGGUGGCAAAUUGUUGCUUAGAUAUUAAUAUUCUGAUCGAUUUUUGGCAGAAUGACGGAUCCAAGAGGUCCUCGUGCUUCGAGGUCAGGGAGCCAUGAGGAGAGUCUACCUAGGGCCCCGACACUGGCUGAUGCUAUAGCCAGUCUCAUGAACUCGGGAGCCGAGCAAGCCCGGCUGCUCCAAAUGAUUGUACAGAAUACCGGGAAUGGUGGGGGUAGACGGGAUUCAGAACGUGGUGUAACCUACACCCAGUUUCUGGAGACCCAUCCUCCGGUUUUUCUGAAGGCCGAGCACCCGUUGGAGGCAAACGAGUGGCUUCAGACUAUGGAACAGAAGUUUCGAGUGAUUCCGCUUUGCACCACCACUCAGAAAGCAGAAUUUGCCGGACUCCAACUCCAGGGUCUCGCCGGAACCUGGUGGACUAGUUACCUAGCAAGACAACCUGUUGGGAAGGAAAUCACCUAGGAACAUUUUAAGGAAGCAUUUCGUACAUAGUUCGUACCGGAGGGAAUUCUACGAAUGAAGCUGGAGCAAUUUCUGAGACUUCAGAAGGGGAGUCGCAGUAUUCUAGAAUAUACAAAUGAAUUUGAUCACUUAGCUCAGUAUGCUCCAGAACAUGUUAACACAAAGUCCAAGAAGAGGGACUGUUACCUCCGGGGACUCAACGCAAGGAUGCAGGAGAAACUGUCUACCUGCACCUUUGCUGACUAUAGUUUUGCGGUAAGUGUGGCCAUUACCGCGGAAGAGAAGAUGAGAAUUCUAGAUGAAACCUUGAAGAAAGAAGAGUCUUUAAAAAGGAAGAAUAUUUCCUUUGGGACAUUUGGGAAUGCCCCGCAAAGAAUGAAGGUUGUAUAUUGAGGUCCUCCUCGACCUGCAUAUCGACCUUCUUUCCAACAGAGACCAUUUCAAUCUUGUAGUGCCAGAAAUCCUACCAAUAAUCCUGACCCUAUAAGUGCGCCACCCUUCGAAUUUCGCAGUCCUACUCCCCUAGGGAACCCGUAGGUUUGUUUUAACUAUGGGAAGCUGGGUCAUUUUGCUCGGGAUUGCCAUUUUCCCAAGGUUGGAGGAAACGUGAAUAUGAAAGCUCAAACCUCUGGCCAAGGCAUUGGUCAAAAAUUGGUUCGGCGAAAGUUUCUGAAUGCCAAGACUGGGCAAGCACAUUACAUGAAUGUGGAAGAGAUUCCAGAGGGCGAGCCUAUUCUGGCAGGUACGUUCCUCAUCAAUGACUACCCUGCCAUGGUUCUAUUUGAUUCAGGUGCAUCACAUACUUUCAUAAGUAGAGAUUUUGUUAAGAGGCACCAACUAGAAGUACACACCUUAAACACCAAAUAUGCUAUCCAAGCCACUGGAGCUACCCAAAAUACGAACCAAGUAGCUCGCAAUGUGAUUCUGAAUUUAGAAGGUAAUAAGGUGGGUGCUUUUCCUUUAAUUUUGGAAGAUCAAGGAAUAGAUAUCAUUUUGGGGGUAAAUUGGAUGAAAGAACAUAAAGUUCAAAUUGAUGUCGAUAACCGGAUCGUUAGUUUGAGGGAUACACGAGGACACCCCUUCAAACUCCAAUUACCCGCUCGUUCCUGUUUGGACUAGAUGGUUAAAAAGACUAGAGAAGUAACUCUAGAAUCUAUUCCCGUGGUCAAUGAGUUUGUAGAUGUGUUUCCUGAAGAUCUUCCUGGUUUACCGCCAGAUAGAGUGGUAGAGUUUACUAUUGAGCUACAACCUGGCACUGCCCCCAUUUCAAGAAGACCAUACAGAAUGCCACCUAGGAGUUAGCAGAAUUGCAAGUUCAACUCCAAGAAUUACUAGAUAAAGGUUUUGUUGGGCCUAGUACUUCACCGUGGGGCUGCCCAGCACUUUUUGUUAAAAAGAAAGACGACACCUUGAGGCUGUUUGUGGAUUACCACCCCUUGAAUGCGGUAACCGUUAAGAACAAGUAUCCAUUACCACGGAUUGACUUGUUAUUUGACCAGUUAGCUGGAGCCAAGGUCUUUUCCAAAAUUGACCUUCGGUCAGGAUAUCAUUAGAUUAAAAUAAAGCCCGAAGACAUACCUAAGACAACAUUCUCAACCAGAUAUGGGUUAUAUGAAUAUUUGCUCAUGUCCUUUGGGUUGACAAAUGCCCCAGCGCAUUUUAUGUACCUCAUGAACUCGGUAUUUAUGCUAGAGUUAGACAAAUUUGUGGUAGUUUUUAUUGAUGAUAUCCUAGUCUUCUCUAAGAAUGAGGAGGAACAUGCGCAGCAUCUGCGUAUUAUUCUAAAUAGGCUUCGGGAACACCAGUUAUAUACCAAGUUUAGUAAAUGUGAAUUUUGGUUGAAGAAAGUUCCAUUCCUUGGGCAUGUUUUGUCCAAAAAAGGAAUUGAAGUGGAUCCCGGAAAGGUCAAGGACAUAUUAGAUUGGAAGCCACCAACAUCUGUCCAUGAAGUGAGAAGUUUCCUAGGGAUGCCCGGAUAUUACCGUAGGUUCAUUCCUAACUUCUCAAAAAUUUCCAAGCCAAUCAAGGAAUUAUUAAAGAAGGAAGUGAGAUUUGAAUGGAGCUCCGAAUGCGAAGAAUGAUUCCAAAUGUUGAAGAAACUAUUAACUACAACACCAGUAUUGGCUCAACCUGACUUGGAGAAAUCUUUUGAUGUUUACUGUGAUGCUUCAGGAACAGGGAUAGGAUGUGUUCUUAUGCAAGAAGGUAGGGUUAUUGCUUACGCUUCUCGACAGUUGAAGCGACAUGAAGAGCAUUACCCUACCCAUGAUUUGGAGCUUGCUGUUGUGGUUCAUGCAUUAAAGAUAUGGCGGCACUACCUUCUAGGUAGUGACUGUCGUAUUUUUAUAGACCACAAGAGCUUAAAGUAUAUUUUCACUCAAAUGGACUUAAAUAUGAGGCAGAGACAGUGGUUGGAGGUAAUUAAAGAUUAUAAGUUAGAAAUUCAUUACCAUUCGGGUAAGGCUAAUGUGGUGGCUGAUGCUUUGAGCAGGAAGGCUCAAUGCCACUGCACCAAUAUUCAAUCUAGCCUUAAGACCUUGUGCGAAGAGCUAGAAGACUUAAGUUUGGAAAUAGUAACAUAAGGAACUCUCCAGAACAUUAUCUUGCAAGACACCUUGAAAGAAAGAAUUAUAACAGCCCAGAAAGAGGAUCUAUGGGUAAAGAUGCUUCAUAAACAGAAAGUGGAGGGCAAAAUUUCUGAGUUCACUCAACACAAGGAUGGAGGAUUGUAUUUCAAGAAUAGGAUUGUAGUGCCCAAGGAUGUGAAAUUGAGAAAGAUGAUUUUGGAUGAAGCACACCUGUCUAAGUUCGCCAUUCACCCCGGAAGUAACAAAAUGUAUCAAGAUUUGAAGCAUAGAUUCUGGUGGGCCAUGAUGAAACCAGAAAUUGCAAGAUAUGUGGCCGAAUGCGAUACCUGUCGAAGAAUUAAACCGAUCCUUCAAAAAUAUGCUGGUUUGCUUCAGCCUUUGGCAAUUCCUGUUUGGAAAUGGGAAGACAUUUCCAUAGACUUCAUAGUCGGGUUGCCUACUACUUCAAAAGGGCAUGAUUCCAUAUGGGUUAUUGUUGAUCGACUUACUAAGUCACCCCAUUUUAUUCCCGUCAAAACCACAUAUCCCGUAUCAACCUAUGCAAAGAUAUAUAUGACCCGGAUUGUAUCCCUGCAUGGGGUACCUAAGACAAUUAUUUCUGAUCGAGGCUCUCAAUUUGUUUCCAGGUUCUGGGAACAACUGCAUAAAGUUAUGGGAACUACUUUGAUUAGAAGCUCGGCCUAUCAUCCUCAAACAGGGGGACAAAUAGAAAGAGUCAACCAAAUCUUGGAAGACAUGCUAAGAGCUUGUGUCCUUACCUUCUCAAAGCUAUGGGACGAAUGCUUGCCCCUAGCUGAGUUCUCCUAUAAUAAUAGCUACCAAGCUAGUAUUAAGAUGGCACCUUUUGAAGCUUUGUAUGGUCGAAGGUGCCGAACACCUUUGAAUUGGUCAAAAGAAGGAGAGAUGACACAUUUGGGGUCGGAUUUGGUUAUGAAAACUGAAGAAAAGGUCCGAAAAAUUCGUAAACAUCUUGAAAUAGCCCAGUCCCGACAAAAGAGUUACUCGGAUAAAAGGAGACGAUCUUUAGAAUUUCAUGUUGGGGACUUCGUGUAUCUGAAGGUAUCUUCGAUGAAGGGAGUGCAACGUUUUGGAGUAGAAGGUAAAUUAGCUCCAAGAUAUAUUAGUCCUUACAAGAUUCUAGAACGAAAAGGUCCAGUGGCAUACAAGCUUUCACUGCCAGACCAACUUGCCCUAUACAUGAUGUAUUUCAUGUAUCCUAGCUUAAGAAAUGCCUGAGAGUUCCAAAAGAAAUUUUAGAAGAUCCGGAAGUUGAGUUAGAACCAGACCUAACUUAUGAGGAGAAACCUAUUAAAAUUCUAGAUCAAAAGACAAGAGAUACGCGAACCAAAAGUAUCAAGUUUUACACGGUACAAUGGAAAAAUCAUACUCUAGAUGAGGCUACUUGGGAACAGGCCGAAGAAUUAGAAUCCAAGUAUCCCAAGUUGUUUGAAACCAUUGAAAUCAGAUAAAUAGUCAUUACUGAACAACCACCCCACUUUCUUUAUGCAGAAUAAAGAAAGAUGUUUUACCUGACGCGGUUUCCUUUCCAUUCUCCAAACUGAGGGUUUAACGUUUGGAAUCUCGGGACGAGAUUCUAUUAAGGGGGAGAGGCUGUAACACCUCAUGUUAAGGACAGCCUAAAGGUGUCAAUGAGAAGUUAAUGAUGACUUUUGGAGCAAAAAGAGGGUAAUUGACUCAAAGUCAAAUUCAAGCCGAAUUUGACCAAAAUUGCAAUUUGAAAUUUUAAAUUCCGAAAAAUUUAGCAAAAAUAUGAAGUUGAGGCUGAGGAUGUUUAGAACUCAAAGGAAUGAAGUUGGAGACUAAAUCAAGUCUUAAACUCCUCAAGAAUGCAGCUUAAAAAGGAAAUCAAUCAAGUUACUAUUCCCCAUCCGAAAAUAUGCAAUUCAGAAAAACAUAACAAGUACCCGACUUUGGAAUUGAUUUCUGCCUGAUUUUCCAAGUAAGUGGGCAAAGGUGUCUGAUUAGUAAUGAAGUAUGACAUUUAAUUAAGCCUAGUAGGAUGUUGUUGACCAUAGAAAGUGGAGGGAUCAAAUUUAAAAUAGGACUCAAAGUCAGCACUCUGGCAGUUUUCAGCCUAGUUACUGAAACUGAAUUUUUCCUAAGUCUGAAACAGCAGUGAUUGACUAUGUUUGGAGCAAAUUUUAGAGAAAUGUAGUGCAAAAGGUAUAUGAGUUCAUGUGCAAAAUGGAAUCCUUGUUAGUUGUACAGCAUGAAUGGUUGAUGGUUGAACUAUAUGGAGUAAUAUUAAGCUACUCAAAUCGAGUCAAAAGAAGGGUAAAUGACCCUGAACAGUGAACUGUCGAACUGAAUCAAGGGAUUCAGAACAAUUCAGUUCUGCCCGAGAUGGAGACUCAAAAAUUGCGGCUCUAGGAUGUUUAUCUCGGGUAAAGGUUAAUAUAUCAAUUGAAGUACUCGAGUUUAUCUACAAGUUUGCUUAUAGGACUCCCGGACCGUAAGAUUCAAAAUCAACCGUUUUGAAGGUCUGAAUUUUCGGAGUAAAAGAAGGGGAGGGGAAAACAGCAAAGGCAGAGAUGUGUCCCUGCCGGUGCUUUCGCCGGUCGUCUGGUGCGAUGCAUAGGGACACCUCCUCACCCACGCAAGCCUACAGCUAGGCCAUGGUGGCACUCAUGCAAGCAGUGAAAAAUUCAUAUAAUUAUUGUGCCCGCCGUCGCUCCUAUACGUUUACCGCGUUGCUUAUUUACCGCCGCAAGAAGAGCAUGGCCGAGCCCCUGCCGCCGGCCGAUUUCCACCAUUUCACUGCCUCCCACUUCAAUUCCUUCCACCCAAAUCCCCACCAACACCUCGCCAACAACUGUGCCUACUCGUUUUCCAACUUCCCCGCCGGCGAGCUCUUAGCUGCCGCUAUUUCCGUCCACCGCCGCCAAACUUCUUGCUCACGAUGAGCACUUCCUUGCCACCUCUCUCUCUUCGUGUGAUAGGUCCUAGGUAGGUCUGUAGGUCCCUAGGGAACCUUAGGAGGAGUCAAGCGUCGUGUUGGUGGUGUUGUCGUGCUGGUCCACGGGCGGCUUCUGGUCAAGCCGCCCGCCGCCAUGGAGAGGCCAGCUCCGGCCGUCUCCCAGGGGGCCGCCGCCGCCCACGGGUGCGCCGUGGCCUGGGGAUGCCUCCCCGGCCCGACCCCGUUGCUGGCGGGACGCCGGCCGUCGAGCCGCGCCGCCCCCUUUUGCGCCCUGCUUUUGGCGCGGGGAAGAAGAAGUCCUCGCGCUUGGGGCCCAUGUGCUAGGGAGAGAGGAGGGGAAGAGAAGGUGGGCCGGCGGGUAGAAUAGGAAGGGGGAGUAGAGUCGGUCCAGUAGGGCCCAGCGCGAGAGAGAGAGGGUAGAGAGGAUUAGAGUGAGAAAAGUUGGGCCGGGGGUAUUUGGAUAAUCUUAGGUUUUUCCUUUUAUAGAUAAAUAGUGUAAAUUUGGUUUUCACCAUUUAAAUCACAUGAAAUUAUAGAAGUGUCCAAAAUUAGUGAAACCAAUUUUGUUAGGAUUGUUUUAUUUUCCUUUAUGCAUUAAAAUUCUUACACCUUAGGAAAAAUAAUAAAAUUUAGGUAUUUAUUUGAUGCCUUUUCAUUAAGGUAUUUAAAUAAAUACUUAACCUUUAUUAAAUGCAUAAAAUAUUGAAUAAUGUUUUCAUAUUCACAAAUUAUUAUUAACCCAUAGGAAUUAAGUUUUUAGAUUAGAAAAUAAUUAUAAUGCCUCCUAAAAAUAAAAUAAAAGGCCUAAGGUAGGAUUAGUAAAGAAAAUAAAAAUGGUGGGUUAAUCUUUAUGGGUAGUUAGUGUUGGCUUGCAACUUUAUCAUGAUAAGUUGUAUAGUCACUUGUUGGCUUGCAACUUUAUCAUGAAGGAAAGUUGUAUAGUCUUGUAUUUAAAAAUUUGCAUCACUAACCUCUGCAUUUACUAAAUCGUAGACAACGGAGCUCCAGAAGGGGAAUUCUUGGAAUUAUCUGAAGGACCUUCAGAGUUUGAGGAGAUUGUUGAACUGAUCCCCUGUGAAGCCAGUCCGUCGGGCAACGCUAACAUUUUUACAUAUCAAGGCAAACCCCGGUGCAUCUAUACCUAUCUACUUUGAAGUUAUUAUUUCAUCUGUCCAAUUAUUGUUUAUUUUUUAUAUGAAUGCAUUAAGUCUAGGAGUUGGUUGAAACCUAUUCUUGUGCAUAAUCCUACCUUGUUUAGAGGACAUCUUUGCCACUUGUUCACUAAUUAGUAAUUAACUUAUGCUUAGCAAUGCUUAGAUACUUCAAGCAACUUGAUUGCUUAGCUCUAAGGUAAAUCGUUGGGUCAUACAUAUUAGUUAAGGAAGGUUAGCUUGGAAAUUUGAAAAGCCGACAGAAGCUAGAGAUAUUAGUUCUGUCUGCAAGGUUAAAUUGGUUAAGGCCUGAUUGUUGUCUUAACCUUUGAUCAAGUGAAUAUCACCUGGUUGCUUACUGGGUAUGGGACCAGUAAAGCCCGGUAGGUUAGUUGACUCUCUGAUCGGGAAUAUGUCGUACCCGUGCUUGACGUGCUGGAGAAUGGCAGGGGCGUAGCCUGAAACUCACAUGGAGAUCGAGCCAGACGUGGGGUCCCAUGUAGGGGUGCGUCCCUGGGUUCAGGUAGUCUUAUUCCCAAUCUUUGGGUACACUAAUCGAAGGGUCGUUAUGUACAACCUGGACAGUUGUACAUAGCUAGUGGUCAGGGUGUUCUUCUGCAGGAUGUAAAUUGAUUCGGAUCGCUGCAAUUCUCAGUUAUGAAUAAACUUGAUCACCGUUAAGCAUCGUAGUGUAAUCUAGUGAAUGUAAUGUUUUUUCCGAAAUUAAUAUGUUGUAUGACUUAAUUCCUACUGAUUGCAAAAGUAUUUCUUUUCCAUCAUCUAGACUGGACAGGUAACAACUCAAUCUGAAAUAAAAGAUAAAGUUAAGGUUUCACUUAUAGUAAGCUCUUUUAGCAAAAGGUGAGUCAGCCAGUAAACUAAACAGCUAUCAUUCAGUUUUGGAAAGACUAUUAUAUUGGUUAGUCGGGUUAGUCUUGCUGAGUACCCUGUACUCAGGGGAAUCCUUCAUUGCUAUUUCAGAGCCACAGCAGGAGUCCGCCGAGGAGGAAGCCCUAAAGAGCUAGGGUAUUUUUACGAGUCUCACAAUACCCUAGAAAUAAAACUUAGAUGUUUAUCUUUCACCUGGACUGGUUUAUGUUUUAAAACUCUUAGAACUGCUCUGACCUGUAUUAUUAAGUUUGUUUCAAACUAUGGUCUGUAAUAAUUCGCACCUCAGUAUGUGUGUAAAAAUGUAAUAUUUGUUGAUACCUUCCCAUCGUGGAAGCGAUCCUGAUGUAUGGCUAUGGGACACAUCGUGGAUAUUUCGAGGAGCCCUAGGGACACUCGACGGACUACCAGACUUAUACUGUUUUAAGUGUGUUUCGGAUAAUUGCUGUUCUGACGGCGAUUAGGUGCACUUAAACCAGUUUAAGUUGGGCGGUUCCGCCACAACCAAUUGAUUAUGAUGGCUUAGAUGAGCCUACACCAGUCUACCAGCGUGUAGAUGGAGAAAUAGCAAGUGUUGCUGGUAACUUACAAGUUCUUAUCAAUAGAAGGGAAGAAGACAUUGCUGAAGCCAGUGACGAUGAAGAUGGUGAAGAUGACACUGUCUUAGAGUAUUUUAGUGAGAAUGAUAGAGAUCCCAUGGAAUGUAAUGAUGGUGAUUAGGUUAAAUCUAUCAUUGAAUUUGUAACUAUCUUUAAUUGGCUUUUGAUGUUAUGGAGAUGUAAUAUAAAAAUUCACCAUUCUAUAAAAAUUCAUACAUUCAUACAUUAUGGCAAGUCUAUGAUGUUGCUCACACAUUAUGUCAAGUCUGUGAUCUUGCCAACACCUUUGAUACAUUCAGAGAACUAAGCUCAUUUUCAGAAAUAAGCCAACCAAUUCAUACAUUCAUACCACUAAGCUAAUUCAGUCAAAUUAACAACCAGGAGUGGCAACUAAGCUGAAUCACUGCAGCUGUGGUUGCAGCUUCAGUGGCUCAGCACCUGAACCGAACUUAGCCACCAGGAAUGCCAAAAACAAAGCAACAAGGAUCAUUGAUCCACAACACUUAGUAACUCUGACUGCAGCUUGAACUUGCUUGGCCUCCUCCUUGGCUGCUACCUUGGCCUCAACUUGCUUGGCUGCUGCUCUGGCCUCCUCCUUCUCCUUCAUCAUUUUAGCAUGCUUCACCUCUGCUUCAUGCAGCAAAAGCUUUCAGUUCAUUCUUCUCCAUCUCUAGACCAUGGUUCUUUCUACGUAGAGACUGCACUGCAUCUCACAAAUCAACAAGGAUCUCAAUCUGAUGAUCUGUUGGCUUUGGAUCCAACCACACCCAAAACCUGCAUCCACCCUCCUUGCAACCACAAUAAAAUAGCAAAUUGUCAGACAGACUACAAAUCUGACCACAACAAAAGAGCAAUUUAUCGCAAAUCAACUCACCCGGUAUCUGUAGCAUGAAUGGUACCUCCUUCCGAGAUUCUCAUCACUCCAUGAGAUCCACCUAGGAGCCUUCCACCCGCAGUAGCAAUUGAUAGCUGGUGUGUAAGCAAAGGGGGGCACACGAUAGGAAAUUGGAGAGGAGUUCCGGGGACGCUCCAGAUCCAUGGAGGUAUGUGAUGAGCUUGAGCCAACAGUUGUUGCCAUGGAGCUCUAACCCUAAUCGGGUGGUGGCCAGUGGCGCGGUGGGUGGUUUUCGAUGGUGUGGGUACACGGCGGGGGCGGGUGCUGACCGGUGCCACGGUGGGUGGUUUCCGGUGGAAUGAGGGCACAGCUGCAGCGCAGCGGUUGGUGGAGUGGGUGCACAGCUAUGGCGCUGGCCGGUGGAGUGGGUACACGGCAGGGGCGGGUGCUGACCAGUGGCGCAGCGGGUGGUGGCCGGCGGGGGUGGGUGCUGACCGGGGGCACGACUGCAGCGCACAGUGGGGGAUUUGGGGGGAUUGGGGGGAUUUGGAGUAGAGGCUGACAGGGUAGGUCCACCCCAUCAGCUCUUCAAAUGGCUGGACUCGGUCCAGCAUGGUGUGAGGCUGACUGGUGGGUCGAUGAUGCUCAAAAUUUGGUCAAAUCCAUGAUUUCAGCUCAUUUCAAAUCUAAUCUGAAUCGAAUUUUCAAAGCAAUGUUGAAGUUCUACAUUAAAGUACAAUAAUUGUAAAACUCGCACUCUAAUGGUCAUCAUAUGGUCCAUAUCAAGUGUAUAAGUAUACCAAGCAUGUAUAUGAAUCGAAGGGCAUACGAUCUUACACAUCAUAUAGCUAUGUGUGUUGAUAUAACCAAGCAUCUAUAUGAUCUUAUGAAUUGAAGUGCAUAACUAUGUGGUUGUAACCAAUCAUGCAUUGUAUGUGAUAUUAAGAAGUGCUAAUCAACUUAUUAAGUGUUUAAAUUCAUUCAUGCACACACAUUAUAUUUAGGUACAAUGUGUAUGUGUAUAGCAACAAAUAAGAGAUCAUGUAUCUCUCCCUAUAAUUUGAGAGCUCAAAUAUUAUCAUCUUGCACAUUUUAUGUCUACAUCAGAGAAGGUUUUCAUCUUUCACAUCUAAUGAGUCUACAAUUUGUCCUUGAUAUAUGAAAGGAGGUUACACUAUAAAAAACAUCAUUGUAAACCAGUAUACUACCAUAAAAAUAUCGUUAUAUAGAAAAAAUACUUUGUAUCCCAAACACAUAGAAAUUGAUGUCAAAUUCGUGUACAAACAAAUAUCAUUUUACAUUUCAAUAGUACAACAAAAUAAUAGAAAUAAACCAUUUAGGUUUAUUCUGAGAAAAAAAAAGAAAAUAGUUUUCCAGCUCCCGCCUAAGGCUUCUGCUGCGCUCCGCAUCCCCCGCCCAAAUUUUGGUGGCUGCGAAAACCCCCUAUUGCCCUCCAGCUUGACGGCUCCUAAAACAUUAGACCAGGGACAAAAUUGUAACUUCAUCGAGGACUACAUAUUUUUGAAACCCCUCUGAUCUGGUUGAGACUAGCCGCAGCCACCUCAUUUCGUUUCCGCCCACCCUAGAUCCACUCUGUCGCUGCCCUCCUGCAUCCCCUCCGCCGCCGCCCUCCUAGACCCACUCCGCCACCGCCACCCUCGCAUACAACCACUACGCUGCCGCCCAAAUCCACUCCUCCGCCGCCUAGAUCCAGUCAGCCGCAACCCAAAAAUGCAACAUUCGAUGGAGAUGGAGGAGCCGUGACCUGCGACGUCCACCCCACCGGAGAUGGAGAUGUAGGAGCCACACCACUACGUCGAGCUGCACCGGAGACACGACGACGACCACGACGCCCACCCCACCGGAGGCACCCGUCAACGAUGCCUAAAUGGCUGGCAGCAUGACUUUCGCCCCCGAGCCCAGGUUCUCCUGAUUGCUUCUCCAUUUAGGGUUUAGGAUUUUGUUCUUCAGAUUUGCUUCCCUUGUGUAGCACUAAAACGUCUUGUAGUUCUCUAGGUAGGCCUUCUACUAGAUACGGUUUAGGUUUAGGUUUUAGUGAUCAAUUGGACUAAAAUUUGUUUACAAAUAGGGUACUAUGAAAGGCUACGGGCCUUGCAAAUCGCGAACAACAACAGGAAGAUGGAAGCCCUCGGUAUCCGUACCUUGGCCUCUUCUCUUCGUAAUGCAAGUUCUCAAAAUUUGAACAAGCAAACAGACAAGAAUGUUUCUGGUGAGGGGUCAGAUUCAUCCGAAUAUCUUCCUGGAUCUGAAGAGGGCCAGGAAGACGAUGAUGGAUGUGUUAAUACUAACUUAGAAAAGGUCUCUUCUCAAUCUUGGUUGGGGUUUUUUACAUCACGCUAUCCGAUAUAUAUUCUAAUGCUUAUUUUCAUUCAAGUUCUAAUAACAGAUUGCCCCUUGUGUGUUAGGAAACUGAGAACAAUAACAAGCAGGGUAGACCAACCAAAAAGAAGACCAAGAUGCCUCCAGGUGGAACGAAAAGGGUGAGGGCAACUCCAGGAAGCUAUACAGUUCCUGGAGUUUCAACAAGGUCUGGAAAAAAGUACAGCACCAACUUCCAACAAGACAGUGGUGAGGAUCAGUUAAAUCCAUAACCUUGAGAACAAUGGCAUAGCCACUGUGGUGCAAGGCAAAGAAGAACAUCAUCCCGCAAGUCCUGUUCUGGACUGGUCUGUUUUUGACGAGCAAACUAGUGCAGAUGAACAUGCGGUCUCUGAAGGCAAGUAACAGAUCAUGCAUUCUCACAUUCUUUGAUUUAACUGUGGACUACUAUAACACUCUCAGUGCAAACUUUGUAGGUCCACCACAUGCUCGAAGAAAACCAAGACCGCCAACAAAGGGCAAAUUGCUAGACAAUAUGACAAAAGCUAUGGGAAGAAGGUUGCCGAUUGAAAUUGCUCCAGGGAAGAAAAGGCCUGAGAAGCCUGUACAAGCUGCUAAGCUAGCUUCAGAGGCUGGACUUGUCAUUAGGUCCAGCAUGCCUAUUCUAACUCAUUGGAAAGAAUACAAGAAGGAUGAAGAAGCCCAUUUGAAAGAAUUCAUGGGCCGUUUAUCUGUAAGUAAAUUGAUACCUGCCAUAUCUAUUUGGCACCUUCCAUAAGUCAUUGUAUCAAAUGCUAAGAGCUAAAUCUCAUGGCUGAUUGACUUUUACAGACAAGGUUGGCAGUUGAUGAAAAAGAUGAGCCAACAAGGAAAGCAUGCACCAAUCUACUCCAAUCUGGGGUACGCCAGAGUAGAUAUUUGUUGAAGAAGAACUACUUCAUCGGUGUACCGGCUAAUCAAGUCAGAACAACUUCCCCUGUUUCGAGUCUGACUGAUGAGCAGUGGCUUGAACUCGUGGAUAAGUGGUCUAGUGCAAAAGGGAAGGUAUGAUGUGCUAGAAGACAACAACUUUUCUGUUCUAUCUAUUUUAUCUGCAACUUACAUGUUUGCCUUUCAGGAAGUAGCUGAGAAGCACAAGCGCAACCGUACUAAGGUCAAACACCAUCAAGCGAUGGGAUCUUGCAGCUACAUCUCACACUUGUACACAUAUGUAAGUGCUAACAAUCUGGUACAAUACAUUUUCUGUUUUUGUGUAGAUACAAAAGCUAAAUUUUUUCACAUUUCUUGCUCAAACUAAAUACAGAGGGAGAGAAACAAGGAACGAGAGGUCAGUGCAGUGGAGAUGUUCAAGGAAUGUCAUACCAGCAAGAAGAAGGGUAUGACCGAUGAAGUCAAAGAGACAGUUGUAAGUCCCUACACAUGCUUGCUGGAUGGUUUGAGUACAUACAUCUUUUCUAUGUUCAUAAAUGAUUGCUGGAUGGGAUUAGCACAUGGAAAGGAUGCUCAUAUGGCUGCACGAUGUGUGGAUGGUCCUAUCUGUGCUUGUGAAAUGGAAAGAUGUUCCUAUAUGCUUGCUGGGUGGGAUUAGUACAUAGAAAAUAUGUUCAUAUAUGCUUACACCUAUAUUUGUGCUUGGAUAGGAUGUUCAUAUCUGUAAUGUGUCAUGGCAAGUUAAUGUCUUUGCUUGAAACAUGAAUUAUGUAUAAUUAACUUAUCAUUUUUGCAUGUUUAUGGUGUAGAGCAGGGGCGGAUUUGGGCCCCGGGCUGCCCGGGCUGCAGCCCGGGGUGAGGCCCAUGAACAGUGGAAAAUUGCUUCAUAAAAAUGGCAUAAAAAGGCCUAUCAGCCUAUUAGCCCACCCCGAGAAGGAGAAAGCCCAGUAGGCUGCCAGCAGGCCGUUGCCCGUCGCGGGCCUCGCGGAGUCGCUCUAGCUGGCUAGCAGGCCGUCGCCCGUCGCGGGCCUCGCGGAGUCGCUCUAGCUGGCUCUGGCUUGUACUGGUUCGCGAACUCACCUGGCCCGUCGCCCUGUGCCCCUACCUCCUUGACCGCCUCCCUCCCGACUCACUCCGCCAGUCCGCUGCGCCACCACCCGCGCGGCCACACCGCUAGCCCUGCGCGCCGCCACCCGCCGCCGUCCCCAGCUCCCCGCGCGCAGGAGGUAGGAGCCCACAUCCACCCGACGCCCGCGAGGCCGCGAUGACCGACGAGUCCCGGCCCUAGGCUCCGGAGUCCGGCCGGAGGCAGCGCCGCGCCUGGCCGCGCCUCCGCCGGCCGCGUGCGCCGCCACCUGACCCCAGCGCCCGACAGCCCCGGCGCCCCGCCUGGCCGCGCCUCCGCCGGCCGCGUGCACCGCCACCUGCCCUCGGUGCCCGGCGGCCCCGGUGCCCCACCGUCCACCGUCCCCGGCUCGACGGCUCCCUACGCGCCAGCCGCCAGGGCCCAAAUCCGCCCGGGCGCCCGGCGCUCCUCCGACCUCCGGUGAUCCGGUCUGCCCCUGGCCGUCACGCGGCGGCGCAGCCGGCCGCGCCCGGCACCCCCGCUGGCUGCCUGGCCCCUGCCUGGCUGCCCCCUGCGGCCGGCCAAUGCCCUGCGCGGGCAGCGCGGUGCCCCUGCCCGGCUACCCCCUGGCCCCUGGUGUCUGGGCACCUGGCCCCUGCGGCCGGCCAGUGCCCUACGCGGGCAGCGCGGCGCCCCUACCCGGCUGCCCCCUGGCCCCUGGCGCCUGGGCGCCUGGCCCCUGCGGCCGGCCAGUGCCCUGCCCCCAGGCCUGCUGUCUGCUGAACUGCAAUCUGCAAGUGUUGAGGUUUUUUUUUUUUGAAAAUUGCUCUAUGAUUGCUACUGCCUACUAGCAAAAAUGCAAAAUCAUAAAUAUUUCAUUUCAUUGACUGAUUGAGCAGGACUGGUAUUUGAGUGAUUGAGUCUUACUUUGCAAUUGCAACAUUUCAUAUCUUAGAAGUUAGAAUGGAGAAAUACUAUGCUAAAAAAGAUGCAACAAAGAGCGGUGGUAGUGCCAAAACUAUAGAGAGCCGGGUUGAGCAAAAAAGACCACAGAUUGAACUUGAUAUGAGAGAUAUAGUUGCUGAUCUAGGACAAAGGAAGCCAAUUGAUGAUUUUCAUCAUGACAUUAGGGAUGAGGAAAGAAGAGCAUAUCUACAAAUAGGUCCAUAUAGGCCAGCUGGUCAUAAGUUUCCAAAAACGAAAAAAGAUGGUAAAGGUCAAUCAAGAGGAUUUGUUGGAUCAUGGUUUGAUCAAUUUGAUUGGUUAGAGUACAGUGUAGCCAAGGAUGCAGCUUAUUGCUUUUAUUGCUAUCUCUUUAAGCCACAACAAGUUGGGUUUCAUUCUAAUGAUACAUUUACCAAAGUUGGGUUUAGAAAUUGGAAGAAUGCAAAAAAUUGUUUCAAGGAGAAUGCUCAAUCAAUUGAUGGCUUUCAUAAUAAUGCAAGAAAGCGUGCACUUGAUUUCAAAAAUCAGAGGUAAAGUGUUGAACAUGUGUGGACUGUUACAAUUGCAGCAGAAGAGGAGGCAUAUAAAGCUCGUUUAAGUAUCAUGUUAGGCAUUGCUAGAUUUCUCCUUUUGCAAGCUCUAGCCUUUCGUGGACACGAUGAGUCUAAAACAUCAAGAAAUAAAGGGAACUUUAUGGAGAUGCUCGAAUGGUACAGAAAGAAGGAUCCUAAGGCUGCACUUGUGACUGGUGAAAAUGCUCCAGGGAAUAAUCAAAUGAGUAGUCCAAUGGUUCAGAAAGAUUUGGCUAGGGCUUGUGCAGAGGAGACAAGUGAGUUAAUUAAAAGUGAAAUAGGAGAUCGUUGUUUUGCGGUUCUUGUUGACGAGGCUCGUGAUGCAUCUAUUAAGGAACAGAUGGCUGUGGUUGUGAGGUAUAUACCUUCUCUCUAUUUGGUUAUUUUAUUGGUUUUGUUUUGUUGCGUUCAAGUAACACUAUUUUCUCUUUUCUCUUGUAGGUUUGUCAAUGAUAAAGGAAGUGUGAUUGAGAGGUUUCUUGGCAUUGAACAUGUUUCUGACACCACAUCAACUUCACUAAAAGAAGCAUUGGAUACUAUGCUUAGAAGAUAUGGUCUAUCUAUUUCCAAGAUUAGAGGGCAAGGAUAUGAUGGAGCUUCAAAUAUGAGAGGACAAUUUCAUGGGUUACAAAGACUAGUAUUGAACGAAAACCCAUAUGCCUUUUACAUCCAUUGUUUUGCUCAUCAAUUGCAGCUUGUGGUAGUUUCUGUAGCUAAGUGUUGUGGCUCAACUUUUGAUUUUUUUCAAUUAUGUCACUUCAAUCGUCAAUGUUGUUAGUGCUUCUUGCAAGAGGAAAGAUCAACUCCUUCAAAGUCAUCAUGAUAAGCUUGUUGAGCAGUUAGAUAGUAGUGCUAUUUUUUCUGGGAGAGGGAAAAACCAAGAAACUAGUCUUGCUAGGCCUGGUGAUACACGGUGGGGUACACAUCACAAAACAUUGGCACAUCUUAUGAUCAUGUGGUCCUCUGUACUGGAGGUGUUGGAGAAUAUUAGUGAAGAUGGAACUGAUGGGGAAAAAAAACUACAGCCUCUGGAUUGAUUCAAAGAAUGGAGUCAUUUGAAUUUGUGUUCAUAUUACAUCUUAUGAUUAGAGUAUUGGGGAUGACUCAAGACUUGUCACAAUGUUUGCAAAAGAAAAAUCAAAACAUUGUUCGUGCAAUAGGAUUAAUUGGCUCUGUGAUGAGAAAUAUGAAUGAAAUGAGGGAAAAUGGUUGGGAUGCUCUUUUUGAAGAAGUAAAGGAGUUUUGCCUCCUCAACAACAUAGAAAUUCCUAAUAUGGAAGAUAUGAUACCAGUUAGAGGUCGUUCGAGAUGUCGUGGUGCUAAACUAGUGAGUUACUACCAUCAUUUUCAUCAUGGAAUUUUCAAUAUUGUGAUUGAUAAAGUUUAUUGUGAGUUAAACAAUCGAUUUCCAGAAAGAUCAACUCAACUCUUGAGAUGCGUUGCUUGUCUUGAUCCGAGGGAUUCUUUUGCCAACUUUAAAGUACAGAAGUUAGUUGAGCUUGCUAAGAUUUAUAAAGAUGACUUCUGUGAUUAUGACUGCAUAAAGCUUGCGGGUGACCUUCCUAUAUUCAUUGAUGAAGUCAGAAAUGAUGAUAAUUUUGACACUUGUAUUGAUCUUGGGAACCUUGCUGAGAAGAUGGUUCAGACUGGAAGAGAUACAGUUUUUCCUUUGGUGUAUCGUCUCAUUGAACUUGCAUUGAUUUUGCCGGUGGCAACAGCAACAGUUGAAAGAGCCUUCUCUGCUAUGAAUAUUAUCAAGACUGAACAAAGAAAUAAAAUGAAUGAUGAUUGGUUGAAUAAUAGCAUGAUGUGCUAUAUUGAGAGAGAUUUGUUUGCAUCGAUUGAAGAUGAAAAAAUUCUAAAGUGCUUUCAAGGCUUAAGAAACCGUAAGAUGAAUUUGCCAAACGAGUGCUCAAGGUGCAUGUUGUUUACUUGUAUUAGUCUAUUUCAAUACAUAAUGUUAUCUUGCUUUAUAUAGGGCUGAUAUGUUGAAAAUUUUAAUGUAGAAUUGAGGACGUCGGAACAAGUGGAAGUGGUGUUAAUUCAUGAAUACAUGUAUGGUUCUUUUUUUAUCAUGGAAGACUCUUAAUUUGGUACUUUUCUACCUUCAAUAUUUUAUGUAUUGUUUGAGUCUAUUGGUUGAAUUGUGCUCUUUGAAAAAUAUAUUAUAUCUAAUAGUGUAUGGCUAGUAAGAUUUUAAGCCUUAUAUUAGUUAGCCCGGGGCGGAGCCCGUUUCUGGAUCGGCCACUGGUGUAGAGUGCCAUGGAAAGUAUGUUGGCCCAGCCUUCUAAAGGUUUAGAGACACCAAGAUCUAGUACUGAAAUUGUUUCCAAGGUUCUGUCACAAACCAGUGCUGCUUCUACAUUCCUCAAGAAUGCUGGUCUUGAAACACCAAGAAGCAAAUCUCCAGCAUCAGAAGCACAACUUCGGGAACAGCUACAUGCAGAGAAGCAACGAGCUGAUCUACUUCAACAAGAACUCGACACCCUGAGGAAGAAAGCUGAAGAUACAGAAGAAUCAAUGGCCAAGACCCAAGAAGUUGUGCUCAGGACCCAGCAACAGAUGGAGGAGUUCAAGAAGAAACAGGAAGCGAAUGAUCUGAUCCUUCAGCGCAUCUUGAACCUCAACUCAGGUAAUAGAGCUACUUAGCUUGUUUGUUUCUCUGCAGUGCCAUGGAGGUGUGCUUAGCAGUGCUUGGGAACUGAUGUGUUUGUGAAAUGGUGUUUGCUAUGAUGUGAACUUGUGUGAACUUGUGGUUCCCCUGUGUUUGGGAACUUUGGCUGUAUGAAAAUUAAGUUUGUGAUGUAUGAACCUACGUUUGUGCAAGAUGUAUGAACUUGUGCUAGAUGUGUGAAAAUAAGUUCCAUUUCUAGAAUGAGUGCAAAUGGUAUGGCCUGUGCAUAUAUCAAAUUCGUCAAAUUUUUAUGACGAAAAACAAUGUUACGUAACUGUUGCCACAUCAUCGCUCGCAUGCUGCCACGUAAAUGCACACGAGAACGCCACAUGUCAACCAUGAAAUCGUACACGUGUCAACCUCCCCAUCAUACACGUGUCGACCUCGUCAUCAUACAUGUGUCGACUUGUCCAUCAUACACGUGUCCACUAGAACGCCGGUUGAAUCAGUUCAGUGACGGGAGCAAAAUCGUCAUGUUUAUAACUAUAUCUAUGAUGAAAUACACCAAAUCGUCACUAUGCAACAGCUAUGACGCUACAUAGGUGACAAACAGAAUUUCAUCAUAGCUUCGUCACAGAUAUGUUUCCAUGACAUUAUUGGCCUUUACUAUGACAAAAAUGAAUCGUCUUAGAACUUGACUUUUUUAGUAGUGAGAGUUGGGUUAGGCCUUUCUUUGGCCAAAGAGUAAUUGGUUAGGAUUCUCCUUUAUAGUAUGGGUGAUAUAUACAAACUCAAUUGUACUAGGGAAUUAAUCAAGCAAUAAUAUCAGAGGAUAUUGUUGCCCAGCUCUCCCACGUUCCCCUCGCCACCACAGCUCGACGUCGUGCGACCAGUACGGCGCCUCCCCAUCGCCACCGCUUCAAGCCCUCUCCUAGGCCUGCCCAUAGCUACUUCCUACGCAGCAAGGCGUGUUUUACCAAUCUCGUAUCAGAGAUGCCGAGUGCUGAUUCAUCUAAGGCGGACAGUGCCGUCGCUUCCGCCAGUACACAGCCAGAUGGCGGUGAGUCCAUCCUGCUCACCAUUCAACGUCAAUUGGUGGACCUCUCCAAAAACUCAUCGCCCAACACCUUUGCAUCGCUGAGGUGGAGAACCGCCCCACCGAUUCUGCUGCUCUUCAGCUUGCUCGUCCGUUUGGAAUGCCCAACGAUGGCAGUCUGUCGCCCGCUUCCACCGCCGCCACUUCCGCUGUCGCCCCCACAAGUUAUGUUCCUCCACCUGCGCCUUCCUAGCACGCCUCCAUCUUGAAUGUCCAUUUUCCCCCCUCUCGAUCACAUGUGCCACACUUGCCACCGCUACCACUGCCUACCGCCACCACUAACCUUCCUAUCCCAGGUCCGUUGGUCGCCAGGUCGGCCGUUCCUCACUUCCACAAGCUUGAGUUUCCCACCUUCGAUGGCAAGGAAGAUCCCUUCGGCUGGCUCAAUUGCUGCGAGCAGUUUUUUCGCGGCCAACGCACCUUGGAGGAGGAUAAAGUUUGGCUGGCAUCGUAUCACAUGAUGGGGAUAGCCCAGACUUGGUACUUCAUGCUGGAACGUGACUCUAGGCCUCCGUCGUGGUCUGAUUUCAAGGAGUUGUGCAAUCAGUGCUUCGAUCCACCUCUCCGGAGCAAUCCCGUGGGCGAGCUGGUGUGGCUACAGUUCCGCUCCAUGGUGGCCGAGUACCAGGAGCACUUCCUCGCCCUUUUGUGCCAUGCUGAUCGUCUAGUGCCGCGUCAACAGGUGCAGCUCUUCACGACUGGCCUCCCGGAGCGGAUUUGCGUUGAUGUUGAGCUCCAGAACCCCGGGGACCUACAAAUGGACAUGUUGUUGGCAUGGGCUUAUGAGCGCCGUUCCCAGGCACCGAAGGAUUCCACACCAAGCUGGCCACCUCGCUCGUUAGCCCGGCCUUUCUUCCCUACCCCAGCGACUUCGCACGGCACUACCCCGAUGUCUACACCAGCAGCGCUGUCUCCUACACCGCAGGGUGCUUCCGCCCCACCGCGCCCGUUUCGCCGGUUGUCCCCGGCCGAGCUCCUGGAACGCUGCAAGCAGGGCCUCUGCUAUAACUGUGAUGAGCAGUAUGUCCGCAGCCACCGCUGCCAGCGCCUCUUCUACAUCGAGGUCGCGAACUACAAUGACGAUGGAGGGACAGAGUUCCCUGAUCAAGACACGGAUGAAGCCAUGCCGACUAUCUCCCUCCAUGCAUUCACGGGCAUCCGGACCAAGGAUACAAUGCAGCUCCACAUCCAGUACAAGGGCAAGUUCUUGCACGCCCUUCCCUUCUAGACUUCGGCUCCACCCCCAACUUUGUCAACAGUGCCAUCGCCUGUCACCUGGGCAUCCCAUCCGUCCGUGUACGGGUCUGCACGUUGGCGUUGCUAACGGCAACAAGAUUGCUUGUGAAGGCUGCACCCUGGAUGUCCCUAUAACCAUCGGCAUGGAAGCUUUCUGCAUCAACUGCUACGCCAUUCCAUUGGGCUCCUUUGAUGUGAUUGUGGGGGUGGAAUAUCUCUGCACUUGUGGCCCAAUCUUGUCGGACUUCAAUGAUCUAUGUAUAGCUUUCUGGCGUGGUGACCGCUGGGUGUUUUGGAAAGGGAUUGGAUCAGCCAGCGCUGACAUUCAGGAGCCUACGAUGCAUGUCAUCAGUGGCACUGGUUCUAAUUUGAUGGAUCACCUACUGCUGGAGUUUGGCACCGUGUUUGAUGAGCCGUCGGGAUUGCCUCCGGCACGCGCCUAUGAUCACCACAUCCAUUUGUUGCCUAGCACAGCUCCGGUGGUAGUCCAGCCUUACAGAUACCUAGAGCUUUAGAAGGAUGAGUUAGAGAAGUAGUGUCAGAUGAUGUUAGAACAAGUCAUUAUCCGCCUAAGCACCUCAGCAUUUUUAGUGCCUGUAUUGUUUGUGAAGAAGCCAGACGGCACAUGACGCUUCUGCGUGGAUUAUCGGGUACUCAACUCAGUGACUGUCAAGGACAAGUUCCCUAUUCCGAUGAUGGAUGAGUUACUGGAUGAGCUGUGCGGUGCCUGUUUGUUCACCAAGCUGGAACUCCGUUCGAGCUAUCAUCAAGUUUGUGUCCACUCGGAUGACAUUGAGAAGAUGGCGUUCCGUACACACCAUGGUCACUUCGAGUUUUUGUUGAUGCCGUUCAGUUUGACCAACGCACCGGCAACUUUCCAGAGUCUCAUGAAUGAGGUGCUUCACUCGUUCCUCCACCGCUUUGUCCUUGUAUUCUUUGACGACAUCUUAAUCUACAGUGCUACUUGGGCGGAGCAUUUGCAACAUGUUCGUGUCGUCCUCACCACGCUCUGCGCCAACUCCCUCUUUGCCAAGCGCUCAAAGUGUUCGUUUGGGGCUAUGUCCGUUGCCUACCUUGGCCAUGUCAUCUCGGGGUACGGUGUGGCCAUGGAUGUAGACAAGGUGGCAGCCGUGAUGACUUGGCCAACCCCAUGGUCAGCCCGUGGCCUCCACAGUUUCCUCAGACUCAUGGGGUACUAUCGCAAGUUCAUCAAAGAGUUUGGGAUCAUCGCUGAGCCAUUGACUAAGUUGCUGUGCAAGGAGGGUUUCCUAUGGUCCACUAAGGCCGAAACCGCCAUGUCCGCGUUGAAGAAGGCGCUGUCCACAGCUCCUGUUCUACAGCUGCCCGCGUUUGACAAAGAGUUCUUGGUGGAUUGUGAUGCUUCGGGGUUCGGGUUUGGCGCCGUUUUGCACCAAGGGGCUGGGCCUAUAGCGUUCUUCAAUAGGCUGUUUGCUACUCGCCACUUGAAGAUUGCAGCAUAUGAGCGAGAACUAAUUGGAUUGGUCCAAGCUGUGCACCAUUGGCGACUAUAUCUUUGGGGCCACCGCUUCAUCAUCCGCACUGACCACUACAGUCUCAAAUAUAUGCUGGACCAGCGUCUCUCUACUAUCCCUCAACACCAAUGGAUUAGCAAGCUGUUUGGUUACGAUUUCGCAGUCGAGUACCGCCCAGGCCACCUGAACACAGUGGCUGAUGCCUUAUCACGCCGUGAUGCCCCAGAGAUAGCAGUGCAGGUGAUUUUUGGACCUUAUUUUCAGUUAUUAGCUGACAUCAAGAGCGACACCGAGACAAUAGACGAGUUGCGCGGCGCCCGUGAUGACAUACUUGCUGGCCGGUUGGGAGAUCCUUGGAGUGUACAGGAUGGGCUGGUUCUCUAUGGCAGGCGCAUUUUUCUUCCUGAGGGUUCCGAGCAUGCCCACACGGUGCUCCAUAUGGCGCACACGGUCAGUCAUGAGGGGGUUCAGAAGACCCUCCAACGGCUGCGUACUGACUUCCAUAUUCUCCAUGACUGACACCUGGUCCAUGAGUUUGUUUGGUCUUGUUUCACAUAUCAGCGCAACAAGAUGGAAACACUACCACUGAAGGUCCCAUCACGUGUUUGGAUGGACAUCACCAUGGAUUUACUUAAGGGGCUGCCCAAGGUUCAUGGGAAGUCUAUCAUCCUCACCGUUGUGGACAGAUUCUCCAAAUUUGCGCAUUUCAUCACCCUCAGUCAUCCAUAUACUGCUGCUUCCGUGGCCAAGGCAUUUUUUGAGGGUGUCCGGCUGCAUGGAUUUCUGGAGUCCAUCGUCAGUGAUCAUGAUCUAGUUUUCACAAGCACUACGUGGCGGGAGUUGUUUAGACUUGUCGGUGUGCAAUUGAAGAUGAGCAUGGCGUUUCAUCCACAAACAGAUGGUCAGUCCGAGGUGGUCAACAAGACGAUUGCCAUCCCCGCGCCCGAGCUAGUUGAAGCCGCUCGCGCAAUCCCCGUGGCCGAACUGAUCAAAGCCACCAACGAGAUCGUCGUGCCGCCUGUCGACGCCAUCGUGCAGCUCGACAUUUCUGUCAUCGCCCCGCGGUUCCCAAGCUCGACGUGGCCCUUGAUGUCAUUCGUCCUGAGCUCAAGCAGUAGGUCCUACUGCCUCCGCUACCACCGUCGGCAAGCAUGACAGCAGCCCCAUCUACAGUGAGCUAGACGAGGUCUUCCUCCAUGAGGUUGGGCACCUCCACAUCCUCCCCACCAAAGCCAAGGGCCCUCGCCACCCUUGCGAUCAGCUACACCUCAAUGGUGAUUUCGUAGAGGAUUUUGAAGACGGUGGAGGAGUGGCCGAGUGGGCAGUGGUGACGAUGUCAUUGGAGGUGGCACACACCCCGGUGAAGCACACGACCCUCAUCUGGACCCCAUCCUUAGGUCCAGCUCCAUCAAGUCCACACGGAGAUCUGGAGCAGGUCCAGCUCAUCGUAGUGCUUGUCGCCCGGAGAAGGCCCUCCAAGGAAUGCAGAUCGACCUCCCAAAGGUUGCGGCUGGCGUCCACCUGGAUCGGGAGGCGGCGGUAGAUCGCGGCCGCUUGGAAGAGAUCACCUGCCCCGACGAACACCGCGGAGACCCCUAGGCCAGAAGAGCUUUGUGCUGGGAGCUAGAAUGGAUUUGUGCUGGCAGGGCACGCACCUGCCAGUAACAUUGAGCCAGCAAAAAUGCUAUUUGCACUAGCGGGUGCUUGCCCACCAGCACAGACCGCUCUUUGCUGGCGGGCGACGUUAGCCACCUGCUAGCACAGAUGCUUUCUAUGCUAGCAGUGUGGUUACAUCACCGGCUAGCACAGAUGGUUUCAAUGCUAGCUGGUGCUUAUGCCGCUCGCCAGAAAAUGUAUUUUUCCCAUUCAAUAUAUUAUUUUUCAUGAAUUAUUAAUUAUUUCUAUUUCACGCUAGUUUUUAGCUGCCAAAUUGAAAUAUACAUCUCCAACCACAUAACAACAAACUUGAAUAAUAAAUAAUUCAUAUUAUUAAAAACUGCAUCAUAUUGUACAUAAUAUAUAAUUCACAUUAUUAAAAAUCCAACAUUUGGAAUAGAGUUGUUCUUUGCCACGCUAAUAUUAAAACUACUACGCCCAUCUACGAAGAGUUGUGCACUCAUCCGUCAUCAACACGCCAUCUUUAUCAAAGAAUACUCCAUCCUCAUGACAAAUCUCACGUAGGAUGAACCUUGCCAUGUCCGUACAAAUGUAGUCAAUUUGUUUAUCUUCGAUCUUGGUGUAGUUACUGUUGAUGGUAGGCAUCUGCAGUUAAACAAUAAAUGAAGAUUACGAUGUAUUACCAUUAGGAAGUUAGAACAUGGCAGUGUAAGAGACUUACAUCUUCAAGGUUAUUCCGGUAUAUCCUAUUGUUUUCGAUGAACUCGCACACGUAAUAUCCGCAUAGCACACAGCCAGGAGGUUACCUGUGGCACUGCAAAAAAAUAGAAAAAUGAUACAAUGAUGAGUUGUUAUUAAUGACAAGUCUACAAUAUAUGAAAAAAGCAAGUUUUUAUGUUCUUACAUAUUUAUGAUAUAUUAUUUUCAUAGAUUUCAUCCUUUUUGGACUAUGGGGCCCACCUUUUAGUAUGUUAAGCUUGUACGCUCUUUGAUGAUAUAAAGAUAAGAGUUAGUAAUACAACUUAGGUGCAUAGAAUGUCAACAUGCAUAUAAGUACUACCAAGGAAUGUCUUACUUUUGUAUAAUAUCUAUGAAAUCCUUAUACCUAUCUCUAUCAUAGCUGGCUGAGUCAAGGACCACUGCUUCUCCUCGCUUGGGUAAAAUAAUGAUGCAAAUCCAAUGGUUUCUGCAUUAUAUUAAAAUAAUUAAUAUUAUAGAUGGCAUUAAAUAGCACCUAGUAUAUAUAUAGUAAUUAAAACUAGCUUACUCAAAACUGUAAAGAGCUAUGAUAUAAUCCUUGUCAGCCCUUUGCCGCAUCACUUUAGAAAUGUAUACGGACACUUUGUGCAUCUCUUCUCUAUGGGCUUUAUUUCUGAUAGCAUCUUUCUCCGCUUGUGUCUCUGCUGCAUCUAUUUGUGCUUUGAUCAUUUCCGUCAUUUUGAGCUUGUGCUCUGGCUCUCUUAUUCUUGCUGGGUCAAGGUACACUACCUUGAACCUGCCUCCCAUCAAUUGUUCCUCCCUCCAUUGCAUCCUGCAUAAUAGGUUGCUCAGGUACUUGACAUAAAAUACGUAUGUAUUUAAAACUCGUGUAUGUGAUACAUGUGGACUUACACGCACCAUAUGGAAAUGAGAUUCAUGUCAAGAUGUUGUCAACGGUAAAGGCUGUGCAAAUCCUCAAAAUUGAUCACAAUUUGGUAUGGGAGAACGCCAAAGAAAACACUAGUUGAGACAUGCGCGGUGAUUGCUCGAAUGCCUUGUUUCAAUGCAUUCAUGAUCCAUCCAUGUAGCUUAUUCAGUUCCCAUGGGCUCUCCAGCAGAUCCCACUUAUACAAGAAUGGUCUGCCAUGCUCAUAUUCCAUUGGGACCUCAUUUGACGCAAAGAAAUUGAGGUUUUGAUCCUUUUCCUUUUGCCGAGAGGUGCUGCGACUUACAGAUUUUUCAUUGGAUUAUGAAGCCUUCUUCUUCAAUACGUUUAAAAACUUGUCGAUGUCUGCUAAUGGAGCCUUUUCAUAUGUGCUAACCAUACAAGGUACCGCUCUCUUGGGAGGUGGAGAUGCCGGUGAAGGUGAUGUUGGAUCAUUAACUUCUAAAUCAUCUACCUGUUCACUACCUUCUAGUGCUGUUGUCCCAUCAUCCUCAUUGAGAGCUUCUAGGACAGGUGAUAGCUUUGGCUGCUCGUCCUCAUUGUUAGCUCCCUGCACAUGUGAUAGAGUCGGCUGUUUCAUGUCAACAUUUGAAUCUGGAAGGGGUAGUUCUUGGCUUGACUGUCAGGUUUUCGGCGAUGCAUUCAGAAUGAUAUCUCGGUGAUGCCACAAUAUGUUCUGGUUCAUCGCAUCACCGAGAACCCCAAUCCCCUCAUCAGUAGGGAUGUCUAUCUUGCACAACUCAUCAAACACCGUAACAACUUGCACCCAGGCAUAUUCUAGCGGGGGUACCUUUUGGAACACAUGACCCGUUACUGCCAUGCCAGUUGAGACCUCUCGAAACUUAUUUUAUUUCCUUCUAUAAGGUAUAACCAACCUACAUGGUAUAUCUACUUGUAUGUCAUCAAUGGGAUACCUCACGUUUGCAAUGGAGCCAGCACUACUCGGAGCAAUGAAUCCUGUCUGGGCAAGUAGCAUGGUUGGUUGUGCCUAUUGUUGACCAUCGGAUACUGUCAGGUCAGCCACUGUUGCUAUGUGCGGGUUGGCCACAAACUCUAAGAACUCCUGCCUGGCAAUUUCUCUCAUCUUUUCUUCAAGGUUUUUCUUAUAAUGGUCGCGCUUCCUGUAGCUAUCUUGAUCGUUGGGGAAUGCUUUACCCCAGGCCAAUGUUGAUGACAUCCCUCGAACACGCCCAGAGUGCUCUAUAGUUCUGAUUGCAGCAGUUAGCUGAUCUUUCUCCCUGAGGAGCUAAAAAAUGUGGCGGAACCGCCCAGAUUAACCCAGCUAAAGUGUAUUCAAUGUCACCUCAUAUGCGAACUGACACUUUAAUCAAGUUAAAAUGGCAGUCCGUUGGGUUUCACCCGAUAAAACCACUUGUCUCGGAUCGAAACAAAGUAUACUCACACGAAGGCAAGUCCAGAGAUUACAACAUUUCAGUAGUUUAAUACAUAGGUCCUACUUUAUUUAUUACAUCACAGUAGUUCAAAAGUGCAUAAAGUAAAGUUUCUCAGAGUUUAAGCAGCGGAAAGGACACGAUGCAACUAACGUCGAUACAAAAUACCAUGACAAAGCUGACCACGAUAUCAAUCACCACGCUCCUCAGCAUCCGAGGAUGGGUUCCACUCGACCAUCCAACCCGGAGGGAGUUGGGUCAGCCAAGUCAAACUGGCAACCAUUUCCUCAAAAUCAACACUACCUGAAAACAUAGCCACAAGCACUGAGUAUACUAAUACUCAACAAGACUUACCCGUCAGGUGGUAACUACUCCACCGACUUCUAGUGCAGAAGUGGGUCAAGUAGUCUCAAACUGUGAGAGGCAGAUGAUUCGAAUCGAGUUUCUUAACCUUGCAAGGUGAACAUAAUCCCACGACAUUGUGUACCACGACGGGUCCACACAUGUCAAUCAUCCCCAUCAAUCCACAGGCACGUGGUCGAGCCCACUUCCCUUGGAUACAAUGCCCCACGGUCCCGGAACAUCACCGUACCGUGACUGCACUUGUACCCACAUGAUGCACCAGGCGAACCGAGUUCCAGAUAUAGUGAGGUGGUACGCCCACGUCCCGGUUCGAUCAGCUACUAGGCUUCCCUAUCCCAUACUAGGUAUGAGAUUAGUACUUUCAAACACUUGACCACAGCUCUAAACACAUUUCGACCUUAGCAUCCUUUCCUAGACAGACGGGGCAAAUUCCACCGAAUCGGAACCAAAGCCCGACCCCGUCCGUCAUCCUUAUGGUUGCAGCAUAGGUAAUCAAGCAACUCCUAUAACUUGCGAGUGAUAGGAAAUCACUCGACUUUUACCGAGUUCCUAUUUAGCAUAGCAACUACUCAGCCUAUCAUGCUAGUAUUCAACCUUAGGGUCCUGAGAUCAUGCAAUUAAGUUUUCAAUCAACUCCUAUGAACUUAAAUGCGCAAACAUAAGUAACAUAGAGAUUGCAUGAAUGUUUAAACACAGGGUUAUGCUCCGGGGCUUCCUUCCUAUUCUAUGUUAGUGGGGAGCUUGCUUGAAGCUGGAUUGGGCUCUUGCUUGGCCUCGACGUGAUGCAGCUCGACAGGUACUUCCUCAGUUGUCGAGAGCAGUUCUUACGUUCCAUCUACGAGAUUCGCUUCUACACAAGAUGCAUAUACAAUAGUUCAAGAUUCCAUGCUUUCACAUGCAGGAUGCAAUUCAUGAAUUACUGCAGAAGUGUAAAUUACAUUUUGACCACAUUCACCUAGACAAGAUUCCAAACUUUCAUUAUCUUCAUGAAGUAAGGUGUGUUGUGAUUUAAAACCCAGGGUUGACUUUGAUGGUGAUUGUGCACACAUAUAGGGUUUUAACACUUAGACUUCACAAAAGAAAGGUGGGGUCACUCUAGGGUUGCUCAAGGUUCAUUUGCAAAGUUAUCUUGUUUCUGAAUUUCUGAACAACCUAGUUGUACAUUUCCCAUAUUACCCUUCUCAUUCAUUAAUUGUUUUGAUUCCAUUUAACUAGAUAUAACUUCAAAAACUGUUUCUGGUUGCAUCAAGCGUGAUCUAGUGUUGAAAAUUUUACAGAAGCUCCCUAAUAUCAUUAGUGGGCUACUGUAAAAUUUUAGAACUCAUCUGAUUUCUACAAAAAUCAUCAAAAAUAAAACAACACCCGAUGGCAGAUUUCAUAUAACUAUUUUUAACUCAAGUUUCACUGGUGCUUUGGCUCUGAAAUUUCUACAGUGGGUUCUCUAUGUUCAAUCAGAGGUUACUGCAAUUUUCCCAUGAUUUAAUGAGAAGGACAUCUAUUUUCCAUAUUUUACUUUUGUUAAACCAUGUGCACAAGUUAAGCAAGAUCAAUCAUGUUUCAAACAGAGGCUAAUACUUUUCUUAGGGAAGUACUUGUAUCAGCAACUAAACAAAAGUGGUUUCACAUUUUUAUGUAUUUUCUUACAUUUAUAAAGAAAAAAGCAAGGUCAAACCUAGGAUUUCAAUGUGUGACUCAAAUCAGUGUGUUUAUUAUCUAGACUAGUGCCACAAAAUUCAUAUCUAGAACAAGGAUGACACAAGUAAACUAACAGAGGUGGAUUCAUAUUUUUACCAUUUUUGUGUGGUUUAUAGGGCAUUUGAAGGCUUAAAUACAAAAUAAAAACUAGAGAAAAACCUACAACAGUAAUAUGUCCAAAACUAUUUUUUCAAUGAAACUAUUCAACACCAGGAGUCUAACACGGUUGGAUUUGUAUUUUUAGCAUUUUUCUACCAUUUUAUGCAUUUUCAAAGUUCGGCAAAUUUAAAACAAAACUAAAAACAAAAAAGGUUAAAGCAGUCUACAGAGAGACCCUUAAAACCUUUAAACAUUUGCAACGAGGCCCUCACAUCUUACACCUAAGACCCUAGAAAAAGUUUUGGCUUUGCAAUGUCACCCUUGGAGGCUCAGCCAGCAGCGCUCCGGUGAAAUCCAGCGAGCUUCGGUGAGGAUAGGGUCGGGAAAGGGGUCGAGCGAGGUCAGGGGCUCACCAUGAAGAUAUGCGCCGCAAGGAGCACGAGUGGAGGAGGUCCGAAGGUGGUGGCUAACAGCGAGGGGGAAAGCGGCGGCUGUGAAGCUCUGGUCCGGCGCCGGCGGUGGCGGCGCUAGUCGGGAGCUGGCUCGGGGAGCUCAAGUGGGGUGUGCGUGGUGCACUGGAGGGCUCAGCGGGCGGCAGUGACCACCAAAGGGUGGAGCUCCAUAGUGAGGUGGCACGGCGGCAGAGGGGCAGCACUUCCGCGGGGUGGUUUGUGGCGAUGAAGCGUCGGCGAGCUUGGUGUAAUGGCUUUUAUAGCCAGGAGGUGUGAGGAUAAGCUUGGGCUGCGGUUAGGGGAUAGAAGGAGGGUAGUGCGCCACUGGCGGAGCAGAGGAGCGAGCGCGCUCAUUGGCUGGUGGUGGCGCGGCGCGCGUCGGUGAGCUGCUGCAGUUGGCGGAGGGGGAUCCUUGGUGGGCAUGAUCGUUUUGCCGCGCGAGGGAAUUGGCCAGCCGUGCUGUCUUGUCUCAGUGGCGAGUGGCAAAGCGACCUGGCCAGUGGUGUGGCUUGACGUGGCGGUGGCGCGUGCGGCGAGCGGCAGGGGUGCGCGUGGGCGUCGGGUAGCCAUUGGCCGGUGAAGAUGCACGGCAGAAGGGUAGGGAUGUGCGCGCAAGGUAACUGGAUGAGCGGCCGGGGCGAGGGGUCGUGUCGCCGGUGAGGAUUGGCAGCAGUGUUGCACUGGUCAAGGGGCACCACGCGGCGCGCAGGGACGCGCCGUGCGCGAUCACCAGAUCGUGACGCACAUGGGCGCGCGCGCGGUGUGCAGGGACAGAGGAUUUGGAGGGAUGUUGUGGAAAAAUUUCAAACUGCACUUGAAAAAUUUCAAAACUAGAAGUUGUAGGCCUAAGUUCAAACUACAACUCUUAGAAAGGCAUCACAUUCAAAACUGGUUUAUAUUUGAAGAUACAAACAGGCAAAGUUUGGAGGAACGCUGGUUUACAGGACUUAGGGAAAUUUUGAACUGAGUUUUGAAUGCCACUGAACUUCAACCCAAAUUUUGAACUUAUUCCCCUUCAAAUCAGGAAAAACUCAAAUAAUAAAAGUUGUUUAUUUUGAAAAUUUUUACAACUUUUAUAUUGGCAAAAGUUUUAGUUGUUAUAUAAAAUUUGGAAUUAUAAACUGCUCCCAAAAAGUGCCUUUUUAGGAAAUUUUGGCAAUUUCAGUGUUUGAGUUUCAAUUUCAAAUUUACUCUUUGGGAUUUUUGGUAUGUUUGCUACAAUUAAAACCUAUUUUGAGUGUUUUUCAAACGUACCCUUUUGUUUGACUUAGUUUGGUUCAAAUUAGCCCCUAUUUGUGAUAUUUCAUGUGUUUAAGUGAAAUUGCAUUUCAAACAAAAGCAAGUUUAAAAGAUUAGGUGCUAGUUUUGAGUCCUUACACUUUAAUUAGCCUUUCAAGAAUCUACCAAACUUAGGGAUGUUACAAAAAAGAACCUUCUUUUGCACCUCGAUGAGCUGUGCCAACCUAUUGUAAAUUAGCUAUGUUGAGGUUUUCUUGAAUUUAACCUUGCUGUCGGGUGUUACAUUCGGAGUUCAAGCUAGUACCCAAUUCCUGCUGCGCUCAUCCAAGCCUGCAAACAUAUUUGGUAAACAAGCUCUCCUCCGUUCUACUUCCUCUCUCCUCCAUUUAGCGAUCUUGGCAACAUACCCACCCGCACCCAAGUGAUGGGGGUUCUCAGCGGCUUUCAUAGCCUUAGCAGUGUUUUCUUCGCUCAGGGCUUUUGCUUCCAACAUGUUCUUCUGUUGUUUAAACUCUUCCCACAUGUCUAUAGGAAUCUUAACGAAGUCAUCCCUAGCAUACUUGCCUUUCUGUACAUAUUCUUUAUUAAGAGUAGACCUCCAAUUCCUAAAAUAUCUCCCAAGUAGGCCCUCAGCAAAGUGUCUUAUGAAUUUCUCUUGACCUUCAGGAAAAUUGAACCUUUCUUUCACUGUGUCCCACAAUACAUCCUUUGUAGUGGUAGGCACCUUCUUCCAAUUACUAGUAGUGAUCCAGUUCUACAAUUUCUCCCUGAUAAUAACUCCACAUAUGUUCUGAAACCUAGCAGAUAUCACCUCAGGUAAUAUGGGCUCACCUUUGGCGUCAAGCUCUUCUAUUACGAGAGUACCUUUAUCAGGGAUCUGAUUUCGGCUUCGUUUCCCAUGUUUCCUUUUCGGGUUACUACAAGAAGCAGUAGUAGCUGAAGGAUGUGGUGCAAAGGUAGCUACCUCCUCUUCAUGCAGAGUAGAUGUUCUACGAUGUCGCAGCAGGGAAUGCACUAGGGAUUGAUCAUCAUUCUAUAGAGAAAACAAUAGUUGAAGUUUAGAUCUUCAUGUGACCAACAUACAUAUCAUGUGGAUAUGUAUGUGCAUGCGAUAUAUACAUGAUGAUCCGCGAUUGGAUCAUAUUCAGGGUCAUCUUCUUCUAGACACCUGCGAGACCUUGGUGGGCUUGGUUUGUACUCAGGUGGAGUAGAAUACGAUUCACAAUCGUCGUCAGAAUUGUCGUCCUCCUCCUCCUUCGAGGAUUCAACAUCCGGUCUUGGUUGUUGUUCUCCCCCAUCUUACAAUGUAGGGUUGACUAAUUUGGUGGCAUAUGGUUCCGUGACAUUGUUCUCAUUGUUGGUCCCAUUGUUCUUGUUGUUGUCCAUGACUUUUAAUAUGCAAAAUUGUAAUACUUACAAUUAAAAAUUAUUUCUAUCGCAAUUUGUAUACAUAAAAAUUAUUUCUAACACAAUUUGUAUCCUACAUACAUACAUAAAAAAGUCUAUCACAAUUUGUAUCCUGUAUCCAAAUUGUUUCCUAUCACAAUUUGUAACCGCUGACGCAAAAAUCGGAUGGUCACCUUCACGUACUAACACACGAAAGGCCUGGGAGAUUUGCUUCACUCCGGUGCAGGUCCUGUAGAUCGGCGUGCGUGGUGUGCGCGGGCAUGCCAGUUAGUUUGACCAUUCAACUGACAAGGUGGAGAUAAUCCUUUCAAAGUUCGAGGCAAUCGGCCGAUCAGGUCGAUACGAUCCUAACACCAGUAGUAAUAAUGUUGUAGCAAAAUAAAGCAUGGUGAAUAAAUAUAUCGGCCGUGAAGCCGAUUCCAAUAUCUUGAUGAGUGUGAGUAGUUCACCGGCAAUCCAGCCAAUUCAACAUAAUUUAGCAAUAACCAUCGGCUAGAAAGCCAAUAGGAAAUGGAGCGUUGCCGAGCUCUUACCCCACCAUAGCUAGAGCCACAAGCUAAUGAGAUUCAAACUAACGUUGCUACCAAUAUUUCUAGGUGAAACCACACUGAUGCGUCCGGUAGUUGCAGCCUAGAAACACUUAGCAGGAUAUCAAUUUAAACCCCCCCAGCUGAUGAAUCCAAUCACAAUGGAACUCAAUUCCAAUAACACUCGAGGGAUAGCCAAGAUUAAGAUGCAACAGGCUAUUAAGUAAUCGAUCCUCUAUGAUGAUACAAUCUAGAGCUAAUUAAAGCAAACCAGACGACAAGACGAUAGAAUAAAUAGAUAUCAGCCGAUGCAAGCUUAAUCAAGGUAGGAUAACUGUGAUUCUACCACAUCUAGCAAGAGAUCGAACCAUGCAGCCUUACAAGAUACAAUAAAACCAAUAACUGGUGAAUACCGUGGAUCGAGACAGAAGCGAUGCGCCGUAAGUCGAAGAUCCAAGAGUACUUGAUAACUUGUAUGUAAGAACUAGAUCCAACGACAGCGAUGCGCCCGGAAGUUGAAGUCUAGUACACCUGAUGACGGGAACUUGCAGCUUGCCGGAGAUCAAGGUUGAUGCAGCCCAGCUUGCUAGAAGGAACUUGUCGAGAAGCUACAUUACUUCUACUCCUAGGGCAAUGGCGUGAAGCCAAAAGGUAGAUGUGUAAAGGUAAAUAUGUUUGUUGAUUGAUCGUUGGAUGCUAAUUACAAGGACCGGGGUAUGUAUUUAUACCCUAGGCUAAAGACUCCUAGUUGAUCCAUACAAAGACUUGCCUAACAAUAAAUAUCUAAACUAAAAGAAAUAUUUAAAAUACAUGGACUCUAAUUUCCUAUAUGUAGAGUCCUUGCCAAUGAUGCUUCCUUGUCCAUCCGUGAAGAGGCCAAUACGUGAUUAACUUGGUCUUCUCCUUCUCAUGCGGGAACCUAAUCUUAUUUUAAUCAUCUUCACGUACACGUGCUGGUCUGUACGCUCUUUCUUCAUUCUAAUCAACAUUUAUUUAUUCUGAUUACCUCUUCCUGUCCAGCUGAUCCCACUUAGCCGAUGUCCAUCUUACUCCAGAUUAUUUGGAUUUACUGGUUAAAAUCCGGUGUCAACACAGGCCCGCCAAUUUUGGAGCAUGAAGGCUUCAUAUUUCGAAACUAAUUAUAGAGGUCCGAUGCUUGUCUUUGGAGCCAAUGACGUCUGAUUGCAAUAUUCAAAGCCGCAUCGACUACUCCUAAAAUAUAAAGAACCCCGUCGGCUUGAUGCCUUGAUCCCACUCUGAGCCGAUGAAUUCGUUGGCAGUGGAAACAACCGAUAAAAACUAUAUACAUAAAAAUUAUUCCUAUCACAAUUUUUAACCUAUAUACAUAAAAUUUAUUUCUACAACAAUUUGUAUACUAUAUCCAAUUAUUUUUCUAUCACAAUUUAUACAAAUUUAUGAUUCUUGAAAAUUGCAAUCAAUAAAUAUUUAUACACCAAAUUUUCCUAUCCCAAUUUUCAAUACAAUAAUUAUAAUUGAAUUAAAUAAAAAAAUAACCGUUGGGGAGGGCUCGGGAGAGGAGGAGGCGCAGUGGCUAGGGGAGAGGAGGUGGCGCAGCUGCCUCGGGCGCCGUCGGGGAGGGGGUCGGCGCGGCGGCAGCUUGGGGAGGGCGGCGGUGUCGGAUGGGGAGGUCGCGACGGCAGCCAGCGGGGAGGAGGGUGGCACGGGGGCAGCUCGGGGAGGAGAGGGUGGCGGCGGAGGUGCUGCAGGAGGGCCAGUGGCGCACUGGGAGGCGUGCGGCAUCGGGGAGGGGGCGGCGCUCGUGGAGGAGGGCCGUGGUGGUGCAUGGGAGGAGGGGCGGCGGCGCUUGUGGAGGCGGGCCACGACGGUGCACGGGGAGAGGGCCACGGCGGUGCUCCGGGAGGCGUAGGGGCGCACAGGGGAGCGGCUGCGGCGGCAUUGAGGAGGGUGGCGGUUCCGGUGCAAAAAUUUGGCAGCCUGACGGUGUCAUGAAAAUUUUGCGUCGGGACUUAAGAAAAUUUGGUGCCUUGGUUGCGCGUUCUAUAGGAGAGAUCUGUACUGGCAGGCGCUAAUGCCCCCCGCCAGCAUGGAGGUUUUGCGCUGGCGGGUGGCAUUAGCGCUUGGCGGGCAGCAUUAACGCCCGCCAGCACAGAUUCUAUGUGCUGGCAGAUGGCAUUAAGCACCCACCAGCAAAGAGUUUUCACCAAAUUUCAAACAUUUUGAAUACAUGUUAAAUGAUUUCAAAAUUAUUUGAAACGUCUACACCUAAACAUAAAUGUUUUAUAGUGCUUGUGAAAAAAAUAUUUUCAUAAAUAACACAAAUAUUUUUGAGUAGUUAGUUUACAUGUCACUAUAGGUUCAAACUCAUCGUGAGUUAUAUGGUGAUUAUGAGAUGGAUAUCCAUUUUGGGAAGGACGUACUCUUAUACCAUCUUAAAAUUGUGUUAUUUUUUUAUCCAUGCUGGGGCACUGCUAAAGUGAUUACAUGCCAAAUAUGAUGAUUGUUGGACCAAAUUAUAUUUUAUUAAAAUUUAGUUAAAUCAAAAUGUAAAUAUAUUUUUGUGUUAAACCUUUUAAACAUGUCCAUAUUUAAGAAAAUUCCAUAAUUUGAGAUAAAAACUAAGAUGUAUCUUUGCUGGAAAACACAAAAUCCAAGGGGAAGGUGGAUCGUGCCAUUCCAUCUAGGUUUAAUGUAAUUUUAAUAAAAUAUAAAUUUGUCGAAUAAUCAUGAUAAUUAGCAUGUAAGAACUGUACCAGUAGACCAACAUGGAUAAAAAUAAUAAUACCAUUUUGAGAUAGUAUAACAGUGCGUCCUUCCCAAAUGGAUAUCUAAGUCAUAAUCACCCUAUAACUCAUGAGGUGUUUCAACCUAUAGUGACAUGUGAACUAACUAGUCAAAACACUUGUGCUAUAUUUUUUACAUUCACUAUAAAAUAUUUAUGUUCAGGUGUAGAAGUUUGAAACAAUUUUGAACUCAUUUAGCAAGUAUUUCAAUUAUUUGAAAUUUGGUGAAAUUACUUUGCUGGCGGGUGCUUAAUGCCACCCGCCAGCAAAGACGAGCUAUGCUGGCGGGCACUAAUGCCAGUCGCCAAUGCAAAUGCUCUGUGCUGGCGAGCACUAGUGCCACCUGCUAGCACUGAUGCCUCCACUAUAAGGCAGGGGAGGCCCUGAAAAUUUCUAAGUCCUGGUGCUGAACGAAAAGACGCUAUCAGGCUACCCGACUCCGCCGUAGCGCCAGGCCGCCUCCUCCCUACCGGCAUUACUUUUGUAAUGGCUAGCAUCACAAUUUGGAUACUUUUCCAAUUUUGCACACUCACCGCGAUAUAAUAUGCAGUGGUUCCUGCACGCGUGUAUUCUUUGCACAUACAUAUUUAAUAGAUUGAUAAUCUUUUUUGCUUUGUAUGUGUUUUUUAGCAUAAAGUUAGGCUUCGGAAGAAAUUUUCCCAGCAGAGUAAGCAGAUCAUUGAAACUAUUAUCUGACCAGCAGGAUUUAGCCUUCAGGAUCAGAAGAUAAAGGACAAAAUGUAUGACUGUCCACUUCUUCCCACAACCCUUAUACAUACUGUCCUUUGCUGCUUUCCUAAGCGUCUCGAAAUUCUCUAACCCUUUAGCACUCCCUAGCAACACUUUUGGUUAAAUGUGGCGCAACAUGUCCUCCAUAUCAACAUCACAUUCCUUGUCCACCUAUGGUUCAACACGUGCAUAUAUUUGAUCAUCAUUUUAAUCUCCACGGUCAUAAUCAUCAUCCAUCAUAACAUGAUCACUUUCGUUUACAUCAUCACCACCCACUUCAUCAUAGCCAGUGUUGAUGUCUGUGUUGUUGAAAGUACCUCCUGCCUCACCAUGGUAGGAUCAAAUUGUGUAUCCAUCCACAAAAUCUUACUUUAUCAAAUGCCUCUUGAUGACAUCAGUAUCCUCCCAUACAAUAUCGUUGCUGCAGUCAAAACAUGGACAACAUAUUUGCAUUGUCUAGCAACUGCGAGUGUGCUUCUCCGCAGCCUCGACAAACUUUGAUACCUCUUACAUGAAUACAUACCAAUGUCUCUGUAUGCCGUACAUCCAUGCUCUAUGAUCCAUCUUUAACUACCUAUGACAACAAUCCUAUGUUAUAUUAACUAAUUUAAUAAGCUAUGGAUGCAAUAAUUAAUAAUUCAAUUAAACCAUGGAUGUAGUACCUAAUAAGUAGGAUGAAAUAUAAUCAAAAUCAAUUCUAUAUUAUCCUAAAUGAAACUCAAUUAAACCAUGGAUGUAAUAAUUAAUAAGUAGAAAGAAAAAAUCAAACUCAAUUAUAUAUUAAAUUCAAUCAACCUUAUUAAUUAAAACUAUGGAUCUAAUAAUUAAUAAGUAGGAAAAAUAUAAUCGGACUCAAUUCUAUAUUACAAACAUAGCAUUGUAAUGGUUAUAAUAUGAUCAUAGAAUUUUAUUUAUAAAAACGGCGCUACUAGCGCCCGGACGUCCGAUGGGGACUUACCCAUUGGACACUCCGUUGCAACAUCCAACAUAAAUAUCCGCAACAUCCAAUACAUAAGACUGCAACAUUGAAAAAAUAUGUGAAAAAUGUAGUGCAAUGUAAAUAUCGUAUUCUAAAGGAAAGAAAUUUCCGCCACAACAUCGAACGCCUGUUUCAUGCAACAUUUCUCAACCAUAUGAUAGGUUGAGUUUGAGCACGGUGAAACACUAAAACACAAAAGUUGCAAUAUAAAACAUCAACAGAUGAAACAUCAAAACCCAACUGUUGCAACAUUUAUACCGCACACAUCUAUAGCAUUUUGCAACAUCCAAAAACUUCUACUGCAACAUCAUGGGGUACCUAAUGCAACAUGGAGUCGAAAGCGCAAAGUUCGCCUCGUGCGCCGCCAGCCUCGCACGCCGCCGCUCGUGCGGGACUCGCCGGCCUCACCCUCGGCUAGCCUUGUGCGCCGCCACCCUGGAUCUCCCGCUGUUAGCUUCGCCCUCUGCUGACCUCGUGCGCCACUGCCCCGGAUCUCCCGCCGCCCGCCGGAGGCGAUGGGGCUGUCAGCCGGUCAUGGAUAGGCUGCGGAGUCGCCGGACCUUGACUUGGCACAUCAAGGAAGGAGAGGGGAAGGGAGCCAGGGAGGUGGACUGCUAUGACCUCCGUACCUCCAUGGUGAUACUUGCGAAGAGGAUGGGAAGAAACCUGCUGAAUGGAUAAGAACGCCUGGUGUUGGGUAGUCUUGUGGAUGGGAGAGAGGCCACAUUGCUUGAAAAUAAUUAGCCACAAGUGUGGACAUGUGGGCAGGCAGGACAUCUAGGCCUCCACGGUAGAGCCGUCCGACGAAUCGCACUCGUGUCAGAUGCAUGACUUGAAGCAUUACCGUUAUAAAAAUAAUCCAUAUCUAAUUAUUCUCUCUCUUCCCUCCUCUCUCUUCUAGGUCUAGAUCUAGAUCUAGAUGAUAACCUAAUCAAGCUAGAAAUGAUGGAUAGAAGUUGAAAAAGAUUGUUGGAAUGAAUGACACAAACUCACAUUUUAUAGCCACCUCCUCCAAAGACAACUAGAGCAAAACCUUCCCCUUAGAUUUGGUAUUUUUGGAUCUUUUUCUAAGCUCCUCUCGAGCAAGCUCCAAAUGGAAGGUUGGCUGGGAAAGAAGCUGUCUGCGGCCUUAUUGUAACAUCCGCAGAAAUCACCAACUAAAAUCACCCGUUAAAAUUGCCUUUAAAAUCUUUUUACCGCUGAGCUCCCGAAAAUCGGAAAUCUCCCCGGCGAUUUCGCCGUCCCGGCACCCAUGCCGACCCCCCCCCUAUCUUGUUAUAUGUGCCCGUAAAUCUCGCCGCGUGCCGUUGACAGACGUCGCGCGCGUGCUCCGACCGCGUGCCGCAAUCGCCACUGGUCCCUCCCCUUUUCUUUCUCCUUUUCCCCCUUUUUCUUUUUCCUUCCUCUUUUCUUCUCUUUCUUCUUUCUUCCUCCUCCUUCCUUCUUUCUUCUCUCUUCUCCUCCUUCUUCUUCCUGGCACCCAGCAUCACCUCCCCCUGGCGCCAAACCUCCUGGCCGGCCAACGCCAUUUACUCCGGCGGCCCCCCCCCCAAUCCCUGGCGCCAUACUCCCCCAUCGCCCGGACCCGCGCCGCCCGCCUCGGGUCCCGCCGGUCACCUCCGCCCGUCACCGGCCCCCUCGCUCGGCUCAGUCCCGCCGGUCACCUCGGCCCUCCCGGCCCCGCCGGCACGCCCUGGCGCCACGCCGCCCGGCCGCCUUGGGCCCGCGCCCGGGGCACGUGCCGCCGCCCGGCGCCGACUCCCCGGCCGGCCUGCCCGGCCCCUACCCCGCCGUACGCCGCCGCCACUCCGCCCGACGCGCCACCACCGGACCCCCCGCCUUCCGCACGCCACCGGGUCCGCUCCUCGCCAGCCUAUAAAAAGGGGCGAACGCCCCGGCCACCACCACCACAACCCGCCGCACCCCCCUCCCUCGCCACCUGCACAACCGCCGCCGCCGCCGCCGCCUGUGCGCCGCGUGCGCCGCCGCCCGAAGCCUUCCCCGGCCGCACCUCCCUCCUUUCCCCGAAUCCCCAGAGUAAGGAGCAAAAUGGGGCCACCACGACCCCCUCUACCCUCCCCCGCCGCUCCCUCUCACCGCCAGCGAAGCCCUGGCCGCCCCUCCCCUCCACUGCCUCUGUUCCAGAUAGAUAGAAAGGAAGAAGAAGCCCCUCCUUUCCGAUCUAACCCUCAACUUUCCCCAAAUUACACAUAGGUCCUUCCACCUCUCUCAAAGGCUGUUUUACAGAUCAAUCCCUCCACCCCCAUAAAUAUUUACAAAUAGGUCCCUGGUUUAUUACGAAUCAGUCCUAAACCUCCGUUUAAGCCCCUAAUGCAUGUUUAACCCGUCAUUUCAUGCGCCAAACUUCCUCCAAUUAAUCCCAAAUUUUACCACGUCAUCCUCCAAAAUACCUCCGCCGAUCUAUCUCCAAAUUUCCGAAAAUAAAUCUUUCUACCUAUUUUCCGUUCACGUUUUCUGUUCGGAGCUCACGGUUAAAAACCGAUCUUUCUUUUAUUUAUUUGUGUGUCUGCUUGUGUGUACCGUAGAUCGCGGAUUGCCCGAGGAGGAGCCCGAGGAGGAGUUUGACCGCGAACCCGAGCCCGAGGACCAGUACCGCGAGCCAGAGCUCCCGGAAGGCUUUGAAGACGGCAAGUCCAAUCUCACCCUUUGAUGCAUACUUAAUACCUAGUUUUUUUUAAACACAACCCAUUGGCCUAUUUUACAAAAUGCAUAUUAUUUCAUCGCAAGACAUGGUUGGAUAGCCACCCCUUGAUUGUUACGAACAUUCUUUGCUAUCCUAUGCUUAUCUCUAAAUACGACUUGCUCUGUUUAGAUGAUAACCACUGCUAGAACGCUUAGGAAUUGGUUACACAACUACAGUCAUUAUUACCAUGGUGUUUUCGGAAAAUAAGCAUGUGUGUGUGUGUGUGCAAGUGAGAAAAUGGCUUUUCGGGUUCAAGGGAAAAAGAUGUGUAGACAGGAUGGAUGAGUAUUCCUUGUGUGGGAUGCCAUGUUGUUGUGCUCGUACCUUGGUGGUUGAGCAAUGUCGGGAGAUAUCCAUCUUGUCGUAAUUGAGUACCGAGUUGAUGUGUCGUCUUGCCUAAUUCCACCAUCGUGCAACCACUCGACCGUUGUAUGGGCAACGGCUUAGCAUAAAUCCCACUAGCUGAACUGUUAGUCCUCAGGGGUGCUGGUGAGCAACGGGAGCCCAUGGAAAAGGAGUAAGAUCUUGGUGACUUAGGUCCUGGUUACGGUCUCGUGGACGAGCCGUGAACCCCUUGGGUGUUUCCGCGAGGGCUAGCCAGCCUUAGCUAAGGUGGGUAAUGGCUUUGUUAGGAUCCGUACCGUCACUAAGGUGAUCGCGAUACGGUACCCUACUUAUGGGAAAAGUGUACAACCUCUGCAGAGUAAAAACCUAUCCGGGUAGCCGUGUCCACGGUAUUGGACGAGUUAUGGCUUGGUCACAUAACUAGUACUUGGGCAAGGAUGUUAUGUGUGUGUGUGUGUGUGUUGGGUUUUGGAAGAGUCUGGCAGAUGUGCCGUGCGCUAUGGCGGACGGGGAGUCCGAUAGCGAUAAAAACUUGGAUCCUUUGUGUAGGAUCAACCCCACUUAAAUGUUUCGGUUACGAAAGGAAAACUUUACAAAAACCCUUUCAAAAACAAUCCUCUGCAUGUGUUAAAAAUCUAGCUUUACCGCAAAUAAACUCUAGCCUAUCCUUGUUGUGACCUAUGCAUGUACUUGUAUCCCCUCCGUGGAUGGGGUUGGACUUGUUGAGUACGUUUGUACUCACCCUUGCUUCGUUGCUACAGAGGAAGACCCGGACUUCGUCGCCGAAGACCUCGAGUAGAGGUUGUGUCCGCACCCAACGCUGCCUGUGGUGUUGGCCUACCCAAGAUGCUGCUGCUGCCGUGUAGUCCCGAGUGCUGUCUUUUGGCAGUCGCUUGGUUAGCCGCCGUUAUUUAUUUACUGUUUGUUGCUGCGUGGCUUUCACGCCCACUCCCUCAGGAGUUGUACGGUAACUGAAUUAUCUGUCGAAUAAAUGUGUUAUCAGCCUCCUGGGACUGAUAUUUGUAUCACAUUUAGUCUCUACUUAUGUGGGGACGCUUCACUUAUCUGGGUGGCAUCUAUGCUGGCGGUCCACCUAACACACCCACCAGCACAUAUGCAUCCCAUCUGUGCUUGCGGGCGCUUAGGUCAGGUCACCUUUGUGCUGGCGGGUGCCAAUUCCACCCGCCAGCAUGCUAAUUUCGACGUGCUAGCACAAAUCGUUUUUAGCGUAGUGGACGGGCACCACUGGCUUGAUCUUGCAUAUGGUAGCCUUGAGCCCCUCAAGGGAUGAGAUAUAGACGGUCAUGAUUGUCAUCAUCGCGGUGCCCACAGCAAGGCGCUGGGUCCCGCGGCGGCCGGCGGCAGGGAAGGCAGGGCCGUGCGGAGAAGAAGGAGGCGGUGACGGAGGGGGGCGAGAAGGCGGCGGUGAGGAUUGGGGAUUGGGGGGAAGGAGUUUGUUACGGGGGAUCCCUUGUUGCGACCGUUGCGCCGGGCUGAGAGGAAACCCCUCUGGAGUUCGAAAAAUUGUGAAGAUGUGAUCCAACGGCUCGCAUCGUUUCAAAGACUGUAAUGCUACAGAACAAACGUCCGGACUCUUAAAAAAAUCGAAUGCUCCGACACAUGUUGCAAUAGUUAAAGUAUCGAUGUUGCAACUAUUGUUUCUGUGUGUUUUACAGUGAAUGUUGCAUGAAACAUAGUGUUUAUGUAGCGGUGGAAAUUUUCUAUUCCAAAGUUGAACGAUGUAGUCAUUUUUACAUAUUAUUUUUCAUAUUGCAAACUACAAACGCUGAUGUCGCACUAGGUAAUUUUUAAUAUUUCGUCGGAGCGUCCACUGGAAAUUUCCCAUCCGACGUCCGGGCGCUAGUAGCAGAGGCCCAGGCGAUGAGCUAAGCUGACCCCGGCCAAGGGGGUCCCACCUGUCAUAGAUAGUUCCUGGGCUGGUCCGCCUCGAACCGAGCCGAGAAACACCCCGUACGUCCUCGUCGCCGGCCACGAGGUGCUCGAUGGCGUGGCCGUGCUAGCCGGCGCGCGCCCGGCAGCGGCAGCAGCUCCGGUGCACGCGAGGUGUUCGACGAAAUGCGUAAGCCGAUAAAUCCGCGCUCGUUGCCUGCGCCUGCAUGGGUGACGCUGCUGUGGUUUGCUUGCUGUUCCUCGUGUGGUGGUUGUCUGAGAGCUUCAGCUUGUUCUAUCGUUCCCACCACAAUCCUACCUGUUCUAUCUGAGAAAUUUUGCCUACAUGCUAAAGCAUACUUCCCAGGUUAAAAUGCUUCCACAGUUUGACCGACGGUUCAAUUCUGAAUGCGGCGAAACUGAAAACCUCCCUGUGCUGUCAUGCAAAGAUCGAUCUGGUUGCGCUUCACCAAUCAGCCAGCCACCCAGUUGGCCACUGAAACUUAAAUUCUGCUUGAUGUUGUUUGCCGCUACAUAUGUUCAGUUUUUGUUUCCGAAAAACUCAUAUGCUCAGUUUGUCCCAACAACCUAAGCCCAAGCAACAUAUGGACUCAUGGGCAGCAAGAGACAUAUGGAGGCUGCUGAAGAAGUGAAGAGUACCAACGGUCACAUGAACUGAGGUCGACUGCAGGAAAAUUGCAUAAUGCAGCCCAGCACCCACAAUACUAGCUCCAAAUCAGCUUUUAGCAAGCAUUAUGAGUAUUUCUCACGCAUGCUAAAAAGCAUCAUAUUGACAACUUCGAAUAGAACACAAUGUUAAUAUUUAGACAGAACAGUUGCAUUUGAAGAUCAUCCUGUCAUAAGGGAUACAGAGUUUACUCUCUGUUAACACAUUCCACAACACCUUACAUCGGUGUACAUUAGAGGCUAUUCAUAUAACAGAGCUCAACUCCGAAACAUGUAAUGUUUGUCAGUAUAUGCACUUGCUGCACGGCUCAAUAACCUUUUGGUUCACAGACGAAGGCACUCUCCCCUCAACAUAUCUCUGAAUGGCGACACGGGCCUUUUCAGCCUCCACAAGUGCAUCCUUACGCAGCUGCAAGCAUUUAUCAGACCUGGAACAUCUCUGGUCAUGCCCACGGGUAGUAUCUAAUGUUAGAGACACAAGUGACAUUGUUUUCCGAAUAAUAUGGAUUGUAAGCUCAAUCAUGCUCUUUGCAGAGCAAAAGCCGGUUAUCAUCACAUUCUUGAGGCGGCCAUGGCACUGUUCUGAAAGGCACCGUGGACGUGAGAAAUCACCACCUGAAUCUUCAAUGAUAGAAUCAGGCCUUAUGGUCGGCAUUGCAAUCUGCAUGCAAUUAGUUUUCAAUUAGGCUGGACAUAAUAACCUUCGGCGUUAAAAUAGAAGAGAUCCCCAAAGGGUAAUAAUUAAAAUAGUUGUCCUUGAGGAUGGCUUUUCAGAUAUUAUUACUGGUGACUUACACGUAAGACGAAGGUCUCCAACGCAGGAGAAGCAUCAAGGAAAGAGACCAGUGAGUAAAAAUCAUAGUCCGAGGGAAAUAUUAGUGCGCACAACAAUAUCUCCAAGUACUUGAGCUGGAGAAACUUACAAGAUGCCAUUGGUGUAUUGCCUGUCUGAAGAAAGACAUGCCCCAAAUAUUAAUUGUAUAUACCAAGUAUGAGUAACUUAGUACAGUAAACAUACGAUAUGACACUUUUUAUCUGCAGAACAAUGAAAUGUUUAGGAAGGAUCAAACUGACCUCAGCUCUUGUUGAUAGAACAAGAGUUCGAACAUUUGGCACGAUCAAUGGAAGUUUGGUUCUAGCAUAAUACAGGGCACCAGGUGAAUGGUCAUGACGGAAGUCAACUCUCCUGACAUGCAAUGCAUCUCCAACUGAGGUACAUAUUGGGUCCCCUGCAUAGUAGAAAAUGGAGAGCUUUGGGGCAUUGCAUUCAAUCAUCUCCAGCUUUAGACAGCCAAACACAUGUACGAUAUUAAGCUGCUUCAGUAGAUAAGGUAUCUUUAAGCAGAUGAUGUCCCUGCAGUUGGAAAGGUAAAAUUGCUUCAAUGCACAAGAAUUGGACAGAAAACCGUAUAAUUCCUCCCCAGUAACAUUGAUGGAAUGCAAUCUCAAAUUUGUCAAGCUACUCAUGCAACCGACUUGCGCAGCAGAGUGAAGAACAUACACCGAGAAGAAAAGACUGAAUGGAGCUUCUCCGCUCACUAGAUAAAACAGAACACGGGAAGUUGUACUUGAUGUCACGUCGUCCGAACAUUGUUAGCUCAAAAUUUUCAAUCCCAGGAGUAAUGGCAAUUUGAAGCCAGCGGUCAACAUAACUAGGAUGCAGAUCAGAACAAGGGUAAGUAUGAAGGCUAAACAUCUUCACUCCCAUGCCAGAGUGGUUCUGCAAAAUGUGGUCAACUCUACUGAUAAAUUCCCUACUUAUUUCAUCUUUUCUAGAUGCAUCUUCCUUUAUGCGGAGUGAGUCAACAGAAAGCAUGAGCUUUGGAUAGCAACUCCAAGAACGCAGAAAACUGCGAGACAUGCAGGCAGCCUGGGCCACAUCUUGCAUUUGCAUGAAAGUGUGUAUAUGACGAAGGAUAUCCUGUGCAAAUAAGCAUGCAAGAAAGAUUACUAACGUAAAAUGGCUGUAACAACAAUGCUUUCGUGAAAUGAGCUGGACAAAGAAGUUACUAUCCAACUAACAAUUUUCUUUUGUAAUUGCUGUUAAAAUAUUAGGCAUUUCUGGGAUGUUUGUUUUGAAGAAUUAGGUGACCCAUCAUCUUCACACCUUCUAUUUUUGUUUGGUUUGAGGGAUAGAAUGGGUUGAUCUAUCACCACCUCAUUUCUCACAAGUACAUAAUUAGUAUAAAUAGAAGUGGAGUCAUCCCACCAAAAUUCAUGGGAUCAACCUGAUGACUAUCUCAUCUAGCAUGAAGUAAUUCCUCAAACCAAACACAUCAUUAUUAAACAGUGCACAUCCUCUGGGCAGCACUAUUGGUAAAACAGAAACAAGUACCAUAAGCAGGUUACAAACAAUAACCAUCACCAGAGGAGACAUAAUCACAAUUCGAUACAAAAUUUACCAGCAAAGAUGAUUAUACAUAUGGUCACUAUCAGUAGUACCAGGAUCUCAUUUCUUACCUCUGGAAGCUGGACCUGGGAUCCCCUUAUUUCAGCACAAUCUGAAUCAUCACCUUGUUGACAAGGUGAGGCCUUUAUUUGAGCGGCCAAACAAGUCGACCCAUCACCUGCAAACCAGCAAAGUCGUGAUACAGAAGUGAGAAUGACAGGAGAAAACAGCAAGCAGGAGCACAUUUGCAGACACCACUUAGCCUAAAGGUUCAACUUUCGCUCAAGAGCAGUAAGCCUGACAGAACCAAAGGCUUUGAGGUUUCCCUCAAUAGCCAUGACUUGCUCAGGGGAAAAAACACAUUGUACAAGACCUUCAAUUCUCUCUAUGCGCCAAGUAAAUCGCCUAAAAACCUAAUCCUUCAUGUGCGAAAUCAGCUCAAAACUAAGGCCUGAUGCGCAAAAUCUCUAGCCAAGGCAGAUAAAGCUACUAAUAAGUCGACGAAUCCUAUUGCUGCUAGACCUGUUGGAGCAAUAGAACAACCUCUCUCCCCCCUAAAACCAAAAAUGAAAAUUUAGGUACAACAACAAUCCCAACGCAAGACUCGGAGGACUUGGAUCUCACAGAACAAUAAAGCAUUCAAGAAGUGACCAUACAAUACAGGUCACAAGUGACCGGAGCAAACAACAGGAAGGCUUACUGGUUACCGGGCACUGCGGCUGCCCCUUUGCGGACAUCGCGUCCAUCUCCUCUAGCACCCCCAUGGCCGCCGGCCCCCAAAUCGAAGCCAAGCCUGCUGAAUCGAGGUCUCCUCUCUCUCGCCGAUCCGGCCGCUGCGGGUCCGGCAACCACGGCUCGGAUCCGGCAAGCUGGUGGCAGUUCCGGCGGCUGGAGCCCGUCUAUCUGAGAGGGGAUGGAUGGAGGGAAAGAGUUCUUUUUAGCCCCUUCAUUUUGUUUUAUUUCGAACCCCGGUUUGGGAGCCCGACUUUGGAGUGGACUCCCGUGAGAAGGGGUGUUUGAUACAAGGUAUUAAAUUUUAAAAGUAUCACAUCGGAUGUUCGAACGCUAAUUAGGAGGACUAAAUAUGAGCUAAUUAUAAAACUAAUUGCAGAACCGCUAUACUAAUACGCGAGAUGAAUCUAUUAAGCCUAAUUAGUCCAUGAUUUGACAAUGUGGUGCUAUUCGCGAGAUGAAUCUAUUAAGCCUAAUUAAUCCAUCAUUAGCAAUGGUUACUGUAGCACCACAUUGUCAAAUUAUGGACUAAUUAGGCUUAAUAGAUUCAUCUCGCGAAUUAGACUACAUCUGUGCAAUUAGUUUUGUAAUUAGAUUAUAUUUAAUACUUCUAAUUAGUAUAUAAACAUCCGAUAUGACAUGUUAAUUUAGGACGUCGGAUUCAAACAGGUCCGAAGUCCUCGGAGAGCGGGAACAGCCCCGCGUUGUACUCGAACUCGACCAAGAUUUGAAACCGUUUUGGAACCGGAAUCAACUCAAGUUCAUCAGUAUUUAGCAGACAGGAGUACACAAUUUUAUGGUUUCUUUUUGCAAUCUUGAUAUGCAUUUCAAGAACGCCGAUAUUAUGUGCCCACGCGUAUUGGAGAAAACGGCACAAAAUAUACUGGCCCAUGACGUCAUCGUGGAUACAUGAUGGAUGCUAAGGUUCAAGUUUAUUUUUCACUGAAACUGUAGAUGAACAUAAAGAAAUCAUCAGCAAGUAAAAGUUACACGACACUUUUCACUUGCAUAAUAACGAAUUCUUUUGUUUAGGCAGGAUCCAAGUGACCUCAUCUCUCGUUGAUAGAGCGAGAGCCUGAACAUUUGAACUUUGAAGUGAUGAAUGGAAGUUUGGCUCUAUCACAAUACACAGGGCACCAAGUGAAUGGUCAUGACCAAAUUUAACUCUCCUCUUUUGACGUGAUAAAUGUAAGUGAAGAGCUUUGGGGCAUUGCUUUCAGUCAUCCACAACUUCUGGCAGCCAGACACAUGUAGGAUUUUAAGCUGAUUCAGCAUAUCUUUAAGGAGAUGAAAUCCUUGCUGUUGUAAAGGUAAAACUUCUUCAAAGCACAUGAAUUGAACAGAAAACCAUAUAGUUCCUCCCCAGUAACAUGGACAGAAUGCAAUCUCAAAUGUCAAGCUACUCGUGGAACAGACUUGUACAGCAGGGCGAAAAGAAAGAGUGAGAAGAAAAGGCUGAAUGGAGCUUCUACCCUCAUUAGAAAAAACAGAACACGGGAAGUUUACUUUAUGUCAUGUCAUCCGAACAUUGAUAGCAACUUGAACCCAGCGAUCAACAUAACUAGGAUGCAGAUCAGAACAAGGGUAAGUAUGAGCCACACAUCUUCACUCCAAUGCCAGAGUGGUUCUGCAAAAUGUUGACAACUCUAAUGGUAAAUUCCAUGGUUAUUUCAUCUUUUCUAGAUGCAACUUCCUGUUAGAAUUCUAGGCAUAUUUCGGUAUAUUUUAAUUCCAAAAUUAAAUAUGUAAAAUAUUAUAAUGAAUAUGUUGAAUGAUUCAGUGACAAAAUAAUAUAUACCAGUGUUCAAGUUUAAAUAUCUAAUAAACAAGAACAAAUAUAGGGAUGUACCCUGGGGCGGGGCUAGUGACGGAGGCACCGGAUGCGCCGUUACCAUCUAGAUUAGUCAUACUAAUCAUGGGAUGGCCUCAGUCGAUGUAGUCAUACAAACGAGACACCAGAAGAGGUCAAUGCAGUACAGUACCUCGAACGGUCUCCGGGAUGUAGCAGGAAGAAGAGGACGUAGUCGAUCAGCACGGUCACCAGGAAGAAAACGUUGCGGACGAACGGGUCCUCGGCCACCAGGAAGUAGACAAUGCAGAGGUCGCCCACCAACAAGUAGACGUUGCAGGGGUCGGCUAUAGAGGUGACGAACUAGGAGGGAGCGAGCAGUCGCGUUGAACGCUCCCCAAAAACCUUAUCGCUCGCCUAUCCCAAGCAGGAACUCCAGUGGAAGGUGAGGUUCCGGAGGCUCUACUCUCGCCAGAACUUGUGCGCGCAGUGCCUGGUGAUGGGAAUGCAAAGAGAGCAGCAAAAGACACGGAGAAGAGAGAGGUCUCCCAAAAGGAAUACCUUUAUGUGUGUCUGGGAGGAAGAGGAGGGCACCUUAUAUAGGCGAGCAGUGAGAGAGGGGGCACAGUAGCCAGCACAGUCAUCAAACGCAAUCAAUUUGCCCAUCCAUCAAAUGCAAUCAAAUCAGGCAAUCAAACCAGUAACUGUUGGAAUAUUCCAGAGUUUAUUCCUUAGCUGUACUGGAGUGAAUUCUUUCAAUUGAUGACUCUGAUGAUCGGCAAAAUGUUCCUUUCGUCUCGACACGCCAUGCCAUGCCACGCCCACACCCACGCCCUCGGCCUGGCCCAGCCCGGCGAGGCGAGCAAGCACGCGCGUGUGGCACGCUAAUCUCCUUUAUUGACUUCACAAUUGGUGUACACAGAGUCCACCAUUUAAGUCAAUUAAGAUCCUCUUCAAAUCCCCAUGUGGGACUAAACACUUAACUCUCUAGCAUUUAUUAGUGGGCUUUUAAUUCUUUUAAUUGAAUAAAUAAAUGGGCCAAGCCCAUAUAUUCUAACAAUCCCCACCAAGAAUUUCAAGCCACACUAGAAAUGCUCUCAGAUCCACUGUAAUCUUUGAUAUACUAGUAUUUGAUGGAGAUUGUUAAGUUGAACUUCCAUCUAGAGCUAAGGCUACACUUAUUAACAACUGUUCAAUGGACUAUGCUUUGAAUUGACAGUCUUGUGCAAACAAGUUUGACCAGAGCCCUUCACUGAUACUAGGCUGCGAAAGCAUCCCCGCAGUUUGGAGCUUAUAAGUCAUACUCCAGACCUUUCAUGAGUUUCUAGAGAUCACCCACAUCUCAUAGACUAUGACUAGUAGUCAGACUCAUGUAGGUGCAUUCCUCAAAAGAUGUUCUGUAGGACAAUAUCUUUGCUUCAAAGAAACAGCUCCCUUAUUUCAAAGAGGCCACUUGGAACGCAUUAAGGUAUAAACCAACCUGCCAUACAGGAUUGAAGAGAAAUGCAUCUUUCACUACAAUGAGCCUAUUCAAAGGUUCUCUUCUCUCAGUUAAACUAUAGCUUGUUUCACCAUCCUACUUCACGGGAUCUCCGAUCACAUAGAACAGGUUACCACUAUAGAAUAACUCAUGUGGGUCUCAAGCCCAAUUCAAUAGAUGCAUUGUCUAUCACAUUUCGUGCUCUUGACAUGCCUUGAUGACUUCAUGUUAUCCUUUGAAUUGUUCACCUUAACAAUCACAAUUUGGUUGUUACAGUUCAUUAGAAUUACCGAUAUCAGUUUUUCAACUAUCGGCAAGUCCAUUAGGAAUUCACGAAGCCACUCAGCCUGAACAGUGAGCGGUGUCUAAUGCUGGGAGUUCUACUUCCAUUGUUGACCUCGUUAAGAUGGUCUGCUUGCAAGACUUCUAGGAAACAGCGCCAACUCCAAGUAUGAAUACAUAUCCACUUGUGGCUUUUAUCUCAUCAGCAUCAGAGAUCCAAUUUGAGUCACUGUACCCUUCAAAUACCCUUGGGUGACUAGUAUAGUGAAUCCCGUAGUUCACAGUGCCUUUUAGAUAGCGCAUCACUCUCUCUAGAGCAUGCCAAUGAUCAUCUCCCAAAUUUGAAACAAACUAGCUUAGUUUGGUCACAUCAAAUGAUAUGUUAGGCCUCAUAACACUAGCCAAGUACAUAAGUGAACCAAUAAUUUGAGAGUAUCUCAGCUGACCUCUCAUUAUCCUUUUAUUUUUCCUUAAAAUUACACUAGCAUCAUAAGGUAUUGAAACAGGUUUGCAAUCACUAUAACCAAAGUGACCUAGAACUUUUUCCACAUAAUGGGAUUGCAAGAGUGUAACCCCACCAUCACCUUCUCUUACUAGUUUUAUAUUAAGGAUAACAUUAGCCUUUCCCAAAUCUUUCAUCUCAAAGUUUUGAGACAAAAAGUCCUUAACUUCCUUAAUCACAUUAAGGCUUGUCCCAAAAAACAGUAUGCCAUCGACAUACAAGCACAGUAUCACUCCUUCACCCGCACCAAAAUGAUAGUACACACACUUGUCGGCUUCAUUCACAACAAAGCCAGCGGACGUAAGAGUUUUAUCAAACUUCUCAUGCCACUGCUUAAGAGCUUGCUUGAGCCCAUACAAAGAUUUUAACAGCUUACACACCAUUCCUUCUUGACCUUUUGCUACAAACCCUUCUGGCUGAUCCAUAUAGAUCUCCUCCUCCAACUCUCCAUUUAGGAAAGCUGUCUUAACAUCCAUUUGAUGGACGAGAAAACCAUAAGAGGUUGCUAGGGAAAGUAACACUCAAAUUGUGGUCAAUCAAGCAACAGGUGAAUAAGUGUCAAAGAAGUCUUCUUCUUCUUUCUGAGUAUAGCCCUUAGCCACAAGCCUUGCCUUGUACUUUUCAAUAGUACCAUCAGGCCUAAGCUUCUUCUUGAACAUCCACUUGCAUCCUACGGGUUUGCACCCAUAAGGCAACGACUUCCCAAGUUCCAUUAGACAUAAUAUAAUCCAUUUCACUCCUACUUCCUUCCAAUAGUCAGCAUUAGGAGAUGAAUAUGCCUCUUCAAUGGUUCUAGGAGUGUCAUCCAAGAGGUAUAUAAUGGAAUCAUCAAUGAAAGACUUUUCAGUCCUUCGUCUCUUGCUCUUUCUGGGAGCUUCAUUGUUAUCCUCCUCAAGAUUUUUCACAAGUGUAGGUUCAUUGUGUUGUAUUACAUCGGUAGAGAUAUUCUUCUCGAUAAACUCUUGCCUAGAUGAACUUGUUUCAUCUCUCGUAGGAAAAAUAUUCUCAAAAAAUGUAGCAUCUCUAGACUCCAUUAUAGUACCAACAUACAAGUCAGGUACUUCAUAUUUUACUACUAAAAAUCUAUAGCCAACGCUGUGAAUAGCAUAACCCAGAAAGACACAAUCCACAGUUUUAGAUCCAAGCUUACGUUUCUUAGUUAUUGGCACACUAACUUUUGCCAAACAACCCCAAGUACGUAAGUUAGAAAGUGUUAGCCCCUUCUUCUCCCAUUCCUUGAAUUAUUUCUUUAUUCUUUGUAGGAACACGAUUUAGGACAUGACAAGCAGUCAAUAUAGCCUCACCCCACCAUUCCUUGGAAAGUCCUGCUGUAUCUAACAUGACGUUAACCAAAUUAGUUAGAGUGCGGUUCUUCCUUUUAGCAACCCCAUUUGACUAAGGUGAAUAGGGAGGCGUCCUCUCAUGAAUAAUACCAUGUUCCUCGCAGAAUAAAGUAAAAACAUUUAAGUACUCGCCACCACGAUCCGACCUAAUUCGUUUUAUCUUUCUCUCAAGUUGGUUUUCUACUUCAGCUUAGCUGGACAAUGUGAAGCAAAGUGAUCUGGACUCUCGCACACAAAGCAAACUCUCUUCUUCUUCUUCUUAGCCGGUGCAUUUGUUUGUUUAAUAUUUCCUUAGUUCUGCGGUGGCUUCAUCCUCUUCUUUUGGGAAUUGGAAUUGUUCUUCUGAACAAAGUUGACACUUGAAGCUCCAACAAUUCCUUUUCCCCAUGUGUCUUUUGCUCUCGCCUUCUCUUCAACAUCAAGAAUCCCAAUGAGAUCAGAGAUACUAAACUCUUUCCUCUUGUGUUUUAGAGAAGUAGCAAAAUCCCUCCAAAAAGGUGGUAGCUUAGAGAUAAUAGCUCCGGCCACAAACUUGUCGGGCAACACACAAGGAAUCUCUUUGCUAUAGUCUUUGAGAUCUUUUGAUAGCGCCUGAAUCUCAUGGGCUUGUUCUACUAUGAGACGGUUUUCAACCAUCUUGUAGUCAAGGAACUGCUCCAUGAGAUACAGCUCACUGCCAACAUCAGAAACUCCAAAUUGAGCCUCAAGCGUUUCCCACAUCUCCUCGCUACUCGGCAAAGAGAGGUACGUGUCAACAAGGUUUUCAGCUAGAACACUUAUGAUGGCACCACGGAAAAAGCUAUUAGCACGAUCAAAGGCAUUUGCUUCCUCUGAGGUACUGCCCUCGGGCUUUCCGUCUAUGACAUGCAUAACAUUCAUGGCCGUCAACCACAACUAAGCCUCUCACACUAACGCUUGUAAUUGGAACCAUCAAACAUGUUUUGUUUAAUCGAUGCAGCAAAACUAGAUACCGAAAGUCUAUCAACAUUAUAAGGUUUUUGGAUUGUUAGAAUUCUAUGCAUAUUUCGGUAUAUUUUAAUUCCAAAAUUAAACAUGUAAAAUAUUAUCAUGAAUAUGUUGAGUGAUUUAGUGACAAAAUAAUAUUUGCCAGUGUUCAAGUUUAAAUAUCUAAUAAACAAGAACAAAUAUAGGCAUAGAUGAUUUAGGAUGUACCCUGGGGCGGGGCCAGUGCCGGAGGCACUGGAUGCGCCGUUACCAUCUGGAUUAGUCAUACUAAUCGUAGGAUGACCUCAAUCGAUGUAGUCGUACAAACGAGACGCCGGAAGAGGUCGAUGUAGUGCAGUCCCUCGAAUGGCCUCCGGAAAGUAGUAGGAAGAAGAGGGCGUAGUCGAUCAGCGCGGCCACCAGGAAGAUGACAUUGCAGAUGAACAGGCCCUCGGCCACCAAGAAGUAGAUGAUGCAGAGGUCGCCCACCAGGAAGUAGACGUUGCAGGGGUCGGUUGUAGAGGUUGCAGACGAACAAGGAGGGAUCGAGCAGUCGUGUUGAACGCUCCCUAAAAACUUUAUCGCACGCCUAUCCCGAGCAGGAUCUCCAGCAGAAGGCGAGGUUCCAGAGGCUCUGCUCUCGCCAAAACUUGUGUGCGCAGUGCCUGGCGAUGGGAAUGCAAAGAGAGCAGCAAAAGACACGGAGAAGAGAGAGGUCUCCUGAAAGGAAUACCUAUGCGUCUCUAGGAGGAAGAGGAGGGCGCCUUAUAUAGGUGAGCAGUAAGAGAGGGGGAUGAACCUGGACACCAGUAGUCCGCACAGUCAUCAAACACAAUCAAUUCGCCCAACCAUCACAUGCAAUCAAACCAGGCAAUCAAACUGCUGCAAUCAAACCACUAACUGUUGGAAUAUUCCAGAGUUUAUUCCUUAACCGUUACUGGAGUGAAUUCUUUCAAUUGAUGACUCUGAUGAUCGGCAAAAUGUUCACCGCACAGCAGCACAUCAUGUCGCAUCGCUCGCUUGCUCGCUCGUCUCGACACGCCCACGGCCCGGCCCAGCCCGGCGAGGCGAGCAAGCGCGCGCGUGUGGCACGCCAAUUUGCUCUAUUGACUUCACAAUUGGUGUACACAGAGUCCACCAUUUAAGUCAAUUAAGAUCCUCUUCAAAUCCCCUUGUGGGACUAAACACUUAACUCUCUAGCAUUUAUUAGUGGUCAUUUAAUUCUUUUAAUUGAAUAAAUAAAUGGGCCAAGCCCAUAUAUUCCAACACUUCCUUCGUACUGAGUUAAUAGACAGGAUGACCUUUGGAUAGCAUCUCCAUGAAUGCAGGAAAUCAUGAGAUACACAGGCAGCCUGGGCAGCAUCUUGCAUUUGCAUGAGUGUGUAUAUGGUGAAGGAUAUCCUGUGCAAACAACUGAACAAACAUGACAGAAAAUUAACAUAAAAUGAUUGUAGCAAUAAUGCUUUCAUGAAAUGUGCUGGAAGUACACAAUACUAUCCAAUUAGCAAUCAAAUUUGUAUUUUCUGUUAACAAAUUAUUGAAAUUUAUUUAGUGUGCAGAUCCUGUGGGCAGCAUUUUCUGUUGGUAAAACAGAAAUAAGUCCUACACGGUUGUAACCAAUAAUCAUCACCGGAGGAUGACUGACAUAAUCACAAUUUGAAACACAUGAAUCCCCAAUCUAACUUGCCCUACACCUUUGGACAAUGUGGUGUUUUUUGCAUGUUAGAUGGACAAGGAACUCUGAUAAUCCAAAAUGCAUCAGCAAAGUGAUGGAUUUUGCAAUUAUAGUCACAAUCAGUAUCAGGAUCGUAUUUCUUACCUCUGGAAGCUGGACCUUGGAUGCCCUUAUGUCAGCAUAAUCAGAAUCAUCACCUUCAUGAGAAGGUGAGGCCUAUCACCUGCAAGGUCUAGUGUGUUCCAGCAAUGCGCGAACAGUCAGCUGAACUCAAAACUCCUUAUCAGGUGCAUCCAGGUCGCCUUGAUCUGCAGGUGGGCAGAGGGUUCACCAGGGCACCUUUGCCUGCCACCACUGAAAGUGGUGUAUGAGAAUUGAGAAGGCACCUGCAGCCUUAUCCUCCUCCGUCCAGGUACAAACUACUCAGGAUCAAGUCAGUUCUUAGAUGUGGGGAAGCCCUUUUUUUAUGGAUGUAGAUGCCAUGAUAAUGUACCCCUUAGACAUCAAACUGUUUGUCACCAUCUGGGUUCAAUGUGAAGUUGUAGCAUGGCUAGUAAUAAAGGAGCCUGAUUACCAGCGGGUAAAAACAGAGAGCCUAGCAAGUGAUGUUCUCCAUGUCGCUUCUCAUGACCUCUUCCUGCUCCUCUACAGCCACUGCUAAGUACUGCUUCAACUGAAGGAGGUAGAACCCAGUCAAGGACUCCAUGAUGAGGUUGUAGCGUCCAGAGCUCACAUGCUGUCCAGAAAGCAUGCUGCAACAAGUUACCUGAUUACUCCACCUUCUGUGGUUGAGCGUCCAUUCUCCUUGGAACUAAUGAAGCAUAGCAGCACAUCAACCUCAGACUGUCCAUACUCCAGAGGCCUUGCCGGACUAGUAGAGGAGAAGAUUUUUCCAAACGUGACACUGAGAUAGGGAGAUAGUGGAAGUUUUUUUAGAAACUAGGUUUCCCCGCUUUAUUUCAGAGAAACAAAGCAUGGUUACAUUUUGGACCAGCGUAUUGGCAGCGCGCCCGCUGUUGCUUUCACUCAGUACCACCAGAGUCCAAGGAGCCCUUUGGUCGGGCUUUGGCUCCGGCUUAUUUGCCGGCUUAUGCCGAAGCCCUACCAAACGCUAAAAAUCAAAACGGCUUCUUCCCAGAAGCCGGUAAAAGCCUCUAGCGUUUUUGAACUAGGAUGAGAGAGCUGAAAAAAGUAGCUUCCCCCGGCUUCUCUUCCUCCCUUGCGCCAAGACAAAUGGAACUAUCCCUCAACUUGGCUGGAAUUGCAACGAAAUUGCCAUUCCUACCUCUCUGGUGGCGGCGUGAAGCUCACCGGUGAUGAGAGGUCGCAGCUGCCCGGCGCGAAUGGUAGCAGGUGCACGCGUGCAGCCGCAGCUGGAUGGCGCGGACGGACAGCGGGGUGGAGCAACGGCAGUACGGUGCUGGGCAGAUCAAUGACGGCGUGACCCCGCGGGGCGCACUAGCGGCAGAGCUGCUCAGCGGCAGGUCGAAUCGGCAGCGUAGCCUAGCAAGAGAGACGAGAGAGAAGACGAGAGAGCGAGAUUGGGAGAGCGGACGGUGGACUCCGUAUAAGAGGAUAAGGAUGUACGGAAAGAAAGGAAAAUAGGAAAGGAGGAAAGGGAAAAAUAGAAAAGAAAAAUAAAAAGGAUAAAAAUAAAUAGAAAAAAAAAGGAAGAAGGAAAAAUGGUAUUAUCUUUUUAUUUCACACAAAUCACAUUAUCAAUAGAGCCACACAUAAAACUUGUAUGGGCAAGCAACAUACAUAUGCAUGGGCAAAAUGGACAAUUGACAUCUUCUAUACAUUCUAAAAAGCUAAGAGAAGCCGUUUUGCCACACAUUUUUCUACAAAAUAAGCUAGAACUAAAAAAAAGCUGCUUUUUCAUACGAGCCAGAGCUAGAGUUAUUUUUUCACGAGCCAAAACCGUGCCAAACGGACCCUAAACUUGUUACAGGGUUUGCUGACAGAUAAAGCAAACUCGACUCUUCAUUAACGCCCCUUCCAACCCCCAAAGGAUUGACAUCGCUGGAGCCAAGCUGCCCAAUGAAUGUUCCCGCACCUGACAAUCCCUGCAUCCUCGUCGUAGCGGAAGCUGCUCGUUCCCAGGUUAGCUGUAGCGGUUGGCUCAUCUUGGCCUUCAGUAUGCCCAGCACAUGGUCCAGUCCUGCAGCAUGCCCUUCCUCGCACAAGACUCAGCAGCUCUCCAGCGUCCUUAUCAUCCUGUCCAUCAACUUCUUCUCGUUCACCCAUCUCUUGCCCUGAAAACAUAAUGCAUUACGAAAUUUCCAUAAGUUCCAUAACAAUGCAGCACUACACAUAUUAAGAAUACUGUUCUUCCUAUUGCCCACUCACCAACGGGCCAUUGAUUCAAAAUUUUCACCAAUUCUAAUUCCAAAGAUAUCAGAGAUGUAUCCCCACAUAAGUGUGGCGAUGUAACAUUCAAAAAAAAAGAUGGUUAACUGUUUCUUGCUCACUACAGAAGAGUCAAGUCUGAUCAUCCACAUGUCUUCUUUUUGCCAGGUUGGUUCUAGUUAAGGUUUUGUUAUUAGACGAGCCAUAAAAAGAUGUGAAUGCGGGGAGGGGCUCUCAAACUCCAGACAGCAGGGGUGUACACAGGUUGAACGCCUGCGAAGCUGAUGAUUUUGUACAUCGCUUGAAUAGAGAAUUUGCUACUAGACUCAAAAGCCCAAAUGAUAGCAUCAGUCAUCAGUAUAACUGAUGGAUUCGACCAUGGUGACCAGUUCCCAGCUGCGCAUUAGCCUAGGAGUAACCCCUCUCCUAGGAGAUUUUCAGGUCAGUUCCAUCCCACACGUCAGCCACACAUAGAUUUUUCUGAUCAGCUAUUGUGUACAGCUCCCAGAACUGAAUGGCUAAGCUAUUAUUUUCGAACCAAUGAUCCUCCCAGAAUCUAAUGGAUUUCCCAUUCCCAAUCUUCCAUUUUACACCCAAACAGGCUGCUUUACAAGCCUAGAGCACCCCCUUCCAGAAAGGUGAUGCCCCAAUCUCGGGACAACAGAAGAUAUUUGGAUCAUUGAUUUUGUACUUAUAAUCCACUAUCUUCCUCCAGAUAGCAUGCUCCCCCAACUGAUAUCUAUUUAUCCAGGAAGCCAGAAGGCAUAGGUUGAGGUUGCCCACAUUGGGGAUCCCAAGACCGACAAAUUCUUUUCUCUGGGCUAGAUUAUUCCAAUUGGAGAGGUGAUAUUUAUGCUUCCCCUCUGAAUCAUGCCAGAAGAAAGUUUGCCAUUUGAGAGUUAAUACUUUCAAUGGCCCAUUUAGGGAAUUUUAUCACAGAUAACAAAUAGAUAGGUAUGCUUGCCAGGCAGGAUCUCAGUAAGGCGAGUUUCCUAGCACUAGACAAUAAUUUGCCUUUCCAGCCCGCUAUCCUUUCGAUCAGCUUAUCUACGAUUGGUUGGAUAUCUUCUCUUCUAAGCUUGGUGUAGUGGAGGGGUACACCUAGAUAUUUGAUGGGGAAAGUACCAAUAUUAUAACAAAGCAACCUAGCAUAGUUAUUGUUUUCCUCUUCAGACAUACCUAAGGUCAUUAGAUCACUUUUAUCAUAAUUAAUCUUCAUCCCCGACAGAUGUUCAAAACAAGUCAAUAGCCACUUAAAGUGUGUAGCUUGUGAUGGGUUGAUUUUCAAGAACAGCAACGUAUCGUCGGCAUAUUGCAGGCUGAUUAUGCCUCCUUCAUAAACCUCAGGUAGUAGGCCUUCAACUAGACCUUGUCUAGUUGCUUUAAUAAGCAUUCUAGUGAAAACAUCAGUAACUAGAUUGAAAAGAAGGGGGGAGAGAGGGUCCCCUUGCCUGAGCCCCUUCCCUGCUGCAAAAAAGCUGCUGUUUUCAUAAUUAAGCCUUACACAAAUUGAACCACCUCUAGUCAUUUUAAUGAUCCAGUUGGUCCAUUUGUUGGAAAAACCUCCAGAUCUGAGCAUUUCCUCAAGGAAGUCCCAGUUAACCCUGUCAUAAGCUUUUUCAUAAUCUAGUUUGAGAAUAACACCAGCUUCACCUCACUUCACAACCUCAGGAAUAAUCUCAUGGGCUGCCACCACACUCUCUAAAAUGUACCUUCCUUUAAUGAAGGCAGUUUGGUUAGGGAAGAUAAGCCUAUCACAAAUCUUGAUCAAUCUAUUAUUGAGGGCCUUGCUAAAAAUCUUGAAGCUGCAAUUAAUAAGGGCUAUAGGUCUGAACUUUUUUAGUUCAGUUGCCCCUGCUUCUUCUGGUAGCAAGGUCAGCAUAACAUAAUUCAAUCUGUUAAUGUUUAGCUCUUCAUUCUCAAAGGCUCUAACAAUGUUCAUAAAGUCAGUUUUAAUCAACUCCCAGAACUUUUGGUAGAAUAAGAAAGGAAAACCAUCGGGUCCUGGAGCCCCAUCGGCAUAGGAACCAAAAAUGGCUUCCUUAAUUUCCUCAGUAAAAGGAGCCUCCAGCAAAACAUUUUCCUCCCUGGUAACUCUAUCCAUGUCAUCCCAAAAGCUAUUUCCCAAGUGCAGGUAUAGCUUGCUCUCUGAUCCAAACAGAUUUCUAUAAAAGUCACCCGCCACCUUUAGCAUCUCAUUGUUAUCAGUGACUUCACCAUCAUGGCCUUGUAGGGCUGGGAUGUUUUUUUUUUCUUUUUCUAUGGUUAGCUACAGCCUGGAAGUAGGCAGUGUUCCCAGUGGCGUAGCCAAGGGGGCUGGCAGGGGCCAUGGCCCCCCUAAUGUUUCUGCAAACAUGUACUAUAUACUUAGUUUUCUAGUAGGUAAGCACAGAAAACACUGUGUUCUUAUCCCCCUCUUUGAUGUCCCUGUCUCUAGAUCUUUGUUUAGCUUUUAUCUCCUCCAUUCGCCAAAUAUUUUCUAGUUCAGAUUGGAUGUCAUUCAUCCUGUUCCUUUCUUCUUCAUUUAGUUGGUUGUGUUCAGAGAACACAUCCAGCAUAUCGAAAUCUCCUCCAAAAGGGACUGCUUAUAUAUCCAGGUCUCAGCAUUAAUGUUGAGAGCCCAUCCUUUUAGUUUCUUCCUUAAGAGUUUAAUUUUAACGUGCCAAACAUCUAGGGGCUCUGUACAAGUACAGGGAGUAGACCACGGAUCCCUGACCAGUUGGUAACACUCUUCCUUCUCUAACCACCAUUUUUCAGAGCGGGGAAUAAGAAAGGUUUCUUUUCAGUCUUCAAACCAAAGUCCACCAUAAGUGGCACAUGGCCACUUCCCAGCCUAGAGACACAUCUAACAUUCAUCCCAGGGUACCUAGCUACUAGCUUCAAGGCUGGUGGUAGAGAAGAUUCUGUCAAGGACUGCCAUAGUAGGCUGUUCUUGAUUGUUUGUCCAGAUUUAGGACCUCGUGGGGUUUUUGAGUUCGGUCAGCCCCCAUUGGUUAACCUAAUUAUUGAAAAGAUAAGACCAAUGGAAAUUAAUAUUUCCAUUGUUUUUGUCGGUCAUAUUUCUAGUUAGGUUGAAAUCACCUCCCAACAGAGUUGGGCCAUCCCACUCUCCCAUAACACCAUGGAGUUCAUCAAUGAACUCCUGUUUACCUUGGUCAUAAGGCGAACCAUAGACUACAAUCAACCUCCAAGUAAAAUUAUCAUGGACAUUUUUAACUUGUGCACAAACACAAAACUUCUUGAUAUCCCAGCUCACAAUAUCGAACUUGUUACUUCUAAAACCUACCAGGACACCACCAGUAGUGCCUCUAGCAGGUAGUAUAGGUAGUUCCAAGUAAAAUUCCUUCCCACGUUUUCAAAGAAAGCUGCAUGAAAACUAGAUUUUUUUAGUUUCCUGAAGGCCCACAAAAUUUAAUUUAUUCUUAUCUAUGCAACCUAAUCUGCCUGAUUUAUUCAGGCCUCUAAUGUUCCACAUUGCUCCUAUCAUUGUUACAGUUUCUUGUGUAUGAGGCUUAUUGUUCCUUUGAACAAUUUGAGACCAGGUCUCCCUACCUGCCCCUUGGGGAAGCUGAGUAAUCUCAGGACCCUCACGGAUAGGUAUUGCAUUGCUAUCAAUAUCGUUAUGUACUACGAUAUCAAUAUCCAAGUUGACAGGCAAAACAAUUUCUGGAUGUUCAUUCUCAAAAUUAACACACCUAGUGAUUUCAUUGUUUUUCAAAGCAUUAAUGUUUUGAGUUAUUCUAUGGGUGUCAACACCCAAGUCAAUAUCCACUUUAGCAGCUAGUUGUGGCAGAUAUUCAUGCUCAAGCACAGCAAAGGACUUACCUGGACCUUUGCGUGGGGCUUCUAGGUUCUUGUACUCCCUCCAUUCCAAAUUGUAGGUCAUUUUAGCUUUUUUAAGUUCAUAGAUAUUAUUAUGCAUCCAGAUGGAGUAUAUGUCUAGGUGCAUAAUAAUAUCAAUGAAACUAGAAAAAUCAAAACAACCUAUAAUUUGGAACAUACUUUGGAACGGAGGUAGUAACAUUUAAGAUCAAUAGCCUUCUGAAUCAUAGAUCUGUUAUCCCCUGCAUUCCUCCUUGGUCUUUCUGGAAUUAAUUCCAGCCCCCAUUUGUGUUUUUCUUGGUCUUGUAGUGGAAGAUGACACUCACUGGCUGCGUUCAAGAUGAUGUAAGGGAGCAGAAUCAUCAACAGAUAGCUUUUCUUGAUGGUGGCGGUGAAGAUUUCAGCCAACAUGUUCUGGAAUUGGAAGGUAGCGGGAGAUGACACUCACUAGCAACAUCUAAGAUCAUGGACGGGAGCAGAAACAUCAACAGAAGUUUUCUCGCACCAACCUCCAACUCCCCAGCAAGCACAACGUUCUGUUCCAGCACAUUCAAAGCCACAGUACUCCCCAUAUUGAGAAGUAAAUCCUGCAGAAGACAACGUAUUUGCAGAUGGGAUAAACCUUCAAUCAUAUAAGCACAAGAUUGAUUAGAACAAGAAAUUUAGACAAACAAAUGAAUCUGACAUUAAUGGAAAGAAAUGCAGCACGGAACCAUGGACUAGUUCAGUGUACUUAUCAAAUAAUGGAAGCACGGAGAUUCAUAUAUCAGAAAAGGAAAAGGCACAAAUCACUAUUACUGCUGGCAGAGGAUGGUUCAUAGUCAUAGAUUUGAAGUGCAAUUCCAUUAAACUGUGCCAGAGCCCGCUCAACAAACCGAGCUCAUACACUCAGAAGAUAGUCAUAAACUUUUCCCAGACCACCUUCUCUGGUGUGCAAUUGUUGUUUCUACAUCCUAACUUGUAUUGCCCUAUGCUGACGCGGUGUGGUAUGCUACAUCCUAACUUUGAAUUGAAGCUAAACAACAAACGGGCCUCUGUUGACCCUCUGCAGAACCUUGUAUGCUACAUCCUAACUUUGAAUUGAAGCUAAACAAAAAACGGGCCUCUCUUGACCCUCUGCAGAACCAGCUGAAGGCGGCUGAUCUUCUGAAGGAGCACACCCUUGAUUGCGUCCUCCUUGGCCUCCGGGUUUAUCUUGCUGUUGAUGUGGCCAAGGUGGUGCGCGCCGUCCUUGGCCACCGGGUUCACCUGGCCUAUGUCGUCGCCAAGGUUGUGCUCGCCGGCCUCCAAGCCACUCGCGAGGUGGAGCGCGUUGUCCUGGUCCGCGAGCCCGGUCAGGAUCUUCCCCUUGCCAACCACCGGGUAGAACACGCCGCGCUGGUCGACGCCGAGGUGGAGGGCGUCGAGCCUGUUGCUCAGGGCGCCUUCGUCGCCUGACCCAACGGGGAGCCCGGCCUCCCUGUCUUCGACGCUGACCAUGUCCUCCUCGAAGUACACGGCCUCGACAUCCCCGACCUCUCCUGCCUCAAACACGUCCUCCAGGAGCCACUCGAGGUCGUCGUCCAUGAGCUUCGUCUCCUCCACGCCAGCGCCGCCAAAGCCGAGCAGGUUCGCGACCCUGGCGAUACGCUGGCCUUCGAUGGUUAUGCUGUCGAGAACCUCGAUCAUGGAGGCCGGAUGGGCGUGGAUGACGACUUCGUUAGCGGUCUGACGAACGCCGUCGAACCGAAUUUUCUUCAUGGAGAUCCCCUCCACGAUGUCCAACCUCAUCAGGUCGAGGUGAAGCUCUAGUAGGUCCAACUUCUGGUAGUACUCGCUGGCCUGCAGGAGCAAAGCCAGCGCGCCGUCGUCGACCUUCCAGAGAAAUCUGCUGUCGUAGACCUGCUUCUUCAGGAGGUCGAGAAGCGGGGCUGCCUCGAACAGGUCCCCGACGCGGGGGACGAGGACGAGGACGAGGGGGCGCUGCCCUCCCGACCAGAGAUCAAUCUCCUCCUCGAGCGACGCCAGGGAAGACACCUCCAACACCUCCAUUGUAGCGAGCUGGCCACGCGGAACGGCGGCGCGGCGCGGCGAGGAGAGGAUUUGGUAGCGGCGGCGCGGCGGUGGCCGCCUGGCCGGUGAUUGGGAAUUGGGAAUGGAAGAGGGGGAGGCGCGAGGGUGGGGGCCCGAUACGGCCCGGUGGCUUAUUAACCGACGGCUCCUGUUGCUUGAAAGAAGCACAAACAAAUCUGGGUGGUAGAAGCAGGCCCCGAUCCGCGGGAUCCCUUCUUCAACCAUUAGAAAGCGGACACGUGGCCAAGCGGCCAGAUCGUUGUGGAGGCGUGAGCUGGCCCGUCACUCGACGCCGUCUUGGUCCCACCUGUCAGCCAAUGGGGGCGGGGGAUUUUCCCUCUUACCGCCGUGACGCCGUCACGCCUGGCCGCCAAUUGGCAGAUGAGCCAACCCGAGUGCCCGAGCCGCGUGCAACUCCAAUAAAAAAAAACCUGGCGUGCAUCUCGUUUCUUGCCACGCCCAUGCGCCAACAUUAGUUGGACUUGGGAUCGAGCACGCCAGUGCAAAAGUUCUUGAAAUGAACUGUGUACAUUUAAAAAAACUAAACAAGUGAAAAAGGAAGGGUUAAUUGGAAAUAUGCCAUUACAAUUUGCACGUUUUGGAGAUGUGCCAUUAAAAAUCAUUAAAUUGGAAACUUGCCAUUACAAUUCGAUCGCUCAUGUGUUGUAGACGUACUCGUCAUUUCAAUGGAAGAUAUUGCCCCUGCCUGGACACUACAACCCGACUUGCACAGCCCUAGAUCGAAUCCUUUCAUUCCCCCCACCGGCCCUCUCCUCCUGACGAACCCUAACCCUAAGCUAGCAACUGGAGGUGGCAGUGGAGUAGAGCAAGUUCCCGAAUCGAUCUUCAUCCGCGAUGAUGGAGGCGGCCUGAAGUAGAUGGAAGUCAACCCUAACUGCCACAGUGCGGCGGCGAUGAUGGGCGGUGGUACGGCGAUGGAGGGCAGCAAGGUAAGGUACGGGAUCUAAAUCCUUCUCGAUUUGGUCGUGGUUUUGGGCUUAUCAGACGCAAUGCGGUAGUUUCCGGUAGGAUUGAUAGGUGCUAGGGUUUGACUUCUUGUGUAAACUGGUAGGGUUGAGUUCUUCUCGCUAGAGAUUAAGGUGGAAGGAUUAUGCACAACUGACUCUUUGGGUACGAAAUCAUACUCAAAGGGGACAGUUAUUAAGUGGGAUGUGGAGAUAGGCACAUUUACAUUUGAGUUGCUAAUGAAUAGUUUGAGGAAUAAGGUGAAAUGGGCACCUAAUCAGGAUGCCACAGUGUGGUUCUUUGACAAGAGAAUUGGUGAGGAUGUCAGGCUAACUAAUGAAAUCAAAAUGCUUGAUUUGUAUGAAAUGUACAAGUCUGAGAUGAGUUGCCAGGUGCUUUGUGUAGGUGUUUGCCAAAUCUGUUUGUGUUGAUCAUGAGUUUGAUGCGUUAGAGCCUUUGUGUGUGUUGUCUCUUGAUGAAGUUAUACCUGAUAGUCAUGACCGCACUCAACCCACUAUUGCACAGCAUACACCUAAGACAGGUGAUGGCGCGUCUGCAUCUAAGGGUGCUAAUUCAAAAGGUCCUACAGCUAUGGAAGCAGAUGCGCCAGAGCCUGACCGUGAGCCUGAUUUGUUUGACAAUGAUGAAGAGUAUGCUGGUGUGGACGAUGAACAUUUAUAUAUGGCUGGACCAAGUCCACAACCAUCUGACAAUGCACAACCUGAUGAUGGAAGUACUGAUCCUUUUGCUGAUAUAGGAGGUAUACCUCAUGAUGCAGAGGUCAAUGAUCAAGAUCCUCAAGAGAUCCAUGUUCUUCAUGAUCCUGAAAAUCCAAAUAUUGCCAAAGGUUCUCAGUUUCCUAACAUCAUAGCAUUUAGGAAAGCAAUAAGGCAUUAUGCUGUGAAGGUGGGCUUUGAGUUUGCUAGGCUUAAAAUAGACAAGACCAGAUUCAUUGCACAUUGUGCUGCCAAAGGGUGUUCUUGGCGCAUUCAUGCUUCUACGAUAUAUGAUAAGAAAACAAUAGAGGUAUGAUAUCUAUACCUUCUUAGUCUGUUUGCUUUCUAUAAGUAUUCAUGCUUUCUGUUUGCUUGGAUCUCUAAUAUGUUUUCCUGUCUUGUGCAGAUUAAGGUGCUACAUGCAAAGCACAAUUGUGCUACUACCAAGUUGAGAGAAGGCAAGAUGGCUUCACAAGGUUAGUGCUCGAUAGGCUGUGUGACUGGUUGAAGAAAAACCCAAAGAAGACAACAAAGGAUGCCAAGGAGAAAUUGGACGAAGAUUUUGGAUUAAGCUAAAGUACUCCAAGGCUUGGUCAGGUAUGUAGGUAGCACUAGAACAGAUUCAUGGUAAAUAUGAGGAAAGUUUUCAACUGUUAUUCAAUUGGAAAGCACAAAUAGAGUUAUCUUCCCCUGGUUCUAUUGUUGAAAUAGAAGUACAUGGGAAGAAGUAGAGAUUUAAGAGAAUAUUUGUUGCUCUCAAGCCAUGUAUAGAUGGAUUUUUAGAGGGAUGUAGACCAUUUCUUGGAAUUGAUGCAAGUAGUUUGAAUGGUAGAUAUACUGGACAACUGGCUUCAGCUACUGGUGUAGAUGGACACAAUUGGUUGUAUUAUGUUGCAUAUGCUAUUUUUGACUCAGAGACUGAAGACAACUCGACCUGGUUCAUGCAACAAUUGCAUAGAGCAGUGGGGUCACCUGUAGGAUUGGUUACUGCACAGAUGCAUGUAAAGGACUUGAAAUUGUAGUUGGGAAAAUUUUCCCAGAGGCUGAGUGUAGAGAAUGUAUAAGGCACCUCUAUGGCAACUUCAUGAAAUAUUUUUCUUGAGAUGUGUUCACUUGUACCCUGCUGCUAGAAGUUACACAGAGGGCAUGUUUAAGUGGCACGUGAAGGAGAUAACAGAGUUUGCUCCAGAUGCUAUAGAGUACCUACAGGAAUAUCACAAUAGGAUCUGGUAUAGAUGUGGGUUCUCAGAGGCAAGUAAAUGUGACUACUUGACAAACAAUGUCUCUGAAAGUUUAAAUAGCCAAAUCAGGAAGUUUAAAGGGUUGCUAGUUCAUGAGUUAGUUGAUGGUUUGAGGGAAAUGAUCAUGGAGAAAAGGUAUCUUAGGAGAAUGAUUGGAAGACAAAUGGAAGAUGGGAUCUAAGGGAUAUGGGUACCCCAUAGGUCCUCACCGACCAGGGUACUGGCUGGACUUGACAAGUGGGCCUGCCCGACCAGCACGUCCGGGCCGAGGACACGAAGUUACUUGGACUACACGUCAAGGAAACUACGCUGUCCAAAUCUACCCGGAUAUCAUGGGACACGUAUUGUAAUCCAACUUAGCUUACUUUCGAUGUAAAAACCGAGUAGAUUAGAUUCAAACCGACUUGUAACUCUUGGUUGUCAGACUAUAUAAGGCGGCUAGGGGCGUCCCCACAGGGCAUUAGAUCAAUCCCAAGCAAUACAAUCCACGCAUACAGGACGUAGGGUAUUACUCUCCGGAGGUCCAAACCUGUCUAAACCCUUGUGUCCCCUUUGUGUUCUCGUGAUCACCUUUGAGUUCUUGGUCUCGCAAUCACCUUUGCCUACAAAUCAACCACUUGGGUAACCCCCUAGUGGACUAUCGGAUAAUUAACUCCAACAAUUGGUGCGCCAGGUAGGGGUGGUUGCGAGACUCAUUUUUUGUCUCGAUGGCAUCCCGUGCCAGUGUUAUUUUUCCUGAGAGCAUGAAGGACUUCCUCAACAACCUAGUCCAGAUCCAGUUUGGGACCAUGCCGGCGGAUUCAAUCCCGACCACUUUCUCCAUCAACUCGGCAACUCCCGCCGACUCAGCGGCUUUUGCUAACGCGUCGACCUGUAGCGACUUGGCGACUCCCGUCGACUCGACAGCUUCCACCAACUCGGCUUCUGUUGGAUCCAUUCCCGCGAAACAGGCUCUCCACCCAAGGAUCAUCAUGCUGCAUGCCCAGCAAGUUGGUGAACUCUCCCUCUCCGAGAGGGUUCCAGAUCUGGUCACCGGCGCUCGCCUACCCAUUCCCUCCGAUCUGAUCACGGGGCUAGAUUGCAUCAGCAGCACCAUCGUUGAGUACAUAGAGCUGUCUGAGGCUGCGCUGCGUGAAUCCAAAUCGGCGUAGGGUCCAUCCCGUACCCCCUUCAGUCUACGAAAAUUGGCUUCCGAGUAUUCCGCUAGGCUUGACCAAGUUUUCCAAAUCCAAUCUGGAGACCCACCUGAACCCGCCCAGUCUCCGAACUGCGGUGAAUUCCAAGUGCCUCGCAUCAUCCUGAUGCCAAACUCUUACAGAAGCGACAAUGAAAGCAACUCUUCCACACCAGAUCGUGAGGCUUUCAUUGUCUCCAUCGACAAGCCGCCUUACGAUGGCAAAACGGAAUCUCAAGAAGAAGGUCGUAAUGUCAGGAAUCGUAAUAGAGCAGAGCGGCGGCAACAGGAGCAAGCUAGCCGACAACAGCAACUUGUGGCUAACACAGACGCAGCAGGUGACCAGCAACAACAUCCACACAACAAUAGAGACAACCUGUCCUGACCACCAAGACAGACGCAGGCGACCCAUGCGAUCCCGCAACCCAUUAGCUGACCUCAAGUAGGGCAGUCACAACAUGUUCACUACACCCCAUGCUAACUUGGGGGCUGCCGUUGCCGAGCUAGAAAAUCUUCCAGAUUUAGGUCAAGUCCGACAAGCCCGGGCACGACUCCAAGCCGCCAAAGCCCAACUUGAAGAGCAUAUCAUCAAUCGAUGUGCUCACUCUCGAUCCACAUCAUCUAGGCACUCCCGAAGCCGCUCUGGGCGUAGCAGAAUUGAUCGCCAUAGAGGUGAUUACGCUGGUGGUCAGCUGGAGCCAAUCCAUGAAGAAGCAGUAGAACAAAAUGUUGUCCAACCUCCCGACCCACCAGCCAUCAACAAUGCCAACCCACCAGCCAUCAACAAUGUCAACCAACCAGCCAACCCUCUUGUCAAUGGUAACGCCAACCCUCCUGUCAAUGGCAAUGCCAACCCUCUUGUUAACGUCAAUGCAAACAAUGACUGACAACGCGACAACAAUGACAACCGCCACCACGGCGGGAGAGGCGGAGCAGAUGCCAAUGGCCAACCAGAACCGCGAUACGACCUCCACAAGGAACUGCGUGAGCUCCGUCAAAACCGUGACAUACGCGCUGACCUCAACAAUCGCCAUAACGAGCACGAUAAGUAUGAAAUCCGCCACCGUGCCGAGUAUGAUCGCGACUACAGCACUCCCGUGCCCAACCGUGACACAGCGCGUGACGAUCACCAUCGCUAGGAAGAUGAGAUGCGUCAUCGUGCCAACUACGAUCGUGCAUACGACGCCCCUAGAGGUGCCUAUAACCCGCCCAGGUGCGAGUACGACUACGAAGAUGACUAUAACCCGCUUAGGCGCGAGUACGACUAUGACUAUGACGAAGCAUGCUAUCCACCUAGGCGCAACUAUGGUGGACGCGGCAGGGCUCCUCCCGACCAGCACUAUCCCUGCAGUUAUGAUGAUGACAUGGCGAUUGAUGGCUUUGCGGCUUUCACCCCUCACCUCAGGGUUAUUGUUUGGCCACCUACAUUCAAGCCAGCCAACAACGAAAAAUACGAUGGUCGCUUUGACCCCACCAUAUGGCUCAAGACAUAUAGUACCGCAUUUAGAGCUGCCAAUGGCACCUAUGAUCAGAUGGCCGCCUACUUCCUGGUGGUGAUGGGCGCUGCUCCGCUACUAUGGCUGGAGAAUCUUACCCCAAACAACAUUGAUAGUUGGGGUCAGCUUGCUAGAGCUUUCACUUAGAAUUAUCAGGCCACCUAUAGCCGACUUGGCAACAGGGAAAAGCUCAGCCAAGUUCGCCAGAUAAUAAGCGAGCCACUCUGAGAAUACGCCAAUCGCUUCUUCAGAAAACGCAACACACUGGCUGACAUUGAUGACCGCGAUAUCAUCUGAUACUUUCACUCCAGCCUAACAAACCAAAGGAUGUUUGAGAAAUUGUAAGAGGUGGCCCUAAAAAGGGUUGGGUAGAUGAUGGAAGUUGUCAACACACAAGCUGACCUCGAAGAAGUGUCAAAAGUUUAGUUCCAGAAACACUACCAAGACGAUGAUUACGAUCCGCCAAUGCAUGAUGAACCCCAAGCACGCCCGGAACCCCGGUUCCACAAAAGGGCCCCAGAGGUCUACGCCACUGAGGGUAAUCCAACCAGGCAAAGCACCUUCCACCGAGAAGAAUUUGAUGGAACCCUUAGCAGCCCAUGCCCCUUCCAUAAGGAUGCAUGUCACACCCUGCGAGACUGCAUAGUCCUAAGAAAGAGCUUGGUGCUCUGGUAGAAUACAAGCGACCACACCGCAAUGACUAUCGCAGAGAGAACAACAACCACGACUAUCAAAGUCGCGACGGGGACCAUCACCAAGACGACCGUGACAACCACAACAGUGGUGAUCGUGACGACCACAACAACCAUCGCAACUACCAUAGGUGCGACGAUCGUGCCGACCAAAACAGAGAAGAACAUCGCUACCAGCCACAUCAAGAUGCCCAGUGACCCAACGCCGACUAGAACGGGGACUUCCAAUGACCCGAGCGCCAAGUCAACAUCAUUAUGGGCGGCCGUAAUGCCUUUUGCAGUAACCGUUAGCAGAAGCUACGCCAGCAAGAGGUGCACUUUGUCUCCGUACAGCCAGUCUAGUACCUGCGCUAGUCCGAGCAAUCCAUAACUUUCUCUAGGCAAGAUCAUUGGGUCCACAUCCCAGAUCUCGGGUCCUAUUCGCUGGUGUUUUGCCCGACCAUUGACAAGGCCCUACUCCCAAAGGUGUUGAUUGACGGUGGCAGUGGCCUCAACAUUAUCUUCAUCGAGACAUUGAAGUGCAUGGAUUUUUGAGGCGUCCCCACAUAAGUAGAGACUAAAUGUGAUACAAAUAUCAGUUCCAGGAGGCUGAUAAAAAAUUUAUUCAAUAGAUGGUUCAUAAACCGUACAAAUCCCGAGGGAGUGGGCACGAAAACCACGCCGAAACGAUAAGCAAAUAAACAACAGCAGUGAGUCAAGCUACUAUCAAGAGACAGCACUUAGGACUACAUGGCAGCGGAAGCAUUCUGCAAAGGCCAACACCAUAGGCAGCGUUGGGUGCCGAAGCGACCUCCUACUUGAAAUCCUCGGUGAUGAAGUCCGGGUCUUCCUCUGAAGCAACAAAACAAGGGUGAGUACAAAAGUACUCAACAAGUCUAACCCCAUCCUCGGAGGGAUAUACAAUCAAGAAUAUGCACAAGAUAAAUCAAGGAUAAGGCUAAGGUUUAUUUGCACUAAAACUAGAUUUUCAACACAUGCAAGGGUUCAUUUUUCAAAAGGUUUUCACAAAGCUUUUCUUUAGUAACCGAAUCAAUAGGUGGGGUUGAUCCUACACAAAGGAUCCAAGUUUUAAUGCUACCGGAGUCCCUAUCCACAGUAGCUCACGGCACAACUGUCGAACACUUCCAAAAUCCAACACACACCAUGAAAAUCAUCCAUGUCCAAGCACUAGUUAUGUGAGCAAUCCAAAACUUGUCCAAUGCCGUGGACAUGGCUACCCAGAUAGGUUUUAACUCUGCAGAGGUUCUACACAUUUCCCACAAGUAGGGUACGGCAGCACGAUCACCUUAGUACCGGUGCAGAUCCUAUCAAAGCCUUUACCCACCUUAGCUAAGCUUGACUAGCCAACACGGAAGCAACCAAGGGGUUUAAUGACCUACCAACGAGGUCUUAACCAGGAUAUAAGUUCACACAGUUCUUAUUCCUUCUCCAUGGUCUCCCAUUGCUCACCAGCUCUCCUGAUGACUAACAGACUAGUUAGUGGGAUUUAUGCUAAGCCGUUGCUGCAUACAAUAGUCGAGUGGUUGCACGAUGGUUGGGUUAGGCAAGAUGACACAUCAACUCGGUCCUUAAUUUGUGACAAGAUGGAUAUCUCCCAACCUUGCUCAACCACAAAGGUACGAGCCCAACUUAUUGGCAUUUCACACAAGACACACCCAUCCAUCUCAUCUAAGCAUUUCUUUCCUUUAUUUCCGAAAGCCCAUUUUCCCUUUUUAAAACACUCACACAUUUAUCCUUUAACAAAACACAUUGUAGUCAUGAUUCAGUUGAGUAACAAGAUCCUAAGCAUUCUAGCAGUAAUUAUCAUCCAAACAGAGCAAAUCAUAUUUAGAGACAAUUAUAGGACAAUCAAGAAAUAAUCAUAACAAUCAAGGGGUGGCUAUCCAACCGUGUUUCAGCAGUAAAAUAAUAUGCAAUUUUAUAAAACAGGCCAAUAGGUUGUGUUUGAAAAAUUGGGAUAAAUAUGCAUCAAAAGGUAAGAUUGGACUUGCCAUCCUCAAAGCCUUCUGGGAGUUCUUGCUCGUGGUGCUGGUCUUCGAGCUCGGGUUUGCGGUCAAACUCCUCCUUGGGCUCCCCCUCAGGCACUCCGCGAUCUAUGGCACACACAAUCAGGCACACAAUAAAUAAAAGAAAAAUAACAUUUUACCCGUUCAGCUUGAAUAGAGAACGCGAACGGAAAUUAGGAGGAAUGAGUAUUUUCAUGGAAUUUCGGUGGGAAUAUAUUGGAGGAUGUCGUGGUCGAAUUUGGGAUUAAUUGGAGGAAGUUUGGCUCAUGAAAUGAUGAGAUAACCGUGUAUUUGGGGGUUAAAACAAGGUUUAGGACUAAACUGCGAGAACUAAGGACCUAUUUGUGAAUAUUUCUAUAAGGUGGAAGGGCAUAUUCGUGAGAGAACUUUGAGAGAGGUGGGAGGGCUGGUUUGUCAAUAUGGACAAGGAGGGGGUUAGAUUGAAUUUGGAGGAAAGUUGGGGGGGCGCCCUAGUGGCGGGUGGCCGGCCUAGGCUCACCAGUGGCGAGGGCUAACAGUGGGGGAAGAUGGAGGAGGGUGUAGGGACUCCAUUUUGGCCCUCACCUUGGCGAAUCGGUAAUGGGAAGCGAGGGGGCCAGCGCGGGUAGGGGCAGAUGGAGCUUCGGCGGGGGUGGGCGACACGCAGGAGGGAGGGCGACGCUUGGGGGCGCGGGGGAGGCGGCGUUGGUGGUGUGGGAGGUAAGGGCGAGGGAUGGUUGGGCCUUGGCGCCCUUUUAUAGCUGGUGGUCGGGGAAUAUGAUGAUGGCGCACAGGCGAGCGGCGUUAAUGGCAGCCGAGAUUCCCGGUCGGUGGCGUGGCGAGGUGGAGUUCCGCGUGGAUGGCGUGGUGGGGCCGGGCUCACACGGCGAGGAGCAUAGGUGCGCACAAUGACGACUGGCGUGGGGAGGGGCUGGGCGGCGAGCGGUGACCGACGCGUGGGGCGGGGAGAGCGCAGUCGGGGCGCUAGGUGUGCGGCGUGCGGGACCGGCCAAGGCGUGUUGGUGGGGCCGGGGAAAGCAGUGCUAGGGAGCCAGGCGUGGGUGCGCGGGAGGUAGCGUGCGGCGCAGGUGGGGCUGGCGUAGACGCUAGGUGCCAGGAAGAAAGGAGACGGAGGAAGAAAGAAGAAGAAAGAAGGAAGAAGGAAGAAAGAAAGAAAGAGAAGGAAGAAAAAGAAAAGGAAAAAAAGAAGAGGAAAAAGGGAGAAAAAGGAAAAAGGGGUAAAAUAAAAGGAGUCUAGGCAUAAAUGGAUCGGAGUAAAAUGAUAGGGUUUACAUUGGGUGAAAUGUUAACGAGAUAGCAGAAAUUGCGGGAGUUGUCACGGCACGAGUACGACAGUCUUCCGACCGGCACGCGGCGUGACUUGCGGAGAGGAAAAGAGAACAAACGGCGGAGAUUGCGGAAGCGGUUGGUGCACGCAUGGCAGUUUGUUGACUAGCCCACGGUAUAAUUUGUGGAGAGAAAAGGAUAAAAAGGAUGGUUGUCGGCUUUGGGCACCGGGACGACGAAUUUGUCGGGAAGACGGGAUUUUCGAGAGCUCAACAGUAAUAAGAUUUUGAAAAUAAAUUUUUGGCAGGUGAUUUAAGUUGGUGAUUUUUACAAAUGUUAUAAUUUUGAUUUGAAGCGGCUCCAGCCUUGCGAAGAACCUUUCUACGGCAUUGUUCCUAAAAAAGGAUCCUACCCCAUAGGCCGAGUUAUUUUGUCGAUCACUUUCAGCACACGAGCCAAUUAUCGCACAGAGUACCUCACAUUCGAGGUGGCUAACUUCAAGACCUCCUACCAUGCUAUCUUUGGUAGGCCAAUGCUGGCAAGGUUUAUGGCAAUUCCCCACCAUACUUACGUUGUCCUCAAGAUGCUAGCUCCAAACGGAGUCCUUUUUGCCUAUGGUGACAUGGAGACUUCAUACAAAUGCGACACUGAGGCAGUCCAACUUGCAGAAGCCCUGGAGCUGUCAGCUAAGACCUGCGCCAUGGUUGCUGAGGCCCAGAAGAUAAGCACGGAUCAACUAAUAAUUCUUGAGAAGGAGCCGACCUCUACAUCACUACAGCCCAACCCCAGGGUCAAGAAGAUUUGCCUCGGCCUUGAAGACCGGACCAAGAUGGCUCUCAUCGGAGCCAACCUCUCGAAGAAAUAGGAACUCACACUCACCAGUUUCCUGCGGGAUAACUCGAACAUAUUUGCGUGGAAGGCAUCAGAUAUGCCUAGUGUCCCCAGGGAGCUGGCUGAGCACUCCUUGGACUUGAGCAAGACUGCACAGCCGUUCAAGUAGAAACUCCAUCGCUUUGCCCAAAAUCACAAGGAGGCCAUUAGGGUAGAAUAGAAUAAGCUCCUAGCUGCCGGAUUCAUCUGUGAUUGUAAACAUCCCGACUAGCUAGCAAACCUAGUUCUUGUAAGAAAGAAAAUAGGUGAAUGGAGAAUGUGCAUUGAUUACACUGACCUGAACAAGCACUGCCCUAAGGACCCUUUCCCUCUUCCGGGUAAGGACCGAGUCGUAGACUCUACUGCGGGGAGCAUCCUGCUCUGCCUCCUCGAUUGCUACUCGGGCUAUCACCAGAUUGCCCUUAACCCCGCCGACCAAGACAAGAUGGUCGAGAGACCAAGUUGAGAUGUGCCUUGGUCUAUUUGUGAUGAGUGAUUGACUAAAUGAUUUGAGGCUUUACCGGUUGAGUCCAUAUUUCAUAUGUGCAUGAUUAUGCUAACGGCUAACCAGAUAUGUUGUGUUGUGUGCGUUGUGUUGUGGUGUUUGUGUAAACUAUAUGUUGUGUGUUGUGUCUCUUAGCUUGGGAUGUGUAGGUGUAGGAUGCGACAUGGCAGUCGACAACAUGAGGUGAAGGUCAAGCGAAAGGUUCAUGCCGAUGUACUAGGGCUAUGAAGGGUGGACAUGAGUAGGCUUGGACUAAGGGACCCGAGGAGUCUGGGCGGAGUCAUAGGCUUUCCACAUGGUGCACGAAAGAGGAAGAGUACACAAACGGUGAUGGAGAUGGCGUCGGUCGAGUCAAGCAGGACGGAGGCAAGUCGAGUAGGCGGCCCGGGAGCCGGGAGCGAAAGACUUGGAGGCAUCAAAGGCUUGGCGGAGGUCGGACACAUGUCUACAUCAGUGAGUCACAUCAUACACGACGUGCAAGAGGGUUUGACCGGUUUGGCCUCAAAACUGGGGAUGAGUCACGCUUGAAGGGUAUGCAAGAGGGUUUGACCGGUUUGGCAUCAAAACCGGGGGACAAGUCCGGUGUGGCUGGAUGGCAUCGAGUUGAAAGAUGCGUGGCAUCAUCGCAAAGUUUGCAUCAAGGUGAAGCUAAGUCAGGAAGGUGUCAGGUCCGUCCGAUGAACGAAGAAAAAGUUGGAUGAUGUUGCCCCUAGGGGGUUUGGAGUUGUAUGCUUCAUGUUAGAACAACUUGGGAAAUAGCCAAGUGUCUAUAUAUAUGAGAGAUGGCUGGUUGGGGCAGCCAUCCCUUUGGUUGUUUUUGGUGGGAGUUACUCAUUUGUUUGUGAGAGCCUUUGGUAGAGGGAGAGAGGGAGAGAGGAGGGAUCUUUGAUUUGAUCUUUUUGCUAUCCUCGUUUUGUUUGUGCUUAGGAUUGGCUUGUAACCGGACAUAGUGAAGUAAUCCAAGAUUCAAUUUCGUGCUCAAUUGCUUCUCCUUCUUAAGAUCUAAAAUUUAUCUUUUUUCCUAUUUUCGGAGCAUUUUUGGGUGAAUUUUUGGAUCUCACGAUUGGCAGUGUUUUGGGGUGUUUUUCUUGGGGGAAAUCGGUGCUAGGACUUGUGCAAGAACAUUUAGGAUGAUCCCCUAGCAAAUCCAUGCACGAGCACCUUGGAUUUUGAUAUUUUUCGAAAAUCCCCUUCACUACAAGGAUUUGACCCUUUUAGCACCACUUGUUUUCGCAACACCACACAUUUGGUUGCAAUAUUUGGUUCUAUGGCAACCAACGGCAUAAUUGGUAGCGAUAUAUGGGCCUUAUGGCCACAAAAAUUGUGUGUUGCAUUAUUUAUAAGCUCUGUUGCAAGAGGGAGGCACUAAUGCUACAGUGGAAAAGGUGGUUGCGAGUAUGGGUUCCUAUUGCCAUGACUAGUGUUGAAUUGUGAUAAUAUUGAUUUUGUGUUGCGAUAGCUAGGCGUUGUUGCUACCAUUGUAAAGUUGGUUGCAAGUAGCUGUGCAUAUGGCCACGGUGUAAUUACAUCGUCUUAAUCAUGACCUACGUUGCAAAAGCUGUUGCUAUAUUGCAUCCAAAAAAAGAUUAGUUGCAAGUAGUUGUGAAUAUGGCCAUGAUGAAACUGUGGUUCUUUAAUCUUGUCCUGUGUUGCAAAAGAUCUUAUUAUAUUGCAUCGAAAGAGUCAUUCGUUGCAUCCGUUGAGGUUCUAUUGCCACUAGCAUCAUAUGUGGCUACAUUUGAGUAUAUUUGGUUGCCAGAAUAUUUUGUAUUGCCACUAAAAUUUAUUCGUUUGUAUUGUAUAUCAUAUACACUAGAGUCUGGAGCGCGCCCCUAGUGCGCUAAUAUUUUGACCAAUUACGUACAGUGUCAAGAAUGUGAUAUAUUUGGGGGAAAAAAUAAAAUUGGUGGCUCUAAUUAGGUCAUUGCAUACGUUUAUGUUUAGAUCUAUACAAGGAUCGUGCCGGUGCGUUGCUACGGACAAAACAAAUUUCGUCUAUAAGCAUCAAACAUUAUCGUGUGAAAUAUUUACUUCUACAAACGCAAACAUGCGAAAUGCCCCCAAUGUGAAUAAAAAUAACUUUGCAAUGAGUAAUAAAAUAAGCAAUAAGUAGUCGGAGCAGGGAGCAAAACAGAUGUACAUAUGAGUAAUAGAAGCUGAUAGAGGAAAACCAAAACAAAGAAAAAUCACCUAGAAGUUGACAGGGAGCAGGGAGCAUUUGAGUCGAUGAGUACAAAACAUUCACAAAGACAAGAAUUUUCAACACCAACACAAAUAUGUAUGCCCAUAACAAUAUUUGAGUUCAAUAUUUCACAGGUACUAAGCCUUCAAUUAAAAAAAUCACACCAAUACUUAUAGAAUCACAUUUAUGUAAAAAACUCAUCAUCCUAUCCUUGGCCUAAAGAAUUGACAGGUGCAACAUGUCCAUCGUCGAUGAGGUGUCAUCAUUAUCAUCAUGUUCAUCAACUAAGUCUUCAUCAUUUGGUUCUGGCACAGGUAUAGCUUUUUCAAUGACCCUAGCAUCUCUAGUCACUCCUUGGAGAUCAUUCCUUGCCCAAUUUAUCAACACUUCAUGUUGGUUAGAAAUAUUCAUGGCCUCCGCACCGAUGUCAAGUAAGUCAAUAUCAAUAUAUCCUUGUUGUUCAGUCUCUUCUAGUUCUGGCAUGGAAAACAAAGUCCUAGGCUUCAUUCUAACAACACUGCUCCAGUUGGAUUUAUUUGCACAUUUGACAUAAAAAACCUGCUCAACUUGAGUCCCUAGAACAUAAGGAUCAUUUACAUAUCGACGACGAGUUGUAUCAAUAUCUAUAAUCCCAUAUUGAUCUUUACUGUACCCUCUACUUUUGUUCUUAGUAGCGGCAGGAACGUCGUACCAAUCACACUCAAAUAAUAUGACUUCUUUUUCACUAGGGAAAUCUAAUGUGAUUAUCGUUUUAAGGACACCAUACCAAUCCAUAUUUUCUGUACUAUCAUCACCCUUCACUAAAACUCCAGAAUUUUGUGUACUAAAGCUGACCUCUGUAGAAGCCAUUCGAAAAAGGAAAUCAUGGAUGAAGCAUCUACUGAAAACACGGGCCAUAUAAUGGCGACCCUGAGAAAGGGCAUAUAGCUCAUCACUAAUCUUCCAUUUUGCAUAAACUACCUUCAUCUACACUCAAUUCAAAUAAAUAAAUAAGACAAUUUCUAUUUUUUUUACAUGUAUAUGACAACAUUGCUCACCUUACGUUCAAACCACCCAACAAAAUGCUCCCUAUGACACUUAUCAACGCCAUGUGCGCUAGUUCUUCUCAUUAGCUCCUUAUGCUUACUAUAUAUUAUUGGUUGGAACAAAUAGAUUACAUUAGUGUAACAUUAAUCAUGAGUAAUAUUCUACUCUUACUUAUGUACUAUGAAAAAAUACAAAAACACAAAAUAGAUGGUAGUAACAGCUUACUUAAUCCAUGGAAUUGCCUCGUCACAGUUUGAUAAUAUGUAGUGUCGCAUCUACAACAUGUCAAAUCUAGAAAUAGGCUCAAUUUUGCAUCCUUUCUUGCUAUAGUCAAUGUUCCCAAAUAUGCUAGGCCCAGCCAGUGGUUCAUUCACCGCGCUGCUCUGAUGACGCGCUGGGCAAUUCAGCUUCAUAUCAAUGUCUUCUAUGAAGCAAGAGCAGAAUGUCAUGCACUCCUCUGAGAUAUAUCCCUCUGCUAUUGAACCUUCUGGUUGUGCCUUGUUUCUAACAUAUCCUUUAAGUGUACGCAGAUACCUCUCGAUCGGAUACAUCCACUGAUAACACACUGGUCCUCCAAUUUUAGUCUCCUCAGCUAAAUGAAUAGGCAAGUGCAUCAUAAUAUCAAAAAAUGCUGGUGGAAAUAUCAUCUCAAACCGACAUAAAGUCUCUGCAAUUGAAGAACUUAGUUUUUCAAUGUCACUUUGCACCAGCUCCUUUGAACAUAGCGCAUUGAGAAACCUGCUAAGCUCAAUCAAUGGUCUAGAAACAUCUUCAGGCAAUAUGUGGCGUGCAACUAAGGGUAACAGUUUCUGCAAAAUAACAUGAUAGUCAUGUGAUUUCAGUCCAGAAACCUUACAGCCAUUGACACCCACGCAUCUCUUUAUAUUAGACGCAUAACCAUCAGGCAUCCUCACUCCUUCUAAGAAUGUACAUAACAUGAUCUUCUCAUCCUUGCCUAAGGAGUACAGUGAUGGUGGCAAAGUAUACUGACCAUUCUCUAGCACUGGAUGCUGAUCUUGCCUUAUCCCAAGAUGUUGCAUGUCAAGCCGUGCCUUGUCACUAUCCUUACACUUACCAUCUAUGUCAAGCAACGUCCCAAUUAUGCUCUCAUAGAUAUUUUUCUCGAUGUGCAUAACAUCCAAAUUGUGCCUUACAAGCAAUUUUUUCCAGUAAGGUAGCUCAAAAAAUAUACUCUUCUUCCUCCAGUUGUGCAACCUACGCUCUUCUUCACACUCCUUCCUCUUCUUUGUGGCUAUCCCAAAUUUUGGUUGCUCAAAACUUUCAUAAUGCUGUAUAACCUGUGCACCAGUCAAUGGCACAGGUACCUCCCUCAUCUCUUUCUUGUUGUUGAAGCUGUUUUUGUUCCUACGCCACCUAUGGUUCUGAGGUAGAAACCGGCGAUGACCCAAGUAGCACAUUACGAGGGUCUGAUGCAAAAUUCUUAUACUUGCCAUCCACAUGCUGCCAUGCCAACGAGUUUGCAGGGUGACGCAUUUUCCCAUCACGCACCAGUUCAUCCUUGUGCCAACGCAUCAGUGAAGAUGGUGAUGCUCUCAUAUACAAUCUUUGUAAACGAGGAAUAAGUGGAAAAUAACGAAGGAUCUUAUGGGGAAAAUGCUUCUUUCCACCACCAGUGAUAACAAGAUCAUCAUUUUCAGUACCCCCGGUCUCUUUCCACCUAGACUCACCACAUGUUGGACAGUUAUCCUUUUCAGCAUAAUCCCCACGAAAUAACACAGUCAUUCACACAUGCAUGAAUCACAUAUGCAAAAAUUUAGGAAUAAAAUGAAAAAAAGCAAAAAAAUUUGUGAUGCAUCACUAAAUCGAACCGUGGUGUACAAGUACCAAAGCAGCAUAUAAACCAUUGAGCUAUCACUUGAUUUUGGUAACUAAGAAGAAAUUUAUUCAUUUUAAUGCUUCUCGGUUCCUCCAGCAUCCGCAUCUUUGCCUUCAGCAUCCGCAUCCUCCCCAAAACCCGCGCACCCUUUCCUUCUCUCCCAUCGGCCGUCCGCUCCCUCCUUCUCGAUGCUCCCAUCCGUGCAAAAGCUGCCCGCGCCCUCCUCCACGACCCUCCCCGCUCCCACCUCCUCCUCGUCGUCAUCCUCCUCCUCCUCCUAUGUCUCGCGUGCCUUAUCUGGACGGCGGAAAAAGGGAGCAAAGUUUCUGUCUGAAGUUGCAGACCAUCCACGCUCUUUACUGCGGACUGUCCGCUGUGCGCGGACCGUCCGGGGCAGCUACUGCGGACCGUCCGAUAAAGGAAAUAGAAACUUUCAACUGAUAGUUCAGUUUUUCCUCAACCGGCGGACCGUCCGCGCUAUUCCCUGCGGACCGUCCGCGACGGGGGUGCCACAGUGGACCCGCGCCUCGCGUGCCUUAUCUAGAUGGGUCUUGACCCUUUCUCCUCCAACUGGUCAAAACACUUUCUUUCAUCCCCUUCUCCUCCACUUAUAGAGGAAGAUCCUCUCCUAUGGUUAUGCUUUGGAGACUUUCCCGGACCGCCCGAGGAAGGAUUCCGAACCGUCCGUAGGAUCCUCACCAUGACUGGACAGUAUUCCUUCGAUCUCUUUUGGUUUUCUUGGUUGUUCAAUGACGGUUAGGGUUUCAUGUGGAUUUGUCCAUGGAUAAGGGUUUGCAUGUUGGGGAUUCACCUCUGUCUUCUUCUGUGAACUCUCUCAAUCAUCAGUACCAUUGGAAAUCAAGAGAUUUGGGGGAAGGAUUUUCAUGUUGUUCUAGAUCUCGGGGUCAGCCCGAUGAACGGCGGACUGUCCACUGUUACCCGAUGGACUGUCCGCGGUUCUUCAACGGUUGCCCGAGAGCCCUAGAAUCUUAGAGAUAAUAGCAAGUGUCAUUCUCUUUGUAUCAUUGCAUAAACUAAUAACAAUUCUCUAUAUCAUUGACAGUGGCCGUGUUGGUCGUAUCACAAAGGCCUUGACUCGGAAGCUGAGAAAGGGAAGUUCAUCUAAGCGGCCUCGGUUUGAGGAUGAUGGGGAUUCAGGAGAAGAGGAUUCUAGAGUUGAUGAUUAUGCUCCUAGUGAUGCUGAAGUGGAAUCCUCAGUGGUGUUCUCAAUGCAUGUUGAUGAAGAUGUUGAUGAAGAUGAAGAUAUUGAUGAAGUGAUUGAUGUGACCCUACACACAGCACCCAAGCAAAAAUGGAACAUGGAGACCUACUCCAGAGAGAGGACACCUUAUCAAUUUAGUCUUCCCUGUACGACAUCUAACCUGUUCUUUCACACUCAAGUACAGGAAGAUGCCUUCUUUGGUCACCUGGUCAAUAAAACAGUGUUCAAGCAUCAGACAAUAGAUUUUGUGUACAUGGCUCAGCAACCUGUUAUGACCGAGGUAGUAGGGAAGUUUGAGGCUAUUGGCUUGAGGAGGUUUCUUGAGCAUAAGUGCAACUGGAAUGACACUAUCAUCCGUCAAUUCUAUGCCACUGUUGAAAUUGAUUUCUUUGAAGAUACGAUUGAGUGGAUGACAGGAAAAAGGAAAUACAGCUCUACUUUUGCUGAGUUUGUUGCGGCCAACCAUCUUGACUAUGCUUUUCUCACUGAUAACUAUAGGAUAAAUAUGGUUGAUGAGAACAUUUUGGAGCUUGAUGACAUAACACAGUAUUAUGAGCCAGCUAGAACUGGGAUUCCUAGACUCUAUGGAAAAACAACUGGCUUGAGGCACUAUCCUGCAAUAAUCAACAAAAUAGCUCGAGUCACAAUCUUGCCUAAGUGUGGCUUCAAGGAUGGAUUUGUGGGAUAUCAUAGAAACUUUGUGAAGCAUGUUAUGAAUAGAUAGAAAUUUGAUGUAGUAAGAUUAAUUAUGGACCAAAUUGCGGCAAAGAAGGUCAAUCUUGAAAUCAAUGUAUACUUUGCCCCUUAUAUUAUGACACUCAUCAAGGCCAAAGCAAGAUUCCAAGGUCCGUGCAAUGUCAAACAUACCGUCUACAAGCCAUAUGCAAAUAACCCGGCCUUUCUUGAAAGAGAAGUCACUCCUUAUCCGGCUGUGGGAGUAAAUCAAGAUGAAGGAUAUAUGGGGUGGGCAGAAAAUGAUGAUGGCAAUGCACAAGCCAUGCCUCCUCCUCCCCCACAACGUCCUUCUGGGUCACAGUCACAUUGGGAACCUCCUGUCGGUUAUUUUGAUCCAUACUUUGCAAAUCUCCAGGAGGGCUUUAAUUCAACGUUUGAAGCUUUUGGACAGCAAGUGAUGGAUAAUUUGUUUCCAAUGCAAGGGGAAACCUGAGGACGACGAAUUCAUCGACAUUGAAGUAGACAUAGCUCAUAUCUCAUUUUAUAACCUGGUAUACUUCAAAGAACAGCUUGGGUAUGGAGCCAGGGACUUCUUAUACUACAAGAAACGUUGCGGUAGGGAUGUAGCUAAACUUUAGGCCAUCAAAUAUUAACGCCACGUAGAAGCAAUGCUACAGGACAAUGCUGCAGAGAGGGAAAUCAGGUUGGUAUUGUCAAGGGAGGGUAAAUGUCAGCAUAACACCAAUUAAGCAACAUGGGGGAAAGCGAAAACAUGAUCAAUCAGGUACACAUGAACACCUUGAUGCCUACAAGGUGUGGGUAGCAAAACUGCAAGCCAAAGAACUAGACAUAGGUGAGAUCAUUCUUUGCAUCACCCAUUCAAAUUGUUAUAACACAAUGUUGCUUUGACAAGUGCAUCUGGUUAAUCAUGACUCACAGACUACAGGGAUGACUUCAGGGAUGAAACAAUUGAAACAUACAAGGAAUGGCUAAGGCAUGCAGGCUGUCGUUGGCAUAUGCGUAAUUUAAUUGCUUUUAUGAUGUCAUCAAAUAUAGUACCAGCUCUUGUACAUUCAAUAAAAUAAUUGAUGCAUGGUGCUUUAUUUUUUUUGCAGUGUCAUUAUUGAAAGAACAUACGGAUGAUGACCAUAUAGCUGGAGGGGAUGAAAAUCAGGAAAGGAGCACGGCAAACAAAGAUAGGCUAGCUCAUGCAAGAAAACCAAAACAACAAAGGAAUGGUAUGUGCUGGUCUUUCCAUUUUGCAUUAUACUCUUUUGCUGAUCAUAUAUUUUAUAUUUGUUUCAUAUGUUAAUAAGGUGGACCCAAAACUCGUGGACAUGGAUGUCUCAAAGGAUAUAAAGUAGCUACAAAGAUAAUGAAGAGCGGAUCUCAGAAAUUAAAGAUCGAAUUUGAUUCCUUGCUGGGAGGCCCCUAUGGUGAGAACAGCCGCAAAUUCAUGGAUGAGAUUGUAAUCUUUACCAGGAAAAAGGCUCCACUUAUAGGAGUGCAAUCGUGGAAGGAUGUGAAGGACAAUGUGAAAAUAGCAAUAGCAGAAGAAAUGAUGGUAAGUCAAUUGUUUUCUUUAGCCAAAUGUUAUAAAUUUAGUACCUCCGCUUUAAUGUUCUAUUUGUCUUUCCAUUCAAAUAGAAAAUUUGGGACUUAGAUGACAUUGAAGAUGCUACUGAAAAGAUAUGGGCAAUUGCCAAAGAGAGGUACAAAGGAUGGAGAGCUUCAUUUAGUUCGAAAUACAAGGCAUACUCCACUGACGCUCAACAAAUGAAGCAUAAGCCUGAAGAUUUAGACAACGUGGAGUGGUACUACUCGAUCCAAUAUUUUGGAAGUAAGCCAUUCCAGGUUCGUCGGUGUUCAGUUUCUUUUGUGAUUCCACUACUAAAUAUAAUGUAAUUAACAAAGCACUGCUUGUACACAUUUUGCAGAAAAUUAGCACUAGGAACUCUGGAAUCCGACAGAAGGUGAAGACUAAGCAUCUCACGAGAUCAAAAUCAUAUUCCCAAAUUAGUUUUGAACAGGUGAUGACAACAUUAGCUAAGCUAAUUACUUUCUUAAAUGGUUGCUACCUAAUGCUAAAUUAUUGCCAUCUCAGAGAAACAAGGGUAAUGGACAACAACCUACUGAUUUGCAACUUUGGAUGACUACUCACACCAAGGAUGGGCAAUGGUCAAAUGAAGACUCUAGGGAUAUCUACAUGAGUGUUUGUAUAUGAUUGCACCUUUAAAAUUUUAGCAUGUUUCAAUCUUAUUUUUGAACUGUUUGAAAUUACAUGCUUCUAAUUUAUUUUUCAUGUUUCACUUAGGAAAAUGCCUGCAUCCAAGUUACAGAGGCAGAAAAAGGGAAGGGUAGGCCCUUCCUUACGGUUGAGGAGGAAAACACAGUUUUCCAUCUCAACUACUCUAAAACUCUUGGAAUAAAGUCAUAUAGAUGUCAUGGAUGUGGAUACAUGGCAAAAUAUCCAACAAGAAAUGCUCUACUGAGACAUAGAGAAGAAGAUGCAACCCGUACUGAAGUUUUAGUUCGACAAGAAAGAAUGCAGCACCAACAAGAGGUUGAAGAAUUAAAAGAAAAGCUUGAACUUGCAGUUUCAGCAAGGGAAAGAGACAAGGAAGAAACUAAGAAACAAAUUGAAGAAAUCAGGGAAGAAUUCCGGUCAACACUACAACAACAAAUACAAUUAGCAUUGCAGCAGGUAAUCACUUUGGACCACGUUUCUCCUUUUUUGGCUCCUCUAUUUUAGCUAAUGUUCCUUGUCUUUUGGGUUGCGCAGGCUAUCCUAGGAACCAUCAACACCACACAAGUUCCAAACGGACCAAGUGUCAACAACAACUUCAUCACACCACCACGCAUAGAGGAUGCGGCUAUAGAGGUAAUACAAAUACAACAAGGUUACUUACAGAAGAUGCAACAUGUUUACAUAUAAAAUACAACUUGUUCACACCAAAGCUUUCAUUUUGGCAGAAUUAUGAACCAGUAAGCGUGUUGACCACAUAAAUGUUAGUUGAUGAAGGUACUACCAUGACAUCAAAGACUAAUGCAACCAGGACUCUUUUUUAGAAAAAGAAUGGUUCCAAUGGGUCAUUGAAUUAUGUUUCUACCCAACAACUAUUGAGGACUCGUAAUCAAAAGAAAAAACAGUAGGUAUGAAUACCAAUGUGAUUUGUCUUUGAAUGGUGGGUAAUAUGCUUUGUAUGAUAUGUCAAUAAAGUUCAUCAAACUGGUGGGGAUCUUGUCAUCUCAAAUGGUAUAUGAUAUUAUUGCAGAGUGUUCCUUAAUUUAGUUUAUAUCUUUACUAUGUCACUAUGAUCAUUUAGUUUGCACGUGAUUAGUUAUUCCAUGCACUUAAUCACCAAGGUUCCUAUAUUAAAUUAAUAAAUUAUAUGUGUUCAUGAAUUGCAAGAAAGCGUGGAUAGCUAAAAUAUUUAGAGAAAGCUUUAUGCCUAUAUGCUGGUGAUGGACAGCUAGAAGAAUGAAGAAUUAUAGAAAUUUUUAUUGGUGAUGGCCGGUGCUGAUGGGGCAUGAAGAGAUCAAUAAGAGAACUCAUAUUUAGUUUUAUUUUAUUAUGCCAAACAUAGUUACAAACUUGUAGUUAGAGAACAUGUUUAUUAUAGCAGUACUCUGUUCAUUGUGUUAUUACUUUGGUCGAGACAUAUAUUUGAAGUUAAUGAAGGUUUGAGUUCUUAUAUGUGAUGAUGAAAUAUAUACUUAUGGCACAAUUAUUUUGUAACAACAAUUAAAUUUCUAGCUACAAAACGAAAUUAAAAAGGUGUUGGCCAAAAUGUCCUCGUUGCAACAAACCAAUACGCAACCACCGUUUGUUGUUGCAAUAUACAUUAUUGCCACAAACCUUAUGUGUUGCUAUAGGACGUGUCUACCACCAACAAUGAUUCGUUGCAUUUUCCAUCUAUUACCACCAACAAUGAUUCGUUGCAUUUUCCAUCUAUUACCACUAACAAUGAUUCGUUGCAUUACUUUUUAUUGCUACCAGCAAGUGAACGUUGCAAUUGUGACUCUAGCCACCAAAUUUGUUACGUUGCAAUAUUUAUUUGAUGCAAUGGAGCAUAUUGCAUGGCAAUAUGGCCAUAUUCGCAAGUAACUACGGGUUGACAAUAAACCUAUUUUGAGACAAAUUUGUUCAUAGCAAUACUGUCAUAUUGCAGCCAUGUAUUUUAUUGCAACAAUAAUUCAUGCAACCAUUCUGUUGGUCGCAAUAUCCGUGCUUGCAACCAAAUCGCAGUUGCGUUAGUUUUUUUAUGUGCAUUGCAAAACCACCAUAUUGCAACACCACUCCAAAAGGAUGCAAAAACCUAUUGCACCGUUCCAAAUGCAACCACCUGUCAACGACCAUACAUAGAUGUAAUUGAUCCUUAUUGCAAUCAAAAUAGCCAUAUUGCAACCCAAUAUAGGCGUCACGAUAGGGCUGGAUCCUAGUAGUGCUUUCUUGUGCCCUUCUCCAAAUCCAUGGAAUCUUGUGACCAAUUCAUGAGCUUUUCGACUUGAACCUUUAGGAAUACGUUUGGUAUGUUGUUUUGAGUCUAUGGUUCAAAUUUUGUGAUUUUUGGAGGUUGUUUGAUCAAGUUUUGGAUUUUUUCACCUUCCUCACGAAGGAUGAUUUUGGAAUUUUGGAAUAUUCCGGAAAUUUCUGAAGUUCUGGAAUUUUUCGAAGGUUUUUUCGGAAUUUUCCGAACUGAGGUGUUAGUUUUUAAAGUUUUUCUUCUGACACUUGUUUGGACUCUUUCUCGCUUCCGCUAGUCUCAAAAUUGGUUGGUAGCAUCAUUCUUAGAGCAACUCCAAGAGGCUGCUAAUCUUACCCCCAAUACCUUUUUUAGGAAAAAAGAGAGAAAAAAUGAACUCCAACAAUCCACCUAAACUUUCCCCAAUUUUUUAGCGACGCUAAAAAACAGCCUGCCACCGCGUAUAUUUUAGCGUUGGCGUUCCUCCCCCAAUCCUGAUUCCCGCACGCCCGCGCGUCCCUUCCGAUGGGCCCAAUACGAUGACGUGGCCUGUGUUUGAAAUAUUGGGGGCUAUUUAUUAGCGAUCUGCUGUGGACUAAUAUGUUUUUGGGGGAAAUUUUUUUUAGGAGAACCUCCAAUACAUAGUUUUGGGGAAGAAAUUUUUAGGAUACUCUUGGAGUUGCUCUUAGGUCCAUUAGCUCGUGCAUAGCUAAGUGGAUUUGACAUUGCUAGAAAAGAGGUUUGUGGAUUGGUUUGGGACUUUAUUCUAGGUUCUUUGAGAAAUUGAAUCGGCUCCCAUUUACCCCCUCCCCUUUGGUCACCUUUCCGGUCUUUCAACGGUGUUCAUAACACCCUUUGGUAUCUACUGCUACAACACCAUGAUCUUCGGGUUGAAAAAUGCUAGUGCCACCUACCAGAAGGCAAUCUAGGGUUGCCUCGCAAUACAGCUCCACAAAAACAUCGAGGCUUACAUCGAUGAUAUGGUCAUCAAUACAAAGGAUGAGGAAAAGCUUCAUAGCCAACCUUGAGGAAAUCUUCAAUAGCCUCUGGGCAUACUGCUGGAAACUUAACCCCGACAAGUGCAUUUUUGGUGUCCCAUCUAGCAAGCUCCUGGGCUUCAUGGUUAGCCAGCGAGGCAUCGAGGCCAGCCCUAUCAAAGUAGAUGCAAUCAAAAACAUGACGAAGCCAUCAAACAAGAAAGAUGUCAUGAAACUCACUGGAAUGAUGGUGGCCCUUAACCGUUUCAUCAGCAAACUUGGAGAAAAAGGCCUGCCCUUCUUCAAGCUCCUCAAAAAGGCAGACAAAUUUGUGUGGGAUGAUGAGGCUAGCAAAGCACUCAAAGAGCUCAAGGGCUUUCUCACUGCACCUCCGGUCAUGACGGCCCUGGCCGACCAGGAAAGACUCUACCUUUACAUCUCCGCCACGACACACGUGGUCAGCACUGUGUUGGUCAUAGUGUCAAGAGCCCAGCCAUGCCUAUGCGGUGCAGCGACCAGUGUACUACGUUAACGAAGUCCUCAGUAAUUCCAAGACCCGCUACAGCCAGGUGCAGAAACUGCUUUAUGAAGUGCUAAUAUUUUCAAGAAAGUUGUGUCACUACUUCCAGGUACAUAAGGUCUGUGUGGUAUCCUCGUUUCCCAUCGGUGAAAUCCUUCACAAUAGGGAUGUCAACGGCCGAGUUGUGAAGUGGUCCAUUGAGCUCGGCGAGUUUGACCUUGAAUUUUGCCCGCGUCAUGCAACCAAGUCACAAAUUAUGGUCGACUUCGUAGCAGAGUGGACAAAAAUCCAGAAGCCGCCCUCCCUGGAGAGGCCUGAACACUGGGUGAUGUACUUUGACGGCACCUUCAACCUCGAAGGAGCCGGUGCAGGGGUAAUCUUUAUAUCCCCUAAAGGCGAACAACUCAAGUACGUCCUCCAGAUUCAUUAGCCACUAACAAUGGCGCCGAGUAUGAAGCUCUCAUCGACGGUCUCCGUAUAGCUGUUUCCCUUGGAAUGAAGUGUAUACUUGCCUACGGUGAUUCAAAAGUGGUGAUCGAGCAGGUUAACGAGAAUUGGGACUACACAAAGGACGCCAUGGAUGCCUACUAUGUACAAAUCCACAAGCUUGAAGCCCACUUUGACGGCCUUGAAUUUCAUCAUGUCCCUAGGGACCAUAAUGUGGCUCCCGAUGUCCUAUCCAAGCUCAUAUCUAAGCGCGCGUAGGUCCCAGUCAGUAUAUUCAUUCAAGAUCUUCGAAAACCUUCUAUCAAAAUCAUGGAUCCUGACUAGGCUAGCGAUGCUAGCGUUCAGGCUCCAGCCAACCUAAAAUCCACUGAAGUCAUGAUGAUUGAGGCAGAGGAAGAUUGGUGCGCUCCAUUUAUAGCCUUAAUCACUGACCAGAUGGCACCAGAGGAUAAAUAGAGCAUGAAAAAUUAGCUCGGCGCAGUGCCAAUUACAUUGUCAUCGGCAAAGAGCUCUACAGAAAACCCGCGUCUACAGGGAUAGUAAUGAAAUGUGUUCUAUGCAGCGAAGGAAUUGAGUUAUUCAACAAAAUCCACUCAGGGACAUGCGGCAACCAUGCUGCCUCGGGCACUUUGGUCGGCAAAGCUUUCCACUCUGGUUUUUACUGGCCCACAGUAGUAGCCGAUGCAAAGGAGCUCGUCCAAUGAUGCAAGGGGUGUAAGUUUUUGUCCAAGCAGUAGCACCUCCCGGCUCAGGCCUUGCGCACCAUCCCUCCAUCAUGGCCCUUCGCAUGCUGGUUAGACAUGGUUGGACCUUUCAAAACCGCUCCGGACGGCUAUACACACAUUUUCAUGCCAGUUGAUAAGUUUACAAAGUGGAUUGAGGCAAAGCUCGUCACCAGCAUUGAGUCAGCUAAAGUAGCCCAAUUUGUGGAAGAAAUCAUUCAUCACUUUAGAGUGCCUAACAGAAUCAUAACCGACCUAGGCACACAGUUCAUAGGUGCCGAGUUCUGGGGUUUUUGCCAAGACAAUCUCAUUGAUGUGUACUACUCCUCAGUAGCGCAUCCACGUUGCAAUGGCCAAGUGGAGCGUGCAAAUGGGAUGGUCCUCCAGUCCCUCAAGUCAUGCAUCUUCAUGUCAUCUGGGGCCUAAGAACGCAGAAGAGGUGAGCUACUAGAUACACACCUUUCUUCAUGGUGUAUGGUUUCAAAGCCAUCUUGCCAUCUGAUGUGGCCUUUGGUGCCCCACGUAUCCAAUACUAUGAGGAGGGUGAGGUAGAAAGAAGUCGUCAAGUUGACAUUGACAGUCUCAAAGAACAUCGUGUAGCAGCUCUCCUCCAACAUGCUCGCCAUGAGUAGUAGAUACAACAUUACCACAAUCGCAAUAUCAAGGAACGGUCCUUCAACGUUGGUGACUUGGUGCUUCACCGAGUACAGUCCACCAAAGGACAAGCACAAAUUGGCUGCCCCUUGGGAGGGCCCCUUCAUCGUCAAAGAGGUCAUCCAACUAGGCACUUACCGACUCAAAUGGGCAGAUGGAUCUAGUGCCCCCCCCAUGGAACAUCAAGCAUCUACGAUGAUUCUACCCUGAGAAUAUAUAGCUAUGUACUUUGUUUCUCUUUUCCAUAUUAAAUAAAUAAAUACCCAUGUGGUUCCUUUUUUGCGUACCUACUUCCUUACUGCUUUUUCUUUUCCGAGCUACGCUCUAAUGCUCGGGGGCUGCCUGACCUGCUCAGUAGCCCGCUCGCUCACAAAAUCGGGGGCUCCCCCACCAACCUCUGGGUCAUACCUUUUUCCUCCCCCUCUUAAGGCUAUACAACUAACACGUGUGGUCGGCGUCCUAGCUUGCGAAACCUACACAACCUUGCGUUCACCCCUCCUACAAGCUCGAGUUCCACUCUUAGCAGGACGCUGGUCAGGCGAGGCUAGGUGCUUAGCGGCUACAGGCCUCAGCUACACGAUGUGUUGUCGUAUACGUCAAAGGAGGGGUGGAAUUUUUCUUUCAUCAAAACACAACUAAAUACAUCUUGAUCAGUCAUUGCAUAAAAGGAAUAGUCAGGAAGUGCGAGACCAACAACACAAAUGUAUUCUUGACACACUCGAGGGCAGUAUCCUUCAGCAACCUCUUCAACUGACCCAGCGCAGCUUUAAGGCGGUCCAAUAGAGAUGUCGGUCUGGCUGGGUCAGUGUCCUUUUUGAUCAUGCCCAUCAGAUACCUAGUCGACUUCCGAAGCUCCUCUAGCUCUAACUCCAAGCCUGCAAUCACACGCUGGUCAUUCUAGAGGUUACUUACGGCAUCCUCUAAGCUGCACUCGAGAUCCCUACACGCGUUGGUGUAACGGCCUCGGGUAAAAAUCCUUCGCGUUAAUCUUAAUCCGAGUCCCUGAUCCCCUGUCUCAAUUUCCAAGCCUAAGUGUUCAACCUCCAGAUCUUCCGACCCUUCGAUCCGACCCCUCGCCAUGGUCUCCCCAGUUCCGACCCCGCCAACCCCCAACCCACCGUCGGAUCUUUCUAAGCCACCCCACAGCGUCGCCCUUCAGUUCGAGCCGUAGACCACCGAGACUGACCGGUGGGCCCACGAGAUCUUUUCCCCCAGAUCUCCCGUGAUAGGCGCACUCGAGUUGCAUGCCCGCUUCAGAGUUCCCCAGGCGCGUGGCUCAGCUCCUCCGACGCCUGCCGCUCUGCCUCGUCGCCGGCCCACGACCGGAUGGAUUCUCGCGCCCCCUUCCCCAAUCGUGGCGGAAGCUCCCCUGCUACCCUUUCUGCAGCACCUCGCCGCCCGCGCCCAUCAUCACAUCGCCAGAUCCCGGCCGCAGAGCCCGAUGCCGCCUAUCUUUUCCGUCACCUCGCCACAGUCGCGCCACCCCGGUCCUCGCUACGCGAUGAUUCCUCCUCCACCAACCCAGACCGCGGCAGCGACAACUCCUUUUCCCGCCCUGUCAGAAGUCGCCCCGACAAUCUGUUGCUCCACGCUCGCUCGCGCAACCGCAGCCGCCUGUCUUCUCACCUGUGCGCCCUCGUUUCUAGCGCCGUUUUCUCGGUCACUUCCAUCAGAUCCACCGCACGAUGACACCCACCUCCGCCAAAUCUCAACCACUGGCAAACCCGCGCCUGCGCCGCCCUGACGUCGGUGCCCAAUGACCGCCGGUGUCAUCCCCGAAGUCCUGCUCCACCGCCCUUGUCGCUCAAUUGCCGCCCGGGCAGAGCACUCCAUCACUUCUUCCCCGGCCUUCGCGCCGCUCCCCCUUCCCUCUUCCGCGCAGCUAUAAAAUGGGAUGCCGGAGUCCCACCGGAGUUCCCCUUUGCCUUCGCUGCCAUCUCUCUUGCUCCCUGUUCGAGCUCACAGCGCCACCACCUAAGUCUGAGGAACUCUCAUCUCCGCGCAACACCACUUUCCCCAAUCCACCAGCCACUGCUUUCAGUGCUGCCCAAGAGCUUGCUGUGAUCCACAAGAAGCACCACAGCCGCCGGAACACCGCCGGACAUCCUCGCCGCUGUCCCAAGCCCCUUAGUCCUUCCGCCCCAGCCUUCUCUGUAAGACGAAGGUAGGCUGCCGACCCUUGUUCGCCUCGCCCGACCCCUCCUAUCCGCCCGACCCCGGUUCCAUCUCGCCCGACCCUGUCUGUUUCGCCGACCCUUCUCCGCCUCACCCAAGGGCUCGGCUGUAUCUUUUUCUUUGAACCGAGGGUGUAUGUGAAAAACUUGGGGACCUUUCAGCGUUAAAUCUGAGGACCCCUAGCACAUCUAUUCCUCUAGAUUAAGGGCUAGAUCAUAAGUUCCUCCCCCUCCGACCCUUACAUCUUGAUCUCCAUCAACUCCAUCGAACCUCCCCACCCUCCUGUAACUUGCCGCAAGUUUCUGGGCUCAAACUUGCAAGUGUUGCUGUUGAAAUAACCGUCUAUGCUAACCAAUGCAUUGCAUUCGUGUAGAGCUGCGUCUCGUCGAUGGCUACUACGAGCUGCACCCGGCGCCAGAAGACGACGGUGUAGCUGAGCUCCUGCUUCCAGAAGCCCAAGCUGCCCAAGAAGACGAGCAGUUCCCUUCCUCCUUGCUCGAAGGCAAGCCCCGGAUGCAUGAAUUCCCCUACAUUUUACCAGACUUGCGCAUGCCUUCUUUAACAUGCUUGUGCAUUUACGUAUAGGAGUUGGUUGGAACCAUAGCUGCAUAAUUUAGCUCCCUUGAUCUGAACACUAGCUGUUGGACCGAGUAGAUGCUUUGCUUAAAUAGAAACGGUAAAAGCCGAGUGAUUCCCUGUCACUCGCGAGUUGUAGGAGUUGGAUGUUUACCCUUCUGUCACAACUAUAAGGACGAUGGACGGGGCAGGGUUUUGGGUAACUCUUUGGUGGUCGGUUGAUCGCCCCGUCUGUCUAUGAAACUUGCUAAGGCCCGACAGUGGUGGUGUUCGUGAUCAAGUGUUUGAAAGUACUAAUCUCAUACCUAGUAUGGGAUGGGGAAGCCUAGUACCUGAUUGAACUAGGGUGUGGCUUAUACCCCUACUGUCCCUGGAACGAGGUUCCCAUGGUGCAUCAUGUGGGUGCAAGUGCGGUCACAGUAUGGCAGAGGCUGGGACUGUGGAGCAUUGCAUGCCAAGGGAAGUUUGGACCUGACACGCGCCUGGGAAUUGAUGGGGACGGCUGACACAGGAAGCGGCCCUCGUGGUGCGCGGAUGUCGUGAGAUUAGGUUCGCCAUGCAUGGUUAAGAAACUCGAAUCGAUUCGUCUGCCUCUCAUAGUUUGAGACUACUUGAUCGCUAUGUCACCCUGAGUAAAUAAGGAAUCUAAUGAUGACAUGGUCGUGUUGAUGAUGUAUAUACCUUUGGUUGGUUCUAUGCUUGCUUAGAAUAGGUUGCAAACUUAGACCGGAUAAUGAACUUAGAACCGGAGCUAAAACUUGAAAGUAGGGAUACACUUAGUGCUUUUUGGCAAACAAACCCCUCAGCCUAAAAGCCUCGCAUGUCUAGAAAAGAUAGUUUAGCGCGCUCCCUGUCGGUUAAGUCUUGUUGAGCUUAGUAGCUCAGCCUUGUUGUGGCUCUUCCUUUUCAGGUGAAGUUGUUGCCUCUGAGCCUCCUUCUGCUGGCACUUGGCCGCCCCAACUCCCUCCGGGUUGGACGGUUGAGUGGGAUCCCUCCUCGGACGGCGAGGAGAGGGAUCAUUGACAUCCCGGUUGGCCUCACCAGGGAUGUCCGACCCCGACGAGUUCGCUUCCGCUAGUUGCUUUACCUUUUGUUGUUGUUUUUCUGCUAAACCUUGUAAAACUCUGAUGUUAUUUUUACGGCCAAACUAAAUGGUUAAUUUGUUAACUCAGUGGACUUGUUGUAUUCUCUGGAACCGCUCACCUUCGUGUGGGUUUGCUAUUCGGUCCUGUUCAAGUGGUUAAAUCGGAUGAAAUCCGACAGCACUUCGUGUUUACUCGGUUUAGGCAUGAGCGUCGCGUGUCAUGCGGCUAAAUCAUGUUUAACCAAACAAAUCCGAAGUGGAUCCACCGCAGUUGGCUUCAUAGGCUAGCUUCUGGGAUACCGCAUACUCACGGUUCACUGCAGCAUCAUGUUCUUCUUGGAGGCGCGCAUUGGAUUCUUCAAACUCUUUGAGAUCCAGUCGCAGCCACGCCUGUAUUCGCUUGGAAUCUAUUCGACUGAUCAAAUCCGGAUCAGCACAAUGACAUUGAAGAAAAACAUGAUCUCACAAGUCGGCAAAGCUCACCUACCAGCCCCGAGCUGAUAAAUUCCCUUUCUGCAGCAAAGCUAGCUUCGAGGCGCGCUUUGGCACCCUCACUCUCCCUAAGGCUCCGCAGCAGCCUUGCUACUUGCACCAUGGAAUCUACAGAACCAGCAAAAGAUUGCAUCAGCGUAAAGCUCGCAAAAAAAAAACAAGUCGGCUGGCUGUACCUCUCAUGAGCCCAUCAUGAGUGGUCUUCUCGACCUCUCGCCGGGCCUGCUACCUCUGGAGCUCAUGCUUCGCCUUUUCAAGCUCAAUCUUCAGUUGCCUCGCUUUAGACCGAUAGCAAUCACAAUGGAAGACCAACUACAUCCUCUUUGGAGCCUACUCAGCCAGUCCCUAUUCAAAUCCAUACAAUCAGAGCUCCGCAGAAGAAGAUGAAUUUCAAGCACAAACACAACAGGUUGGUCAGCAUACUUACAUGAAGAUACUCGCCAAUCAUUGAUCCUGCCUCCUAUAGCCCCACAAGAGCCUCCCUAUCCUUUUGUUUGUCCUCUUCAACCUCAACAUCGAUGUAAGGGGUGCUUUGGACAACGAAUCAUUCUUGGGUGGAUCAUCCCGCUGACGAUUGGCCUUAGUGCCCUCCUCACCCUCCUCUUCCACCAUGACAUCCUCCCGGACCACCUCCCUGAUCACGACAUCGUCCUGGGCCACAUGCUCGACCUCAGCAUCCUCCUAGGCCACAUCGUCAACCCUGGCAUCCUCCUGCGCUACAUGCUUGACCCUGACGCCCACCUGAGCUGCAUCCCCGACCUCGACGCCAGCCCGAGUCGCAUCCCGGACCCCAACCUCCUCCUCCAACUCCCUUAUCCUGGGGCCAGCCAUGCUAUCAUUAGUGGGUUUGGCGCUGACCUCAACCUAUUGCGACACAGGAUUCAAUACAACUUCCUCAGCCAUUUCAGACCCACCAGUCCUGACCUCUCCAGCCGGUGACUGCUCAGCGAUGUGACCACUAGAGGCUUCAAUCGGACUCGAGCAUCUGUUCAGCUAAGUGUCACCAUCAUCAGACUACACGCCAGCUCUGUAUCAUCACCACAGCAUGCAAACCAAGCAAGAAUUAGACUAUUGUCAUGAAAGCAGAAAUCACAAAAGGUGGCAACAUUUACAGAGUACUCUUUGGGAACAAGCGCAUUUUUGGGCACAGCUCUUGCAGUGGAACAGGCGCAUCGCCACUGGAGCUGUCACGCAUCUUCUCCUUCAACGCCUCUUUGAGGCGUGCCACGUUAGUAGCAGUGGUUCCCCCGUGCUUUGGCUCUUUGUCCUACACAGCCGGGCUCCGCGCGACGGCCCCUGACUCGCCGCUCGACCUAGUAGCAGCAGUAGUAGUCAGCACGGUCUUCUACCGACCGGCCAACUUCUUCUUCUUCCCAGCUAGUUGGGACACCUUGGAAAGGGACCGCUUGUGAGUUGCCAGCUAGCCUAGCCAACACGAACCUUAGUCCCCGCCAUCCUCACCAGCCGCGCUAAUAGCAAGCCCAAGAGAGGAAUCUGACUCAAAUAGAAGGCUGGGCGGUAGCGCAACCGGCACAUCAACCAGCGUGACCUUGGGCGGCGCCACUGGAGUCCUAGCAGGCAAUGAUGGAAGACAAAAAUAUACAAAGGGGUCGCUCUAAAUCAAAACAUGACCUUAAAUCAUUAAGAUUGCGAAUAAGGAGCAUAUUACAUCUAAGCAGAAAUGAAUACAGUUUCACCAGGGUAGGUGACGGAUUCCUCAGGGAAAAAGCCUUAAGGGCACCCGUGUUGAUGAUCUCGCCCUUGAACAACCCGGACAAUCGGCAAAGAAUAUCUUCUACGGGAACAUCAUCAUCGACUUCCCGAGUCGGAUCAUUAAGCCCUGAGUACUCGAACGAUGGAUGUACUCGGUGCUUGAUCGGAUGGGUGGCCCUCUGGCAGAAAUUGAUCCCAAUUGCCACGAGUGUCAAUCCUUGCACCUUGAGGUCAGCGAUCCUCGCCAGCAACUUAUUCACUUGGACUUGCUCCCCCAGGGUCGGCUGUUCUUGCCACUUAGACACUGAUAUAGGACCAAAACCAAUACACGACGGCAACUCUGGCUUCUGGUUGGCAAUUAGAAAUCACUCGGCACGCCACCCCUUGUGGGACUCCUUCAACUGAAGGUCAAAAUACUCACGCAUCCUCUUGGGGUGCAAGAGAACCCAGCCCCACCGUUAACCCUAUCCUUCCUACCCUUAGUAUUCACAGGUUUCAGCUGAUACAGAUACCACCACAAAUUGAAGUGGGGGGCGGGGAAUGCCUAGAAAUGCUUCGCAAAGAUUAAUAAAAAUAGCAAUGUCCAGGAUCGAGUUAGGGUUAAGGUGCACCAACUCGAUCUUGUAGUAAUGAAGGAGGCCACGGAAGAAAUCUCUAGUCGGGAUCUCGAACCCGCACUCGAAGAACGAGGCGAAAACCACCACUUGCUCCGUGUCCUCGGACAGAAACUCCUGGCCGGCGGUGGCCCGUCACUCAAGCAACUCCUACGGACCAAGGAGCCCGUGGUCAAUGAGGGCCUGGAUCUGCUCAUGCGUCAUCACGCUCUUUAUCCACACCGAAGAAGGAGAUGGAGCAUUGCGCUGCGUUGUUGCUUUUCGAGCUCAUGGUUUGGAUCUAAAAAGCACUAAGGUUUUGUUACUCAUACAGUUGCACAACAGCUCGGGUGGAGGCGGUGUAGCAGCCCAGGCGACGGUGGCGGCGUGCAUGCGAGAAGGUUCAGAAAUGCGGCAGUGCAACCUAGGGUUUGUGAAUGCGACGGUGGAGCACUUAGUGACCUCAAGAUGGUGGCACUACAAGAGGUUGAAGAUGCGAGUGGCAACGGCUCCGUGACUCUUGCGCUUUUAAAGGAGAUAAUGGCAUCACUCAUGGAUGGAACUCGCGGGCCUCCUGUUAGGAGUUUGGGUUUGAGGGGGCAGUUCAACAGGUAUAUAUACCCACAGGCAGACUAUUGGAAGUUCCAAUGCAGCAUCGGAAGUCCCGACGAAAAUCAAAAACAUCUCCCAAGCACCUUCUGUCGGAGGAAAUUAGAAAGUUCCGAAGAUCAUCGGAAGUUUCGAUGAAGCAUCGAAAGUUUCGAUAAUAAAAAGAAUUCUCCCAGGCACCCUCGAUCGGAACUUUUAUGAUACUUCCGGUGGCUAUUGGAAGUUCCAAUGGUGUACUGAAAGUUCUGAUAAAAUCAAGACAACUCCAAAAAGAUUGAUUUUGAGAUGGAUAAGGAUUGAGAUUUCAAGAUAUAUAGCUUAUGGACAAAUAAGAAAACUUGACGCUUAAGUGAUCAGCCAACAAGCAACAUUACAAAGCAAUGAUCACUUGAGUCAAGUUUUGAUCCAAGGAUCAAAAUCCAAAUUUUGAAAGAAACUGAACACAAGUAAAUCCAUUUUUCUUAUCUAGGCAACAAUCAAGUAUGUGCAAUAAGUCAAGCCAAGUUACGAGAAUCCAAGAUAUUUAGCUCAUUCCUCAAAACACAAAACUUGCUCUUCCCAUAGCUCUACGUCAAGGCGCAACUCAGUGGCUAGGUGUUCAAGAUCAGCCGCCUCUCGCUCGAUAGCACGGCGGCUAGGGCGGCGAACCCAAGAAAGAAACCUGCUCUUCUUCAUCACGGAUCUCUCUAUCCUAAGCUCCUAGCGUGUGCGACGUAGUACUGGCCAGGAUGCAUCCAGGCUCCAGCACGACCCUCGACGGCGCUAGGCCAGCAAGCAGUGCUGCAGCUGUGGUUCCCAUGUCAGUGCCCACGGCGAGCGGCAUGUCAAAUGGAGUGGGACCUUGCCCACAACCUUCUCGACGAAAUGUGUGAGUUGCCUCGUGGAGUCCAGUCAGCAGGCCAUAUCAGCACUUGGAGUCCAUGUGAAAGGCUAUGGACCUGUGGCGCACCAGUAAACAAGAUUGAGGUGUAAGAAAUGUGUUUUGAAAGUUCAUGGACCUAAAUGACACAGAGAGAGACAAGUUUGAGGACCUCCCAUUAUAUUUAACUCACAUAUAAAUAUUCAUUUUGACAUUGAUUGAAAGACAAACCUAAACACUGGCACAUGCUAGAAAUAAACACGCUACCCAUCUGCGAUAUAUAGUUCCAAACUUUCUAACAACGGCUUCUUGCAACAUGAGCCUUGAGUACUAGGCUGCCAUUGCUUCCUCUACACCUAAUGAGUCAUGACUUCGGUUGUAAUGUGUUUAGCAGGAGUUCGUGGAAGCUUAACCUAUCUUGCAGUGCCAUAGUUAAAACAACCUAUAAUGGUCAUAGUUUGUACCCUUUAAAAUUGAAAAUAUGUUAAUAUUGAUGCACUUUACAAUAUAAAAUUUGAGACAGCUUGGUCAAGUGACGGUGUCACAACUAUCUGAUGUUCACUACUAGGGAAUCCACGUUUAGAGAUAAGUUUGGAACGAAGGGAGUAUAUAUUAAAAUAUCCGUGUAAGACACUAAUCACUACUAGAAAUAUGACCUCUCAUCCCUGAUGUUUGUACCGAUCACAUUUGGAACUGGUACUAAUUCUAGCAUUAAUACCGGUUCCAACGGAUACUGCUUGGAGGGUGCCCCGAGAACCCCUUUAGUACCGGUUGGGGGCAACAACCAGUACUAAAGGGUGCACAUUAGUACCAGUUGCUGCCACCAACCGUUACUAAUGCCCCACGCACCCUCUAGUACCGGGUGAUGAUUGCAUCAACCGGUACUACAGGGGAUACCCUCUAGUACCAGUUGCUGCCCCAACCCGGUACUAGUGUGGCAACCCCCCUCUAGUACCGGUUAAGGGCAACAACUGGUACUAAAGGGGCCACCCUCUAGUACCAGUUGCUACUCCAACCAAUACUAAUUUCCUUUGUAUAAAUACCCUCUUCUUCCUUUGUAUACCGGUACUAUCUAAUUUUCAAUUCAUUUGCUUUUAUUUCAAAACCAAUCCGUGUGUAUACACUUAGAAAAAUUAGAUUAAUCUAAUUUUCAUUUUAUGUGCUUUUACUUCAAAAACCAAUCCAUGUAUAUAUACUUAGAAAAAUUAGAUUAACCUAAUUCUCAAUUCAUUUGCUUUUACUUCAAAAACCAAUCCAUGUGUAUAUACUUAGAAAAAGUAGAAUAAGUAUUUCAAUUGAUUUGCUUUUACUUCCAAAAACCAAUUCAUGUCUAUAUACUUAGAAAAAUUAGAUUAAUCUAAUUUUCAAUUCAUUUGCUUUUAUUUUAAAAACCAAUCCAUGUGUAUAUACUUAGAAAAAUUAGAUUAAUCUAAUUUUUAAUUCAUUUUCUUUUACUUCAAAAACCAAUCCAUGUGUAUAUACUUAGAAAAAUUAGAAUAAGUAUUUCAAUUCAUUUGCUUUUACUUCAAAAAACCAAUUCAUGUGUAUAUACUUAGAAAAAUUAGAUUAAUCUAAUUUUCAAUUCAUUUGCUUUUACUUCAAAAACCAAUCCAUGUGUAUAUACUUAGAAAAAUUAGAUUAUCUAGUUUUCAAUUCAUUUGCUUUUACUUCAAAAACCAAUCCAUGUGUAUAUACUUAGAAGAAUUAGAUUAAUCUAAUUUCAAUUCAUUUGCUUUUACUUCAAAAACCAAUCAAUCGGCUUGUGUGAUGAAGUGGCUAGUUUGUGGUAUGCAUGAAGGCAAUGUGGAGCAAUCAGUUGCCGAGGGAGGCAAUGAUGUGCAACAAGGUGAGGUAUAGCAAGUAUUAUAUGUAAACAUUAUUUGAAUUCUCUUCUUAUCAAAAGAAACAUCAUCACACAACAUUCCAAUCAUGCAACAUUUCAAUUGUCAUUUUUUAGCCAUCUGGAUCGAACAGAAGGCCUCAAAAGAAAUGAGGCAAGAACAAGAAGUUAGAGGGUCGUAUCAUCAUCAUAAAAAUUGCUGAAGAUGGUGAACCGAUUGCUCCUGCCAAUGCUAAAACAAAGAUGGUGAAUCAGCUUCGGUUCCUUGUCAGAGAUAACAUCCCAAUCAGCUUCCAGAAUUGGAAAAAAACCUGACAACGUCCCGGUCGGCACAAACCCGCUCCUUUACGUACCUGACCGAGAGAAGGCUAUGAUAUGGGAACAGCUAAAAGAUAACUUCACGUUUGAAAAUGUAGUCGAAGACAAAUUGAAAGAAUGGGGCUUGAAGAAGGCUACAAUUGCAUUUUAGACGUACAAGAAAACCUUGAACAAAGAGUACAUAAAGAAGGGGCUUGCAUCUGAUUUCAAUAAACACCCAAAGAUAAGGGAUCAUUGGGAUUCUUUUGUAUAGUUCAAGGAGACGAGCAAGAGCUAGUCGUUAACUCAGACCAACAUCGGCAAUGCCUAGAAGAAGCAAUACUUCCAUCAUCUUAGGACAGGAGGUUACAAGUCGGGGGCCGUGAAAUGGCAAAGGAUGGAAGAUGACCUAAUUGCUAGGGGAAUAGUACCAUAUACUCUCGAAUGGCCUGAGCAAGCAAAGAAUUGGUUUUAUGCUUAGGGCGGGAGGCUCAAUCCCGAAGAUGGAUCAAUUGUGUUCGGCAAUGAAAUAAGAGAAGCGGCCAAGAGACUUGAUGACUUAGUCAAGAAAAUGACCGAUGGAUCCUUCAUGCCUGAUCGAGAGAGGGACAAGCUGACAAUGGCACUUGGAAAUCCUGAACACCCUGGAUGAUGCCGAGGCAAAGGACUCAUUCUGUGGAAGUUUGCCUUUCGUGAGCACAUUGAAUCAUAUAGAAGUUGCCAAACAAGCAAGGCUGACCAAGCACGACAGCUCCGAGAGCUGCAAGAACAAGUAGCAGCAUCAGAGGCAAGAAUGGCGGAAAUAAUAGACCAGCAUGUGGCCCUAGCUCUGAGUAAAAAUUCCAGUGAACAACCAGCUGCUUCAGCAUUAGGGCCACAUGUCGACGUAAGCCCGACUCAGCGUCGAAGCAGUGUCGCUUCCAGGAAGCCGCAGCUGGAGGAUCCACUAAGAUCAUUGAGGAACGCCACCCCAUGGAUGACAUCACAAGGAGAGCCCCUUGUGAGCUUGUUACUCCCGUGAGAAACAAGCUCAUAGUGGUGGCUCAUGGUGUGGUUGAGCAACCAACGCAAGGCCAAACACUAUAUAGCGUGGAGAUUCAAGCUCGCUAUGCCAAGGUUGGGGUGGACUGAGUGGCCGACGGUUGGGAGGACCUGGAACUGGAGAUCCCUGAAGGUGACGGGGAAAAGAAUUUAGGAGAAGCUAUCCAUGGUUGGAUUCAGUGGUCCAAGCGCUACAUAAGGAUUACAGUGCCAAAUCCCCCAACCUUGGGAUCAUCUCCUCAAGGCUCAAGGGCAAGAUCACCUACGCAAUCUGCCAGGGCACCCUCUCUAAUACCAGACAGGUCUCCUAGCAUGAGACCAGUAGCAGAAAGGGAUCCAAGCAUGAGUCCACCUCCUCCUCCUACGAAGAAGCGUUCAGUUCCUCCUCCACCUCCUAAGAAGAAGCAGAAGAAGUAGAAGGAGAAGCAACAACCUGAGAAAUUACCUUAUCAUAUGAUAGAUGAGGAGGUCAAGGUUGCAGUGACGGCUGAGUGCACAACAUGGAAAGAGGCUUGUAAAGAAGCAUGGAGGAAGAAACAGAAUCCGGAGCCACCACUAGAUAAAUGUAAGCUUCGGGCUUUCAUUAGAAGAAUGGAGGCGGAGCAAAAGGAAAGAGCUAGAGAAACCUCCGCUAACUGAUUACGAAAUGCAGAUAACAAAGCAGGCAGCUCAGAAGAAGAAGAAAAGUGGGAAAUCUAUUGCUCAACUCGGAGAGCAAUCCAACCAAUUUGUUGCCCCCGCUUGUGGUGCUUUUUGAGUUUGAGAAGAACCUGAUUGAAUUCAGUAAAGAUACAAAUCUGACAGCAGCACAACUUUGAGGGGAGGAUGACAAAGAGCUCCCUGUGCCUGUCAAAUGGAAAUAUGAGUAUGGUAAAGAGCUCGUGUGGCCAUGGUUGGUGAAACAUCUCCCAAAGCAGAUGUACAAGCUGCAUCAAUGGUACAUGGAGGCUACAACAAAUGGUUUUGUCGUGAUAGAAGUUCAGGUUGGUGAUCAACAUUACUUAUGUGGUGAUGACAUCAUAAUGGUGGAAAUGGAGGAACUAUAUAUGCUAUACAAUCAAGAUGUACUAAACAAGUCACUAAUCAGUUGCUGGAUCCUGUAAGUCUUUAGUAUAUUCCUCAAACUUCAAAAUCCCCGCUCUAAUCAAUUUGCGAUGUCUUAACUCCUAUUCGAUUUUGUAUCAUGCAGGAUGAAGAUGCAACUUGUCGCAGGAUGGGAUACUAGGAUGUAGGCUUCAUGGACCCCGAAAUUAUUUUCCAGGCAAAUCUAAGGGAUAAACCAAAUCAAACCUUAAAGAAUAUAUUUAAGUUCCUCGAUAAGCAUUAGGAUAAGAAGUACAUAUUACUACCGUGGAACUUCGAGUGAGCAUUUUUCUCAUCUCUAUCUUUUCCGAACUUGCAGUUAAACAUAAUACUAACUAGCUUCAAUUUGGAUGCACAGCUACCAUUGGAUACUCCUUGUUAUUAUGCCUGCUUGGAGCUUCGUGUAUGUCUUCAACUCUUUGAGGAAACCAAAAGAAAAAUACGCUGACAUCAUGAACGCUCUGAACAAAUGCUGGGCUCGAUUCCGUCAAACUCACAAGGAUGAUUUCAAGGAGCAACUUGUUUAGAAGACAGAUUUCUCGGUAUGUGUUGAAUUUUCACAUCUUUUGACAGAUUUUGAAACAGUGCUAGUAAGUUCGGUAUAUUAAGAUGGCAUGCUUUUCUGCUCAGAAGUACCUGAUAACCUUCAGUACUGCAUUGUUCCACUAAAAUCUGCAUCUAGUGUUCUACUAAAAUUUGAAUCUAGUGUUCUACUAAAAUCGUAUUGAGUCUCAGUCACUUUUUUUGAAAAAAAUCUAAAACCAAAUCGUCUGAGGCCGUAGCAUAGCUAGCCAAUAAGAACAAUUUACAAAACGUAUCAAAGGAAAUUUUGGACUUGCUGAAGUUGCAGUUUCUUUGAUGCUACGUUACCAACUAACAAGGCAAGUAGAAAAUCCACCUAGGAAAAUCAUGAUUCCGCAUAGGACAUCACCAGUGACAAGCUAAGGCCGUUAUGAUUAACAUCCAAUGGAAAGAGACAGCAACUGACCUACGCAAGCAAGUAUGCAAAAAUCGCUUUGCAUGCCAAAGAUUCUCUCCAAUAUUCAUCCGUGAUCAGUCUAACCUUUUCUGAUAGGAGAGAAAAGAAAUGAGCAGAUUAAUUUAUUUAACAGAACAUGAAUUUGAACUAACUAAACUGAUCCUAUACCUGUAAAGUGGAACUUUCUUGCCUCCCCUAAUAAUGAAAUCCUGAAAUUUGUGUAAUUUAGAAUGAGCCCACAUCUAGUUCUAAAUGGAUAUACCACCAUGAAAUGCUUGCUUAAUCUCUUACCUGAGUAAAAAUUGCCUUUACUUUUGAAACACCCAUGCGAAUACCAAUCUCCUGUGGUGCAAAACUAUCUGCUAUUGAUACGACAACAAAGCCACCAAGGACGAUUGCCAAAUAUAUGAUGACCGCAUUGCAUGUCAUAGGCAUGUCUAUUGCCAUCCGAUCCCCUUUCUGGAACAUGGUAUCUAGUGCAUUUGCAACAGCUCUGAAAAACGACAUAGCAACAAAGCCGUGAUGAAGAAUAAUUCAUAGAUGCAAAUAUUGUAUGCUUCUAACUCUUAGUUCAGGAGUAAAAACAUAGAUCACUUCGACUACGAAGCUCCUUCAGUGACAUACGGUUCACUGGAUGAUCAUCAAGACCUUCAUCCCUCCAAACAAUAACAGUACUGUCAUCUGUCCUCUUCAAGGAAGGGCAAGGUAGCAGACAGCAUUCGGCAAUGUUGAGCACCACUCCUUGAAGCCAAGUUCCCCCUUUCUUUGAUCUAUCUGACGUACUUAGAAUUGCCUUUGGUUCUUGUUGAAACUUGAGUGCGAGCUGCUUUAGCACCAUUGACCAGUAGACCUGAAAGGGGAAUCACCUAGGAGGCUAGGAUCAUACUGUUGGAUCCAAAAUAAAGAACGGAGAACUUCUGAAGUGUCUUUUUUUGUCUGUUGACUCAUACAUGGAGUAUUUUAUCGUAUUAAUUUAGAGCAACUGACCUCUUGAUUUUCUACUGAAAACCUAUAAAAGUGCCAUGAUGAUUUUAACAGCUUCGGUCUAUUUGCUUCCAUCAAUCUCCCCAGGUUCUUUGCUUACUGUCAAAUCCUGCACCAACCGAAACGCUUAUGCUACUAAUUAAUGCCGUACAGCAUACUCGGUAGAGGUACAACCAAGAGCAUCUACAGCCUAGCUCUGUUAAUCAUUCUCUAAAGCCUGUCAAUCUCACUGAAUUGGUUAGGCACGCAGCACUAAGAAAUGAUGCUAUCAGCUACUUGAUACACGCUUGAAAUUUGCAGUGCAUGUUACGGUUACAUCACACAACAGUCAAGGCCGUUCAACAAAAUCAACAAUAGCAUCAAGAUUCACUUAGCCGGCUACUGGGCUGCUGUAGGAGCUGCUGUAUCCCUGUCCGUGGUGGCUUUGGAUGGCCUUGAGGGGCCAAGUGCUGCCGCACGGCAGUCUGCGCUGCUUCAGGCCUCAAGCGCUAGCCUCCCUCCCUUGCCGAGUCGGCAUCGCCGCCGCCAGCUCCGGCAAGCUGCCAUGCCUCCCCGCCGUCGCCCCUCUCUGACCGCCACUCCGUGCCACCGCGGCCUCCCCGCUCCCGAUGCACCCGCUCCCCCAUUUCCUACGCCGCUGCUUCCACCCGCCCGCGCUCCUCCUGCUCCUCGGCCUCCCCGCUCCCGCAUCGGGUGUCAAUUAAUUGGAGACAUUACCCGUACCCAUAUCCCGGGUUUUAAGCCCACGAUUUUGGGUGUAAAUUGGCGAGGUGGGAUUAUACCUGGUGGGCGGCUUGCAAUCCCCGCCACCUCCGGGCGCGCGACGCUCCGGCUGCCACUCCGUCACGCUGGAGGCCACAGAGCGCGCUCUGGAGCCGUUCCCGCCGCUGGUGUUCGCGGGCAAGGCGCGGAAGCUGGAGGAGCAGCUCGGGGAGGCGGCCUUGGGCCAGGCGUUCCUCCUGCAGGGUGGCGAUUGUGCCAAGAGCUUCAAGGAGUUCAGCGCCAACAACAUCCGCGACACGUUCCGGCUCAUGCUGCAGAUGGCCAUCAUGGCCCCGGCCGCCCGCGGCCCUGCACGUACGGCGACCCCGCAGGGGGAGCCCAGCCGGAGCAAAUGGCCUCCGGGGCAGCAGUGCAGCGCGGCCGCCCCAUCCACCACGCGCCGCUAGAGCUCGCUUGACCUUGUCUCCGCAGUCCGCACCCGUGGUCGGGCCGCCCUCCCUCCUCCCCCUCUCCACUGCCGCGGCUGAGCCCAGGACACCGGCCGCCGCACCACUGACGCUGCCGCCCGCCCGCGCACAAUCUUCCUCGUUACGGAGGAAGACUUGCGGAAGGGAAUAGGACUGCGGGUUGAUUACUAAAAACUUGAGGGUUUUUUUUGAAAAAUGACUAUGACGGUUGAAGGAUUGAAAGAAACCUCAUCUGUUUAAUAUUAAGGUAUAUAUAUAGAUAUAGAUAUAUAUUAGGUAUAGAUAUAGAAUAGAUAUAGAGCCAACUCAUUCCCAAAUGGGCACCAGGCCUGUUGAUAGCCAUGUGCGAGAUGGGGAACCGAACAGGGCGUCCAAAAAAGUCGGGCCUCCAAAUUGCUAAUCUGUUUCUCUGCUGGACUUCACGCGGCUGUAUAUCCUGUUCAGCAAGCUGUUGUCGACAAUAUGCUGCCAGUUGUGGAACUUCUGAUGAUAUAAAUUUCUCCAAGAUUUAUAAGAUUAUUGCUCAUUCGAAUUUCAACAGCACUAGAAAUGAUGUCUCGGUGAAGAUUAAUUAUGAAGAUAUAAUUAGGUCAUGUUUGGCUCCCCUGCUAAAGUUUAGCAUCUGUCACAUCGGAUGUUUAGAUACUAAUUAGGAGUAUUAAACGUAGGAUACACUAGUAGAGAAUUGGCUUUCGAUCCGCCCCCUUUUGUCCCGGUUUAAAGUUGGCCCGGGACAAAAGGGGGUGCGCCACGGUAGGCAAAAAUGGAGGGGAGAUUUACUCCCGGUUGGUAAUUGCAACCGGGACUAAAGGCCCCCCUUUAGUCCCAAUUGCAACGGCUAGUGGGGGGCUGUCGGCGGCGGCACCCUUUUAUCCCGGUUGGAGGCACCAACCGGGAUAAAAAGUUUAGUCCCGGUUGGUGCCUCCAACCGGGAUAAAAGGGUGUCCCUUUUAUCCCGGUUAGAGGCACCAACCAGGACUAACUAUUCAACCGGGACAAAAGGUGUUCCUUUUUGUCUCGGUUGAAGUUUUUAACCGGGAUAAAAACUCAUCCCCAUUAUAUAUGGCAAAGACAGAGGACUUUCUUCCUCCUCCAGCCCGAGCCAGUCCAGCACAUUGACAGAGAGAGCUGAGCUUCACCUACUCUCCGGUGGUGCCGAAGCAAGCAAGGGAGGUGCUGCCUGAAGUUUUUUCCCUCAUUUUCGUGGGAAUUUCACUCGGCCAACACAAGUGUUGCGAAGGUUUGCUACUUCAUCCUCGCGUUAUGCUUUGAUUUAUGCUUUGGAGAUGGAAAGAUUAUUUGCUAGAAUGUGAUGAUGAAGUAGAAAAAUGGAGAGGUAUUUUGAGCUAGAAUGUGAGGGAGAUUGAUGUGUCAUAUAUAGUAUGCAUUAUUGCAGUGGUUUAAAAAUGAGGCUACCUUGUCUAGACGGUUUAUCUUAUCAAAUUCAAUAUGGUUUUUCAAAUCCACACUUGUUGAACUUGCAUACCGUGUUCAUUUCUGCGAGGAUGUUCUCCGCCGAGCAGCAACGUAUGUCAAGAAGGAGGUUCGAUUCUACGAGAAAGAGUGGAUACGGACAUCGUGACCGUGUCCCCUUUUCCAUAGCAUCUAACCUCUUUCAUGACGAAGUGCGGUGCCGCCCAGUUGAGGACAUCCUCGCGAGAUGAUCACGGUCUUCAAGUUCAACAACUUAUGCAGUGUUAAGAUAAUAAUUUUUGUACAUAGAUGGCUUCUGCUACUGGAGGAAGUGGCGAUCGUGGGGGCGAUCGUGGUUCCUAUUAUGGCAAGGUUUCAAUCAUAGUUGGCCCUCAGCAUAAGCCGAAGAAAAAGAGCGCGCUGGAAAAAGUAAUGCUUCGUUAUUUGCAGCAACGUCAUGAAGAAGCUGUUGCCGCGGGUCAGGAACCUCCUUUUGGUGGUCGUUAUGCUCCACCCUCAGUCCUGGGUGUUUCACGUCCACUUAGUACUACCGUUUCAGGCGGCACAAAUAAACCUAAGGAUGAGGUUGGGUUAGCGGAACCUUCGUCUUCACCGUCCAAGGAUGCUUAAAGUCCUCCUUGAUAAUAACCAGUGGAUGGCUUGUUGUAUUGUAUCAUGUUGUUUGGGACUUUAAUUUAAAUAUGUGUAUUUGGAUCUUCAUGUUGUUGUAUUGUACCAUGUUGUUUGGAUCUUUAAUCGAUUUUCACGCGUAAUCCAUUGUCAAGUGUAAUCCAUUUUCAUGCGUAAUACGAUGCAGAUGGACCGGCAAUGGAUGUAUAAUGCAGACAGGCGGAGCAAGGCAUUUAUUGAUGGCUUGCAUUAUUUUCUCGAAGUGGCAAAAGCGAACAAGCCAGAGAAUGGGUUCGUAUGUUGUCCAUGCUUCCAAUGCAAUAACAGAAAUGAGUAUUCAAAGGAUUCCUGAGGGACUAUUCACAGCCACUUGUUUAAAUACGGUUUCAUGCCUAACUAUUUGGUUUGGACCAAGCACGGUGAACUAGGGGUUGUAAUGGAAGACGGCGAGGAGGAGGAGGAAGAUGACACCAUUCCGGACUGGGUUGCAGGCCAAGCUUUUGCAGGUACUACAAUGGGUGAGGCUGAUAAAGAUGAGUUUGCAGAAAAUGGCCCUACUGAUGACCUUGGUCGGGUGAUACGAGAUGCAUACAGAGAUUGCGAAACUGAGAAGGAAGCAGCAAAGUUGCAGCGCAUGAUAGAUGAUUACCAAAAAUUGUUGUACCCAGGUUGUCAGCAGGGUCAUAAAAAACUAGGUACAACACUAGAAUUUGUGCAAUGGAAGGCAAAAAAUGUUGUGUCCGAUAAGGCAUUUCAGGGGAUGUUGAACAUUGUCAAGAAGAUUCUCCCCGAGAAUAAUGAAUUACCGUCCACAACAUAUGAAGCUAAACAGAUUAUUUGCCCUCUCGGAUUGGAUGUUCAGAAGAUACACGCAUGCCUUAAUGACUGUAUCCUCUAUCAUGGUGAUGAAUACGAGAAAUUGGAUGCUUGUCCCGUCUGCGAAGCCCUGCGGUAUAAGAUCAGGCGAGAUGAUCCUGGUGAUGUCGAGGGGCAGUCUCCAAGAAGAGAGUUCCCGCGAAGGUGAUGUGGUAUUUCCCUAUAAUACCACGCUUGAAGCGCUUGUUCAGGAACAAGGCGAAUGCUAAGUUGAUGCGAUGGCACAAAGAAGACCGUAAGGAAGAUGAGAUGCUGAGACACCCCACAGAUGGGGCACAGUGGAGAUCAAUUGAUAGAACAUUCCCAGACUUUGAAAGUGAAGCAAGGAACAUAAGGUUUGGUUUAAGCACUGAUGGAUUCAAUCCAUUCGGUGAGUUGAGUAGUGGCCAUAGUACUUGGCCUGUGACCCUUUGUAUGUUCAACCUUCCUCCUUGGCUGUGCAUGAAGCGGAAGUUCAUUAUGAUGCCGGCGCUUAUCCAAGGCCCAAAACAACCCUGCAACGACAUUGACGUGUACCUAAGGCCGUUGGUUGAUGACCUUUUACAGCUCUGGAAGGAAGAAGGUGUACGUGUGUGGGAUGAGGAUAGAUAAGAGAUCUUUAAUCUACGAGCACUAAUGUUCGUAACCAUCAACGAUUGGCCUGCAUUGAGUAACCUUUCAGGACAGACAAAUAAGGGAUAUCGGGCAUGCACCCACUGUUUAGACGACACAGACAGCAUGUACUUGAAGCACUGUAAGAAGGUUGUCUAUAUUGUUCAUCGUCGAUUUCUCCCUGCUCACCACCAGCUGAGAAAGAGCGGGAUGCAUUUCAAAGGGGCGCCAGACCAUCGUAAAAAACCUGCACACCGUAAUGGAAAGCGUGUGUUCGAGAUGAUGAAGGAUGUAAAUGUAGUCUUUGCAAAGGGACUUGGUAGCCAACCUGUUCCGAACGACGAUAACGGACAUGCACCCAUGGGGAAGAAAAAGUCAAUAUUUUGGGAGCUACCUUAUUGGGAAAUCCUAGAGGUUCGCAACGCAAUAGACGUGAUGCACCUGACGAAGAAUCUUUGCGUGAACGUGCUAGGCUUCAUGGGUGUUUAUGGAACCUCAAAAGAUACAUUGGAAGCACGACAGGACCUGAAAGCCAUGGGGCAAUGAGAUGACCUACAUCCGGAAAAGAGAGAUAAUGGACAGCACUACUUACGUCCUGCCAGUUACACUCUCAGCAAGGAAGAGAAGGAUAGCAUGUUUGAAUGCUUGAAUAGUAUGAAGGUCCCAUCUGGGUACUCCUCGAAUAUAAAGGGAAUAAUAAAUAUGAAACAAAAGAAGUUUACAAAUCUCAAGGCUCAUGACUGCCACAUGUUGAUGACCCAGUUGCUUCUGGUUGCACUGAGGGGUGUUCUACCAGAAAAUGUCCGGUUGCCGCUCGUAAAGCUAUGCGCGUUUCUCAAUGCGAUUUCGCAGAAGGCAAUCGAUCCAUCCAAGCUAUCAAAGCUAUAGAACGAUAUGGUGCAAUGUCUUGUCAGUUUUGAGUUGUUAUUUCCACCAUCCUUCUUCAAUAUUAUGACGCACUUACUGGUUCACCUAGUAAAAGAGAUUGGUAUUCUCGGACCUGUAUACCUGCACAAUAUGUGGCCUUUCGAGAGGUUCAUGGCAGUCCUAAAAAACUAUGUUCUUAAUCGUGCCCGUCCAGAAGGAAGCAUCGCCAAGGGAUAUGGAACAGAGGAGGUGAUCGAGUUUUGUGUUGAUUUUAUUGAUUCAAUUGACUCGAUUGGGGUUCCAACUUCACGCCACGAGGGGAGGCUCCGAGGAAUGGGCACCCUUGGAAAGAAAUCAAGUUUGAGCAAUGAUACUGAUUUGUUCGACAAGGCACACUACACUGUUCUACAACAGUCAUCCUUUGUGUCUCCGUAUAUCGAGCAGCACAGGCAGAUGGUAGCUUCCAAAAACUCGACCAAAUCCGAUGCUUGGCUUACCCGUCAUCACAUGGAAACUUUUCCCUCCUGGUUGCGCCAACAACUUAUGGGUAACUCUGAGAUUCACCCACAGCUUGUCUGGUUAGCCAGGGGACCUGCUAGCACAAUCGUCAAAUUCCAAGGCUAUGAGAUAAAUGGUUACACAUUUUACACGAGAGCCUAGGACCAGAAAAGCACGAACCAGAAUAGUGGUGUCUGCAUAGAUGCCAUGGACAGAAAUAAUAGCAAGGAGUCGUAUUAUGGUUUCAUACAGGAGAUAUGGGUGUAAGGUUACGAGGUAGGCUACACUAGCGCAAUUCAAAAAUUCUACCGCGUAUAACCAGGAAGAACUGCCAUAUAAGGAUCACAGGAUUACCACUCGACGCACUACUGGUGCGGAAGAUGUAGAUAUGCGUCGAUGCAGUGAAGACGAUCACGUAGUCGUGCGUAGUCGAUCAACGUAGUCGUACGUAGUCGAUCACUUCCAGCAGCUCCUCAGCAGCUCAUCCACGUGCAGCAAGAUCGCCUCCGGUGCCGCGGCUCGUCGUCGGCUCGUCGUGGCUCGUCGGUGGCUCGUCGGUGGCUCGUCGGCGGCUCGUCCAAGUGCUGCAGGCGCAGCGCCUCCAAGGUAUCCACACGUGCAGGGAGGAAGCGUCGCAAGCCAGACUGCUAGAUCCGCGAGUUGCAACAGGCGAGGGCGUGGGAGGCGCGGCAGAUGUGUUUCGCCAAAAGGUGUAAACCCUAGGGCGCCCCCACCCCUCUAUUUAUAGAGGUUCCUGAUGGGCCUCUGGGUCCGAGGCCCAUUAGUACUUCUAAACCUAAUCCAACUCGGAUCAGAUCCAAAUUGGGCUUCCAGCCCCUUAAGUGUGUGACCCUAUGGGUUCGGAUACGUAUAGACAUGGCCCGAGUACUCCUACUCGGCCCAAUAGUCGGUAGCGGCCUCUAGCAAGACGUGCCAACUCCUAUACGCACACGAAGAUCAUAUCAGACGAACCAUCACAACAUAAUAUACAUGCUAUUCCCUUUGCCUCACGAUAUUUGGUCUAGCUUCAAGCCGACCGCUCUUUCUCGAUCCUGUGAUCCGGAAUCCCUUUGUAGGUUAACUCUUAACCAUACGUAGCAUGGCCAUGCAUUUUCGGAUCCGAUCACUCGAGGGGCCCAGAGAUAUCACUCUCAGUUAGAGAGGGGCAAAUCCCAUCUUGAUUGACCAUGUCUCAUAGCAUGCUUCUUGACAAACCCGAAAGCUACCUUUAUAACUACCCUGUUACGGCGUAGUGUUUGAUAGCCCCUAAGUAGGUCGAUCCACAUCUAGAAUACAUGCGACAAUCUCAGGUCUAAGGACAAAGCAUAUAUGUUGUUUAAAGAGAGAACUACUUCUCGUGUUGGGUCAGUCCUAGCACAUGUCUCCACAUGUGUCCACAUUAUUAGUUCAACAUCUCCAUGUCCAUGACUUGUGAAACAUAGUCAUCAACUAAUACAUGUGCUAGUCUAAUAUUCAUGUGUGUCCUCACAUGAACUCCGACUAGGGACAACUUUAGAAUAACCAUAUAAGUAAAGAGUUUCACAUACAAUUCACAUAAUUGCAAAUCAAUUCAAGUAGCAUUUAAUGGAUAUUCAAUGAACACAAUAUACAAAUCAUGGAUACAAAUGGAAUAUCAUCAUCUCUAUGAUUGCCUCUAGGGCAUACCUCCAACAAUGGGAACUCGAAUACGGACCGCUGUACAUCCCUCUAUUUCUUUGCAAUUGGGUGAAGCUAACUGCCGUCACCAAAGAUCAGUACGGAAUGACAAUAGUAGAUCUGAGCAAGACUGGAUACAGUGAUGACCCAUUCGUACUUGCCAAUGAUGUGCAUCAGGUGUUCUAUGUGAAGGACAUGUGCAGCAAACCUAAGAGGAAUCUAGAAGAGACAUGGGAGCCAAAGUGCCACAUAGUUCUUCCAGGUAAAAGAAAAAUCGUGGGAGUCGAGGAUAAAAUAGACCAAUCAGAUGAUUAUGAUCAGUUUGAUGGCAUGCCUCCAUUUGCCGUUGAAGUUGAUCCAAGCAUCCUGCUAUCCAAAGAAGAGGCUCCGUACUUACGCCGCGAUCAUGAUCAAGGAACUUUCGUGAAGAAGAAAUUUUACAACAUUGUAUUGUAAUGCGUUAAAUGUACAUGACCUUUGUGUAUUAAUUGAUACAAUUUGUAAUUUACCCUAUGUACGAUUUCAUGUGUUCUUAAAUUUGUUAGGUGAAGAUUUUAUAGAUAAACAUGAACAAACUGCGCAUUGAAAUUAUUUAAUUGAAUAAUUUCUUGAUCACAGCAAUGCAGUAAAAUAAAUAUUUUAGAGGCUAAAUGAACUGAUAUAGAAUUAAUGAUUAAUUCAUACUUAUUGUCAAUUUACUCAUUAAUUAAAUAUAUUUUUGCAUGUACAAAAUUAGUGAAGGUUUUGUUUUUCAUCCUGAAAUGCAGUGAAAAGAUAAAAUAAAAUCCAUUUCCAAAAAACAGGCGGGAGAAAAAAACUAGGAAAAUAGACCUUUUGUCUCGGGUGCUAACAGCAACCGGGACAAAAGGCCCCCCUUUUAUCCCGGUUGCAAACGGCAAUCGGGAUAAAAGGGUACUUUUCGUCUCCCGCCCCGACGUACCCUUCUAUCCCGGUUGCCAACUGCUACCGGGAUAAAAGGCCCCCCCCUUUUAUCCCGGUUGGUGGUGCCACCCGGGAUAAAAGGGUACGCUCCCAGCCCCACCUGGCGGGGGCACCCUUUUGUCCCGGGUCCCGUCACCAACCGGGAUAAAAUGGGGGGGCCUUUUAUUCCGGUUGGUGACGGGACCCGGGACAAAAGGCCCUUUUGUCCCGGGUGCCAUUACGAACCGGGAUAAAAGGGGGGGGGGUUAAAAGGCACUGUACUCCCUUCUACCCCCACGUCAGUUACACUUAGCCAAAUUUUUGCCAAGUCCCGCGCGUUCUGCUCCGCCGUCGCCGCCCGUCCGCCUCCCUCGCCGGCCGCCGCCGUCGUCGUCCCCUAUUGCGCCGGCUGUCGUCGUCCCGCCGCCGACCGUGCCCAGACAUCGUCGUCCUCCAUCCCCCCGGCCGGCCCACCUCGAUCCUCCUCGUCCGUCGACGCGCCCGGCCCCCACCUCGUCGCCUCCGGGCACCGGCUCCAUCCUCGUCGCCAGCUCCAUCCUCGUCACCCCUCGUCGCCCCUCGUCACCCCUCGUCGCCGUCUCGUCGCCGUCCCGCCUAUGCCGCCGUCGUCGUCGUCGCCUCGGCCGCCGUCCUCGCCGCACCGGCCGCCGCCGUCCCGCCGCCCGGCCGCCGCCGUCCCGCCGACCCGGCCACCUCGUCGCCCCGGCCACCGUCGACGACCGCGCGCGAGAGGUCCGCCGCCGCGCCGGCCGGCAGCGCCGGGAGGGCCUUUUUUUUAAGUUAGAAAAUUAAGUUAUAUUUUUAUGAUAGAUUUUUAAUUUUGAUUGUUAAGUUAGAAAAUUAAGUUAUAUUUUUAAGUUAGAUUUUUUAGUUAGAUUGUUAAGUUAGAUUUUUAAGUUAGAAAAUAAAGUUAGAAAUUCGUAGUAGGCACCGCCGUCCUGCCGCCGUGACCGCCGCCGUCCCGCCGCCCGUCACAACCUAGUAGGCACCGCCUGUGGUUUCGGGGAACCGUCCCCGCCUCCGCCGUACCGCCGCCCUGACCGCCGUCAUCACAACCUAGGCACCGCCCGUGGUUCCAGGGAACCGUCCCCGCCUCCGCCGCCCUGAUCGCCGCCGUCACAACCUAGGCACCGCAUGUGGAUAUUACUAGAAAUUCGUAGAAAUUCGUUGAAAUUCGUAGAAAUUCGUAGAAAUUUGUAUAAAUAUUCCGGACUUUGUAGGAUUCAUGUUAUUUUAUGAUUUCAUUAUAUACAUGUAUGAUUCCGGACUUUGUAGGACUUCGUAGAAAUUUGUAGUAAGACGAUUUAUAUGACUGUCAUGUAUGAUUCCAUGUAUGUUUCCAUCAAUAGUUGAAAUGGCAGACGAUGAGACCGCAAGGUAUAUUAUGGAGCAGAUAAUCGCUAGUGAUGGUAGUGGUGCUAACGUUCCACUAUCAUACACGGAUGAAGAGGGCACCCAGGCGGACAUGUUCCUCAACAUGUCCGCCGAUGGGAAUGAAGAGCAACAGCCGCAGCAACAACUUGCCGUGGCGGAAGGUUCCGGCGAGGUAUAUAUAACCAUUCUUGUAUUGUUUCACGCCACUGUUACUACUACGUACUAAUUAACGAAUCUUGAACUGUUAGCCCUCCGGAUCGACACAAGGGCAGAAGACCCGAGGUCGUACAAAGGUGAUGGAAGGGAGGCUUGUCAUCACGGAAGUGAUAGAAGAGGGCAGGCCGGUUGCUCCCGAGAAAGUAGCAAAGAAGUACGUGAGUCAGAUCGGGGCAAUCGUCUGGGACAACGUGCCUAUCAGCAUCAGAGAAUGGAAGGGCAGAAGCACUAAUCCGUACGCCCUUCCGGAGACAGAAAAGAAUAUGCUGUGGGAAGACGUGAAGAGACAUUUCACAUUCCCCGAAGGAUAUAGUGAGAAGGAUGUCAAAGCGUGGACGCUUAAGAAGAUGGCUACUCAAUUCCAGACAUUCAAGAAGAUGCUAGAUACCCACUACAUCAAGAAGGGCCGAACUCCAGACUUCAACGCGUGGCCAAAGUUGAGGGACCACUGGGAUGCAUUUGUUGAAUAUAAGAGGAGUGAAGACGGUAUGAAAAAGAUCACGACCAACACAGCAAAUGCUAGUCAGAAGGGCUACCACCAUCAUUUGGGGCGAGGUGGGUAUGGCUCAGCAAUUCCCAAGUGGAGGAAGAUGGAACAAGAUCUGAUCGAACGGGGAAUCGUACCUGCAACUAUUGAAUGGCCCGAACGAUCAAAAAAUUGGUACUACACUCAUGGAGGCUCCCUAAGCCAAGAGGAUGGGACGUUGAUUUUUAAUGACACAAUACGUGAGAAGGCCGAACAUCUCAUGAAGAACAUUGAAGAUUCUAAGGCUGGGAGGUUGAAGGUGGACCGAGAAAAUGAUGAGCUCACAUUGGCCCUCGGUAAUCCAGAGCACCCAGGACGUUGCCGAGGGUUCGGGGUGGUUCCGUGGAAGUUUGCUUUCCGAGGCGACAGCGCCUCGUACAGAAGCCGGAAGCGAAGAAAGGAACAGAUCGAGGAGAGCUGGCGGCAGAUGCUAGAACAAAGAAUGAUGGAUGAAAUCAAUCGGCGGGUGGCCCACGCAGUUGUGGAGUUGGCCUAAUCUGGAGCAUUGCCGAUUCCUAACACCGCCAGCCCUUCUCAACGCCUCUUGAGCAGUUGUGCUUCUACAGGGGUCCCCGAUGCGCAGACGCCCAGGUUACCCGUGGAGGAGCAACGGUUCCCCGUGGAUGCCAUCACACAACGGACCUCAUGUGAGCUGCAUGCACCGGUCGGCAACCUCACUAUUAAGGUAUACUUAUACAUAAUAUUUAUGCAAUCUUGUCAAUUGAUCCAGGCCUCGAGAUCGGAGUUCAACUUGUUUACUUCUGCUAUAUGUACAGGUAGCGUACGGGAGUGCGUUAGCAACCCUGGCGGGGCAGAGCAGUCAUGGCAUGGAAAUUCCAACAGGCUACGCCAGCAUCUGCGUAGAGCAAAUUGUUGAUCCCCAGUAUGAAGGUCUAGAGCUCGACUUCCCGGGAGGCGACGGGGAAAAGACAUUGGCAGAUGCGCUUCAUGGGAUCAUUCUAUGGCAAAAACGCUACAUCAUUAUUCCCGGCACGGAGCCAUCUCCUCAGGCCUCAAGACCGCUCCCCGUAGAUCCCCAGCAGCGACCUUCUCCUCAUACCUCGAGACUGUCAUCUCCUGCUCCAGGACCGUCCCUUCCAUCGAUAUCAAGGUCUCCAUCUCCACCACAUCCUGGUGCUGGGAGCGACGACGACAAUAACAACACCCCUCCCUGAUCACCGUCGCCGGCACCAAGAGCGGCCCCCUUGAAGGAACCUGCACCACCACUAAAGAAGUCACGAGCACCGCCUCCCAAGCAAAGACAGAGAAAGAAGAAAACAAAGGAGCCUGAAGUGACUCGUAAGGAACGCUUUGAGGCAAUGUCUCAUGCGGAACAGUGGGCAGAAAUGCAACGAGAGGCCAGUGAGUGGUUCAAGAAACAAGCCGAAGGAAAAAAAGCAAGGGAGAUGGAGCCACCGCCAGUAAGUCGGCGAGAUUUAAACUUUUUUAUCAGGAUGGAAGAAGGAGCCAAGAAAAGAAUACCACUCUUGUCAAACUAUGAACAGGCUCUAGUAAAGGCUGAUGAAAAGGAUAAAAGGAAAGGAAAGUCAUCUUCCAGCGGUCCAGUCCCCGACCUCAGCCAUUUAUCAAAAAAAGAUGCUCAACGGGUAAAAGCAAUGCCCUUGGAUCAACAAGCAAAUGUAUUGAAGUUCAUGGAAGAAACAGGUCUGGGACUUGAUGAAUGCAUAGGGCAAGUUGAGACGCCAACUGCAUCGCCCCCUGAGCCGAGAUGGCCUUAUGAGCUAGGCAAACCUCUAGUAAAGCCUUCAUUGGUACGGAAGCUAUCAACAAAGAUGUACGCAUUCCAUCAAUGGUACAUGAUGGCAUCCGCCGACUCGAGGGAGAUGAUCGGCAUGAAGGUAAAACCGAUAGAUUUUCACGGUGAAGGGGAGAAAGUGCUGUGGCUAGACUUCAAGGAUAUAUACGAAGUGUACCAUCAUGAUGCCCUGGACGUCUCUCUGAUCAGUGCUUGGGUUCUGUAAGUGUCCAUUUAUCUCUACAUGUAAAUUUUGGCAUGCGUCACCAUACUAACUUCAUCUUCCAUUUCAUGUAGGAUGCUAAUUCAGACAUGCCGCCGAGAGGCGUACCUACAUGUAGGCUUCAUGGAUCCAUCUGUAGUUAACCAACAACAGAUACAAUUAGCGCCGGAAAAAACCUUUGCGGAAAUAUACAAUUUCCUAGACAAACAAACAUUCAAGGAUUUCAUACUACUUCCAUACAACUUCAAGUAAGUGUGUGUAUACCGUCUACUUUCGAUGUCUUUUUCCUUAUCUCUACAUGUUAGUUAGCUCUAAUAUGCAUGAACAUUUUACGCACGCAGCUUCCACUGGAUCCUUAUUAUAAUUGAGCCUGAAAGAAGCCAUGUCACUGUCUUCGAUUCGUUAAGGAAAGAUCCGGUGGACUACCAAGAAUUGCAAGACAUGCUAGGCUUGUAAUAAUUCUGGACCUUUAUCUCUAUGCAAAAGUUUAUUUCCUAAAUUUUAUCCCUGUUACACUAUAUCAUUCAUUAUUCUAAUCCGCAGCGCAUGGAAACAAUUCAUAAGGACACACAAAGGUCCAUUCAAAGAAAAACUUACAUGGAACACAAACUUCCCGGUACGUAUGAAGUCUGCACAUUUAUUACAUUGUAUAACACGAAUAUUUCAUAACUUAUUUUUUUCCGCACUGAAGUGCUUAAGAUAGGAACCCGGGAAUAAUCUAUGUGGCUACUACAUCUGUGAGCACAUGCACAGUUUUAUGGGACCCAAGGGACCGAAGAUGACGCCGCACAACUUUAAAGUACGUAAAAUAAAACUAUUACUAGUUAAUUAUUUUCUAGCUCCUUAUAUGUAUUUGUUCGUGUAACAUUCACAAAUUUUCAAAUUAUAGAUGUUAAAUAUUCAACAAGGACUCUUGAAGGAAGAAAGAGUAGCGGCAAUAUGUGAAGGUCUCAUUGGAUUCAAAAUGGACGAGGUGGUAGAUCCAAAAGGAGAAUUUUAUUACGAUGGACGACAAUUAGACACUCCGAUCAGCAACACCACGACGGGAAGAUUGUAGACAGAUACUUUGAUUUAUUUGUAUAUAUAAUACGCGCUAAUUAUGAUCGAUUUGUACUAAGCUAGUUGAAUUGUGUAUAUGAAUUGUGUAUAAGGAUUGUGUAUAUAUAUAUAGUAAUUGUAUAAUUACAAAUCCCAUUCAUUUAAAUACUAGUUGAUUUCGUUCUAAAAAAAUCUCAACUACUAAAGGUUAACAAAUUAAAAGGGCCGCGGUACUACGUAUAUGUGAUGCAUGCAUUAAAAAUUCAGGCGCCACGGCAGUGCCAUGCAGGCGCCAUUUAGUCCCGGUUGGAAUCCCCCCUUUUGUCCCGGUUGGUUUAUCCCGGAUGGAUAUCCGAGAGAUAUGCACCCUACCAACCGGGACUAAAGGCCAAUUCUCUACCAGUGAUAAUUACAAAACUAAUUGCACAGAUGGAGUCUAAUUCGCGAGACGAAUCUAUUAAGCCUAAUUAGUCCAUGAUUUGACAAUGUGGUGCUACAGUAAUUAUUUUCUAAUGAUGGAUUAAUUAGCUUAAUAGAUUCGUCUCGCAAAUUAGCCCAGGGUUCUGCAAUUAGUUUUAUACUUAGCUCAUGUUUAGUCCUUUAAGAGCAACUCCAAGAGUAUCCUAAAAAAUUCUUCCCAAAAACUAUGUAUUGGAGGUUCUCCCAAAAAAAAUUUCCCGCAAAAACAUAUUAGUCCACAGCAGAUCGCUAAUAAAUAGCCCCCAAUAUUUCAAACACAGGCCACGUCAUCAUAUUGGGCCCAUCGGAAGGGACGCGCGGGUGUGCGGGAAUCAGUAUUGGGGGAGGAACGCCAACGCUAAAAUAUACGCGGUGGCAGGCUGUUUUUUAGCGUCGCUAAAAAAUUAGGGAAGGUUUAGGUGGAUUGUUGGAGUUCAUUUUUUCUCUCUUUUUUCCUUAAAAAAGGUAUUGGGGUAAGAUUAGCAGCCUCUUGGAGUUGCUCUAACUAGCAUCCGAACGUCCGAUGUGACACUGCUAAAGUUUAGCAUCUAGUAUCUAAACAUCUUCUUAGAAAUAUCAUCUUAAGAAUACUAGGUGGAUGAUACGUUUUAGUAGAACACGUGGUCAGUACUAUGUUGUUUUUUCUAUCCUAAUAUUUAAUAUAUGUUUAAAUAUUGUAUGAAAUAACACAUACUAAAGUUAAAAAAUGGGUGAAAGUAUACCUAAGUUAUAUUAGAGAUUUUUUUUUCAAAAAUUAGGACUAUAUUUUGCAUUUCGCUCCGGAACCUCAAAGUUCGGAAACGUCCCUUAUGGGCACAUACAACAAGUACAUGUGCCACGUAGUCUAACGAUGGAGGAAAGUGGGAAGACGUGCCAUUGUGCAUGGUUCAGAUGAACAAGUCAACAAAGCGAACGAUAGGGAGCUUUCUAUCAUGGGAUCUAUUUGUUUGUUGAAAAGUUGUUGUUGGCUUUUCUGUUCUGAACAAUUAAUAUGAACUUUUAGAAGAUGCGUUUAGCUUCCUAAGGUGAGAAAGCUGCAAAAAAACUCAUAAAUUGAGCUUUCCAUCUCUCCAUAUAAAUUCAGCUUUUUUGAACUUUCAGCUUUUCAGAAGGUAUAUGAGAAGUUUACUGUUUGUUCAAGCUCCUGACUUUUCACGCUGAAAAGCUGCUAGAAAGCUCAAACAAACAGGCUCAUAGGCUAGCGCCAACGAUGCUUGGGCGAAGAUGUUAGAGUGUGGACACAGAACCUCUUUGCUGCAAGGAGCAGAGUUGGAGUGGGUAUGCUGCAGCUUGCUCAUCGUCGGCGGCUUGGCGCUAUCGAUAUCCUCCAAUGUGAGAUACUUGAAAUCGCUUGCUUUGGCUUAAGGUUGGCACUUUAUGGUUUGAGGUUUUUGUUUGAGCUUCUUAGCAGUUUCUUAUCGUAAAAAGUCACUAGCUUAAACAAAUCGUAAACUUCUCGUGCAGCUUCUGGAGCUUCUGAAAAGCUAGAAGCUAAGAAAAGUUAAGUUUAUAUGAAAAGUUGUGAAGCUCAAUUUACUCAGCUUUUCAUAGCUUUUUAAGUCCAGGAAGCUAAAUACAAAAGUUAGUAUUACCUUUUUAAAAUUAUAAAGCCAGCAGUAUCUUUUCUGAAAGUUCAAAAAGCUGCAGCUAAGGCAGGAGGCUUGAAGGUUGGAUCGACUUCUGACUUCUCCAUGCCGAGCCAGCUCGUUAACUUUACAAGCUGGCCGAGCCGAACCGGCUCGACUUCCAGCCGAGUCGGCUACUCGUCGCCUUCCCAAAUCCCAACCCGAUCCGAAAUCCGUCGCCGCAAACGCAACUCCGCACUCCCAACCGCGGGUGGAGCCUAGAUCCUUUGCCGCUCGUGCUCCGUGGCCUCCCUGCACUCCCAACCGCCGCCGGUGCUCUGCCGUCGCCAUAUCUGAGAGAGACGGCCGGACGAGGCCCUCCUCCGCGACAUCUCGACCUCGAGAGGUCGAUUCGGUGGCGGCCGCUGGUCCGCGGCUUCCAGCCAGGGCGGCGGUUUCCAGGGAAGGCUCAUAUUUUUUUUAACUUACCCGGUUCGAUUGCUCUAGUGCCUAAAUCGAACCUUUCCUUGUUUAUUAUCCCCUCGAUUCGUUUUGCAUCCACAUUGGAGCUGCCGUUCUGGCACCGGACUCGGUAACCGAGCACCACAAAGAUUCACCCAGCUCCACAUAUCCCUGCUACCGUGGCGUACCGAUUCUCACGGCAGAAACCUGACCCGUGAUUGCUGCACGAGCGGCAGAGGGGGCGAGGGGCCAUAGGGUGCGGAGACUUGGCUUGAUUGUUGGGGCGACGGACAUGGGGAUACUGGAGCAGAUGAAGGCUCUGUCCGUCGAGGGGCAGCCUCAAGUCCAGAUAACUCGUAAGCAUCCUGGUGUCUGUUUGCUCGCGUUACUUAUCUGCAUGAUUAGUGAGUGCUGUCAUAUGAGAUAUCAAUUAUUAUUUACAAUUUUUCUACAUCUGUUUCUGGGAUAGAAGUAGCCACAGGACUGGUCGAAUUAAGUAAAUUCAUGUGGCCUGGCUAAGUUUCGAACAAAGAUCCCUCUACGCUGAUGAUUUUGUGCAGAGACAUAUGUUUGAGGUGAUUGUGGGCAUAAAGAUUUAAUUUUUAGGUAACAUUGCGUAUAAAGGAUGUUCUUAACCCAACUCAUGGAACCUAGGUUCUGUCUGCUCAACUGUUCUCGAGCAGAAGUUUAAGCAUCAUCUAAGCCAAGUGCUGCGCAUGUGCAAUUGUGUUCGUGUUUUCUGUUUUCCUUGCCAUUGUCCCUUCUGUCUCAUGACAUUCCUGAUUUGCAGGUGGUGGAUCAAAUUGUUCGGCAUCUCAAAUAAUGGUAUCACCUAGUCUAGAAGGAGAUAUUUCGCAUUGCGUCGAAACAAUGGGAUCACAGGUCCAGCUUCCAGAGGUAUGAGAUGAUAUCAUGUAAGUUAUUAGGAUGAAUCAGUUUUUCUCAGAGCACUAUAUAGCAAGUGAUAGAACUAACCACCCCCACUGUCAUUACUGCUAGCUUGGUGGUGGAAUUUUGGAUUAUAAGAACUUGGUAGUGCAUCUGACAUUCACACUAUGAGGUCCAGGGUUGUACAAUGGUCCAUGGUUGAUGUUUUUGAAUUGUCGUUACCUUGCCUUAUCAUCUUAUGAUGGUUGUUGCUUGUGAAUUUUUUUUAUGUUAUACCUGCUGAAAAUGAGGAUACCCCCAGGAUAGCACAAUUCAAUACUGUAUUUUUUAAACCAGAACACAUUUAGCUAAUUCGAUCGUAAUUUGUCCAUACUGCUCACUUCAGACAAGCAUUAUUACCACAACCAUCUUGUGAUGUUCGUUAUUUUUCUCAUGCUUUUUUUUUGAAAAAUUUCCCAUGGUUAUUUUCACAGGACAUUCUUCAUCAAAUACACGCCCUCAUGCCAUUGCGAGAUGCUGCUCAGGCCGCCUGCGUGUCUCGUGGUUUUCUGCGUUCUUGGAGAUGCUUUCCAAAUCUCAUUAUUUCUGUUGAUUCUCUAGGGAUUAAUGAAAACACAUCUAAUGAUGAAAUAAAAAGGGAUUUCGUAUGUAGAGUUGACCACAUUAUGCAGAAUCACUCUAGCAUGGGAGUGAAGAGGUUUGUAAUGGGAACCUACCCUUGUUCGAAUCUCCAACCUAGUUAUGUUGACCGCUGGCUUCAAUGUGCCAUUACACCUGGGAUCAAAGAAAUCUAUCUAGCAAUGUUAAGUUGUGGGAUAAAGUACAACUUCCCAGGAUUACUUUUAUUUAGUAGGGAGAUAAGAAGCUCCAUCCAGACUUUUGUGCUUGGGGAUUGUUCUUUUCGCUGUGCAGCCCAAGUUGGUUAUAUGAGUAGCCUAACAAAUUUGCAAUUGCAUUCAGUACACAUUACUGGAGAGGAACUAUAUGGUUUUCUAUCCAAUUCUUGUGCUGUGGAGGAACUAAGGCUUAGCAACUGCAAUGAUAUAAUUUGCUUGAAGAUACCUUGUCUGCUGCAGAAGCUUGAUAUCCUGGAUGUGCUGGGUUGCAGUAAGCUGGAAAUGAUUGACAGCAAUGCCCCUAACCUCUCCACUUUCUUCUUUGCUGGGCGCCCAAUACAUAUCUCGCUUGGUGAAGCAUUGCAAGUGAGAAAAAUAAGUUUUAGGCGUGACUAUUCACCUGAUGCGCUAUAUUAUGCUAGUACCAAAUUUUCAUUCAUCGCGCCAAAUCUCCAAACUCUUGUGCUAUCAACAAGUAAUGAGGUCAGUUUUAUCCGUCCCAAUAAGUUCAUUGUUCUGGAAAUGAAACUGAUGGUAGAAUAGUAGUUCUAUGUUUACAAUACUCAAUUACUCAGUCCACAAUUAAUCUUCGGGGGAUAUUUAUUUCUUCAGACAGUCAAUACACCAAAGGUGUUUGGCAAAUUCAUCCAGCUCAAGUACUUGGAGAUAGUGGUCUCUACAUCAACGUUUUCCCAAGACUAUGAUCUCUGUUCUCUUAUUUCUUUUCUUGAUGCUUCUCCUGCCUUGGAGUCUCUCAUUGUACGGGUAUGACAUCACUUUGACAAGUUACCAUCUUAAAAACUUCAUAUUUAGGGUGAAAAUCAGUAUAUUCAGUAUAAUUGAAACUUUGUGAUUAUUAUUGAAUAUACACUCUGACAUAUCAUGUAUACCUAUGCAGAUUGCGCAGCCGACAAUAAGGCGAGAUUCAGUUAUUGAAGACUCAAGUGGCUACUCACGUCCACAGUGCCUUCAAGAACAGUGCCAUGACAACCUCAAGAAUGUGAUGAUAACCGGCUUUUGCUCUGCGAAGAGCAUGAUUGAGCUCACGAUCUGUAUUAUCGAGAAAACAAAGGCACUGGCGUGCCUUACACUAGACACUACCCGUGGGUACGAUAGGAGGCAUGUCAAGGUUGAUAAGUGCCUGCAGCUGAAUGAGGAGGCACUUGUGGAGGCUAAAAAGGCCCGCGUUGCCAUUCAGAGAUACAUCGAGGGGAGAGUGCCCCCAGCUGUGAACCUGAAAGUUAUUGAGCCAUGUAGCAAGUGUAUAUGGUGACAAAUGUUAGGUGUUUUUAUGUGUUUUUCCUUUUCCCAAGCUAUGAUUCACAUAGCUUUGCUACUCUCCCUCGUUUAGCUAGUGCUAAUCUCCGUAAUUCUGCCAGAAAGCAUGGUUGUCAAAUCUUUUUUUUUUAUUUAGCAUGUUGGAGAAGUUUUCCAAAUAACCAAAUUCAGGGGGAAAAUCUGCAAUAUUUCAAUAUUUUGUGGGUCCGAUAAAUUUAUUUACCGAAACUCCAUGUAAAUAAUUCUAUCUCAUGUGUUAAAGUUGUGGUAUAUCGUCUUUUUUUUUAACUUGUGCAAUAAUUACGAUGUGUGAUGGAUUAGGGAUAGUUUCUAGUGAAAUCCUGGCAUGCCAAAAAAAAUUAGCAGUGAUUGUAGUUGCCAUUUUUAUCAUGGCCUGGAAGUUUACUACUCGGAUGGGGUGGUUGUCUAUUAAAAAAUACAUUACCGUCAUGUUUCGGUGUUUCACCCGACUCUCUCCACCGAAAUCGCUAAUAGAGUACCGGACACCUCCGUCGCCGCCCACCUCCUCCGUCAUCCUCUUCCUCUCUUGGGUUCCCAUUUCGGCUUUGUUCAGUUAAUCCCCUUCCCAGGGGAUCGGAGGGGAUUGAGGGGGAUUUUGACUUGCAAGGGAUUUAAUCCCUCCCAAUUCCUUUCAACCCUCUCCAAUCCCCUUCAAACCGAAAGGCCUUCUUAUUUAUUCAAUUACGUGCCACUGGACAAAACUGAUUCGCAAGUGAUAGGUCGGCUUGUUCCGUCACUAGAAUAGAUGUUUCACCUCAUCAAGUGUAUUGAAGGGACCAUGACACCCUAAGAGCUCGUUUGGCAACUUAGGCUAGAACUACCCUGGGCAGCACAACCCCCUUCGAUAAAUUAACGGAGUUGGGCAUCCCUGCCCAGACAGGUAGACCCCCCCCCCCCCCCUCCUCCGUUUGGAGCCAAACUCCAGGGGAAGGGCCUCCCACCCAAAUCUUGUGUAAAGAAAAUAGUCCACAAUUCACAAAUACUAAAAAAAUUCAAAAAAUCAGAAAAAUAGCAAUAAUAAAUAAGGUCCAACAAGCAAUAUCAAUCACCAAGUAUUAAGGCACUGCAAGUUAAAUAAAUUCAGCAUAGCACAUCCAAGUCGCAGGCACUGCUGAUUAAGGCACCAGAUAAUUAUUGAUCCAUCAAUUGUUCUUCUAAAAAUUUAGGUAUAUAGUUAAAAUGUUGCAUAUAACAUAUGGAUCAGAUAAUUCAAAGAUACAUAUAGCUCGUAAUGUAUGAAUGCCAACUGAACAAGAAUGGGGUCUACAUAAUGAGCAAAACCUUUGUACAUGAUAUAAAAAUCAAAUGAUCAAAUAUAUACAUAUGCACAUAGAUAUUCACAUGAAUACUCUUUUUGCUAUUAUUACUGGAAAGCAUGACCAUUACAUGCCACUAUCUUAGAAGUUACAGUAUAGUGGAUGGUGUGAUACUAGUAUUGACAAGGUUAAAAUUACUAUCAAGAUAUGUUGCAGAUAUCUGGAAAGAUAUGUUACAGACAAGAGAUGUGACAAGAUAUGUAUUGCACAGACAACUAGACAUGGCAUGUAUCCUACUGAAAUGAUAAUUGAAAAAAGAAUGCUUGCAUGAACCAUAAUUAGGAAUAGCUCGUCAUCCUCUUCUUCCUCCUCUAGCAUGAAUCUUCUAACUUCAUCCUCCCAAGAUUCCAUUAUCUCCUUACUCCUAUAAUAUGCAGAUUCAAGGACAAUAAAAAUUGGACAUGCACCGGAGGUUACUUAAUACUGAGACAUAAAUGUACAUGCACCAAAAAAAUUUAUUUUAUUCCCAAGCACACCAGCAAGAGCAGGCAGCAAUAGAUGCAGCAGACAAGACAGUAGAGUCUAGUGGGUGAGGAAACAGCAAUGCCACCUUCCUGAUGACCAGCAAAUGCUGAAGCAACUGAGAUCCUCCCGUCCUUGGACUCCACAACUACAAUAGAGGGGAAGAUCAUAUAUUGAUUGUAAAUGCAAGAUUGAGAUGUCAACUAGAAUACAUGAAUUGAUAUAGCAUCAGGUUCGUCAAACAAAAAAAAAUUCAAGCACCACUGACAACGACCAAUGCGAGCACUGACUAAAACAAAUGUGCAUAUAGCCAUUCUUGUUCUCAAUGCCUGUGUGCAUUAGCUAUGCAGCUAUGCGCAACAGCUAUGUGGCACCGUUUUGAAUGCAGCACACUAAUUAUUCAGAAUUAGUCACAGUUUUGAAUGGCUGUGUGCAACAGCUAUGCAGCUAUGGACAGUACAAGCGCAUACUUGCAUACUAGCAUCCUCAUACCAGUAGUAUAGGAUACUAUAAAAUCCCUCAAAAAUAAACUUGUUAAAAGUUGUAAUUUUGAAGCUUUGUAUUCUCUCCGUGGAUCACUUGUACUGAAAAGCUUAGUCAGCUAUGACAUUAUUAGUCGGAGAGAUUUAGCAAGCACUUGUCUGAACUUGUUGUGCUAGAUGAUGUGUGAGACAUAUAUUCAGUGCAUCUCGAUAUAUAAGAUUUUAUACUAUGUUCAAAUGUUCAGACUACACACAAUGUUCAGACUACACACACCAAACAUAUAGAUGCAUAUAUGACAUAAUUUGGCCAAGCUACCUGUACCUGUCUGCUUGCUCGUGUUUAGGAGGAAACCAGGACAAGUAAACAACACUAGUUCUGAACAGUGCUGAGUGCACAUUGUAAUGGGGACAACACUAGUUGAAGAAACAAGAAAUCUACAGUUCCCUGGGAGCUGGACCUACAGAAGCAUGAUUCAAAUUUUUUGAGCGAGAGAAUUGGUAAUCUUGGCACAAAAUUGAUCCCAGGACUGCAGGAAAGCAAUAAUCACAUUUGGCAACUGGAUCUCUGCCUAGCCUCUCGGAUGCUCCUCGACGCUCUUCACUAGGUAGAUCCUUUGGCAAAACGCCUAGGGCCUCUCCUCCCUAUCACAACUACCGGCGGCCACUCCACAAAUGCGGUAUAAGGGUCUCGCAAGACUUACAAGCCCUAGAUUUACAACUCUUGGUGCGCGCAAGCACCGAUACAAAGGAGGUGUGCAAACCUCACCUAACUCUAAGCUAAUCCCUAAAGCAAUGCGCUAAUAAGCCUAAACUAGCACUAAUCAAGACUUAAGCCUUAUGCUAAUUGCCUUAAUCUUCUCUUUAGCACUUGUCUGUAUGUGGAAUACAAGCCUUCAGCUUCCCUGAGCUCUAACCCAUCUCAAAUGGUCGGGUAAUGGGGUAUUUAUAGCCCCAACCAAAGAAACUAGCCAUUGCAAGCAGUUGCAACUUUUCUGCGUAGCACCGACUGAUUCGGUGAUGCACAAGAUGUGUCACCGUAUGAAUCCAUAAGUGCCACCUCAGCUAGCCGUUGGGCUCUUACGCACACUGAUGCCUGGGCCCAGGUCACCGACUGAUUUGGUGCCUUUCCUUGACCCUCACCGUAUGAAUCGGUGGGUUCUUCUUAGCCGCUGCCUUCCUCCGUCACCGACUCAAUCGCUGCCCUUCUCCUUGAUCGACCGUAUGAAUUGGUAUGGCUCUAAAAUCACUCCAAGGUAGAAAAAGCCAAUUUUGAGCCGAUCCUGAGCCUAGCCGAUCGCACUGACUGAUCGGUGCUGAUUUGCUGUGCCCACCGAAUGAGUUGGUGGUCACAUUGCACGCUGCCUUGGUCUUGUAGUUGAUCUUUGUCACCGACUGAUUCGGUGCCUUGGCCUUUUACGCACCACAUCAUCCGUUGACCAUAGUCUUAGCCCUGCUAUGGUUCUUCUUGUCACCGACUGAUUGGUGACCACACUUGGUCACCAUCGUAUGAAUCGGUGGUUGGUCUUUCAGCAGGAUUCGCUUCAUGUCUUUGCGUGACUUUGUCCCGACUUAUCUUCUAUGAUGUAUUGGGUUGCUUUAAGGUCUUGUAGGGUGUUGUACUUGUCCUCUUGACAUUUGUUCCAUGUGUUAUAUUCCCAAGUCCAUCACUUUGCAUCCAUGUGAAUAAUCCUUGUAUACUUGCAAACGUUGUUAGUCCAUGGGUUAGUGUUGACACACAAUCACCAAAAUCAUUAAUGGCCUAACUAGGUCCAUUUUCCUUACAUGUAUGAUGGUUCUCAUUGUGCCCAAAAAAAGGGAUCUCAAGUCCAGCUUCUAGAGGAAUUGUUGGUAUUGUUUAUGUGUAUGUAACUGCAAGUGAAAAAACAUCAUAUUGUUGGGUUUAUUUUGGAUUGCACGAAUUUGUAGAGCCAUCUGAUAUUCAAUCAGCACUUUUAGGUCUAGAUUUGCAGUGCAAUUUGUGAGAUAUGUAUGUGCUAUGUGCGUGUAUGGGCCUGGUGUGCAUCACGCCACGGCCCAGGUCGGCUCCCUGUCGUGCCUAGAUAGAUCAGGAUAGGCAGGUUAUCCCUUGAUUGGUUAUGAUUCUAUAAACCUCUCCCAAAAGCUGCCUAUAUAUUUGUAUACCUUGUAUACCCUAAUCAAUCUAUUAUUCCAUGCAAUCUCCAUUGCUUUCUGUUGAUGUCCAAAAGUGGCAGCAAGCUGAUCAGGAUGAGACUAGCCGGUCAGACCGGUUCCUCCAGGCGGUCUGACCGGUCCGGGUCUCUAUAGCCAAUCUGGCACGCGCCUGCCGGUCUGACCGGUGGUCUCGACCGGUCAGACCGGUCACCCCGAAUCCGAGAAGAACCUAGGAGUCCUGGUUGAAUUGGAGUUGAAACGGAACUUCCUUGCGGGAAAAGACCUCCCACCCUAUAAAUAUAAAGGACCUGGCUAAUUGAGUGCUAUCACCCAAUCGACAAACAAAUAUUUUACACUUUUAUCUCCAAACCCUAGCUUUUCCAACCCCUUUGCUUUCCUCCUGCGUCCUGGCGGCAUUUGAGGAUGUUCUGACUGGCCUGACUAAUCUCAGAGCAACCCUAGGCUCGCCAUCUCCGACAGGAUCCCUCCCGAGGUGGUGAACGUAUGCUUUCUUGGUGCCCCUACGAGGACUGGUCUACUAGACCCCCUGACCGGUCUGACCGGCCAGGUGCAGAAGACCCGACGAGGUGAUCUUUCAAUUCACGUGCGAACCAGCGCAUUCGUGUGUUGGCCGGAAAAAGGCGUCAACACAUUUUGGCAACUCAGCUGGGGAAGAAAGAUCUGGUUUUACAACCGUUCUGAAAAACCCUAGCAAGAUGGGAUUUACUAUAGAAAUCGACAUGGACAACAUCAUCACAGCUUCUGUGGAGGAUCUCAGCGAGGAGGAGCAGCGGAACAUCGCGUCACUACAGGAGUAUGUGAAGAACUACUAUCUGUUGGGCCCCAAGAAAGAUCACAAGGGCAAUUUGACGAGGGUACAAGACUUCGAGAUGCCCGCGAUCAAGAUGAAGGACCACAUGUCGAGGAAGUAUGCAACGUAAGUGAUUUUCCACCCGAUCAGUCCAUCUUGAAUGAAGAGUUCCGUAAGAGCCUCGAUCACCAAAAUAAGACUACUGCUUCUUCAAUGGCACAAGUAAGUCAACUUGUAGAGGGUAAAUCUGUUGAAUCUAAUAAAGAUGAUUUUUCUCAAGUUGAUUCACGUGGGGUUGCGCAUGUGAGUCCAUCGGCAAACCUAGGGGCUACUCCUGAAAACCCUAAGUACGGCAUGCCAUUGAACUUCUAUGCAGGACAGACGCCGCCCCGGGUCCAACCGCCAAAGCUGAACAUGGCUGAAGCGGUCAGACUGGUCCAGGCAAGCGGUCUGACCGGUCAGGCUUCCUAGGCCGACCAGUUAGCAAUUGUCCCUGAAUCGCUCGUGCCACUCACUGUUGUGCCUAGUUCGGUUGCUCCAAACCAUACUGGUGAGCUUGGGAUGAACACACCAUCAAUCAGCACAAUAGCGUACACGUCACCCCCGAUCCCUAACACCACUGUAGCAUCUAGGAGUAUUUCAAAUGAUGUGUUUUCUGAUUUGCACCGCAUUCAGAAUGGCAAUCCACCCCACGCGAGUGCUAUGAAUACAUCAGCCUCAGUGCUACCAGAGUCACAUCCCCUUCACGAGAUUAGAAAAUUUAGAGAAGAGAUGUUGGCUAUGAUUCAAAAUAAAUUUGGCAUAGAUACAGGUAGUUCAAAGUUGUAUCAAAAACCAUAUCAUGCUGAUUUUGACUAUGUCCUCUAUCCUGUCAGUUGGCGCAUGCCCGAUUUUAUUACAUUCAGUGGCGAAAUAACCGAACUACUUGGGAGCACAUUAGUCAGUAUUUGGCUCAACUAGGCGAAGCAGGUUAUUAUAAUACUUUGCGGGUUCGCUUAUUUUCUUUAUCAUUAACUGGAACCCCCUAGGCGGGUUGCCGGUCUAAAACACCGACAGCUGGCGCGCCAGGUAGGGGAACUCGUUGAGUUUCUCAGCCUGAAUUCAAUGGCAAAGGUCAUCAUCAGGCCCAUUUUCUUCAUCGAAGUGGGCGCCACCUUCAUUUUCGGAUCCUGGCUUUGCGUCGCCGAUGGCUCGGGUUCGUUCCGGUGCCAGAUCGUUGAUCCUCAGGAGAAGAAACUAGAAGAUCUGAUCGAAAAAAACCAAGAUUUCAAAAUUGACGAGUUCGAGUUCGACUACACAUCGGAUGCGACUUCGCUUCAGACUAAUCGAUCCUAGCUAGUGCCCGAGUCGGUUUCGAUUUCAAAGUGGUUCCCGCACGGAAUCCGCAACGCAACCAAGAUUCACCAAGGCUUUCUUACUCAAACCCGACUUGAACUCGGGCAUGAUGAAGACAUCGACUCCGACUCGUCUUAUUCACUAGAGAUACCAUUAUCUGGUCCAGCCCAAGGAUUGGUAAUAACUUCAACAUCACAAGGCAGAUUCGUCCACUGGCCGGGAUUGCGACCAUCUUUUCUUGACCGCGACUACGACUCGCGCCUUGUCGCCCAUAUAGACAAUCUCCCAUAUCAAGAGGGCGUUCCACUCACUUCCAACCACGAGGAAAGUUCCACAGAGAUUGCAACGUCAAGCUCCGGAAGCUACUACCCGGAUAGGGAGAUACUUGUUAUUACUCAGAAUAACAACCCGGGUACUAGCUAGAACAGAACCCCCAGGUGAUUAUCCGGAGAUGAGUCUACAGCUGACGCCCCUCACAAUGAAACCUCUGAGCAAAGAAACCAAAGGAGGAUGCGCAACGCUACUCGAGCCGAGCGACGGUAGUCGAUGGCUACAAAUAUUCCCAUUACAAAUCUUGAAAGGGCCUUCGACGUAGUUUAGGCUCAGGAGCACAAUACUCCACUCACGGCUAUCGCCUCAAUCAGCCUUUUAACAACGCUGAUGCCUCAGGACAGGGAUAACGAAGCCACAGCUCAACUCGUAUAGCGUGGCAACGGACUAAUCGCACAACUCGUGGAGCAAGCCUACAAGUUACUCGACAAGGAAUCUCCAAUUCCGUCUGUUCCUCGCAUCACAUCUCACCAAGAAGGCAGCCGGGGAGCUGCAGACAACAACAAUGCCCCAAAAAAUAGCAACGAAGUUAACCAACCUCGGCAGCACAGCCAAGGUCCAAGCAAGCACAAGGCCCCAGCUCGCCAUAAGGAUGUUGGCAAGGUCAGCUGCACCAACUCGGUUAAAAGUAUCCGCCCUACUCGGAAGAACCACGAAGUGUCUAGCUUUAGUGAUCUGCAAGAAAUUCUCAACAGUCGGCGUGAACGAGAAGUCGACAACUAAAACCACUUUCCUGCUUUCACAAACCGAGUAAUGAAAAGAAAAUUACCCGAGAAGUUCAAGCCAACCGGAAUCACCAAGUAUGACGACAAACAAGACCCAAUUCAAUGGCUACAAUGCUACUCGCUAGCCGUCCAAGCAGCUGGGGGCAAUAACGACACCAAAGUUAUCCACUUCCCCAUAUGCAUGGAACCCACACCACUGACCUGGCUUGAGUCGCUCAAACCCAAGUCCAUUGACUCCUGGGCAGAUUUGACAAAGGCUUUCACCAACAACUUUGCCGGCUCCAUGGCUAGACCAGGCAAUAAGAUUGACUUAAGUCAAAUCAAGCAAAAGGAAAGCGAGACCUUACACGACUAUUUGCGAUGCUUUUUCGAAAAGAAGGCUACCAUAGUUGACAUCUCAGAAACAGACAUCAUCGAGUGCUUCCAGAAUGGACUCUACGAUCGACGAACAUACCAAGACUUCGGUCGCCGACGACCAGCUAAUGUCAAAGACCUCAAAGUCAUGGUGCAGCAGUGGGCAGAUGAAGAAGAUAAAGAGCGAGAACGGUUCAGCUCCCACCGAAACCGUGGAUGCGACAACAACAAUGACCAAGAUAGAACUCAAAAAAAUGAUACUCGAAACAACUAUUCGAGUAAUCACAACCACAAAAGGAAGCCCGACAACACUGUUGCUGCCAUGACCAACUCCGGGAGAAAGGGACCCCGUAAAAACGACGAAGGGACAACCUUCAUUGAACUACUCAAAAAGCAGUGCCCAUGGCACCCGACUAGCAAGCACUUGACAAUAGACUGCUACAGCAUGCGCCGAGUAAUGCAAGACUUACCCGCACCACCACCUCCUGAGGAGUACACCAAGAAAAAGGAUAAGGGCAAGAACAAAGCCCACAACGAUGAAGACGAAGAAGGCAACUUCCAGACCGCCUCAAAAACUGUCAACGUCAUCUUCGGCGGUAUCCCAGGCACUGCAUCCAAGCGAGCCAACAAACUCGUACUCAGGGAGAUCAUGGCCAUCGAACCAACGGAUCCAACACCAUUAAAAUGGUCAGAAGUGCCUAUUUCUUUCAGCAGAAAAGACCAAUGGACCAAGUUCUCAGAACUAGGCUGUUUCCCCCUAGUACUUGAUCCAGUUGUGGCAGGCUCAAAGUUAACCAAAGUACUCAUCGACGGCGGAAGCGGACUCAACGUUAUUUUCACCAAGACAUUGAGGAAGAUGUGCCUCGACGUUACUGAAAUGCUUACUCCAACAGAUUCACCUUUCUACGGUAUCGUGCCUGGAAAUGCGGUUGUACCACUAGGACAAGUUGUCCUUCCGGUUACCGUACCGAGUACAUCAGAUUUGAAGUCGCUGACUUCAAGACAUCAUACCAUGCCAUACUCGGAAGGCUAGCACUCGCCAAGUUCAUGGCCAUACCACAUUAUGUUUACCUGGUACUCAAAAUGCCAGGCCCCAAGGGAGAACUCACGCUGCGAGGAGAUCUACGGCGAUCCUACAAAUGCGACACCGAAGUCGUAGAAAUUGCUGCGACUACUCAAGCACCUAGUCCCAUGCAACAAUUCUUCACAGCUUCAAAGAAGCUCCAUCCAACCGAAUUAGAGAUCCUAGAAAACAAGUCGGGGUCCACAAAGCUGAAACCUGCUAGUGAGCAAGACUUCAAAUCAGUUGACCUCCAGACGGGCGACCCUUCCAAGACAGCCCUGAUCGAAACAGGGCUAUAUCCUAAAUAGGAAUCCACGCUCGUCAGCUUCCUUCGGGCUAACCACGAUAUCUUCACUUGGAAACCGACUGACAUGCCAGAUGUGCCCAAGGAGAUGAUUGAGCAUACACUCAACGUCGAUCCCAAAGCUACUCCGAAACGGCAACGACUUCGCCGCUUCGCUCAGGACAGACGAGAAGCAAUCAGAAAAGAGUUAGCCAAGUUACUUGCGGCAGGGUUCAUCAAAGAAGUCUGUCAUCCUGACUGGCUCGCCAAUCCCGUGCUCAUUCGUAAGAAAAACAACGAGUGAAGAAUGUGCGUCGACUAUACCGACCUCAACAAACACUGCCCAAAAGACCCUUUUGGGCUACCCAGGAUUGAUCAGGUGGUCGACUCCACCGCUGGGUGCGCUUUACUAUGCUUUCUCGACUGCUACUCUGGCUAUCACUAGAUAAGCCUCAAAGAAGAAGAUCAAGCCAAAACAACGUUCAUCACGCCUUUCGGAGCUUUCUGCUACAAAACAAUGUCCUUCGGACUAAAAAAUGCAGGGGCAACCUAUCAAAUGGGCAUACACAUGUGCUUCGAAAAGCAACUUCACCGUAAUGUUGAAGCUUAUGUCGACGACGUAGUCGUCAAAACAAGAAACUGGGAGGAACUCAUUACGGACCUAGAGGAAACUUUCUCUAGUCUACGCGCUUUCCAAUGGAAACUCAAUCCUACUAAGUGCGUCUUUGGAGUACCUUCCGGCAAAUUACUCAGGUUCAUCAUUAGCCAUCGCGGCAUUGAGACCAACCCGGAAAAAAUAUCUGCCAUCACAAACAUGCAGGCACCAGCUAGCAUUAAGGAUGUGCAAAAACUCACAGGCUGCAUGGCCGCUCUCAACCGGUUCAUCUCGACACUUGGAGAACGGGGACUACCCUUCUUCAAGCUUCUCAAACGCCAGGACAAGUUCAAAUGGACGGAAGAGGCAGACGAGGCACUAACACAACUCAAAGACUUUCUGUCAAAGCCUCCGAACGAAGACUUACUCCUAUACAUCUCAGCUACUACUCAUGUCGUCAGCACGGCAAUAGUAGUCGAACGGUCUAAACCGGGCCACGCUUAUAAGGUCCAACGACCUAUCUACUUCAUUAGUGAAGUACUCUCGGACUCCAAAACUCGGUAUUCACCGAUACAAAAACUCUUAUACGCAAUUUUGCUCACCUCCCGAAAACUGCGCCAUUACUUCCAAGAGCACAACAUCACAACCAUCUCCGACUUCCCGCUCGGCGAAAUUCUCCACAACAGAGAUGCCACGGGUAGAAUCUCCAAAUGGGCAGUUGAACUCGGAUCUCUCACCUUGGACUUCAAGCCAAGGACAGCUAUCAAAUCCCAAGCUUUGGUCGACUUCGUAGCUGAAUGGACUAAAAAUCAAGUGCCAACACCAGUCGAACAGCCAGAACACUGGGUAAUGUACUUUGACGGAUCCCUCAAACUCAAAGGGGCCGGCGCAGGCGUAUUACUCAUCUCCCCAGGGGAGACCAGCUCAAGUACAUGCUGCAAAUAUUCUGGGAAGCAUCUAAUAAAGAACCCGAGUACGAAGCACUACUCCACGGCCUUCGCCUUGCAAUCUCCCUCGGCAUCAAACGACUACUGGUGUAUGGCGAUUCUCUAGUUGUUAUAAACCAGGUCAAUAACGAGUGGGACCGGAACAAGGACAACAUGGACGCUUACUGCAAAGAAGUCCAUCAACUGGAAAACAAGUUCUCAGGCUUGGAAUUUCAUCACAUCGUCCGCGACAACAACGUUGCCGCUGACGUCUUAUCUAAAAUGGGCUCAACUCGUGCAGAGGUUCCAGCAGGAAUUUUUGUACACGAAUUGCGCAAGCCGUCCAUAUCUGACCAAGUCACACCGCCAGCAGUCCCGACUGCUGACAUCUCUUGAGAAGUCAUGAUGAUAGAAGUUGACUGGAGGACACCCUUCAUCGACUACAUCAAAGAUCACCAGUUACCAUCCAACAAAAAUAAGGCUGAGCAAAUCUCCCGGCGAGUAAAAAAUUACAUACUAGUCGGAGACAAGCUCUACAGGAAAGGUGCAUCAUCUGGGGUACUCAUGAAGCGCGUUACCAGAGAAGACGGUCAUGAAAUCUUAGAAGAAAUUCACAAAGGAAUCUGUGGCAACCACACCUCUUCGCGAACAAUAGUUGGCAAGGCUUUCAAAGCAGGCUUCUACUGGCCAAUGGCUCUGGCCGACGCUAAACAACUAGGUCAGAAAUGCAAAGGUUGUCAAUUCUUCACAAAACAGCAACAUGUACCGGCCUACAAGCUAGUCACAAUACCUCUAACAUGGUUGUUUGCCUACUGGGGGCUCGACAUGAUAGGGCCGUUACCAACUGCGCCAGGAGGAUUCAACCGAGUACUCGUGGCAAUCGACAAAUUCACCAAGUGGAUCGAGGUCAAACAAGUCACUUGCCCCAAGGCAGACCGAGUCCUCAACUUCUUAGAUGAAAUCGUACACCGCUACGGUUUUCCCAACAAGAUUAUCACAAACCUAGGGUCAAACUUCAACAAUCACGACUUUUGGGAAUAUUGCAAGAAUAGCGGCAUCGACGUCCGCUAUGUCUCAGUCGCUCACCCACGAGCCAAUGGACAAGUCGAGCGUGCUAAUGGCAUGAUACUCGACGCCCUGAAGAAAAGACUACAUGACGUUGGCAACACUAAAGGCGGCAAAUGGCUCAAAGAGUUACCCAACGCUUUCUGGGGCUUACGUACCCAACAAUGCAAGACUACUGGGCUAUCACCCUAUUUCCUUGUAUAUGGCUCAGAAGCCAUACUACCUACCGACAUCAUGUGGCAAUCACCCUCAGUUGAACAAUACGAUGAAGCACUGGCAACAGAAACAAGGCGAACAGAUAUAGACAGUCUAGAAGAAACAAGAUGCGCAGCUCUAGUGCAAUCUACCAGAUACCUUGACGGUUUAAGGCGUUACCACGACCGCAACAUCAAGGAAAGAUCUUUCAACUUGGGCGAUAUGGUCCUUAAGCGUAUCCAAGACACAUCAGGGUUACAUAAACUCAAUUCACCAUGGGAAGAUCCUUACAUCAUGUCAAAGGUUACGGGACCUGGAUCUUACAGACUCCAUGAGUUUUCAGGAGAAUAAGUACCAAACUCUUGGAAUAUAGAACAUCUUUGUCGCUAUUACCCAUAGCAGCAUCCGAGUAAUCGCUUCAAGGCAAUAACUCCUGAUGACUACUCAGGCUAACUGCCCGUCUACCGACUUCAAGAUACCUCAGCUUUGACAAGAGUUAUCAACUCAACAAGGAUCACUGCCCUGGUACAGAAUUUCCAUAAAGUAUUUCUUUACUGAACCGAAGAUACAUCAGGUUACAUACGAGUACAAGUACUCGAAAUACACGAAGACUACAAGCAACUGCCUACUGGCAAGCUGCAUUUAAGCCUCAGGCUUUUACUAUAUCACAAGGCCACUCAGGUUUGCCGACUAUAGUAGGAAGGGCCUACACGCAAGGAAGCUGCGCAAAACGCAGCCAUAUCCAGGUCCUCUACCCAAGGCAACGCCAGGAACUCCUGCAUCGCCACUACCUUGACAGCGGCAACGAUGAAUCCAGCGCGACGCGCCUAGAGAGAACCAAGGCUGCUCUUUUGCUAGCCUUGCGGAGCCAAUCCACUCUACGGCCACACCUCCACCUCUAAGAGAGUGGAAUAAAGACCGCGGCACUCAUCACCCCUCACCCGCGAGUUCCAGUGCGUACCCCACUGGAUCACGAGCUGCAAGAUGAGGCGUGUGAUGAAACCUCCUACAAGGAUUCUUCUAGCAUCGCGGCUAUCCCUACGAGCGCAGGAGUCUGUGGAGGGAAGGUGGCCUCAAUCUACGAGGAAUCUUCUAGCACCGGUGCACUCUUUGAUGGCUCUCUACACUCAAAACAAAAGCAACCAAAGGCAAUCCAUUGCUACUCAGAAACUUGGUUUGGUUCGCUCUCCAGAUGGCUCUAUUUAUAGCCGAAAGACGCAACUACCACCUGCCCAAGAGUUACUAUGCGCCAGUGAUCAAUGAGUCUGACGACUCCUUACUCUUUCCACGUGAUGGUACUUAUGCCACAAAGGAAAAAAGAGUACAGUAUACCCGCGCAUCCACAAAGGACAAAAGAGUACAGUACACCUGCGUACCCUCAAAAGCAGAGUACUCGACAGCAUCAUGACUACUCGACACUUGGAACUACUCCAAGCCAAGCGCGGCCUUUGCCCACACCAUUAUCUUGGGGGCUCGGAAUAUUCCGACCCUCUGCUCAGGGGUCGGGUACACCCAACUCUAAGACUUAGGGUCGGGCGAGGUGAAGCUUCCCCCCUUAAAGGGGUCGAGUGCACCCGACCCCAGGACUUAGGGUCGGGCGAGGCAGAGUUCCCCCCCCCCCCCAAAGGAUCGGGCUCAGCCGACCCGGGGACUUUGGGUCGGACAAGAUAGAGUAAACCUACUCUUCGCAAGAUAAUCCCUUCAACCAACAAGACCAAUGGGCAAGUAUUCAUUUAUCAAAAGUAUUGUUCAAAGUACUCGACACAGAUUCACGAGUACAUAAAACGCUCAAGGCUCUUCUGGAGAGACGAACUUCGACAUCUUCGAUGUGAUAGGCUCCGCCUCCUUGAGGUAUUGCGCAUAUGCUUCUUCUGUGCAGUUGCGAGCCACACAGUCACCAACCGCCGCCAAGUCUGCCGUCGGGUACUAGGACUUCACGACUGCAAGGACCUAUUUGCAAACAGCUUUGUAGAGUCCUGCCACUUUACUCGGGGCAGCCUUCAAUCACUCGACUAGUGAUUGUGGCCCUGCGCCUUCUUCCACGGGGGCUAUGGCGUUCACCAAGUCUUCAGCUGCUACAGUUAGCUCCUGGAGUUCGCCUUGAAGUCUUCCCAUGGUCUGGGCAUGAUCUCUGCAUGCCACCAUGGCCAUGGCAAGCAUCACGCCAUUCUGCAUCUUCCUGUCCCGCUGAUGCUCGCAAGCAGCCUGUGCUUCCGUCAGCGCGGCCCGAAGACGUUCAGCUUCAUCCGCCACUCGGUCGUGCGCGUUUCUCCAGUUGAGAACUUGGCUCCUUGCAGCCGCCUCUUGCUUCUUGAGCUCUACAAGACAAAAACAAGUUCAACCACAGCCGACUACAAUCGGACAUACUCGGAGUAUGCAGAGUACUUGCCUUGAUACUUCUUGUUCAGCGACUUGUUGCGGCUCUCCAGUUUUUGCUACAGGACCGCGUGAUCCGUACGUUCCAAAGCAAAAGACUUUGCUCCAACCUCGUGAACCCUUAGAGCUUCUGUCAGUCGGGCACAUUCCUGCUCCAAUUGAUGACUUCGUUCUUGAAAGGGCCCGAGUAAACAAGGCAAUACGGUCAGUUAAAAGCCUCACAGUUACUUGAUCUAUGUGACAAUUCAAAAGAAAUUUACCUGGAAGCUCCGGAAAACAUCGACGGCCCUCUGGAACUCCAAGUCAGAUGGCAGGCUGAGCACUAGUCUUUGAGUACUCUUCGCAAGAUGAGGAGUUGUACCCAAAGUGGCACCUGCAACAUUUAUCAUGUCAACUGCUUGCUACGACUACAAUAACAAGACUAACAGAGACAUACCUGGAGCAGUCGCCUCUAUGACUUUUUCAACACCUACUACGGCCAGCGAUCCGCUAGUGGAUGUUGAUAAGGCAGCACUUCCUGAACCCAAUGCAGCGGCGGGAACCUCCACCGAACGGAUGAUGUCUUGAAGCAUCGACAUAGUAGCCCCAAGACGACCGGCAUCAACUUCGGGUACCUCCUCAACAAUUAAAUCCUCCAAAGGAGCAGAUAAUGUAGUCGGGGGAUCCGACUCUACCCCUCUCCACAGGGAUAGUCUCAUCCGCAUCCCUACAUCAAAAAAUGUCAUUAUACGACUUCAAGACAACUUAAAGAUAUACACCGGCUAAACAAGCUCACCAAGUCGAGCCUGGCAAAAAUCGCACACGUUUCUUCUCGACAACAGGUGGUCGAGUAGUUGGCGCCGCAGGAACAGCCGCCGGCGUUGUCUUCUCGCCAAGACCUGUAAAGCAAAAGUCAAGACUACAAUUCAACUCAGACAAAAGAAACUAGCCGGGGCAGAACACUUACCACUGGCGAUCACAUUGGACAGUAAAGAAACGGUAGCGAGUACUGGCAACACCUCCUUCGCAACAUCUGCUGCUCCAGCGGGCAACCCCAGGACUGCCUCGUCAAUAACGGGCAGCAUGGCAGCCGACGGAGCCCGUGCGGAUAGCUCGGAGGCUACUCCAACUUCUGUUGAUGGCACCUUCUCUGGCACCAUGUCAACAGAUAUAUUACCGACAUCCGAGUCGGUCAUGACUACUUCUUCAAAAGCAGCCUCAUCAUUACCAAGGGUCGUUUCAACAGCCUUUAUGAACAAGAUAAUUUAGUCACAACAAUAGCAAGUUCAAAUUCAUCAGCUACAGAUAAGUUCACGACUACAUACCUUGGUACCCCGAGACUUCUCAGGGGUUGAAGCAGACUUAGCCGCAGAUAUCUUGCGGACUACUCUGCGCUUCUUGGCAGGAGGAGAGGGUUCGUCCUCUGAAUCCUCGGCAACAGUUUCUGAUUCUUCUUCUGACUGUGGCAAGUAGCCGGCAAGAACUCGAGACUGCAAAAAACAAGUCGAUAUUAACAACAAAUAUCACACAAGUGAAAAAGUACAAAUCAGGUGCAAAGACAUACCACUUCUGGCUCAUACCAAGCGUCAUACUGACGAAGAGCCGCAGGGAUUACUAGUACUCCCUGAUAGUUCCUGAAGAACUUGGCCAGCAGUGCCUCUACAUCAUCAUCGGAUAUAUCUUCAUUGGACAUACGCGAUGGAUCCUUAAGACCUGUGUACUCACUUCCUGAGUGAGCACGAUGUUGAAGCGGCUGGACCCUUCUCUUCAGAAAGCUGGCCGCCACAUUGAUUCCAGUUAGACUGAGUGCCUUCAACUCGGUAAUCUGUUGCAUCAGAUGAUCGAGCUCAGGGGUGUCUUCGGGUUUGCUCACCCAGUUUUCUGCAUGCUUGGGCGCAUGACCAGUCACCACAGGCAAGCGAGGAUUGUGGUUCCCAAUGUAGAACCACCUUUUCUUCCACUCCCCAUGGGAGUCAGUCAAGUUCUACUCAAUGUAUGCGCCCGAGUUCCUGAGUUGGAACCCAGCGCCUCCAAAGACUUCUGUUCUAUGGACACUUGACUGUGGCUUACAGCAGAAUAGUUUCCUAAACAACUCAAGACUUGGAGGAACUCCCAAAUACACUUCACAGAGUUGUACAAAUAUCGACAUAUGCAGUACACCAUUGGGGUUCAAAUGCACAAGUUGAAGGUUAUAAUAGUCGAGAAUAACUCUGAAGAAGUCGGAGGUGGGCACUGCCAACCCCCUCUCCACAAAGUGCGCAAGCAUCACGGUCUCGCCUGGAUGUUCCUCAAAUUGCCACGCAUUUAGAAAUGUGGGGCGCCACUCAAGAAUCUCUUUCGGCUGCAGAAGCUUCGCAUCGACUAGUGCUUGCAUGGCUUCCUCCUUCAUCACCGAAUGUUGCCACGUUGCUCCAGGCAGUGGUGGCGCGGUCUGGUUCGUCAGCCCCACCUUCGGCGCCGGACAUACCAGCUCUUUCACCUUCUUGGAUUUCACCUUGCCCGUCGCCAGAGCCUUGCCCUAGUUCUUCUCGGGUUUCUUGCCCAUCUUCUUGGUGCGCAUUCGAUGGACUCAACCUCAAUCUAGAACGGCACUCUCCCUCAAAUCUCUCUCAAGGGGCAGCAAUGGCGGCGGCGGCACUGGCGGCGGCUAAAAUGUGGAGCAGGAGGAUAGGGGAGGCAGAAGAACAUAUCUAAUUACCGUGCGGCGUAAAACCAAUUGAAAGGGGGCCUUCCAGUUUUAUCUCUGCCAGCUCCGGUUUCCACGCGUGAGUUACGCAACGGACGGAUUCUAAUAGAUUAAUUGCAGAUUAAUCGCCUUAACACUCAACGGCUACUCUUUUGAACAGACUGCUGACCACUUCAAUAACAGAGAUCGCCUAAGUGCUCGGGGGCUGCGGGUACCGUACCCGUUGGUCGGUUUUUUCUUUUUCAAAGAUUUCCAAGGGUAAAACAGACAAAAGACUGGUUUGACCCUAAGCUUGACUCUUCGACUCAACCUAAGGCUCGGAGGCUACUCCAUAUGGAGUGCGAUUGACAUCGCACUACCAUAUAAAAUCUCGGAACAGAAGCAACUCGAAGGAAUAAAAAGAGUACCUUCCAGCCACGCAACAGUACUCGAGCACUUCGGUCUGCAAACUCUACGACUAGCUACUCGAAUAGUGCUCACAGUGCCCAAGACUGUGGCGCACGACUACAAAGUACUUGGGGGCUUGUCGGGCAUACACCCCAGGCCCACGAGUAGAUCUUGGACGGCCCACUAAGGGGCGUACUCGAACACGAUCAGAACAAGGGAUAGGCGUAUCCCAUUCGGACUAGUCAAGUGUGUAUAUGGAAAACUACUCGGGCCUUACCAAGUAUAACUCUGUAAUAGUACUCGACUAGGACUCAAGACAUGUAACCCUGCCCUCCUGUGUAUAUAAGGGUGGGCAGGGACCCCCCCUCAACAACAACUCCAGUUCAUCAAUACAAACCAACACACAGGAUGUAGGGUAUUACGCGAUCUAGCGGCCCGAACCUGUCUAAAUCGUGUUCCCUGCGUCCCCAUUGAUUCCUUGAUUCUCGACGAUCCUUAUCGCACAAAAGACCUCCUAGGGUACCCCGUAGGCGGGUUGCUGGUCUAAAACACCGACAUGGCCUUCUAAAGCUAAAUCAUAUUCUUGUGCCUCUCUUAAGCUACGCACAAGAGUCGGCAAGAAGAAGUGAAAUUUACUUUCGAUGUUUCCAAUUGUGAUCAUAUUUUUGAUGAAUUGCUUAAACUUGGACAUCUGAAAAUAUCUCAUACUAUGCCUCCACUUGAAGAGCUCAAAAUUACUGUAAAAGCUUCUGGACAUCGGGGGCAAGCGGCGUCCUCAGUAUCUGGUCAAAAACCGCUCGAGUUCGCUGGCCAGAGCGAACCGGUCGGACCGGUGCAGGGGACCGGUCAGACCGGUCAGCCCCAGGACCACCCCCGGAUGCUGAAACCAAAGCGUCCAGAAAUUGGGACUUGGAAGCUCAAUGUGGCAAAAGAUCAGGGGAGCAGCCCCAGGGAAAAGGUCACCUUUGACAUGCUUCUGGACAAAUAUUUCAAGCAAAAGGCCGUUACAAGUGAUCGACCGGUAAAAAAGAGAAUGAGGUCACCUAUUCAUCAAGGGAGACAAAGUUCACUACCGAGCGCAGUUACAAGAUAGAGGAGUGACCAAGUGCAACCAAGGCAGUACCCCUCCACAUCUUGGGCUCCUCCGGUGUCAAAUCCUCAAUGCUCGGUGUGGGAUCACAACGGGGUAAUGUGGGUGCCUUACUAGUUUGUGCAGCAGCCGUCUUUCCAUCCUGGAUGGGAAGAAUUGAGGAAGUCAGCUUUGGAUAGGAUCUCACGCCCCAUGCAAGGCCGUUGGGCACUCCGCUCAUCCGGUCAGGGUUCACAGACCCGACGAGUCAGAUCGGUCCAUACCAACCGGUCAGACCGGCCUGUCCAGGCACCUAGGAUGCCUCCUCCAAAGCAAGUGUAUCAUACCAAGUGGAAGGAGGAGGACAAUCAGAAGAUGGAAAUAGACUCAGGUAAAAGCGUAGAGAAAGCUGUUAUUUAGAUUGUUUCUAUGGACGUUCCUGUUGAGACUCAUGUGAGAGGACCGAUUGCAACAAGCAAUCUAGUCAAGUCGUCUGUUCAGAGGGUUCCUACUGCUAAUGAUCAUGAGGCUAGUAGCAGUGGGUCGAGCUCCAAGUAUUUCUUGCCAAGGUGGUGUCCUCCCGGGUUGACUCGCACAUAGAGGAGGAAGUUGCAGAGGCUGAGGCUACAAGAGAAGAGGGAACAGGAGCUAGAGAAACAAAGGGAGGACACGUUUAACGCCUAUAGACCCAUGGUCCCUCAAAAGGAGGAGUGGAGAGUCAAGGCCGAUGCCUCAGCUCCAUCAGUCAGACCGGUCGAGGAACCGGUCAGACCGGUCAAGGCGUCUGUGCCAGCACCUGAAUUGGUCAGAUUGGUCAAGGAUCUAGUUAGACUAGUCGAGCUAGAGUUGCCGCUUAGUUUCGCUCCUUCUAUCCCUAGGCUUGUGACAAUAAGUUGGCAUCAGUCCGUGAAUCAAAGGAUGAUGAACAGCUUGUUGAUUACAAUACUUUGCCUGAGAGCAUGAACUUGGAUAUAAAUGUGAUUCAUAUGUCGAUGAAUGGUUAUGUGAUCUCGGAGGAUGAUUUGGCUCACCUUGAAUUUGGGCCUAAGGAGGCUAUGUUCCAGAAGCCUAAGGCUACUGAAAGUCACCUGAAAGCACUAUACAUGAAAGGACAUAUCAAUAGGAAGCCAAUCUCUUGGAUGCUGGUUGAUGGAGGGGCUAUUGUUAACUUCAUGCCCUAUUCUUUGUUCAAGAGAUUGGGACAUUCAGAUGAGGAGUUGAUCAAGACCAACAUGACUGUCAGCGGUGUGGGAGGAGGCGAGCCUAUGAGAGCUAAAGGUGUUGUCUCUAUGGAGCUCACCAUUGGGAGCAAGCUGUUGGCUACCUCUUUCUUCUUCGCCGAGACCCAAGGUAACUUCAGUUAAAUAUUGGGGCAUGAUUGGAUACAUGCGAAUCUAUGUGUCCCUUCUACUUUGCAUUAAUUCUUAAUCCAAUGGGUCGGAGAUGAAGUGGAGAUCGUGCAUGGUGAUACGUCGGCUUUUGUUUCUGUAGCCGAUAGUUCUACCAUAAGCGCGUAUGAUAAUGUUAAGUACUUAUCAGGUGUAGAUCUUUCUGAUUGUGAGUUUAUUAGUUGCACAAAGGAUGGCUUUGUCGCUGCUAUAUUAAAGCCGGUUGAGGAUUGGCUAUCUUAUCGCAUAUGAUGUAAUGGAUGUAAAUCUAGAAUGGUUGCAGCAGAGGCUAGAACACUAUCGGGUGCAGAAGAAUGAUAUGUGUGAGGCCAUUAAGAACCUUAAUGAUAUGAGUAAAUUAGGACAAGGGUUUAUGUCAGUCGAUCCUUUAGAGGAAGUGGAUAUUGGUGAUGUUAUUGUACCAAAGCCGACAUUUUUAAACAAAAAUCUUGAGCCUGCUUUUAAGGCCGAUUUAAUAAAGUAGUUAAAAGAGUAUGUCGCUGUUUUGCAUGGAAUUAUACUGAAAUAUCUGGUUUAAGCCGCGAGAUAGUUGAGCAUCGGUUGUCCAUUAAGCCUGGUUUUAGGCCUCACAAACAACCUGCUAGUCACUUUAAUCCUGUUAUUUAUGACCGAGUGAAAGAAGAAAUCAUUUGGUUGCUUGAUGCUAAGUUUAUUAGGCCUUAUCGAUAUGCUGAUUGGGUUUCUAAUAUUGUGCCUAUUGAAAAGAAAGGUAUAGAUAAGCUCAGAGUAUGCAUUGAUUUUAGGGAUCUUAAUAGAGCUUCACCAAAAGAUGAAUAUCCUAUGCCUAUAGACGAUGUGCUUAGUAAUGCUGCAUCUAGACAUACAAUGAUUAACUUUCUUGAUGGCAAUGCUGGAUACAAUCAAAUCUUUAUGGCCGAAGAGGACAUAUCCAAAACGGCCUUUGUGUGUCCAGGAUUUGUUGGUUUGUUUGAGUGGAUAGUUAUGACUUUUGGUUUGAAGAAUGCUGGUGCUACUUAUCAAAGAGCUGUGAAUUUGAUUUUUCAUGAUUUUCUUGGGGUAGUGCUGGAAGUGUACAUCGAUGACAUUGUGGUAAAAUCGGUCGGGCUAGGAUACCAUUUGGCUGAUUUGAGGCUUGCAUUUAAGAAAAUGUGUCGAUAUGGUUUAAAGAUGAAUCCACUCAAAUGUGCUUUUGGUGUAUCGGCUGGGAAGUUCUUGGACUUUGUAGUGCAUGAAAAAGGUGUUGAGAUUGAUCCUAAAAAAAUUGAAUCUAUUAGACAACUACAAGCUCCAACUUGCAAAAGAGAGUUGCAGAAAUUCUUGGGCAAAGUGAAUUACUUGAGAAGUUGAGAAGGUUUAUUUGUAACUUGUCCGGGAAGGUGAAUGCUUUUACUCCUUUACUUCGGUUGAAAAAUGAGGAUGAUUUCACUUGGGGGGGGGGCAAGACAGCAAGAAGCAUUUGAGGAAAUCAAGAAUUAUGAAUCUUCACCACUCAUUCUUCAGGCACCAAAGCAUGGUGUUCCCUUUAAAUUAUAUGUGGCAGCCAAAGAAGGUGUUAUUGGGGCUGCUUUGACUCAAGAGACUGAAGGGAAAGAGCAUAUUGUUACCUAUGUGAGUAUAAGCCUAUUGGAUGCCGAAACAAGGUACACUUUUAUUGAGAAGUUGUGCUUAUCAUUAUAUCAUGCUUGUACCAAGUUGAGGUAUUAUUUGUUAUCAAAUACUUGCAUAGUGGCUUGUCAAACCGACAUAAUUAAAUACAUGUUGCAAAAAUCUAUUUUGAGUGGUAGAAUUGGCAAAUGGGCUUAUGCUCUCAUUGAAUAUGAUCUAGUCUGUGAACAGUUGAAAUCAAUGAAGGGUCAAAUUGUAGCCGAUUUUAUUGUUGAGCAUAGAAUUGAUGAGCAACUUGAUUUAAAUGUCGGUUAUAUCACUAUUACCCCUUGGAAAUUGCACUUUGAUGGAUCGGUUUGCAAAAAUGGCUGUGGUGUUGGUGUGGUGCUUAUUUCACCAAACAGAGUCGUGUUUGAGUUUCUUAACCAAUUGGAUCACAAGUGUACUAAUAAUCAAACUAAAUAUGAGGCUUUGCUAUUUGGUUUGGAGAUUUUGCAAGAGAUGGGGGUAAAACAUGUUGAAGCUUAUGGAGAUUCCUUACUGGUGGUAUAGCAAGUAUCCAAGGUAUGCCAAUGUUUGGAUGGAUUCCUAAAUUCUUAUCUUGAUAAAUGUCUAGACAUCAUAUCUUGCAUGGAUGAAUUUACUAUUUAUCAUGUACCACGGGAAGAGAAUCCGAGGGCUAAUGCUCUAGCACAACAAGUGUCUGGCUAUAGUAUUCAGAAAUGAAAUUUUCACAAAAGAAAGCUAACGCUUUACGAGGCCGAGGGUUAUGUCCUGGAGGGACCGGUCCAACCGGCCUCCAAAACCGGUCUGACUAGUCCAGCCGGUCUGACCGCCCAAACAGCCAGUCUGACCGAUCUGGCUGGUGAGAUUCCCGCUUCGGCCAUGGAUUGUUCCAAAUUGGCUAAGGACGAAGUGGAUGACUGGAGAACACCUCUGAUUGAUUAUUUACAGAACCCUAAGUGUUCAGUUGACAGAAAAGUCCGACGGUGGGCACUCAAGUUCACUUUUAUGGAUGGUGAGCUGUAUCGUCGGACGAUUGAUGGGUUGCUUUUAAAAUGCUUGGGUUCUGAUCAGGCCAAAAUAGCCAUGGCAGAGGUGCAUGAAGGAGUUUGUGGUACGCAUCAAUCAACUUGUGUGAUGAAGUGGCUAGUUUGUGGUAUGCAUGAAGGCAAUGUGGAGCAAUCAGUUGCCGAGGGAGGCAAUGAUGUGCAACAAGGUGAGGUAUAGCAAGUAUUAUAUGUAAACAUUAUUUGAAUUCUCUUCUUAUCAAAAGAAACAUCAUCACACAACAUUCCAAUCACGCAACAUUUCAAUUGUCAUUUUUUAGCCAUCUGGAUCGAGCAGAAGGCCUCAAAAGAAAUGAGGCAAGAACAAGAAGUUAGAGGGUCGUAUCAUCAUCAUAAAAAUUGCUGAAGAUGGUGAACCGAUUGCUCCUGCCAAUGCUAAAACAAAGAUGGUGAAUCAGCUUCGGUUCCUUGUCAGAGAUAACAUCCCAAUCAGCUUUCAGAAUUGGAAAAAACCUGACAACGUCCCGGUCGGCACAAACCCGCUCCUUUACGUACCUGACCGAGAGAAGGCUAUGAUAUGGGAACAGCUAAAAGAUAACUUCACGUUUGAAAAUGUAGUCGAAGACAAAUUGAAAUAAUGGGGCUUGAAGAAGGCUACAAUUGCAUUUUAGACGUACAAGAAAAUCUUGAACAAAGAUUACAUAAAGAAGGGGCUUGCAUCUGAUUUCAAUAAACACCCAAAGAUAAGGGAUCAUUGGGAUUCUUUUGUACAGUUCAAGGAGACGAGCAAGAGCUAGUCGUUAACUCAGACCAACAUCGGCAAUGCCUAGAAGAAGCAAUACUUCCAUCAUCUUAGGACAGGAGGUUACAAGUCGGGGGCCGUGAAAUGGCAAAGGAUGGAAGAUGACCUAAUUGCUAGGGGAAUAGUACCAUAUACUCUCGAAUGGCCUGAGCAAGAAAAGAAUUGGUUUUAUGCUUAGGGCGGGAGGCUCAAUCCCGAAGAUGGAUCAAUUGUGUUCGGCAAUGAAAUAAGAGAAGCGGCUAAGAGACUUGAUGACUUAGUCAAGAAAAUGACCGAUGGAUCCUUCAUGCCUGAUCGAGAGAGGGACAAGCUGACAAUGGCACUUGGAAAUCCUGAACACCCUGAACGAUGCCGAGGCAAAGGACUCAUUCCGUGGAAGUUUGCCUUUCGUGAGCACAUUGAAUCAUAUAGAAGUUGCCAAACAAGCAAGGCUGACCAAGCACGACAGCUCCGAGAGCUGCAAGAACAAGUAGCAGCAUCAGAGGCAAGAAUGGCGGAAAUAAUAGACCAGCAUGUGGCCCUAGCUCUGAGUAAAAAUUCCAGUGAACAACCAGCUGCUUCAGCAUUAGGGCCACAUGUCGACGUAAGCCCGACUCAGCGUCGAAGCAGUGUCGCUUCCAGGAAGCCGUAGCUGGAGGAUCCACUAAGAUCAUUGAGGAACGCCACCCCAUGGAUGACAUCACAAGGAGAGCCCUUUGUGAGCUUGUUACUCCCGUGAGAAACAAGCUCAUAGUGGUGGCUUAUGGUGUGGUUGAGCAACCAACGCAAGGCCAAACACUAUAUAGCGUGGAGAUUCAAGCUCGCUAUGCCAAGGUUGGGGUGGACUGAGUGGCCGACGGUUGGGAGGACCUGGAACUGGAGAUCCCUGAAGGUGACGGGGAAAAGAAUUUAGGAGAAGCUAUCCAUGGUUGGAUUCAGUGGUCCAAGCGCUACAUAAGGAUUACAGUGCCAAAUCCCCCAACCUUGGGAUCAUCUCCUCAAGGCUCAAGGGCAAGAUCACCUACGCAAUCUGCCAGGGCACCCUCUCUACUACCAGACAGGUCUCCUAGCAUGAGACCAGUAGCAGAAAGGGAUCCAAGCAUGAGUCCACCUCCUCCUCCUACGAAGAAGCGUUCAGUUCCUCCUCCACCUCCUAAGAAGAAGCAGAAGAAGUAGAAGGAGAAGCAACCAGCUGAGAAAUUACCUUAUCAUAUGACAGAUGAGGAGGUCAAGGUUGUAGCGACGGCUGAGUACAAAACAUGGAAAGAGGCUUGUAAAGAAGCAUGGAGGAAGAAACAAUCGGAGCCACCACUAGAUAAAUGUAAGCUUCGGGCUUUCAUUAGAAGAAUGGAGGCGGAGCAAAAGGAAAGAGCUAGAGAAACCUCUGCUAACUGAUUACGAAAUGCAGAUAACAAAGCAGGCAGCUCAGAAGAGGAAGAAAAGUGGGAAAUCUAUUGCUCAACUCGGAGAGCAAUCCAACCAAUUGGUUGCCCCCGCUUGUGGUGCUUUUUGAGUUUGAGAAGAACCUGAUUGAAUUCAGUAAAGAUACAAAUCUGACAGCAGCACAACUUUGAGGGGAGGAUGACAAAGAGCUCCCUGUGCCUGUCAAAUGGAAAUAUGAGUAUGGUAAAGAGCUCGUGUGGCCAUGGUUGGUGAAACAUCUCCCAACGUAGAUGUACAAGCUGCAUCAAUGGUACAUGGAGGCUACAACAAAUGGUUUUGUCGUGAUAGAAGUUCAGGUUGGUGACCAACAUUACUUAUGUGGUGAUGACAUCAUAAUGGUGGAAAUGGAGGAACUAUAUAUGCUAUACAAUCAAGAUGUACUAAACAAGUCACUAAUCAGUUGCUGGAUCCUGUAAGUCUUUAGUAUAUUCCUCAAACUUCAAAAUCCCCGCUCUAAUCAAUUUGCGAUGUCUUAACUCCUAUUCGAUUUUGUAUCAUACAGGAUGAAGAUGCAAACUUGUCACAGGAUGGGAUACCAGGAUGUAGGCUUCAUGGACCCCGAAAUUAUUUUCCAGGCAAAUCUAAGGGAUAAACCAAAUCGAACCUUGAAGAAUAUAUUUAAGUUCCUCGAUAAGCAUUAGGAUAAGAAGUAAAUAUUACUACCGUGGAACUUCGAGUGAGCAUUUUUCUCAUCUCUAUCUUUUCCGAACUUGCAGUUAAACAUAAUACUAACUAGCUUCAAUUUGGAUGCACAGCUACCAUUGGAUACUCCUUGUUAUUAUGCCUGCUUGGAGCUUCGUGUAUGUCUUCGACUCUUUGAGGAAACCAAAAGAAAAAUACGCUGACAUCAUGAACGGUCUGAACAAAUGCUGGGCUCGAUUCCGUCAAACUCACAAGGAUGAUUUCAAGGAGCAACUUGUUUAGAAGACAGAUUUCUCGGCAUGUGUUUAAUUUUCACAUCUUGUGACAGAUUUUGAAACAGUGCUAGUAAGUUCGGUAUAUUAAGAUGGCAUGGUUUUCUGCGCACAAGUACCUGAUAACCUUCAGUACUGCAUUGUUCCACUAAAAUCUGCAUCUCGUGUUCUACUAAAAUCUGAAUCUAGUGUUCUACUAAAAUCGUAUUGAGUCUCAGUCACUUUUUUUGAAAAAAAUCUAAAACCAAAUCGUCUAAGGCCGUAGCAUAGCUAGCCAAUAAGAACAAUUUACAAAACGUAUCAAAGGAAAUUUUGGACUUGCUGAAGUUGCAGUUUCUUUGAUGCUACGUUACCAACUAACAAGGCAAGUAGAAAAUCCACCUAGGGAAAUCAUGAUUCCACAUAGGACAUCACCAGUGACAAGCUAAGGCCGUUAUGAUUAACAUCCAAUAGAAAGAGACAGCAACUGACCUACGCAAGCAAGUAUGCAAAAAUCGCUUUGCAUGCCAAAGAUUCUCUCCAAUAUUCAUCCGUGAUCAGUCUAACCUUUUCUGAUAGGAGAGAAAAGAAGACAAGUUUUUUUUCUUUCGAAAAUGAGCAGAUUAAUUUAUUUAACAGAACAUGAAUUUGAACUAACUAAACUGAUCCUAUACCUGUAAAGUGGAACUUUCUUGCCUCCCCUAAUAAUGAAAUGCUGAAAUUUGUGUAAUUUAGAAUGAGCCCACAUCUAGUUCUAAAUGGAUAUACCACCAUGAAAUGCUUGCUUAAUCUCUUACCUGAGUAAAAAUUGCCUUUGCUUUUGAAACACCCAUGCGAAUACCAAUCUCCUGUGGUGCAAAACUAUCUGCUAUUGAUACGACAACAAAGCCACCAAGGACGAUUGCCAAAUAUAUGAUGACCGCAUUGCAUGUCAUAGGCAUGUCUAUUGCCAUCCGAUCCCCUUUCUGGAACAUGGUAUCUAGUGCAUUUGCAACAGCUCUGAAAAUCGACAUAGCAACAAAGCCGUGAUGAAGAAUAAUUCACAGAUGCAAAUAUUGUAUGCUUCUAACUCUUAGUUCAGGAGUAAAAACAUAGAUCACUUCGACUACGAAGCUCCUUCAGUGACAUACGGUUCACUGGAUGAUCAUCAAGACCUUCAUCCCUCCAAACAAUAGCAGUACUGUCAUCUGUCCUCUUCAAGGAAGGGCAAGGUAGCAGACAGCAUUCGGCAAUGUUGAGCACCACUCCUUGAAGCCAAGUUCCCCCUUUCUUUGAUCUAUCUGACGUACAUAGAAUUGCCUUUGGUUCUUGUUGAAACUUGAGUGCGAGCUGCUUUAGCACCAUUGACCAGUAGACCUGAAAGGGGAAUCACCUAGGAGGCUAGGAUCAUACUGUUGGAUCCAAAAUAAAGAACGGAGAACUUCUGAAGUGUCUUUUUUUUGUCUGUUGACUCAUACAUGGAGUAUUUUAUUGUAUUAAUUUAGAGCAACUGACCUCUUGAUUUUCUACUGAAAACCUGUAAAAGUGCCAUGAUGAUUUUAACAGCUUCGGUCUAUUUGCUUCCAUCAAUCUCCCCAGGUUCUUUGCUUACUGUCAAAUCCUGCACCAACCGAAACGCUUGUGCUACUAAUUAAUGCCGUACAGCAUACUCGGUAGAGGUACAACCAAGAGCAUCUACAGCCUAGCUCUGUUAAUCAUUCUCUAAAGCCUGUCAAUCUCACUGAAUUGGUUAGGCACGCAGCACUAAGAAAUGAUGCUAUCAGCUGCUUGAUACACGCUUGAAAUUUGCAGUGCAUGUUACGGUUACAUCACACAACAGUCAAGGCCGUUCAACCAAAUCAACAAUAGCAUCAAGAUUCACUUAGCCGGCUACCUGGGCUGCUGUAGGAGCUGCUGUAUCCCUGUCCGUGGUGGCUUCGGAUGGCCUUGAGGGGCCAAGCGCUGCCGCACGGGAGUCUGCGCUGCUUCAGGCCUCAAGCGCUAGCCUCCCUCCCUUGCCGAGUCGGCAUCGCCGCCGCCAGCUCCGGCAAGCCGCCGUGCAUCCCCGCCGUCACCCCUCUUUGACCGCCACUCCGCGCCACCGCGGCCUCCCCGCUCCCGAUGCACCCGCUCCCCCACGUCCUACGCCGCUGCUUCCACCCGCCCCCGCUCCUCCUGCUCCUCGGCCUCCCCACUCCCGCAUCGGGUGUCAAUUAAUUGGAGUCAUUACCCGUAUCCGUAUCCCGAGUUUUAAGCUCACGAUUUUUGGUGUAAAUUGGUGAGGUGGGAUUAUACCUGGUGGGCGGCUUGCAAUCCCCGCCGCCUCCGGGCGCGCGACGCUCCGGCUGCCACUCCGUCACGCUGGAGGCCACGGAGCGCGCGCUGGAGCCGUUCCCACCGCUGGUGUUCGCGGGCAAGGCGCGGAAGCUGGAGGAGCAGCUCGGGGAGGCGGCCUUGGGCCAGGCGUUCCUCCUGCAGGGCGGCGACUGUGCCAAGAGCUUCAAGGAGUUCAGCGCCAACAACAUCCGUGACACAUUCCGGCUCAUGCUGCAAAUGGCCAUCAUGGCCCUGGCCGCCCGCGGCCCUACACGCACGGCGACCCCGAGGGGGAGCCCGGCCGGAGCAAAUGGCCUCCGAGGCAGCGGUGCAGCGUGGCCGCCCCGUCCACCACGCGCCGCCGGAGCUCGCUUGACCUCGUCUCCGCAGUCCGCACCCGUGGUCGGGCCACCCUCCCUCCUCCCCCUCUCCACGGCCGCGGCUGAGCCCAGGACACCGGCCGCUGCACCACUGACGCUGCCGGCCGCCCGCGCCCAAUCUUCCUCGUUACGGAGGAAGACUUGCGGAAGGGAAUAGGACUACAGGUUGAUUACUAAAAACUUGAGGGGGUUUUUUGAAAAAUGAUCACGACGGUUGAAGGAUUGAAAGAAACGUCCCCUCUUUAAUAUUAAGGUAUAGAUAUAGAUAUAGAUAUAUAUUAGGCCCUUGUUUAGUUCACCUCCAACUUUCAACUUUGGCACUAUGCAAAAAGAAGAUUCCCUAUCACAUCAAACUUACGGUACAUGCAUGGAGUACUAAAUUUAGAUGAAAAAUUAAAAACUAAUUGCACAGUUUUGUUGUACUUUGCGAGACGAAUCUUUUGAGUCUAAUUAGUCAAUGUUUGGACAAUAAUUCACAAAUACAAACGAAACGCUACAGUGUGCUACAGUGCCAUCACAGUAAUUUUGGCACUCCCAAUUUUGGCAACUAAACAAGACCUAGGUAUUAGAUAUAGAGCCAACUCAGUCUUAAAUGGGCACCAGGCCUGUUGAUAGCCAUGUGCGAGAUGGGGAACCGAACAGGGCGUCCAAAAAAGUCGGGCCUCCAAAUUGCUAAUCUGUUUCUCUGCUGGACUUCACGCGGCUGUAUAUCCUGUUCACCAAGCUGUUGUCGACAAUAUGCUGCCAGUUGUGGAACUUCUGAUGAUAUAAGUUUCUCCAAGAUUUAUAAGAUUAUUGCUCAUUCGAAUUUCAACAGCACUAGAAAUGAUGUCUCGGUGAAGAUUAAUUAUGAAGAUAUAAUUAGGUCAUGUUUGGCUCCCCUGCUAAAGUUUAGCACCUGUCACAUCGGAUGUUUAGAUACUUAUUAGGAGUAUUAAACGUAGGAUAAUUAAAAAACUAAUUGCACAGAUGGAGUCUAAUUCGCGAGACGAAUCUAUUAAGCCUAAUUAGUCCAUGAUUUGACAAUUUGGUGCUACAGUAAUCAUUUUCUAACGAUGGAUUAAUUAGCUUAAUAGAUUCGUCUCGCAAAUUAGCCCAGGGGUUCUGCAAUUAGUUUUAUAAUUAGCUCACGUUUAGUCCUCUAACAGCAUCCGAACGUUCGAUGUGACACUGCUAAAGUUUAGCAUCUAGUAUCCAAACAUCUCCUUAGAAAUAUCAUCUUAAGAAUACCAGAUGGAUGAUACGUUUUAAUAGAACAUGUGGUCAGUACUUAUGUUGUUUUUUCUAUCCUAAUAUUGAAUAUAUGUUUAAAUAUUGUAUGAAAUAACACAUACUAAAGUUAAAAAAUGGGUGAAAGUAUACCUAAGUUAUAUUAGAGAUUUUUUUUUCAAAAAUUAGGACUAUAUUUUGCAUUUCGCUCCGGAACCUCAAAGUUCGGAAACGUCCCUCAUAGGCACAUACAACAAGUACAUGUGCCACGUAGUCUAACGAUGGAGGGAAGUGGGAAGACGUGCCAUUGUGCAGGGUUCAGAUGUCAACAAGUCAACAAAGCGAACGAUAGGGAGCUUUCUAUCAUGGGAUCUAUUUGUUUGAGGUGCAGCUUUUGAUCUUUUCUAAAAAGUUGUUGUUGGCUUUUCUAUUCUGAAAAAUUAAUACGAACUUUUAGAAGAUGCGUUUAGCUUCUUAAGGUGAGAAAGCUGCAAAAAAACUCAUAAAUUGAGCUUUCCAUCUCUCCAUAUAAAUUCAGCUUUUUUGAGCUUUCAGCUUUUCAGAAGGUAUAUGAGAAGUUUACUGUUUGUUCGAGCUCCUGACUUUUCACGUUGAAAAGCUGCUAGAAAGCUCGAACAAACAGGCUCAUAGGCUAGCGCCAACGAUGCUUGGGCGAAGAUGUUAGAGUGUGGACACAGAACCUCUUUGCUGCAAGGAGCAGAGUUGGAGUGGGUAUGCUGCAGCUUGCUCAUCGUCGGCGGCUUGGCGCUAUCGAUAUCCUCCAAUAUGAGAUACUUGAAAUCGCUUGAUUUGGCUUAAGGUUGGCACUUGUACGUGGUUUGAGGUUUUUGUUUGAGCUUCUUAGCAGUUUCUUAUCGUAAAAAGUCACUAGAUUUGUGCUUAAACAAAUCGUAAACUUCUCGUGCAGCUUCUGAAAAGCCAGAAGCUCAGAAAAGCUGAGUUUAUAUGGAAAGUUGAGAAGCUCAAUUUACUCAACUUUUCAUAGCUUUUUGAGUCCAGAAAGCUAAAUACAAAAGUUAGUAUUACCUUUUUAAAAUUAUAAAACCAGCAGUAUGUUUCAGAAAAGUUCAAAAAGUUGCAGCUAGUGUUUGGAAGGAGGGGCUAAAGUUUAGCUCCCGUCACAUCGAAUAUUUGGACACUAAUUAGGAGUAUUAAACCUAGACUAAUUAUAAAAUUAAUUACACAACCUCUAGACUAAAUCGCGAGACGAAUCUAUUAAGCCUAAUUAGUCCAUGAUUUGACAAUGUGGUGCUACAGUAACCAUUCACUAAUGAUGAAUUAUUUAGGCUUAAUAGAUUCGUCUCGCGAUUUAGUCUAGAGGUUCUGCAAUUAGUUUUGUAAUUAGCUCAUAUUUGGUCCUCCUAAUUAGUAUCCGAACAUCCGAUAUAAUAGGGCUAAAAUUUAGCCCUGAUAGCUAGACGCCCCGCUAAGGCAGGAGGCUUGAAGGUUGGAUCGACUUCUGACUUCUCCAUGCCGAGCCAGCUCGUUAACUUUACAAGCUGGGCCGAGCCGAACCGGCUCGACUUCCGGCUCGACUUCCAGCCGAGUCGGCUACUCGUCGCCUUCCCAAAUCCCAACCCGAUCCGAUCCGAUCCCCUCCCUGUCCGUCGCAUUUCAUCUCCCUCCCGCCGCCGCGAAAUCCGUCGCUGCAAACGCAACUCCGCACUCCCAACCGCGGGUGGAGCCUAGAUCCUUUGCCGCUCGUGCUCCGUGGCCUCCCUGCACUCCCAACCGCCGCCGGUGCUCUGCCGUCGCCAUAUCUGAGAGAGACGGCCGGACGAGGCCCUCCUCCGCGACAUCUCGACGUCGAGAGGUCGAUUCGGUGGCGGCCGCUGGUCCGCGGCUUCCAGCCAGGGCGGCGGUUUUCAGGGAAGGCUCAUAUUUUUUUUAACUUACUCGGUUCGAUUGCUCUAGUGCCUAAAUCGAACCUUUCCUUGUUUAUUAUCCCCUCGAUUCGUUUUGCAUCCACAUUGGAGCUGCCGUUCUGGCACCGGACUCGGUAACCGAGCACCACAAAGAUUCACCCAGCUCCACAUAUCCCUGCUACCGUGGCGUACCGAUUCUCACGGCAGAAACCUGACCCGUGAUUGCUGCACGAGCGGCAGAGGGGGCGAGGGGCCAUAGGGUGCGGAGACUUGGCUUGAUUGUUGGGGCGACGGACAUGGGGAUACUGGAGCAGAUGAAGGCUCUGUCCGUCGAGGGGCAGCCUCAAGUCCAGAUAACUCGUAAGCAUCCUGGUGUCUGUUUGCUCGCGUUACUUAUCUGCAUGAUUAGUGAGUGCUGUCAUAUGAGAUAUCAAUUAUUAUUUACAAUUUUUCUACAUCUGUUUCUGGGAUAGAAGUAGCCACGGGACUGGUCGAAUUAAGUAAAUUCAUGUGGCCUGGCUAGGUUUCGAACAAAGAUCCCUCUACGCUGAUGAUUUUGUGCAGAGACACAUGUUUGAGGUGAUUGUGCGCAUAGAGAUUUAAUUUUUAGGUAACAUUGCGUAUAAAGGAUCUCAUGGAACCUAGGUUCUGUCUGCUCAACUGUUGUCGAGUAGAAGUUUAAGCAUCAUCUAAGCCAAGUGCUGCGCAUGUGCAAUUGUGUUCGUGUUUGCUGUUUUCCUUGCCAUUGUACCUUCUGUCUCAUGACAUUCCUGAUUUGCGGGUGAUGGAUCAAAUUGUUCGGCAUCUCAAAUAAUGGUAUCACCUAGUCUAGAAGGAGAUAUUUCGCAUUGCGUCGAAACAAUGGGAUCACAGGUCCAGCUUCCAGAGGUAUGAGAUGAUAUCAUGUAAGUUAUUAGGAUGAAUCAGUUUUUCUCAGAGCACUAUAUAGCAAGUGAUAGAACUAACCACCCCCACUGUCAUUACUGCUAGCUUGGUGGUGGAAUUUUGGAUUAUAAGAACUUGGUAGUGCAUCUGACAUUCACACUAUGAGGUCCAGGGUUGUACAAUGGUCCAUGGUUGAUGUUUUUGAAUUGUCGUUACCUUGCCUUAUCAUCUUAUGAUGGUUGUUGCUUGUGAAUUUUUUUUAUGUUAUACCUGCUGAAAAUGAGGAUACCCCCAGGAUAGUGUCAAGGACGUCGAGUCCUCGACUGGCCGGACCGCGACUACGGAGCUCGUAGCCGUCGGCCGUCUUCUCCGGUGAGGUUAUACCCCUCAACCGUAGGCUUUAGGAGACAAGGGAGAUAGGAUAUAUAAUUCUUGCUUAAUUGAUCUCACGAGUACAGCAGCUUAUAUAUGGCCAAUGGCCUAAACAAAACAUAGAAAGUAAAGCUAAGUUUCCAUCCUUAGUCACUAGAGUUUGAUUCCAGCAGCGCUUGAUCCGCACGCUCGGCAGCGCGGCGUAUGUCGCGGGCCCGACGGCGCCUGCCGUAUGUACGCCCGUACAUGACAUCUCCCCCUGCCUCGAAGUCCAGCUCGUCCUCGAGCUGAAAUGAAGGAUACCGAGCACGGAAAUCGUCCAAAUCCUCCCAUGUGGCCGACUCCGGAGGUUCACCUUGCCAUUCGACGAGGACUUGACGGACGCCACGGGCAAGACGAGCGCGUGUCACCUGACUUGGAGUAGGCACCACCGCACCAUGUAGAAGUGGAGGCAACAAUGGGGGUGCGGAUGGUGGAACGCCGACGAACUUUUUUAGAACACUGACGUGGAAGACAUCAUGAAUACGAGCCCCGGGAGGAAGCAGGAGCCGGACAGCUACCUCAUUGAUAAGCUCCGCGACUUGAUAUGGCCCGACGAAUUGCGGCUUGAGCUUCCCUGUGACAGAACGUGGAAGAGACGCGGCCGCCCGCUGCCGUAGACGAAGAAGAGCCCAGUCACCGACCUGGAAGGAGACCGCCCUGUGAUGCUGGUCGUAGACACGUUUCUGGGCCGCCUGUGCCUGCUCGAGACGAUAGCGGAUGUCCUCAAGAAAAGCGGAGCGCUCCUCCAUUUCCUGGGCGACGGCGGCGACACGGGUGUCCCCAGGCUCAUAGGAACGAAUGGACGGAGGAUCCCGGCCAUACACCACACGGAAUGGAGUGUCGCGGAGGGACGUCUGAUACGCCGUGUUGUAGAUGUACUCGGCCCAGGGCAACCAUCUGAGCCACUGCCGGGGACGAUCACCAGUGAAGCACCUCAAGUACAUAACAAUCACCCGGUUGGCCGCCUCAGUCUGGCCGUCCGUCUGGGGAUGGAAAGCAGACGACAUGAAGAGCUUGGUCCCUGUAAGCCGCAUGAGUUCGCGCCAAAACGCUGAGGUGAACACCGGAUCGCGGUCCGAUACGAUGGACUGCGGCACGCCAUGGAGACGAACAAUGUCGGCGAAGAAGACGUGGGCGACGGACUCGGCCGUGUAGGGGUGCGCCAAGGGAAUAAAAUGGCAGUACUUGCUAAAACGAUCCACGAGAGAAAGAAUGACCGUCUUGCCUUGUACCUUGGGAAGGGCCUCGAUGAAGUCGAUGCCGAUGUCAGCCCAUACGGUCGAUGGAACGGGCAAAGGCUGAAGGAGUCCGGCCGGCCUGAGAUGAUCGGACUUGUACUGCUGACAAGUGACGCAUGCCUUCACGAAGUCCUGCACCAACCGGCGCAUGGCAGGAAAGUGGAAGUCCCGACGGAGCCGGUGGAGGGUACGGUGAACGCCUUCAUGGCCAUCAUUGUGGACGGCGGCCACAAUCUCUGGCAGCAGCGGGGACGCCGAGGGAAUGUACAAACGGCCAUCGAAGGCAAUCAUGCCGUCCAGCAGUGCCCACGGCGUGGUGCGGGUGCCAGCCUGAAUUUCGUCGUGGAUGGCGACCAAGGCGGGAUCAGUGGCCUGGGCGUGGCGGAGACGCUCGAUGAAGUCGAAACGGGGUGCCGAAACAGCCAUCAAUUCCCCGGCGUCAUCAUCGCGACGGGACAGGGCGUCGGCGACGACAUUUGUGGCGCCCGAGCGGUACUCCACCGAGAAAUCAAAGCCCAGGAGCUUGCCGACCCAAUGAUGCUGAGGGAUAGUGGCGAGGCGUUGGUCGAGCAGGUACUUCAAGCUGUAGUGAUCGGUGCGGACGGCGAAGCGCCGGCCCCAGAGGUAUGGCCGCCAGUGCCUAAUGGCCUGGACGAGACCGAUGAGCUCGCGCUCAUAAGCAGCCAGCGAGCGGUGGCGAGGAGCCACAGGCCGGCUGUAGAAGGCUACAGGGUGGCCUUCCUGGACAAGAACAGCACCAAAGCCGACGGACGACGCGUCGCACUCCACGGUGAACAUCUUGGUGAAGUCGGGCAUGGCGAGGACAGGAGCAGAAGUGACGGCUGCCUUGAGCGCGGUGAAUGCCGCCACAGCCGCGUCGUCCCAAGAAAAGCCUUCCUUCUUGAGAAGGGCCGUCAGGGGAGCCGCAAUUGCCCCGUAAUUGUGGACGAACUUGCGGUAAUACCCGGCGAGGCCGAGGAAGCCGCGCACCGCCCUGGGUGAACGUGGAGGAGGCCAAUCGUGGAUGGCCUGCACCUUGGCAGGGUCCAUGGCCACGCCUGCCGCUGAGAUGACAUGGCCGAGGUAUGCGACGGACGAGGCGCCGAAGGAACACUUGCUGCGUUUGACGAACAGCUGGUGGCGGCGGAGUUCAUCGAGGACGGCCCGAAGAUGGCGAAGAUGAUCAGCCCAUGUCCUGCUAUAGAUCAGAAUAUCGUCAAAAAAUACGAGGACGAAACGACGGAGGAACAGCCGGAGCACGUCGUUCAUCAGAGCCUGGAAUGUUGCCGGAGCGUUGCACAGGCCGAACGCCAUCACCAGAAACUCGUAUAGGCCGUCGUGGGUACGGAAUGCCGUCUUGUGAAUGUCUUCCGGGCGCAUGCGCACCUGAUGGUACCCCGAGCGCAGGUCCAGCUUGGUGAAAAACUUGGCGCCGUGCAGUUCGUCGAGGAGCUCGUCGACCACCGGGAUCGGGAAAGCGUCCUUGACGGUGAGGGCGUUCAGCGCCCUGUAGUCGACACAGAAGCGCCAGGACCCAUCGGGCUUCUUGACGAGGAGGACGGGCGACGAAAAAGGGGAAUCACUGCGGCGGACGAUGCCUUGGGCGAUCAUGGCAGCACACUGCCGUUCCAGUUCAUCCUUGUGCGCCGCAGGGUACCUGUAUGGCCGUACGGCGACCGGCUGGGCGUCGGGCUUGAGGAGGAUGCGAUGAUCAUGGGUACGCUUGGGUGGGAGGCCCGCCGGUUCCGCGAAGAUGCCCUCAAAGGAGCGGAGCAGCGCCUCCAAUAGUGAACCUGCGGCUGUGGUAGCGUUCAGGGCCGGUACCGACGGGCUGUCCACGCCGGUCCAGGAGACGAAACGCCCGUGGCGCAGGAAGUGCAUGCGCCGGUGGCCAAGGUCCCAGACGAUGGGGCCCAACUCGCCGAGCCACCUGGUGCCGAGGACGACGUCGUACCCCGCCAAUGGCAUGACGUAGAGAUCGGCCGGGAACGACUCGCCGUCGAUGAUCAGGGGAGCGUUGCGGAUGACGCCGGCGCAGGAGACCCGUUCGCCAUUAGCGACCAAGGCAGUGAGACGGGGACGGGAGCGGGAGGGAAGACCGGAGCGCCGUGCUGCCUCCUCCAAUAUGAAGUUGUGCGUGCUGCCGGAGUCGAGGAGGGCGACGAGAGAUGCGGCACCGACGACCACCGCGAUCUGCAUGGUUCCGGCCACGGGCACCCCAGCUACGGCCUGUAAGGAGAAGCAUGGCGCCUCGGCCUCGCGCUCCUCGUCAUCCGCGGCGUCCACAGUGUCCUCGAGCUCCACACCUUCAAUGAAGAAGAGGCGCCUGCAAAAUCGGUUAUGGCCCCGAGUAUACUUUUCAUUACAAUUGAAACAGAGCCCCAGACGACGGCGUUCGGCCAUCUCGUCCGGAGUCAGACGCCGCGGAGUGCUCUCGCUGCGGCCUGUCUGGCCGGCCAUCGGAGGGGCGGGGAGGGCCAGCGGUUGGUGUGGCGCCGGCAGGGCGGCCCUGGGAACGGGCGCGGGCAGAAGGGCGCGCUGCGGUGGCCGGUGAGGUUGCGGCGCCGGACGUUCGGCCUCCAUGAGUUCCACCUGACGCGCCAGGCUCAUAGCAGCCGCUAGCGUUGCUGGAUUGUGGAGGCGGACGGCGUGGCUGAGCGGCGGUAGAAGACCCCCGGUGAAGAGCUGCACACGUUGGGCCUCAUCCAGCCGGCCGGCGCGAGACAGGAGGGCCUGGAAGCGAUUGGAGUAGUCCUCCACCGUCCCUGUACACCGGCACUCAGCAAGCUCGAAUAGCGGAGCCGAGCGGAGGGGAGGCCCGAAACGCAGGUGCAGUAGCUCCUUGAAACGCCCCCACGGCGGCGGUCCCUCGUCUUCCUGGAGUUGGGUGUACCAUAGCUGGGCGACAUCCUCCAGAUGAUACGAAGCCAACCACACGCGCUCCUCCGCCAUAGUACGUUGCUGACGAAAGUAAGAUUCACACCUGUUGAUGAAGAGGAGCGGAUCGGACUUGCCGUCGUACCGGGGAAAGUCCAACUUGUGAAACUUGGGGGGGCGCUCGGCGUCGCGCGGCCCCUCCGGACGGCCACCGGUGGCGCUGGUGGACGACGAGGACGGCUUUUCUUUGAUGGCCGCCAAGUCAGCCUUCAGGGUUGUUACUUCCGUGGACAGCGAUUUCAGUAGUUCCAUCACAUCGGCGAGGGACGGAUCGCCCAUGGCUGGCGGCGGCGGCGCGGCAGUCGAAGCCGACGGUGGGGAUCGUGGAGGGUUUGGGUGGGAAUUGGCGGCGGCCGAAGAGUUGGAGCGGGCGGGCGAGGAUCGGCGAGACCGUGAUACCAAGUUGUCAAGGACGUCGAGUCCUCGACUGGCCAGACCGCGACUACGGAGCUCGUAGCCGUCGGCCGUCUUCUCCGGUGAGGUUAUACCCCUCAACCGUAGGCUUUAGGAGACAAGGGAGAUAGGAUAUAUAAUUCUUGCUUAAUUGAUCUCACGAGUACAGCAGCUUAUAUAUGGCCAAUGGCCUAAACAAAACAUAGAAAGUAAAGCUAAGUUUCCAUCCUUAGUCACUAGAGUUUGAUUCCAGCAGCGCUUGAUCCGCACGCUCGGCAGCGCGGCGUAUGUCGCGGGCCCGACGGCGCCUGCCGUAUGUACGCCCGUACAUGACAGAUAGCACAAUUCAAUACUGUAUUUUUUAAAACAGAACACAUUUAGCUAAUUCGAUCGUAAUUUGUCCAUACUGCUCACUUCAGACAAGCAUUAUUACCACAACCAUCUUGUGAUGUUCGUUAUUUUUCUCAUGCUUUUUUUUUUGAAAAAUUUCCCAUGGUUAUUUUCACAGGACAUUCUUCAUCAAAUACACGCCCUCAUGCCAUUGCGAGAUGCUGCUCAGGCCGCCUGCGUGUCUCGUGGUUUUCUGCGUUCUUGGAGAUGCUUUCCAAAUCUCAUUAUUUCUGUUGAUUCUCUAGGGAUUAAUGAAAACACAUCUAAUGAUGAAAUAAAAAGGGAUUUCGUAUGUAGAGUUGACCACAUUAUGCAGAAUCACUCUAGCAUGGGAGUGAAGAGGUUUGUAAUGGAAACCUACCCUUGUUCGAAUCUCCAACCUAGUUAUGUUGACCGCUGGCUUCAAUGUGCCAUUACACCUGGGAUCAAAGAAAUCUAUCUAUCAAUGUUUAGUUGUGGGAUAAAGUACAACUUCCCAGGAUUACUUUUAUUUAGUAGGGAGAUAAGAAGCUCCAUCCAGACUUUUGUGCUUGGGGAUUGUUCUUUUCGCUGUGCAGCCCAAGUUGGUUAUAUGAGUAGCCUGACAAAUUUGGCAUUGCAUUCAGUACACAUUACUGGAGAGGAACUAUAUGGUUUUCUAUCCAAUUCUUGUGCUGUGGAGCAACUAAGGCUUACCAACUGCAAUGAUAUAAUUUGCUUGAAGAUACCUUGUCUGCUGCAGAAGCUUGAUAUCCUGCAUUUGGUGGGUUGCAGUAAGCUGGAAAUGAUUGACAGCAAUGCCCCUAACCUCUCCACUUUCUUCUUUGCUGGGCGCCCAAUACAUAUCUUGCUUGGCGAAGCAUUGCAAGUGAGAAAAAUAAGUUUUUUCCGUGACUUUUCACCUGAUGCGCUAUAUUAUGCUAGUACCAAAUUUCCAUUCAUCGCGCCAAAUCUCCAAACUCUUGUGCUAUCAACAAGUGAUGAGGUCAGUUUUAUCCGUCCCAAUAAGUUCAUUGUUCUGGAAAUGAAACUGAUGGUAGAAUAAUAGUUUUAUGUUUACAAUACUCAAUUACUCAGUCCACAAUUAAUCUUCGGGGGACAUUUAUUUCUUCAGACAGUCAAUACACCAAAGGUGUUUGGCAAAUUCAUCCAGCUCAAGUACUUGGAGAUAGAGGUCUCUACAUCAACGUUCUCCCAAGACUAUGAUCUCUGCUCUCUUAUUUCUUUUCUUGAUGCUUCUCCUGCCUUGGAGUCUCUCAUUGUACGGGUAUGACAUCACUCUGACAAGUUACCAUCUUAAAAACUUCAUAUUUAGGGUGAAAAUCAGUAUAUCCAGUAUAAUUGAAACUUUGUGAUUAUUAUUGAAUAUACACUCUGACAUAUCAUGUAUACCUAUGCAGAUUACGCAGCCGACAAUAAGGCGAGAUUCAGUUAUUGAAGACUCAAAUGGCUACUCACGUCCACAGUGCCUUCAAGAACAGUGCCAUGACAACCUCAAGAAUGUGAUGAUAACCGGCUUUUGCUCUGCGAAGAGCAUGAUUGAGCUCACGAUCUGUAUUAUCGAGAAAUCAAAGGCACUGGCGUGCCUUACACUAGACACUACCCGUGGGUACGAUAGGAGGCUUGUCAAGUUUGAUAAGUGCCUGCAGCUGGAUAAGGAGGCACUUGUGGAGGCUAAAAAGGCCCGCGUUGCCAUUCAGAGAUACAUCGAGGGGAGAGUGCCCCCAGCUGUGAAACUGAAAGUCAUCGAGCCAUGUAGCAAGUGUAUAUGGUGACAAAUGUUAGGUGUUUUUCCUUUUCCCAAGCUAUGAUUCACAUAGCUUUGCUACUCUCCCUCGUUUAGCUAGUGCUAAUCUCCGUAAUUCUGCCAAAAAGUAUGGUUGUCAAAUCUUUUUUUUUAUUCAGCAUGUUGGAGAAGUUUUCCAAAUAACCAAAUUCAGGGGGAAAAUCUGCAAUAUUUCAAUAUUUUGUGGGUCCGAUAAAUAUAUUUACCGAAACUCCAUGUAAAUAAAUCUAUCUCAUGUGUUAAAGUUGUGGUAUAUCGUCUUUUUUUUUGUAACUUAUGCAAUAAUUACGAUGUGUGAUGGAUUAGGGAUAGUUUCUAGUGAAAUCUUGGCAUGCAAAAAAAAUUAGCGGUUAUUGUAGUUGCCAUUUUUAUCAUGGCCUGGAAGGUUACUACUCGGAUGGGGUGGUUGUCUAUUAAAAAAUACAUUAUUUCAGUAUUUCACCUGACUCUCUCCACCGAAAUCGCUACCAGAGUGCCGGACACCUCCGUCGCCGCCCACCUCCUCCGUCAUCCUCUUCCUCUCCUGGUUCCCAUUUCCGCUUUGUUUAGUUAAUCCCCUUCCCAGGGGAUCGGAGGGGAUUGAGGGGAUUUUGACUCUCCGUCAUCCUCUUCCUCUCCUCGGUUCCCAUUUCGGCUUUGUUCAGUUAAUCCCCUUCCCAGGAGGAUCGGAGAGCAUUGAGGGAGAUUUUGACUUGCAAGGGAUUUAAUCCCUCCCAAUCCCUUUCAACCCUCUCCAAUCCCCUUCAAAUCGAAAGGCCUUCUUAUUUAUUCAAUUACGUGCCACUGGACAAAACUGAUUCGCAAGUGAUAGGUUGGCUAGUUCCGUCACUAGAAUAGAUGUUUCACCUCAUCAAGUGUAUUGAAGGGAUCAUGACACCCUAAGAGCUCGUUUGGCAACUUAGGCUAGAACUACCCUGGGCAGCACAACCCCCUCCGAUAAAUUAACGGAGUUGGGCAUCCCUGCCCUGACAGGCAGACCCCCCUUGCCGUUUGGAGCCAAACUCCAGGGGAAGGGCCUCCCACCCAAAUCUUGUGUAAAGAAAAUAUUCCACAAUUCACAAAUACUAAAAAAAUUCAAAAAAAUCAGAAAAACAGCAAUGAUAAAUAAGGUCCAACAAGCAAUAUCAAUCACCAAGUAUUAAGGCACUGCAAGUUAAAUAAAUUCAGCAUAGCACAUCCAAGUCGCAGGCACUGCUGAUUAAGGCACCAGAUAAUUAUUGAUCCAUCAAUUGUUCUGCUAAAAAUUUAGGUAUAUAGUUAAAAUCUUGCAUAUAACAUAUGGAUCAGAUAAUUCAAAGAUACGUAUAGCUCGUAAUGUACAAGAAUGCGUCUACAUAAUGAGCAAAAUCUUUGUACAUGAUAUAAAAAUCAAAUGAUCAAAUAUAUACAUAUGCACAUAGAUAUUGACAUGAAUACUCUUUUUGCUAUUAUUACUGGAAAGCAUGACCAUUACAUGCCACUAUCUUAGAAGUUACAGUAUAGUGGAUGGUGUGAUACUAGUAUUGACAAGGUUAAAAUUACUGUCAAGAUAUGUUGCAGAUAUCUGGCAAGAUAUGUUGCAGAUAUCCGGCAAGAUAUGUUACAGACAAGAGAUGUGACAAGAUAUGUAUUGCACAGACAACUAGACAUGGCAUGUAUCCUACUGAAAUGAUAAUUGAAAAAAGAAUGCUUGCAUAAACCUUAAUUAGGAAUAGCUCGUCAUCCUCUUCUUCCUCCUCUAGCAUGAAUCUUCUAACUUCAUCCUCCCAAGAUUCCAUUAUCUCCUUACUCCUAUAAUAUGCAGAUUCAAGGACAAUAAAAAUUGGACAUGCACCAGAGUUUACUUAAUACUGAGACAUAAAUGUACAUGCACCAAAAAAUUUUAUUUUAUUCCCAAGCACACCAGCAAGAGCAGGCAGCAAUAGAUGCAGCAGACAAGACAGUAGAAUCUAGUGGGUGAGGAAACAGCAAUGCCACCUUCCUGAUGACCAGCAAAUGCUGAAGCAACUGAGAUCCUCCCGUCCUUGGACUCCACAACUACAAUAGAGGGGAAGAUCAUAUAUUGAUUGUAAAUGCAAGAUUGAGAUGUCAACUAGAAUACACGAAUUGAUAUAGCAUCAGGUUCGUCAAACAAAAAAAAUUCAAGCACCACUGACAACGACCAAUGCGAGCACUGACUAAAACAAAUGUGCAUAUAGCCAUUCUUGUUCCCAAUGCCUGUGUGCAUUAGCUAUGCAGCUAUGCGCAACAGCUAUGUGGCACCGUUUUGAAUGCAGCACACUAAUUAUUCAGAAUUAGUCACAGUUUUGAGUGGCUGUGUGCAACAGCUAUGCAGCUAUGGACAGUACAAGCGCAUACUUGCAUACUAGCAUCCUCAUACCAGUAGUAUAGGAUACUAUAAAAUCCCUCAAAAGUAAACUUGUUAAAAGUUGUAAUUUUGAAGGUUUGUAUUCUCUCCGUGGAUCACUUGUACUGAAAAGCUUAGUCAGCUAUGACAUUAUUAGUCGGAGAGAUUUAGCAAGCACUUGUCUGAACUUGUUGUGCUAGAUGAUGUGUGAGACAUAUAUUCAGUGCAUCUCGAUAUACAAGAUUUUAUACUAUGUUCAAAUGUUUAGACUAUACACACAAUGUUCAGACUACACACACCAAACAUGUAGAUGCAUAUAUGACAUAAUUUGGCCAAGCUACCUGUACUUGUCUGCUUGCUCGUGUUUAGGAGGAAACCAGGACAAGUAAACAACACUAGUUCUGAACAGUGCUGAGUGCACAUUGUAAUGGGGACAACACUAGUUGAAGAAACCAGAAAUCUACAGUUCCCUGGGAGCUGGACCUACAGAAGCAUGAUUCAAAUUUUUGAGCGAGAGAAUUGGUAAUCUUGGCACAAAAUUGAUCCCAGGACUGCAGGAAAGCAAUAAUCACAUUUGGCAACUGGAUCUCUGCCUAGCCUCUCGGAUGCUCCUCGACGCUCUUCACUAGGUAGAUCCUUUGGCAAAACGCCUAGGGCCUCUCCUCCCUAUCACAACUACCGGCGCCCACUCCACAAAUGCGGUUGGAGGGUCUCGCAAGACUUACAAGCCCCAGAUUUACAACUCUUGGUGCGCGCAAGCACCAAUACAAAGGAGGUGUGCAAACCUCACCUAACUCUAAGCUAAUCCCUAAAGCAAUGCGCUAAUAAGCCUAAACUAGCACUAAUCAAGACUUAAGCCUUAUGCUAAUUGCCUUAAUCUUCUCUUUAGCACUUUGGUGGCUAGAGCACUUGUGUGUAUGUGGAAUACAAGCCUUCAGCUUCCCUGAGCUGUAACCCAUCUCAAAUGGUCGGGUAAUGGGGUAUUUAUAGCCCCAACCAAAGAAACUAGCCGUUGCAAGCAGUUGCAACUUUUCUGCGUAGCACCGACUGAUUUGGUGAUGCACAAGACGUGUCACCGUAUGAAUCCAUGAGUGCCACCUCAGCUAGCCGUUGGGCUCUUACGCACACUGAUGCCUGGGCCCAGGUCACCGACUGAUUUGGUGCCUUUCCUUGACCCUCACUGUAUGAAUCGGUGGGUCCUUCUUAGCCGCUGCCUUCCUCCGUCACCAACUCAAUCGCUGCCCUUCUCCUUGAUCCACCGUAUGAAUCGGUGUGGCUCUAAAAUCACUCCAAGGUAGACAAAGCCAAUUUUGAGCCGAUCCUGAGCCUAGCUGAUCGCACUGACUGAUCGGUGCUGAUUUGUUGUGCCCACCGAAUGAGUUGGUGGUCACAUUGCACGCUGCCUUGGUCUUGUAGUUGAUCUUUGUCACCUUGGCCUUUUACGCACCGCAUCAUCCGUUGACCAUAGUCUUAGCCCUGCUAUGGUUCUUCUUGUCACCGACUGAUUGGUGACCACACUUGGUCACCAUCGUAUGAAUCGGUGGUUGGUCUUUCAGGAGGAUUCGCUUCAUGUCUUUGCGUGACUUUGUCCCGACUUCUCUUCUAUGAUGUAUUGGGUUGCUUUAAGGUCUUGUAGGGUGUUGUACUUGUCCUCUUGACAUUUGUUCCAUGUGUUAGAUUCCCAAGUCCAUCACUUUGCAUCCAUGUGAAUAAUCCUUGUAUACUUGCAAACAUUGUUAGUCCAUGGGUUAGUGUUGACACACAAUCACCAAAAUCAUUAAUGGCCUAACUAGGUCCAUUUUCCUUACAGGUAUGAUGGUUCUCAUUGUGCCCAAAGAAAGGGAUCUCAAGUCCAGCUUCUAGAGGAAUUGUUGGUAUUGUUUAAGUCUAUGUAACUGCAAGUGAAAAAAACAUCAUAUUGUUGGGUUCAUUUUGGAUUGCACGAAUUUGUAGAGCCAUCAGAUAUUCAAUCAGCACUUUUAGGUCUAGAUUUGCAGUGCAAUUUGUGAGAUAUGUAUGUGCUAUGUGCGUGUAUGGGCCUGGUGUGCAUCACGCCACGGCCCAGGCUGGCUCCCUGUCGUGCCUAGAUAGAUCAGGAUAGGUAGGUUAUCCCUUGAUUGGUUAUGAUUCUAUAAACCUCUCCCAAAAGCUACCUAUAUAUUUGUACACCUUGUAUACCCUAAUCAAUCUAUUAUUCCACGCAAUCUCCAUUGCUUUCUGUUGGGGGGAAAUAUUAACGACCCUCUAACACGCAGCUUAAAGAAACAAACAUGAAGGCCCAGGCCCACCGAAGCGUGAUCAAGUCUCCGCCUCGCCCGACCCCAGCGUCAGGAUCGGGAGCGCCCGACCUCCCUCCGCAAGAUCUCCGCCUCGCCCGACCGCGCCCCCAGGGUCAGGAGCGCCCGACCCUGUACCACGAAAGUUCCGCCUCGCCCGACCCCGAGCAAAGGAGUCGGGCACGCUGAGGCCCACGGGUCAGAAUCCCCCUCGGAUACGUUCCGCAUAGACAAGACAAAUCCUGUGGGGCCCCCCGUCGGCCUCACCAUAAAUGCGCCGCAGAGAUAGCAGAGCGCAGGGCGACCGCGCCCCUCACGCAACCCGGCACAAGUACCCGCGCACGACUGUCCUGUACGAGCUACAGUACUGGCGGCCAGCUCCUAUUCGUCGCAAGGUACUCAUGACCUGCGGCGACUAGAGAGAGGGAGGGAGCGGCCCCGCCCUCGGGUCCCUCGCGCCCUCGGGUCCCGCGCAAACGGCAGCACAGGCACGGAACUCCCACCCUCUACAAGCCAUCGCCGGAGCAGCGGCAUCCACCAUCCUCCCUAACGGACGGCGGGAUAACGACGAAACCCCCUCAUCAUGAUCUAUCCUGAUACCUACGAACCUCGAAGUAGCUACCUGCGAAGAGCUGCAACACUUGGCAUCCGGCAGCCACCCCUUCCGGCAUGCACGACGGCACGCGUUCAGGGUCAGCAGGACGUCGGGCGCCAGGGGCCUCUGCCCCCCUUCCCGCUAGACCCUUUUUACCAUCUCACUCUUUGCCUUUUAUCUGGUCCCAAUUGUAACUCCGGCUGGCCCCUUGCGAUAUAAAAGGGGGAACCUAGAGCCGGGGGAAAGGGAUCGGCAGACCAAGAGAUCAACACUUCCCCCAAGAACACAAAAAUAAAAGAGACCUGGGACCAGUCCCUCUCUCGCCCGUCUGUAACCCCCUACUACAGAAUCCCCGCGCGGGCAACACGAACAUCCUCGAUACUGGACGUAGGGCUUCCUUUGCCCGAACCAGUCUAAUCCGUGUCUCCCGUGCAACCAUCUGAGACUCACGCACAUAAAAGAAAUUUACUAGUCUAAGUCCUGAUCCGCUGAUCUUGACAACGACAGUUGGCGCGCUAGGUAGGGGACCUUUGCGCGUACAUCUCCAAAUCUCAGAUGGCCAAUCGCGAUGGCAGCUUCGCUCCGAGCUCCCUGAUCCGCUUCGGGAGCCUGGACUUUCUGGCCACCGGAAAUGGGAUCGAGCUGAUCCCUGUCCACAUCCUGCCCGCUCGUCCUGCUGCCCUCGGCACCACCGCUAGGAUGACGACGAGCGGCCGGACGCCGGCCGGAAGGGCCUCACCAGAAGGAUGGCUCUUCGGGCUACGCAACGCCACGGAUGCUCACGGUCGCCUCCUAGCGCGGUCCUUCGCCACGUCACCCGCGAGCAACGAGCUCGCGGGCAUGGCAAGGACGGUCUCCGACACUGGCUCCAGUAACGAGGAUCCACGCCCCUCGCGCGAGUGCUUCAUGGCUGACGCGCACUCCGAGGGGUCCAAUGGCAAUGGUGCCGAAGGGAGGCAACGGGCUCCCCCCUCGCGCGCCGCAGCUACGACUGGGGCCCUACCCAGGGCACCAGAGGGCUCUCUGCAACCGGAAGCGCACAUGGGCGCUUGCCAAGAAGUAGAGCACCCCCGCCACGAGGGGAGAGCACGACAACGAGCGCGCGACGUCCAGGAACGCAUCUGUGCGGAUGGAGAACGUCCACCGCUCUUUGCCCGCGCCAGCCAGAACGUCGCCGCCGCGGCGGUGCUACUCCGACAGCUCCCCGAGCCGGCAACGCCUGAGGAGCGACGGGCGCGCCAAGAGAUGCGUAACCUACUCGAGUGCACCGCCGUCCAGCAGGCAGAAAGUUCGGCGUCUCGACGACGCGGCCAGAACGCCAGUAGGGCGACGCAGGGCGCCCCCCCGGAACGGCGGGGGGAAUCUGUCCAUCAACCCCUUCCGGAAGCGAAUCCGACCGCGACCGCCCAGCGAGCACCGCCACUCGCGGUAGGCGAGGCCCGAUCCAUCCACCAGCGCGUCGGUCCCGUUCGUGACGCCCGCGACACACUGAACGCGCGGAGACGUUCCCGCGCGGACAGGGCGGACGGGGCGGACCGUGGCUACCACGUCCACCGUGGCGGGCGCUACGACAGCGGGGAAGACCACAGUCCGAGUCCCGGAGCAGCCGGACCUCGGGCCUUCUCUGCGCGCAUCCUGAAUGCGCCCUUCCCGCCGCGCUUCCGGCAACCUACGAGUGUGGCCAAAUACUCAGGGGAGACCAACCCUGGGGUAUGGCUCAGCGAUUACCGGCUUGCAUGUCAAGCUGGCGGGGCGGACGAUGACUUGUUCAUCAUCCGCAACCUACCCUUGUUUCUGGAAGACUCCACGAGAGCCUGGCUAGAACAUAUCCCUUCAGGGCGUGUUCGCAACUGGAACGACUUGAAGGAGGUUUUCGUAGGAAACUUCCAAGGGACGUACACACGCCCUGGCAACUCCUGGGAUCUCCGGAGCUGCCGCCAGGGGGCGGACGAGUCCCUCCGGGAUUACAUCCGGUGCUUCUCCAGAAAGCGCACUGAGCUCUCCAACGUCGCCGACGCUGACGUCAUAGGAGCCUUCCUAGCAGGGACCUCUUGCCGACCCCUCGUCCACGAGCUAGGGCGCCGAGGCCCGCGGACCACGGAGGAGCUCCUCAACAUCGCCACUAGCUAUGCCUCUGGCGAAGAGGCUGUCGGAGCGAUCUUUGAUCGUUCCAAAGGCAAGGCGAAGCGGGAGGAGGACGCCGACGAAGGCACCUCCAACCGCCAGCGGCAGAAGAAGAAGGGCAAGCAGCUGUGCGAGGCCCCCCUCGUGGCCGCAGUCGAAUGCAAGCGAGGGCAGCCACCCCCCGAAGGCGCACCUGGCUUCUUCGACAAGCUGCUCGAGGGACCGUGCCCAAACCACGAGUUCCCCGUAAAACACGCCUACAAAGAUUGCAACCUCAUGAAGAGGUUCUUCGUGGGCAAUCCGGUGAAGGGUGAUCGGAAACGGAAGCCCGAUGAGGAAAGGAAGGGCGACGAGGAGAAGGAAGACGGCUUUCCUAAAGUGGACGGCUGCUUCAUGAUCUUCAGAGGCCCCGCAGCGUACGACACCAAGCGCCAGCACAAGCUAGAGCGUCGGGAGGUUUACGCCGCCGAGCCUGCAACCCCGGCUUUCCUCGAUUGGUCCGCGCCGGCCAUCACCUUCGACAGGUCCGACCACCCUGGACGCGUCCGGCACCCAGGGCGCUAUCCUCUCGUCGUCGACCCCAUCAUCGGCACGACGCAUCUCACCAAGGUACUCAUGGAUGGGGGCAGCGGCCUCAACCUCCUCUACGCUGAGACCCUCGACACCAUGGGGAUUGACCGCUCCCGUCUCCGUCCUAGCAAGGCUCCCUUCCAUGGCGUCGUGCCAGGGAAGCAGGCAACGCCCCUCGGGCAGAUCGACCUGCCCGUCACGUUUGGGACCCCUUCCAACUACAAGAAGGAGGUCCUCACCUUCGAGGUGGUGGGCUUUCGCGGAACCUACCACGCCAUCUUGGGCCGCCCAUGCUACGCGAAGUUCAUGGCAAUCCCCAACUACACCUACCUCAAGCUCAAGCUGCCAGGACCCAACGGAGUCAUCACCGUCGGCACGACCUUCCAGAAGGCAUACGAGUGCGACGUCGAGUGCUGCAAGUACGCCGCGGCUAUCACCGUCUCGGGCGACAUGGUGGCCCAGCUUGAGGAAACAGUUGAAGACCGGCCCGAUGCCAAGCAGUCAGGAACCUCCUUCGAGCCCACCGAAGGUAUCAAAGAAGUCCCUCUCAAUCCCGGUUGUUCCAGUGGAGGGGUGGUGCGGAUCAGCGCAGCCCUAUCCCCCAAAUAGGAAAGCGCGCUCGUCGGCUUCCUCCGCGCAAACAGCGACGUCUUUGCAUGGAAGCCCUCGGACAUGCCAGGCAUCCCGAGAGAAGUCGCCGAGCAUUCCCUGAACAUCAGGACCGGCUCUAAACCGGUGAAGCAAGGCUUGCGCCGUUUCGAUGAAGAAAGGCGCAGGGCCAUUGGUGAAGAGCUUGAAAAGCUCCUGGCGGCCGGCUUCAUCAAGGAAGUACACCAUCCCGAGUGGUUGGCCAAUCCUGUUCUUGUGCCGAAAAAGAAUGGGAAAUGGAGAAUGUGUGUCGAUUAUACCGGUCUCAACAAAGCGUGUCCAAAGGAUCCGUUUCCUUUGCCGCGUAUAGAUCAAAUAGUCGACUCGACAGCCGGGUGCGAAACACUCAGCUUCCUCGACGCGUACUCCGGCUACCACCAGAUCGCGAUGAAAGAGGACGACCAGCUCGCUACCUCCUUCAUCACCCCCUUUGGCCCCUACUGCUAUGUUAAGAUGCCAUUCGGCCUCAAAAACGCGGGGGCUACCUUCCAGCGAUGUAUGCUUAAGUGCUUCGGAGACCUCAUCGGGCAGACCGUUGAGGCCUACGUCGACGACAUCGUUGUCAAAUCCAGGAAGAGCGAUCAGCUCAUCCCCGACCUAGAGCUAGCCUUCGAAAGGCUAAGGGAUAAGCGUAUCAAGCUUAACCAAGAGAAAUGCGUGUUCGGUGUCCCAAGGGGCAUGCUGCUAGGCUUCAUCGUCUCCGUGCGCGGCAUCGAGGCGAACCCGGAGAAGAUAGCGGCCAUCAACGGCAUGGGGCCGAUCCGGAACAUGAAGGGAGUGCAGCGCGUCAUGGGAUGCUUAGCGUCCCUAAGCCGCUUCAUCUCGCGCCUCGGCGAGCGAGGACUCCCCCUCUAUCGGCUCCUGAAGAAAUCCGACCGCUUCGAGUGGACCAGCGAGGCGCAGGAGGCGCUUGACCGGCUCAAGGACCUCCUGACGAAGGCCCCAAUCCUGGUUCCGCCGGCCGACGGCGAGAUCCUUCUACUCUACGUCGCGGCGACCACCCAGGUGGUCAGCGCGGCCUUAGUGGUGGAGCGGGAGGAGGAGGGGCAUGCUCUUAAAGUGCAACGCCCGGUGUACUUCAUCAGCGAGGUGUUGUCCGAAUCCAAGUCACGAUGCCCACAGAUCCAGAAGCUCGUCUACGCCGUCCUCAUCGCGAAGAGGAAGCUGCGUCACUACUUCACCUCCCACCCGGUAACGGUCGUCUCUUCAUUCCCGCUUGGUGAAGUAAUCCGGAACCCAAAUGCAACAGGGAGGAUCGCGAAAUGGGUGGUUGAGCUUAUGGAUCAAGGUAUCACCUACGUCCCCCGCACCGCCAUUAAGUCCCAGGUACUUGCCGAUUUCGUGGCCGAGUGGACACAGAUACAAACACCGCCGGCGACAGAGGAGCAGGAGUAUUGGACGCUGUACUUCGACGGGUCGUUGAUGAGGGCCCGCGCUGGAGCAGGCCUCGUUUUCAUCUCUCCGCUGAGCGUACGCAUAAGGUACAUGAUUCGCCUCCAUUUUCCUGCAUCCAACAAUGUCGCUGAGUAUGAAGCCCUUCUCAACGGGCUUCGCAUCGCCAUCGAGCUGGGCAUCCGUCGACUAGACGUCUGAGGCGAUUCCCAGUUGGUCGUCGAACAAGUCAUGAAAGAAUGGAGCUGCCAUGACCCAAAAAUGGCCGCCUACUGCAACGAGGUACGUAAGCUCGAGGACAAGUUCGACGGGUUGGAGCUCAACCACGUCGCAAGGCGCUUCAACGAAGCCGCCGACGAGCUCGCAAAGGCAGCGUCCGGCCGGAUGCCCGUCCCCGACGGCGUCUUCGUUAGCGACCAGCUGAAGCCUUCGAUCCGUUACCCGGAGCCAGCAGGGGUCGGCGAGGCAUGCCCAGCCUUGGGGUCGGGAUCCGAGCCAGGAGAGGUCGGCAAUACGCCACCUAUCCUGGACCCGAACACCAAUCCCGAGGGAAACAACGCUGCCCCACCCGACCCGGCCGCGAAAGCCAAGCCCUCCGACCCCGCAGUUAUGGAAAUUGAGGCGGGCCCCGCGGCGGGGGCCGACCCCACGACCAAUUGGAGAACCCCGUACCUCGACUACCUUAUCCACGACGCACUCCCAACCGACAAGACCGAAGCCCGCAGGAUCACGCGCCGUGCGAAAUCCUUCACCAUCAUCGACCAAGAGCUUUACAAGCGAAGCCACACGGGGAUCCUCCAGCGCUGCAUCCCGAUCGAGCAGGGAAAGGCGCUGAUCCAGGACAUCCACGCCGGGGCUUGCGG